RNAcentral lists this long non-coding RNA (330241 nucleotides) under Prunus persica (peach). RNAcentral describes it as "long non-coding RNA (PPER_LNC001496)". The stretch from base 257393 to 257499 matches the Rfam family "Plant small nucleolar RNA R71". Lineage: Eukaryota; Viridiplantae; Streptophyta; Magnoliopsida; Rosales; Rosaceae. The record is from RNAcentral.
AAAGGCGAUGAUGGGGAGAAGGUUAAAGCAGUAACCAUCUGUCAUCUAGACACAUCAGAAUGGAACCCAGAGCAUAUGUCCUUCCAAAUCGUCAACGUUAAGCCCGGAACCAUUCCCAUCUGCCAUUUCAUUUCCACUGAUGCUAUUGCCUGGGUUCCGAACCACAAAUCUGCAUGAUCAUCACUUAGCACUGUACGUAUAAUUAUCUCCUUACUUAUUUCUGCCUCUUCAUCAUGUGGUGUAAGAUAUAUGAUGAGAUGAAGUUUUUGGGAUUAGUGGUUGGGUUGCCUGAAAAACACAGAUUACAGAAACUGCUUGAAAUUAACCCGAUCAUGUUUUCUCUUGUAACUAUAUAGACUUCAACUUGUACUCAUAAUAAAGCAUGCUAUAUUUAUGAAGAGAUAUUAAUCUAUAUAUAUUUUUUAUAUAUGCUUUGGCUUUGUGGUUCUACCCAAUGUUUGAGUGUUGAAUUGUUACGUUGGAAUAGGCUGCUAAUGCAUGUAGUUAGAGAAGCCUUCAUUUAUAUCAAAGUCCUCAAACUAUCAAGAACUAAUGUAUCCAGAAACAUAUACCAAGACGCAAAACAACAUAUUUUCCAUGCUCUGUCUGUAACACCAAAGCAAACUUCCUUGAUCACAAAAGGAUCAAAUUCCAGUACUAAUCUAAUCCAUCAUGUAAAGCAUACAAGUGCCUCCCUAAAUACUAUACUCUUUUUGUUAUUUCCUACUAUACUAUUUAAGAUUUAAAAUUCAGGUCAACCCAUAGAUUUCUCGCCUUUUUCUUCUUCAUCUCGUCGGGCUUGUCUUCUUCUUGAGGAUUGUAUAGGCCAAGGAAAUGCUUUGAGUUAGUUUUUGCGCUUUUGCGUUUUGGGCCUUGGAAGUUGGGACCCAAACCAACUUCACAAAAAGAAAACGCUCAGACUAUAAUGAGUGGAAAGUUAUAAGGGGUAAGUUAUAAGGAGUUCACUUUAUAGCCAUCAGAUCAAUCUAAGGGCUGGGGAGAAUUGAGAUAAAGUUUUAAAAUCGGGUAGGUGAGGAACCCAAACCCGAAUUGAAUAUCCAGCACGUCCGAAAAAGAAGAAGAAGAGGCAAGCACGUCCGAAAAAGAAGAAGAAGAGGCAAGGUCGAAGUUUGAACAGAAAAAACUCAUCUCUUUAAAACCCAUAGCUCUGAGAAACGGUUGAAGGCAACGGUUAACGACGGUUGUUGAAGCCACUCCGUUCUCCAGACCCUGAAAAAGUAUUUAUUUUGAGUAGAAGGGGCAAAUGUGUGGAUUCCGAAACAGUGAAGGGGCGAAGCAGUGGAAGGGGAAGGAGAGAAGCCGUAUUCGUUGGAAGUGGUAGGUUCCAUUUGUGGAGCAAAGCAACACAAAGACCCCGCACAGACACCUUGCGAUUGUUCAAUAACCAGCAUUUGGUGAGUAAUUUAUGGAAUUUGAGUUUAGGGUUAGAGUAAUGGUUUUCCCCAAUUUGUACCAUCAAUUUUGUUGGAUUUGGCAUCUCUUCUUUGUGCUUCAGUUGCAUGUUAAUUUUUGCUUGGGUAUAUGUUAAAAAAAGAAUGAAAAUCAAGUCAAUAACAAGUGAAUAACAUGUCAAUAAUGAUAUGAAUAAGAUAAUGGUGUUGAAUUGGAGGAGGCCCUCAAAACAUUCCACAUUUGAAGCAGUGCAUAGUGCAGAUUAUCUCUCUGGCGCUAGAAUAUAUAUAUAUUUUGAAAUAAAUAUGAUUUCCUUUGUUACUAAAUUUGCCUGAGAAACAUGAGAACAGAUAAUAAUAAACUCAUGAAUAGAAGUGCAAAGCAUUUGAUGAGUAAUUUAUGGAAUUUGAGUUUAGGCCCAGGAAAUUCCUUGACCCCAAAAAAAAAAAAAAAGUUGAUUUAAAAUUCAGGUCAACCCAUAGAUUUCUCGCCUUUUUCUUCUUCAUCUCGUCGGGCUUGUCUUCUUCUUGAGGAUUGUAUAGGCCCAGGAAAUGCUUUGAGUUAAUUUUUGCAUUUUUGCGUUUUGGGCCUUGGAAGUUGGGACCCAACCCAACUUCACAAAAAGAAAACAGAUUUGCCAAAAAUCAAAUUUCAAGUCUCUCCUCCGAUCGAAAUUUGGAUUUGAUGAACUAAAGUGGUUUUACUUUCUCCAUCAGUGUUUGAUAACUUAAUUUGUUAUUUACUUUUUUUUUAAAAAACUUUGGCUUAUAUAUAUUAGUUUUCUUUUUUCCUUCAUAUUCACCACCUUUAUGUUGCAUAAGUAUUUCAGUCUUAAUGGGUUUCCAUCUACCACUCAUCUUUGCUCUUCUCAGUGUAAGCCUUUUUUUUUUUUUAAAGCACAAGAUUAGAGGGGAGGGGGAUUUCUCAAUGUAAGCUUUGCAGUUUCAUAAUUAAUAUUUCCAAUAUCUCACUGUUAGUAAAAUACAGAAAAAGUACUAAUAACAUAUGCACAUGUUACUAAUUUAUUGAGAUAAAACACCAUUUUGCCCCUAGAAUAUUUUAUUAGGUUUAAAGUUGACUUUUUGACCAGGAAGGAAUUUGGGUAUUUAGACUAUAUCGUUGCGUAGAGCAUGGCGAGAUGAGUCCGUAGACACAUGAUUGGCUCGAAUCAGAGUUAUAAUGAGAGAGAUACGAUCAAAAUACCCUCAGUGGUAUAACCGUAAUUUUGGCUUAAAGGGUUUGAUAAAAUAUAAUUUUUCUUUCUUUCUUUCUCUCUCUCUCUCUCUCUCUCUCUCUCUCCUCUCUCUCACGACGGCAGUGAUAGCCGGCCACUUUUUGGCCAGCCAUGCUCUCGUCCGGCCACUAAAGUUGACGGGGCCGGUACCAAAAUGACCGGGCCACCAUCCUUUUCCAACCCCAGCCAGGCCCCACUGCCAGCAGUCGUGAUUUUGCUGAAAAAUGGAGAAGAAGCGGCCGAUUUCGUUCGAACUUCUCCGACUUCGUUCUCUCUCCUCCGGCCACCGAUUUCGAUGAAUGAGGUAUGGUUUCUCACCUACUUUUUAUGCUCUAGCUGCCUGUUGGGUAGGAUUCGAUCAAUUCCUUGCGUAGGUAGCUUGAUUUUCGAAUUGGAUUUCGGCCGGUUUUGGGAUCUCGAUUCCGGCCACUUCCGGUCAGUUUUUGGGGUACAUCCCAAAACAAAAGUGGUUCUAAAUAGGGUGUUAUACCUAGGGUAGGAACCUUGAACCGUAAUUUUGAGAAUUUUCGGUGAUGCCUAAUCGCUUUGGACACCUACGCUAUGCCUGCGUGUGGGCACUAUAGAAAAAGGGCAUUGUGUCCCGAUGCAAUCCCCUUGUUGUCUUGAGCGCGUAGGUGUGCUCGGAUUUCAAUUUGGAUACCGUUUGAAUCUCGAACGAAUAUCGCAUAUUGUGCGUUAUUCGGGGUCGAUAGGUUUGAACUGUUGGAUAGUCUUAGAUUUAUAAUAUGUUAAUCUAGACAUUCUUAGGAUCGAAUGGGAUUAAACGGAUCGUAAAACGGAGUCCCGGAUACUCCAAAAAUGCCAACCCUAGGGCUAGGUUCCUAGUAACCGUCCGAUCGUGCGAUCGUGAGCGAUCCGACCGUUUGAUCCGAACCAAACUUGCAGGACGUGUAUCCUAAACCUUGUAGAACCCAUAGGAACUUUCGGAUUAGAAUUUGGAGGUCGUGGGCCCCUUGGGCCGUUUGACUAAGUUUGGGUAGUUUGACCCUUGGCUGAUCGUGAGUCUUCAGAGGUCUUGAGCGUUGUUGAGCUAUGUUGACUAGGUUUAGACUUUUAGAGUGUUUAUUAUUAUCAUAGGAAACUAUUAGAUAUUAUUUUAAUAAUUGAAAUUAUCAAAUUUAUGUUUAUGUGCAUGAUUGUUGGUCUAAAAAUAACAUUGUUUUCUUGAUAAAAUUACGUUGCAGUCUACUAUAGACUGGUAUCACUAAAUGGAGAUUACCUCUAUUAUUAGUUUAGAUAAUUAAGAGUAUGUCAGUUUGAAGUGCUAUAUGCACUACCCUAAGUACCACCCUGUGAUUGUUAGGUCCCAUGUGGUGUAGAUUAUACAGCGUCAGGACAGACCCCAUACGUGGCUUUGGAUGUUCUGGCGCAUGGGGGAGAUUAUGUAAUGGUUAGGUCAUACGUGGCGUAGGUUAUUCAGCGUGUUGACAGACCCUAUACGUGGCGUUGGAUGUUCCAGUAUGGAAAGAUUUUGUGAUUGUUAGGUCCCACGUGGCGUAGAUUAUCCGGCGUGAGGACAAACCCCAUUCGUGGCUUUGGAUGUUCCUGCGUAUGGGGGAGAUUAUGUGAUGGUUAGGUCACACGUGGCGUAGGUUAUUCGGCGUGUUGGCUAACCCCAUAAGUGCCGUUGGAUGUAACGACCGGUCCUAAAUAAAUUAGUGAAUAUUAAUUUAUUCAGAGAAAAUACCAUUUUGCCCAUAGAGUAUUUUAUUAGGUUCAAAGUUGACUUUUUGAUCAGAAAGGAAUUUGAGAAUUUCGAUUAUACCGUUGCAUAGAGCACGGCGAGAUGAGUCCGUAGACACGUGGUAUGCUCGAAUCGAAGUUGUAACGAGAGAGAUACGAUCAAAAUACCCUCAGUGGCAUAACCGUAAUUUUGGCAAAAAGGGUCGAUAAAAUCAUAUAUAUAUAUUUUCUCUCUCUCUCUCUCUCUCUCUCUCUCUCUCUCUGCGAUAUUGUCCCUCUCUCUCUUUGAUUCACUGCCAUCUGCCCACGGCAGGACUUGAGACUGGUCACGUUUGAACCGGCUCGAUGUCCCGAUCACGUCGCACCCAAAAUGCAAAUGGAAACCUUGAAUUCCAGCCACGGCUUCGACUGGUUUGAACUGGGUUUUUCCCGGCGUUGCGCCACCGCCUCCGCCGCCCAAUUCCGGUGAAACAGGUAUAAUUCCUCACCUAUUUUUCGAGAUCCAGCUGUUGUUGUGUAGGAAUUAGACGAUUUUCAUGUUUAGGAACUCGAUUUAGAAUUUAGGUUUUGGUCGAAUUUUCAAAGUGAAAUUUCGGCCACUUCCGCUGGUUUUUCGGGGUAUGUCUAAGAACAAAAGUGGUUCCAAAUAGGGUGUUAUACCUAGGGUAGGAACCUUGAGCUGUGAUUUUGAGAAUUUCCGGCGAUGCGUAUUCGCUUUGGACACCCACGCGCCGACAGCGCGUGGGCACUGUAGAAAAGGGGCAUUGUGUCUCAAUGCGAUCUGCUUGUUGUCUUGAGCUCGUAGGUAUGCUCGAAUUUCAAUUUGGAUACUGUUUGAGUCUCGAACGGAUAUCGCAUAGUGUACGUUAUCCGGGUUUGAUAGGUUUGAACCAUUGGAUAGUUUUGAAUUUGAUAUAUGUUAAUCUAGGCAUUUCUAGGAUCAUGUAGGAAUUCAGGGAUCAUGAAUCAGAGCCCCGGAUGUUCCGAUUUAAUAACUUAAAGUUUAUGUUUAUAAUAACUAUCAGAUCGUGCGAUCGUGAGCGAUCCGACUGUCUGAUCUGGACCAAACUUGCAGCACGUAUAUCCUAAACCUUGUGGAACAUAAAAAAAUUUCGGAUUAGAAUUUGGAGGUCGUGGGCCCCGUGGGCCCAUUUAACCAAUUAUGGGUAGUUUGAUCCUUGGUUGACCGUGAGUCUUCCGAGAUAGUUUUACCUUCCUAGGAGGAUUAUAAUGACCCUAGUGAUAGGUCUUGACCGUUGUUCAGCUAUGUUGACUAGGUUGAGACUUCUAGAGUGUUUAUUAUAUUAUUGUAGGAAACUCUUAGAUAUUAUUUUAAUAAUUGAAAUUAUGAAAUUUAUGUUUAUGUGCAUGAUCGUUGGUCUAAAAAUAAUAUUAUUUUCCUGAUAAAAUUACGUUGCAGUCUACUAUAGACUAGUAUCACUAAAGUGGGAAUACCUCUAUUAUUAGUUGAGAUAAUUGGGAGUAUGUCAGUUUGAAAUGUUAUACCCUAAGUACUACUCUAUGAUUGUCAGGUCACCCGUGGCGUAGGAUUUUCCGGUGAGAUGACAGACCCCAUACGUGGCGUUGGAAUUUCCAACGUAUGGAGAGAUUAUAUGAUUGUUAGGUUUCACGUGGCGUAGGAUUUUUCAGCGGGAUGACAAACCCCAUACGUGGCAUUGGAAGUUUCAGCGUAUGGGGAGAUGAUAUGAUUGUUAAGUCACACGUGGCGUAGGUUAUUUGGAGUGCUGACAGACCCCAUACGUGGCGUUGAAAUUUCUGGCGUAUGGAGAGAUGAUAUGAUUGUUAGGUCACUUUGGAUGUUCUAGCGUAUUGGGAGAUUAUGUGAUUACCAGUGAGAUGAAUAAAGGAUUGUUAUGUUAUAUUGGGAAAAACAUGUUUGUAGAAAGAAUUACGUGUGGCUUGAUCCCUCAGUAAGGGUACGUAGGCAGCCUAGGGUAGUGCCUUGGUGCAGUCGCUGACUAAACAUUAUAAUGUUGUUUUUAGGUUUGAUUAUAUGGUAUUAUGGGGCAAGGCCCCUAGGACUAUUGGUGAUAAUUCAUAGAUGGUAGUGGAUGCAUGCUAGAAAUUUGUAGGAAGUUAUUUCAUGUGGAUUGCAGUGGUACUCGUAAAAUUUAUUUGAGUUCCUUAAUUGCAUUGUUAAUAUAUUAAUUUACUUAAGAGUACUGCUAGUAGUUCUGCCUUGAUUUAUUUGAAGGCUGGAGGCCUUGUCUGGAAACUGUGUGCAAUUAGAUUGUGUGUGCUGGCAGUUGACUUUUUAAAUUGUGAAUUUUGUGCAGGUUGAAAUUUGGGAAAUGUUCAAUUUACAGGGGAGACUCUGCUGAAAUUUCGGUAGAAAGUCUUGUGCCCUUAUUCCUUUUUGGGGAAAAGGAUAUAGUUUUAGAAGUGGCGAUGUCGGGAAUUUCCACAGGAUUCGUCUCGGGUUUCGGGAAAUUCGGGGCGGGUCUGAAAAAGUUGUUUCAGUUUUGGCAAGUAUCGGAAAAGACCAAAAUUUUCCGACUUUAUUAUUACUAGAAACAAGGUCGAAGUAUUUACCAAUCAUGUGGCCUUCCAAGUGCUCUAGGUUAAGCCAGGAACCGUUCCUAUCUGCCGUUUCCUUCCCAACUAUGAUCAUGUUGUCUGGGUUCCAACCCACAAAUCUACAUUGGGCUACGUAUUUGAAUUUGUACUAAAGCGUGAUCUAUAGUAUGCAUAUAUUGGAUAAGUUUGAGAUCAGUGGCUUGGGUGUCCGCUGAGCUUGAACAAGUUUGGGUGUGCUGAGUGUUUCCAUGGGUGUGUUGAUGAUCAUGGUUAUUAGAUUUGUGAUAGUUUGGGCUCAAUUUCAACAGAACUCAUCUCAAGCCUAGAUAGUUGAUUCUUAAGUUUAUCAGGAAAAAAAAUUAAAAAUUAAAAAAUCUAAAGUUAAGCCCAAGGCGCCGAACUUGGACUUCUCACCAAACUGUGCAUAAAUUGAAAUAUUUAAUAGAAGCCCAAGAUUUUUGAAGCACAUAAUAUCUACAAAAAUCUACAAAGUGUAAUACUUUACAAACUUCUUAUGUGUACCAAUUUCUGCUCAAAUUAAUUUCUCUGUGGUGCUGAGAUUCAUCAUAAUUUUAGUAGAAAUUGGAAGUUUUCAUCAUUUUUGCUUUAAGUCUCUCCUCCACUCACUAAUAAAGAUUACUCAAGUGAGUUUACAAAACAUUUUUUUUCUACUCUCUCCUGAAGACUACACAUCUUCUCAAAAGAUUAGAUCACUUCACAUCUUGUAUAUGUGAAAACUAAUGCAAAAAGUUGAAACUUUAUCAUAAAACCUCGACAAAAAUUAGCUCUACUUAGAACAUUAAAUUUGGAUUCGUUGAUUUAAAUGGCAAUUUGACACUUCAUAGAAAUUUUUACAUACAUGUGUUAGUGUUUGAUCACUUCACUUAUUACUUACUAUAUUUAUUCCAUGAUUCUCCCUCAAGUUAUGUAAAUAUUAUUAUCAAACAUUUCAAUUCAUUUGUGAUAUUUCUUGUCCAUCUUUCAAUGUACCCUGAAAUCCAUUAGCCACAUAUGAUGACCAAAAUCCACACUCUGUUGUUUGCAAACGUUCAAUAUACGACUUGCAUCCACAGUCCUGACCCAAAUGAAAUGCGGAAACUGUCAAGCUAACUGUAGGGAGGACUAUAUUUGAUUUUACCUUAAAGACUGAUCCGAAACCACCUUCUCCAAGUUUAUUGUUGUUUGAAUAGUUUUUGGUUGCACAAACAACAGCGGCCAAGUCAAAUAAUGGCAAUUCCAGAUCUUCCUUUUGGCCGGGCUUCAGUUCUCCUGUGAAGUACGUAGUGAAGUAAAUAAUGUAGCAUGGAACCUUAGCUUAGAAACCAGAGAGGCAACAGCAAAAAUUUUCUAUAGAACUGAACCUACCUAUCUUAGAAAAUGAAGGGGCAGAAGAGUAGAAAAUCAAAUAGCUUACCAUAUUUUUGUUGCUGGUUCUUCCUCACAUAUAAUAGCAGGGUAAGGCCCAGGGUCAGCAGUCCAGUAGACAACACAGUACUGGUUACUAUGAUCUUUGUAUUGUGUCCUUGAUCUAGGAAUGAAGUAUUUGAAAGCAGAAGAUUGAGGAGUCAGAAAUUCAUAAAGAAAAAAUCUCUACUUUUUAUCAUCCAACGAACAAUUAAUGCUAGUUUCUGAGACAGUUCUAAAGAAAUAUUUUUCUAACAAUGUCAAAAGUUUUCUGGCUCUAUCUUGUUUCUAAUCAUGUCACUGUUGGAAGAUUUCUUUCUUCUUUUUUCCUUGGUGGCUUUUAUUUUUCUUUCAAACUUUGUUUUAAACAGCAAGAUGAUUCCAUACCUAGUUCUGACGAAGCCAUUCUUAUGUAAAUAUCUUGCCCAUUUAUAUUGGAAUAUCUUAUAUCAACCAGAUCGCUGAACCACAGCAAGGACCCCCUUCCUCCAUCUCGGAUAUCCAAAUUUGAAAAAGCGGCGCAGGAGCAGUUGUUCAUGCACAUCAUCUCACAUUCCUUGAGGUUCAUAAUUGUGUUAUACUAGGAUUGUUCUGUACUUUAUUUCACCCCAGUGUACUUCUUAAAGAUGUCUCCACUGCAAUUCAGUUGGCUCUUUCUCACAGAUCUAUAUGACCAAUCCACCAAGUCCCAGUCUUGUUGAAAGUCGGUAUAAAUCCUUUCAAGCAGCUACGUACUGGGGACUUGUCAAUACAACAUGCACCAUUCGGACCACAUAUUCCAUAUUUGUCGCAGAUAUCAGUCGUUGCUCUUAGAUAAACAACCCAACCUUGGUUUCCAUCACUCCCGAUGUAGCUCAGCCCAAAUCCAUCUUGAGUUAACGCCAGCCUGAAAAGAGUUGAGCUGUUGAGAAGCUUAUAACCAUAAUAUACUUCAUCAUCAUUAUCCAACACAAAAUCAUAUGUUGGAUUUAAAUUAUGCAUCCCACUAAAUUGGAUUCCAUUCCAUGGUGCAGUCCGAUAUUUUAUAACAGAACCCUCCCUCAGAAUUAAUUCAUGGUACCCAUAAGGACCAAGUUGAUAUGGGUAAUGUCCUUGAGAAGGAUCCUGGGGGCUUUUCCAGGGUGUAAGAUGCCAAUUAAAACCUGUGAUUUUGUUCCUAACAAGCUUCAUACCUGGUAUUAAUGUAUCUCCUGGGUAAUCAAAACUCUGCCAUAAAAUAUUAUCAGAGUCAUUACGACCAUUGCCAUCUAUCACAACAAGAUUUCCGGAAUCCAAAAUCUGUGCCACUGGAUUCUAUGAAGAACUUGAUGUGUUGGAAGACCUGUAGUGUUCUUUGUUGAAUAUUUGGAUUGCAAAGGGAGCAAGAAAUGUACUGAGAGAGAAAGAGAGAGAGAGAGAGAGAGAGAGAGAGAGAGAGAGAGCAGUGAGCCUUAGAUUGUUCUAACAGUUUUCUUACUCUGCAUGAACAUAGCAGCAGAGCUUAUAUUCCUUCAUGACUGUUACAUGUUCUCUCUUACAUCAGUAGAUUCAAAUCUAACGGUUUGUAAUAGUAAGCCAAUGUGAGUAUGACACAUGGCAAUACACAGCUGUCCUAACAGCUGGGAAUUCAAAACAGACUCUAGCAUUGCACCUGGCAUAUAAGCACAAGGCACUCAGCUAACACAAAGAUUAAAAACAGAUUGAAUAUAAACUGACAUAGAACUUACUAACUAAUCUGAAAUUAGCUAGACAGUUUACAUUUUAACACUCCCUUCUAAAGUGCUAGCUGAUUUCACUCCAAGCAUUCUCCUCAAAUAGUCAAACCUGUCUUUGGGAAGAGCUUUGGUGAAGAUAUCAGCAAUCUGCUCUUCUCCUUUGCAGUAGAGCAGUUCAAUCACUUCUUCUUGUAUUGCAUCUCUAAUAAAAUGAAACUUCCUUUUAAUAUGCUUGCUCCGUUGAUGAAAAACAGGAUUUUUAGCCAUUGCUAUGGCUGAAGUGUUGUCACAAAACACAGUUGUUGCAGUGGUCUGUUCUUCCCCAAAAUCUUCAAGAACAAACCUGAGCCAAAUGGCUUGUGAUGUAGCUUCUGCUGCACUCACAUACUCUGCCUCUGCAGUAGAGAGAGCCACACUGUGUUGUUUGACUGAUGCCCAUGAAAAAGCACCACUUCCAAAUGAAAAUGCAUAUCCAGAAGUGCUUUUCAUAUCUUCCUCAGAUCCACUCCAGUCACUGUCACAGUAACCAACUAAGAGUGCAGAUUUUCCUGUCACAUACUCAAUUCCAUAGUCAAUUGUGCCUUGUAUGUACCUUAGAACCCUUUUAGCUGCCCCAUAGUGCAUCUUAGAAGGGUUAUGCAUGAAUCUUGCAAGCAGGCAGGCAGAGAACAUGAUAUCUGGCCUGGUUGCAGUAAGGUACAGCAGGCUGCCUACAAUUUUUCUGAACAAACUUUCAUCUGCAGCAUCACUUCCAUCCUCUCUUUUCAAUUUAUCAGUAGCCACUAAUGGAGUGCUUACUGACUUGCAGUCUUUGAGUCCAAACUUAUCCAAGAGAGUGAGAGCAUACUUCUUUUGAUGAAUGAAGAUGCUCCCUUCAGUUUGUGUUACUCCCAUACCAAGAAAAUGGUGGAGUAAACCCAAAUCAGACAUCUCAUACUUGCACAUCAUUUCAGCUUUGAAUUCUUUCAUCAUUUCAUCUCUACUUCCUGUGUACACUACGUCAUCUACAUAGAUUGACACUAUUAGUGUUCCCACCUUCCUUUGUUCUCACAUAGAGAGUGGCUUCACUUGGACUUCUGUGAAAACCACACUGAUUCGAGUAGGUGUCAAUUUCACUAUACCAGGCCCUUGGAGCCUGCUUCAACCCAUAGAGGGCUUUUCUUAACCUAUACACCUUAUCCUCAUCAUCUUUAACCACAAAACCAUCCGGUUGAUCAAUAUAAACUUCUUCUUCAAGGACACCAUUUAGGAAGGCUGACUUGACAUCCAAUUGCCAUAGUUUCCAGCCUUUCUGAGCAGCAAGAGCUAUGAGAGUUCUAAUGGUGUCUAACCUUGCUACAGGAGCAAAGGUUUCAUUGAAAUCAAUCCCUGGUUUUUGUGUGUAUCCCUUGGCAACAAGUCUUGCUUUAUGUUUUUGAAUGGAGCCAUCAAGAUUAAGCUUAAUUUUGAAUAUCCACUUCACUCCCACAAUUGGUUUACUACUUGGCCUGUCAACCAAUUCCCAACUGGAGUUUUUCUCUAUCAUAAGUAUCUCCUCAGUCAUAGCCUUCCCCCAAGCUUCAUCUUUGACUGCUUCUUCAAAAUUUUCAGGUUCAAUGAUGCUCAUCUUGCAUUGAGCAUACACUUCACUCAAACUCUUCCAUUUCUUUGGGGUGUUAUCAUAAGUUUCUAAUGGAGCAGAGUCUUGAGUAGCAUGCACAUCAUUACUUGUUUGUGUUUCCAUAGGAGACUGUACAAUCUGUUGCUGUAACAGAUUUGGUUAUGAAUCCAAAUCUGAUACAAUUGAACUUACUCCAUCACCCCAAGACAUAGGGAUUUGCAAUGCCUCAUUGGUUUCCCAAUUCCACAUUGCUUCUUCAUCAAAAAUAACACUCCUAGACAGCUCAAUCUUUUGAGUUCUCAAGUUGAGCACUCUAUACCCCUUUUCACAUACACCAUAUCUUACAAAUACUCCCUUCUCACCUGUGUCUUCCAGCUUGUGCCUUUUCUGUGUGGGGAUGUGAAUAUAGCAUAGAGAACCAAAUAUUCUCAAAUGCUUGACACCUGGUUUUCUUCCACCGAACUUUUCAAAUGGAGUGGAAUUGUCCAGUGCACUUGUAGGACAUCUGUUCUGCAAAUAUACAGCUGUAUUGACAGCUUCUGCCCAAAACUUCAAAGGGAUUUUCUUCUCAUACAUCAUGGCUCUUGCCAUUUCCAUCACAGUACGAUUCUUUCUCUCUGUAACUCCAUUCUGUUGUGGAGAGUAGCCUACUGNNNNNNNNNNNNNNNNNNNNNNNNNNNNNNNNNNNNNNNNNNNNNNNNNNNNNNNNNNNNNNNNNNNNNNNNNNNNNNNNNNNNNNNNNNNNNNNNNNNNNNNNNNNNNNNNNNNNNNNNNNNNNNNNNNNNNNNNNNNNNNNNNNNNNNNNNNNNNNNNNNNNNNNNNNNNNNNNNNNNNNNNNNNGGUGUGGUCAUCAAUGAAGGUGAGGAAAUAUCUGUUCCCUCCAAGAGUGAUGGUCUGCAUUGGACCACAAAUGUCUGAGUGAAUCAGUUCUAGAGGUUGAGUGGCUCUCCAAGCUCCUUCCUUAUCAAAAGAGCUUCUGUGAUUCUUGCUUUCAGCACAACCUGAGCAGACCUUCUCAUGUUCUUGUAAAUUAGGCAUUCCCUGAACCAUAUCUCUCUCUUGUAACAACUUCAAACUAAUAUAGUUUAGGUGCCCAAAUCUUCUGUGCCACAGCCAGGAUGUUUCUCCAACUGUUGCUCUGUUUGCCAUAGGAGGAUUAACAUAGUCAAGAUUUAAAGGAAAACAUUUGUUUCCCUUCAUUGGCACUCUUGCAAUGCAAUCUUCCAACUGCCUAUCUCCAUAGAUAUCAACUGCAUUAUCACCAAAUACAAGCCAAUGCCCAUGUUCUAUCAUUUGACCUACACUUAGCAAAUUUUCAUCUAAACUUGGUACAAUCAUGAUUUCUUUGAUAUAUCUAGUCACACCCUUCAUUUCUAUAGCCAAAGUCCCUUUGCCUAUUAACUGCACUAGAUCACCAGUCCCCAUUUUGACUUUACUCUUCAUACUUUUAUCAACAUUUACAAGUAAUGACUCAUGGGAAGUCAUGUGAUUGCUGCAUGCACUAUCAACAUACCACAUAUUCACAUUCUUUCCAAUUGUUGCAGCAUGACAUGCAUAGAACAUAAUGGCAGGUUCAGUUACCUGAUUUGCAAUGUUAGCAAGUUUCCCUGCCUUGUUUGCUUGGUCACAGUCCUUAACAAAAUGACCAAAUCGAUUGCAGCCAUGACACUUUGGUUUUCCUUUAAACCAACACUCACCAUAGUGUAACUUCUCACAAUGUUUGCAUUUUCCAGAUUUGUCUCCUUGACUUGGUUUUCCCCCUUGAUUGGCACUGUUUUGGGGUUUAGAAUCCCAUUUCUUAUCCUUGGACUUCCAAUUCUUCUUUGAUUUAUUAGAGCCAGAACUAGAACUUGAUUGAGAUCCUUUUGAGUUUAUGCUCAUGCUGCUGAAAGCUUUCUCAGUGGUGCUUUCUGCAUGUCUGUCAAGGCGCUGAGCAAAACCUCUUAAUGCUGCAAUUACCUCCUGCACUUCAAUGGUUUCAAUGUCUCUAGUUUGCUCAAUCACAUAGCAGACUGGAUCAAAUUCCUUGGUUAAGCUUAUUAGCAGUUUUUGAACUAUCCUCCCUUUGGUCAGAUCUUCCCCAUAUCCCUUCAUCUGAUUUACAAGCUCAAGUAACCGAGUGAUGUAUCCAGACAAGAUCUCAUCAUCCUUCAUCCUGGUGUACUCAAAAUCUCGACGCAGACCCUGCAACAUGAUGGAUCUGACUUGCUUAUCACCAUGAAACUCCUGAUGCAAGAUAUCCCAAACACCUUUUGAGGUUUCUUCAUUUGAGAUUCUGGGAAAGAUGUCAUCUGAAACAGCACCUUGGAUAAUACCAAGAGCCUUAGCAUCUUUCAUCAACAAGGACACCAUCUCUGAAUCUGAUGACCCUUCUUUAUCAGCUUUUGAAUCUGGAACUUGAAGGCCUUUCUCAACCAAAUUCCAGAUUCCAUGAGAUUUGAAAAUUGUUCUCAUUCGAAUCUUCCAAAACUCAUAGUUCUCCCCAUUGAAUAUUGGAGCUCUAAGAUCACUCCCUCCUGACCCAGCCAUCUGAGACCAGACUCAAUGAGUUGAGAGUAGGAAAUUUCCCGUUGGAUUUCCAGACUCAGCUCCCACAGCUUCAACGCCCUCUAUCCAGAUCCAACCUGCGCACCUGAUACCAUGUUGAAUAUUUGGAUUGCAAAGGGAGCAAGAAAUGUACUGAGAGAGAGAGAGAGAGAGAGAGAGAGAGAGAGAGAGCAGUGAGCCUUAGAUUGUUCUAACAGUUUUCUUACUCUGCAUGAACAUAGCAGCAGAGCUUAUAUUCCUUCAUGACUGUUACAUGUUCUCUCUUACAUCAGUAGAUUCAAAUCUAACGGUUUGUAAUAGUAAGCCAAUGUGAGUAUGACACAUGGCAAUACACAGCUGUCCUAACAGCUGGGAAUUCAAAACAGACUCUAGCAUUGCACCUGGCAUAUAAGCACAAGGCACUCAGCUAACACAAAGAUUAAAAACAGAUUGAAUAUAAACUGACAUAGAACUUACUAACUAAUCUGAAAUUAGCUAGACAGUUCACAUUUUAACAUUCUUAUGGUCGGCAGGGACAAGAAUUCCAGGGCUGCUCAACUUGAAUACACCUGAUGAACCAGUGAGGGGUGUGUUUCUUUUAGUCUGCACUAUAUAUGCAGGGUCUGACUCUAAUUAGAAGAUAAUUGUAUUAAUUUGGUAAAGCUUUGUCUGUAACUGUCUCGCACCUUAAAAAAAUUUCACAAUUAGCAGCAUUGGCAAUACUUGAUUAGAAAGCAGAAACCCUACAGUAUAUAGUUAAGUUGAGUAGCUGGGAAGACAAUUAGUAAGCUUUCAAUACUAAAGUUGAAUAUUGGGGAGACAAAUUACUAGAGCUUCAAGUUCAGAUAAAUAGGAUGAAUUUCUCUUAAGGGAUCCCCUUUCACUGUAGCUUGGAGUAGAAUUCAUUUUGACACAAUAUCAAUUAUCAAUGUAAACACGUUACUGAUGCACUAUUGACAAUAUCGAUGCACGUCAUAUCAUAUUUGUGGGAGUAAAUUUCCUCACGAGAAUAUUUGGUUCAAAAGAUUCCCCUUUUUUUUUUUUUUGCCGCCUCUUUCUCCUUGCAAAAUAGAACAAAUAAGAGGACCACACCCGGGGGGUGUUGGCCAAAGGCCCUCCGAUGCUAAAUUAGUUCAAGUAUUUGUAAGAAAAAUACUAGCUAACUAGGGUACAGAGGUGUAUUUAAGGUGUAAACCGGGCAGCCGAAGUCUUAUGUAAAAGAGAGAGAGAAAGGAGGUGGCUAGCGUUUGAGAGGAAUUUUCUGCAGAGUUUUUAGUAGAGAUUUCAGACGUACCUCAACCAUUGUGUGUGGCCAUCUUUUUAUAGUGGUCUUGGAGGCUAGGGUUUCAGAGGAAUAAUUCCGUAGAUGGAAAGGAAUUAUUCCUCCCCUAUUUGGAAUUGAUUUGAUUAAUUAGGGAUUUGAUUUAUUAGGGUAAAUCAAAUCCCUAAUUGUGGUAGGUAUCAAAUCAAAUCCUUUUUUAAUUAGGUAACUCCUCAUUUAAUUGGGAAUUGUGGUAGGAAUCAAAUCAAUUCUCAACCUAAUUAGGUAACGUUCAAUUUAAUUGGGUAAUUCCCAAUUAAAUUGAGUAACUCCCAAUUAGGUUGAUUAAUUCCCAAUUAGAUCAAAUAAUCCCCUAAUUGAAGGAAUUAUUUGACCUAGGGUCUGAUUUAAUUCGAUUCCCACAAAUGCCCCCCAGCUUCUGCAUGGUGCAUGGUGGCACGUAGGAGAUGUAAAUUAUCUGUUGGGCUGUCCAGCUGUAACUGGGCUUCCUUCGUGGACCUGGGCUCCCGAGUAGAGGAGGUGUUUGACUUGCCAAUUUUAUGAACACCCAAUUGGAAAGGGUUUGAGAUUCCUUGUAGGUCAAGGAAUUUUGCUCCUUAUAAAUGUAGGGCUCCUCCAAAUUAUUCUCGACAUCAGAAAUCUACUCCUCCAAAUUUGUUAGUGAGAGAGAGAAGACUUUGGAGAAUUUUUCAGCGUGCUUGAGACUUCAUCUUUGCAGCCCAUCCAAGGUAAUUUGAUAGGAAGAAUUUUAUUUUGAGUUGCUAUGACUUUUGGCAGCAAGCUGUGAGACUAAGGGCAUGUCUUGAGGUGCGCGCUAGGGCUUUAGGCAUGGCAAGAGACUCGGAAAGGCUAGCAGGUUCGUUUCCACCUACGCUGGGCUCAAGGAGAAGGCAACAGGGCUUCAGGCCUUGUGGAUGAAGUGGGCUUUCGCUGGGAGCAAGAGGCCUGGAGCUGAGGCAAGGAGACAAUGGGCCUGGUACGAGGUGUGGGCUGAGCAUGCCAGCUUUGGAGCAAGGGGGCCAGGACGACUGCUGGGCAGGAGGUGCGCUGGGCUGCAUGCGCGAGCUGCGCCGAGUGCUGGCUGGAGGAGCGAGCUGGGCUGCGCGCUAGGCCAUUCAUGCUGGGCUACUUCCGUUUUUUUUUUGUUUUUUUUUAAAUUUUAUUUGCUGUUGCUGCUUUUUUUUUUGUUUUUUUGUUUUUUUUUUGUUUGGUAUUCUAACUCGUAAUUUUUUUUUUCUUCUUACAGCUACUUGUUGAUCAACCAUGUCUUCCGGAGAUGGUAGCAAGGCUCCAAGCUCUUAGGUCCUUUUGUAUUUAUGGGGAGGCUCCAUAGUGCAUGGCAAGAAGUUUGUGGUCAACUUGCAUCGCGUCACGACUUAUGCUCAGUUCCAGAAGUGGCGGGCCACUUAUGCGUCUGCCAUUCCAGAUGACGUGCUGGUCAAGCUAUUGAAAUCUCAAACUGAUAACGAGCCUUUGGUGGACGUGAGUGAUCAUGAUGCUAGGAUCAUUACCUUCCGUCCUUUUUACUUCUCUUUAGGCUUCAAAUUCCCGUUGUCAAAGCUCUUCAAGAAGGUGUUCUGUGCCAUGGGGUGUGCUCCGAGCCACUGUACUCAUGUGCUUCAAGAAUUUGAGUCGUUUCUUCAUGUUGGAGCUGACGAUGCGAGAGUUCUUUUAUUUUUUUCGAAGUGAGGCACUUUGAGCGGUACGCCCAAGUUCGUAUCUACAAGGCCAAGCUGUUCCACGGUCUCAGUCAAGGAGAUCACGCUUGACAUGAAGAUGUGUUGGAGGUCAGCAGACGGUGGGAGGGUGACGUCGGUGACGGCCCACCUGUUCCCAUCACCUAUUGUGAUGGUAUGUCUCUUUACGAUUUUUGAUAUGCUCCUUUUAUUUGAAUUUCUUGAAGUGUGGCAGACUAACUUCUAUCUUCUGCUCGUAGUGAGUGACAUUAGCAAGCAAUUGGAGCUCCGACCAGACAUGGCUAAGGUCCGUCGUGCUUUGAACAUCCCUCUAAGGUUUCACGAGUGGCGCUGGCUGUUGAGUGAGUACCGGGAGGAAGACGGUGGUUUUCUCCUUGCCGAGGAUGUCGAAAGGUGGAAGCAGAACGAUCCUGACCCUGAUGAUCUGCUUGGCAGACAGGAAGAAUGUUCUGCUUAAUCGCUCUUAAAGAGAAAGGCUGCUGCCAAAUCUUUGAGAUGUGAAGCUACUUCUUCGCAUGCAAAGGAUGGGUCUCCAUCGAGGAAGAAACCAAGGCUCCCUUCUGCUGAGAAGACUCAAGUGGGGUCUGCUCCCUCAUCAUCUGCCAGGGUUAAGCAUCUCGUGGGUGCAGAUAGCAAGAAGGUUGGUGGUAUGCAUGGUACUCGGGGUGUUCUGCCCAAGCUUCCUGCUGACACGCUCGAAAACCAUGAUAUACUUCGUGAAGUGGCUCGUGCCCAACCUAGUUCUGCCAAGCGUCAAAGAGAUGUAGACAUUCCUCCUAGAAGUUCGAGUUGUCUGCAUCGGUCAAAAGAUGGAGACCGAAGCGGGAGGUCUGCUUAUGAUCCAGCAUUAUUGACUCAUUUGGAGAUGAGGUUGGCGAAGGCUAAGAAGGUGAAAGAGUCAUCUGCCCGGGUUAAGGGUUCUUCCUCGGCGUUGGUAGUUGGUCCCAAGAUGAACAAGUCUAGCUCUGUAGGGGAUGCAUGCGUAUCUGAUCUGCUCAAGAUGAACUUCCUAUCAAACCCGUCCUCUUGUGUUGAGUUGGUUGAUCACAUCCCUCAAGCGGGCGAUCUAGGCACUUUCUCGUGCCUUUCCUUAGAAAAAUGAAGGAAAAUGACAUUCCAUCUGAUUCAAAAAGGACUGGUUUUUGCUACUGAGACUAUUUGGAACUCAUCUGCUAUUGCCCCUCUUCUGUCCAACUCAGCGAGUUGGAGAAGAAGAAUGCUGAUUGGCUAGACAGCUUUCCGCCGAGCAGGCCCGUUACGAGAAGAAGAUGUCUGAUUUGAGGGCGAUGAUAUCUGAGCUGAAAAGCUCCCUUACCGAGAAGGAUUUCGAGCUCAACUCUUCUGCUGCUGAUUUGGCUAGUCGAAAAGAUACCUUCUUUCGUCUUGAGCAUAAGAAUGCUGACAUCUUCCUUAGCUAUAACAAACUCCUGGCUAGAUUUCAUGCCUACCAUAAGUCUGCUAAAGAAUCCAAGACAGAUGGAGCUGCUGAAGGCGUAGCCGGUCAGGUGGAUGCCGAAGAGGCUGCAGCUUAAAAGUCUUCUGCUGGCGUCUCAGAGUAGAUGAAGACUCUUUUUUGUUUCUUUUCAGCUUUUGUAGUUUGCUUUAUUGUUUAGAAUAACUGGUCUUAUUUGACCAUCUUCUUUUUGUUGAACUUGGCUGGUUGGUCUGUUUGUUAGGGAAAUUUCAGUUACAUUUUCCAACUUCAAUUUGCAUAUUUGACUUGUGAACUGCUUAAGUAACCAGCCUGUGUUUUGAUUGCACAUCCCCCUUUAGAGAUUUGUGAGUACCAGGGUCCCCCUUGGAGGACUCCGGCCAUGCACAGUAUAUCUCGUAGGAUGGUUCCCCUUAGGAAGUUGGCGAGUACCAGGGUCCUCUUUGAGAGACUCCGGGUGUGUUCUGCACAUCCCGUAUGAUGCCUUAAUCGUCGCCUUGCUUCUCCCGUAGGACGCUGCUUAUAGGCAACUAUAUGACUAUCCUGCCUUUCUUAGGAAACGGAUAGGAACCUGGAUAUUUCCCGCAUGAAGCAUGGAGACCUCCUUUUAAGAAAUUUUUGGUGCACCAUGCUUCUCCCUUAGGACGCUUUUUUCGCAGGCUGGGUCUCCAAAUGGACGCUUUUAGUCGUUGCCCUGCGUCUCCCUUAGGACGCUCCUUAUGGGCAACUGUGUGACUAUCCUGCCUCCCUUAGGAAAUGGAUAAGACUUGAAUAUUUCCCGCAGUAAGCAUGGCGACCCCCUUUUAAGAAACUCCUGGCGUACCCUGCAUCUCCCUUAGGAUGCUUUUUAAGAGGGCUGCUUCUCCAAACGGACGCUUUUAGUCGUUGCCUAUGUCUCCCCUAGGAUGCUCCUUAUGGGCAACUGUGUGACUAUCCUGCCUCCCUUAGGAAACAGAUAGGAAACUAGAUAUCUCCCUUAGGAAAUUCCUAGCGCACCUUGCGUCUCCCGAAGGACGCUUUUUUAGCUGGCUACGUCCCGAAACGGACACUUUUAGUCGUCGCCCUGCGUCUCCCUUAGAAUGCGCCUUAUAGGCAACUGUGUGACUAUCCUGCCUCCCUUAGGAAACGGAUAGGAACCUGGAUAUCUCUCUUAGGAAAUUCCUGGGGCACCUUGCGUCUCCCGAAGGACGCUGCUUAUGGGAAAAUAUUGUGUUUCGUGGGCAGAUGAGACAUUUUGGAAUGAGAAACUGAACUUAUAUUGAUAUUCAUAAGAUUACAGUCCUUUAUUUGAAAAUGGAAAUAACUUGGUUCAAAAACUUAGAACUUCUAGCAGCUACGAGGAAGCACUAUGGAUAAUACUUUCGGAGAUGGUGAGCAUUCCAUUGUCGUGGUAUUUCCUUCCUAUCCAUGGUGUCCAGUGUGUUGCUUCCUCUGCCCCGGACCUGCUGAUCACAUAAACGCCCUCCCAGUUAGGAUUCACUUUUUUUGACCCGUGUCUUGGUGCAGUAAUGAAAGCCUUAGCACGAGGUCGCCUGGUUGAAACUGUUUGACCUUAGCUCUUUUGUCGUAGUAAGACUUCAACUGCUAGUGAUAGGAGGCGACCCGAAUAAUGGUCUUCUCACGCCUGCCCUCAAGUAAGUUGAGGUUGAGCCUCAUCUGCUCGGAGUUCUGAUCAACACUGCCUACCUUAAGACUUAUAGAGAGGACAGUGAUGUGAGGUGGUAUGAUCACUUCUGUUCCAUAGGCGAGAGAGAAUGGGGUUUCACCAGUCGAUCUUCGCUUGGUGGUGUGAUAAACCCAUGGUACUCUGGGGAGUUCAUCCACUCAUUUCCCUUCAGCGCCUUCCAGCCUUUUCUUUAAGCAGUCCAAUAUGACUUUGUUGGAUGCCUUGGCUUGUCCAUUUCCUUGUGGAUACCUCGGGGUGGACAAGUGUUGUUUGAUCUUGUAUUUCACAAAAAAAGCGGUGAUCUGCUUGCCAAUGAACUGUGAGCCAUUGUCGGUAACCAACGACUGUGGGCAGCCAAACCGGCAUAUGAUGUUUCUCCAGAUGAAUCACUCCACAUCGGCUUCUUUAGUAAAUGAUAGAGCUUCGGCCUCGAUUCAUUUAGUAAAGUAGUCGGUGGGGACGAUCAUCAUUUCUUUCUUGGCGGGCGCUAGUGGCAAGGGAUCCACUAGGUCGAUGGCCCAUUGCAUGAACAGCCAUGGACUGUUUUGCGGAUGAUAGACUUCGGCAGGCAAGUUAGGGAUCGGCUUGUAUUGCUGACAGCGUCACAUUUCUUGGCACAUUCAGCACAGUCGUGACGUAUGGUAGGCCAGAAGUAGCCUAUGUUUAGAACUUUCUGGGCGAGUGACCUGCCCCAGAAUGGUUGCCAUACUCGUCGUCGUGAAUUUUACAGAUAAUCUCAAGUGUUUGAUGGUACUUUAUGCAGGUGAGAUGAAGGCCGGAGUAUGAUCUGUGGAUGAGCUUGUUGCCGUGCAUGUAGUAUCUCUCGGCCUUUUGCUGGACUUUUCUAGCUUCGGACUUGUCCGUUGGCAGGUUUCCAUUCGUGAAAUAGUCGAUGAUGAGGUCUUGCUAGCUGGGGUCCUCGUCAAUCUGCAUGGUAUUAAUCGGCUCUAUUUCUUCAAUGCUUGGUCGGUCAAGGUGUUCGACCUAGAUGGAGUGUUUGAACUGGGUAUCCAGCGUUGAACCUUGGCUUGCCAGUGCGUCUGCAUGCGCGUUCUUUGCCCGGGACACUUGUUGGAUAGUGAAGGUAGGAAAUGCCUUCAACAGCUCUUGGACUCUAUCAAGGUAUAAGAUCAUCCUUGGGUGCUUUGCCAUAUAUUCACCUGAGGCUUGAUUCGUGAUCAACUGUGAGUUUGAGUAGAUGGCUAGCUUUUUGAUUGCGAGCUCCUUUGCCAAGCGUAAGUCGGCGAGUAAUGCCUCGUAUUCUACCUCGUUGUUCGAGACCGAGAAGCCAAGCGUAAUAGCUUGCUCUAACAGGGUUCUAUCCAGGGUGGUGAUAACGACCCCUGCUCCAGCUCCUUUUUGGUUCGACGCUCCGUCUACACGCAACUGCCACAUGUCUCUGGGAUGGCUUGGUUCUGCGGAGGUCCUGUCUGCUUUUGAACUUCCCUCCUUUUGGUUGACUAACUUCUCUUUUUUGGCUGAUGGGGUGAAUUCUGCGACGAAGUAUGCUAAAGCCUGGGCUUUUAUUGCAGUUUUUGGCCCGUAGAGGAGGUCAUAUUGGCUUAGCUCUAUAGCCCACUUCAUGAGUCGCUGAGAAGCAUCAGGGCUGUGGAGGAUUGAUCUCAAAAGAAAGUCAGUCAUGACUAUGACUCGAUGAGCUUAGUAGUAGGGUCGCAGCUUUCUCGCAGAAACUACAAGAGCCAAAAUAAGUUUCUCCAAUUUCGGGUAACGAGUCUCUGCAUCGAGGAGAGCUUUUGACGUGUAGAAUACCGGAUAUUGGGCCCCUAUCUCUUCUCGGAUGAGAGCUGAACUGACAGCUGAGUUGGACUUACCUCACUAGGGACUGGAUUUGAGAGCAUGGAAGGUGAGGUGAGGUAAGUCUUCAGAUUAUGGAAAGCUACUUUGCAGUCCUCAUCCCAUUUCUCUCUUUGUCCUUUCUUCAAAGCUUUGAAGAGUGGUCUGCACUUGUCGGUUGAUCUCGAGAGGAAUCGGUUGAGAACCGCUGCUUUGUCCGUCAGACUUUAUAUCUCUUUCACCGUGGAAGGCGACUUCAUCUCUAGAAUGGCUUUGAUUUGACGUGGAUGUGCCUCGACACCUCGUUGCGUGGCUAGGUAUCCCAAGAAUCGGCCGGAGGAUACACCAAACAGGCAUUUACUUGGAUUCAACUUCAUGCGAUACUGGCGGAGCAAGCUGAAUGAUUGGGUAAGACUUCCGAUGUGAUCUGCACGUUUUGGGGCUUUGACCAGCAUGUCAUCCACGUAGACCUUCAUAGUUUUGCCGAUCUGCUUAUUGAAGAUUUUAUUCCCGAGCCUUUGAUAGGUUGCUUUGGCGUUCUUCAGCCCAAAGGGCAUGACCUUAUAGCAGCAGGUCCCUCUCUCGAUGAUGAAAAAAGUUUUUGCCUUGUCAUCCUCGUGCAUCAGGAUUUGUUUAUAGCUGGACUAGGCGUCCAUGAAGCUAAGCAGUUGAUUGCCAGAAGUGGAAUCCACGAGUUGGUCGAUUCUCGGCAAUGAGAAGUUGUCUUUAGGGCAUGCUUUGUUGAGGUCUGUGUAAUCGACACAAACUCUCCAUUUGCCAUUUUCUUGUUUUGCCACCAAAACAACGUUGGCAAGCCACUCUGAGUAGGAGGCCUCUUCGAUGAAGCCGACAGCUAGGAGUUUGUCAAUCUCGGCCUCGAUGAUAGCAAGUCGCUGGGGUGCGAAGUUGCGUCUCUUCUGCGCCACUGGCUUGCAGGCAGGGUUGAAGUGGAGUCAGUGACAGAUGAUGUUCUUGUCGAUGCCAGACUUGUCUGACGGCAACCAUGCGAACAUGUCUCUGUUGCUCUGGAGGAAGGUGGUAAGCUCCACAUUCUCUUCUGGCCUUAGGCGCGAACCGAUCCACUCUUUCCUAUCUGGUUGGUCAGGAUCCAAGGGUAUUAACUCGACGUCCUCCUUGGGUUUCCAUCCUUCUUCAGGAAAGACCUAUGGACGGAUUUCCUCGACUUGGUCCUGACGCUUUAAUUGCUAUAAGAUAGCAAGAUCCAGUUGCUCAACCUCCUCCAGAUCUGCCUGGCUCACAGGGAGAAACUGCGCUUGUUUACCUUUCUUUAGCCCUUGGGCGGAGCAUUUCCUCGCCAUUGCCUAAUCGUUGUUGAUUUGGCCGACACCGCCCCCAAGGAUUGGGUACCGAAUUUUCUAAUGUGUGGCGGAGGUGAUUGCAUUAAUUUUGCCAAUCGAUGGUCUGCCCAGAAUGCCGUUGUAGGGUAAGACCUUAUUAAUGACCAUGAAGGUUAUGAGCUGAUUAUAAGUGGGGAGUAGACGUCGAGGUCUAUCAUGCCCACGGUAACCGUUGUUGCACCAUUAAAAUCGCUCAGCAACCUAGCUAAUUUGUAAAUCUUUGUCUCCAAUCCCAUCUGUUGAAUGACCUCCAGUUGCAGGAUAUUGGCUGCGCUGCCCUCGUCUGUGUGGAUUCAGUCUACCAUGACCUGAGCAAUUUGAAUGCUGAUGACAAGGGCUUCGUUAUGUGGCAUGUAGAGGCCGAUCAGAUCUUUCUUUUGGAAGCCGAUUACAGGAUCGUCUUCUGCUGGUGGAAGGUCGGUCGAGAUUUGGGAGAUCACAGUGGUCUGUUUGAUCUUCCUCUUUUUUUCCUUUCUGGUCAGCCCAGACUCCUCGGAGUCAGCUAGGAUUGUGUUAAUUCUUAUGACCUUCUGAGGCGGCUCCUUGGCGAUGUCACGAUCUUCUAUCCGCUGGAUGACCUUCUUUGCAAUGAAUUCUGUGCAGUGACCUUCUCUCACGAGUUCUUCAAGAUGUGCUUUCCAAGCGAAGCAGUUGUUCAUAGUGUGUCCGUGCAUUUCAUGGACGGCACAGUAUUUGCUAGUAUUCCUUUUGUCCGGAUCUUCUUUCAAGGGUGGUGGUCUUCUUACCCAAGGUUGUUCUUCACUUGGGCUAAGAUUUGAUGUAUGGAGAUGGUGAACUUGGUGUAGUUCUCUCCUGCCGUAGCAUCCCCUUAUGGGUGCGACCUGCGCUUGUCCUUGUCCCUGUUGCUAAAUCCGUCGCUUCUUUGGCCUGCCCCCUUAGUCGGCUGAUCUUCCUGCUUAGUAGAGUUCUUUGCGGCGAUUCGAUCGUCAUCCCAAAGCGCAUAGCUUUCCGCGGUCUCGUAGACCUCUGCCAAAGUUUGGCUGGGAGUGAUGGUCAGCUCGUGGUACAAGUCGUGCUCAGUCGAAAGGUCUUUCUUGAAAGCAGAGGACGCAAUUUGGUCAUCACAUCCUACAAUGUUGGCCUUUUCUACUUUGAAUCUCUUGAUGUAAUCUCUAAAGGAUUCGUCGAACUUCUUGCGCAGGUUAUACAGGUGGUCAGGGUUCUUCUUGAUUGUUCGGUAAGAGGUGUAUUCUUUGGUGAAUAAGUAAGUCAGCUCCUUGAAGCUGCUGAUCGACCUGGAUGGCAGAGUAUGGAACGAGUCUUGGGCUUCCUCACAAGGUCAUUGCAAACACCUUGCACAUCAGCGCGUCGUCAACCUUGUGGAGGAUCAUGACACUUUUGAAGUGUUUUAGAUGGCUCUCAGGAUCGGAAUCCCCCUUGAAGUGUGUGAAUGUGGGCGUUGAGAAUCGCUUCAGGAGAGCAGCCUGCUCGAUUUUGGCAGUGAAAGGUGUAGAGUAUGCCUGGUCUACCUCAUUUCGUACAUCUUCGAAAUUUCCACCGGUCUUCAAGUCUCGAAGUUGGUCAUUCACAAGCUUCUCUACGUCUUCCGCACACAUUGCUUGUCGGCCACAUUGGCGACCUUCACGAAUUGUUCGAUGCUGACUGACUUCCUCGUUGAUUUCCGAGGAUCGACCUUCUUGUCUGCAUUGCCUAGGUGGAGUGUUGGUGGAUUGCGCCUACGAAAGAUUCUCUGUGGCUUGUCAAUGAGAAUCGGUUCUUCGAGAGUGAGUAACGAAGUGCCUUUCCUCAUGGUCCUUAUUGUGAGGGUUAUCCAGCUGACCUCCCUGGGGCCUAGCCUUUCCUGAAUGCUUCUCUGCGAGUAGACAGUUGAAUGCUUUUCUUCACGAUCCUCGUUGUGAUGGUUGUUUGGCUGACCUCCUUAGGGUCUUAGCCUUUGAUGUACAUUUCCCUGCCUGCCCAAGUAGGUGCGGACGUCGAGUCGUGGGCCCAGCCUUUCGUGCACGUCGUUCCUUAAACUCAAUCUGCUCUGAGUGUGGCUUGCAGAUGCUUGCGACAUGUCGGCAGGUCGAUCACGUUGUUGUCCCUCGACUUGUCUGCCCACUCUUGCUUGACCUGCUUGGUACUCGUUGAGCUGUCUACCGGCCCGUUCAUCCUUCCUUCUUUCCUCGCCUGGUUGUCCAAGGCCAAGGUUUUGAGCAAAGCUUAUUUGGUUGAGGAGCUGCCUCAUUAGAUUGUUUUGGUCGUCCAUUCUUUAAGCUAGCUGGUCAACUCUCAGAUUAAGGUCUGCUUGAUUUCAUGGAUCAGGAGGAGAGAAGUGUGUGGAGCUCAACUGCACAUAGGCUAGGGUUUCAUUAGAGGUGUAUGCGGGAGCGUGUGUCGAGCGUGGAGGCAAUAGAGGGAAUGCUUGGAGUUGCUCCAAGACCGGCCCUAGGUCGGCGGUGGUAACGAGUCCACCUUGAUGGGAAGUUCCACCAUGUUUGGCGGCAGUGACCGAUGCAGUGGUGAGAGGUGGUGGUGCCACCAUGUCGAUCGCGGGAUCGUUGGUGGAGUGGCUUUGGGCCGUCGCAAAUCUAGCCAUCAUGGCGGCUUUGCCUCUCGUGUUCAUGCUUCCAACCAUGGUUGUUUGGAAGGCUUAGGUGGAUUGGAAAAUUAGAGGAACGGAUUCCUUGAGCACGCAUUGAGUAUAACUCGUGCUCUCAAUGAAAGCACCAAUUUGUGGGAGCAAAUUUCCCCACGAGAAUAUUCGGUUCGAAAGAUUCCCCUUUCUUAUUCGCCGCCUCUUUCUCCUCGCAAAAUAGAACAAAUAAGAGGACCACACCCGAGGGGUGUUGGCCAAAGGCCCUCCGAUGCCUAAAUUAGUUCAAGUAUUUGUAAGAAAAACACUAGCUAACUAGGGUAUGGAGAUGUGUUUAAGGUGUAAACCGGGCGGCCGGAACCUUAUGUAAAAGAGAGAGAGAAAUGAGGUGGCUAGGGUUUGAGAGGAAUUUUCUGCAGAGUUUUUAGUAGAGAUUUCAGACGUACCUCAACCAUUGUGUGUGGCCAUCUUUUUAUAGUGGUCUUGGAGGCUAGAGUUUCAGAGAAAUAAUUUCGUAGAUGGAAAGGAAUUAUUCCUCCCCUAUUUAGAAUUGAUUUGAUUAAUUACGGAUUUGAUUUAUUAGGGUAAAUCAAAUCCCUAAUUGUGGUAAGUAUCAAAUCAAAUCCUUUUUUAAUUAGGUAACUGCUCAUUUAAUUGACAAUUGUGGUAGGAAUCAAAUCAAUUCUCAACCUAAUUGGUAACGUUCAAUUUAAUUGGGUAAUUCCCAAUUAAAUUGAGUAACUCCCAAUUAGGUUGAUUAAUUCACACUUAGAUCAAAUAAUCCCCAAAUGGAAAGAAUUAUUUGACCUAAGGUAUGAUUUAAUUCGAUUCCCACAAUAUUUAGAUGCAUAAUUGAAUGCGAAUAAACAUCACUCUCUCCAGUGUGAAAUGGCGAAAAUUCUCUUCAAUCAAAAGUGGGCUUACUUCAAAUUUAGUUGAAGAAUGAUGGUGUGUCUUGCCUGACAAUUGACAAUUAGGUUUAGGAGCGUUCCUCUAGUAGAAAAAUCUAAAUCAUUUGUGGUCAUCCACUCACUUGGUUAGUCUUCCAGAAUCAAAUACCAAAUCAACCCAAAGGAAGCUGCAAUUUUCUGAAUUGUAUACUUGUUUUAAUUCUUCCUAUCUUUUUCUCUCUUUCAUUUUUUUUGUCUCCCUCAAGUUAAUACUUAAGUGAGUUGCCAAAUGGGGGUAAAAAAGAGAGUAGAAGAGAUGAACCCCACAUUUGACUUUAAUAGACAAAUGCCCAAGAGAAGUACCAGUAAGAGCAUCUCCAAUUGGGAGGUGCUAUCCUAUAAUUUGACACACAUUUCUUUUUUCUUUUUUUUCAAUUCUAACAACAUGUCAUCUAUAUCGCAAUAGGCCGUUGUAGUUAAAUUUUCAAAUAACCAAGUUGCUCUCUAUUUUCCAAAGAAGACUAGAAAACAACUUACCAUCUAUCUGGUGCUGCUUCUUCCAAACAUUAGAAAAAACAGAGCUACACCCAGGAGGAGCCCAGGAGAUGACACAAUACUGCCUACUAUGAUUCUUACUUUCUUCACAUUCAAUGAGACUAUAAAAUAUAACCCAAGUGGUCUAACCCCCCAGGGCGGAAAUUGGGUUUAGCAAGUUUAGCACUGAUUGUUGUAUAGUCUUAAACAGUCCUGAUCUCUUGGACCCCUGUAGUCCAAGAGAUUUAUGGUCACCCACCGUUGGAUGUAAAUUCAACGGUUGACUUGAAUCGGGUAAUAAUAAUUUAUGUCAUAUUGCAUUUAUAUAUAUCAUUUUGAACCAUUGGAUUAAUAUCCAACGGUGGGUGACCACAAUCUCUUGGACUCCUGUGGUCCAAGAGAUCGGGACUGUAGUCUUAAAAUAAGUAGUUUAGCGAGUGCAAACUUCGACUUAAAAAAACUCUCAUGUAUAGCCGCGCGGCUAUACUAUUUACAUAUAAAUAUAUAAAAAAGCACCCCCUAGUCACGUGUCACAAAUAGUAUAGUCGAAAACAGUAGAGCCGCGCGGCUAUACUGUUUUUAAAAUAAAAAAAACCAUAUUCGAUUCUCCUUAUAUUUAAAAGGGGUAUAGCCGCAUGGCGAUACUAAUUUUUUUUUUUCAAAAAAAGGGACCCCAGUACUCCUUUUAUAUAUUAUAAUAUAUUGUCUAAUAUUUGGAAUAUUUACUCUAAAAUAAACAAUAUAUUAGGUUCUUUUUGUCUACAAAUUGACCAUUAAACUUCUUAAUCACUCUUAUACUUUCAAUUAAAUCUACUAGGCUAGGUUAUGAUAUUUUCACUAAAAAACUCCUCCUUUUUUUCUUCUCUUUCUCUUCCUGUUUUGUUUAACUUAAGCUUAAGUUUUGUAAUUUUUUUUCCCGCCCUUUUUACAUGUUUGAGUAGGGUACUUUAAUAUUGGGAUUUAUGAACUUUUUUUGUAUUUCUUCUUUAUAUUGGAAUAUAAAUUAUUAACUUUUGAGUCUUUAAUAGUGUAGAUGAUGAGAUUAUUAUUCAACCAUUUUAUAAUAUGAAAUGAAGGACAAUCAUGAUUGUGAUGAAUGGAUUAUUAAUCAAUAUGAAAUGAUAUUAUGAAGUGGGCUAAAUCGAGUAGUUAGUAUCGUAUUGUUGAGACCCAAAAAAUCCAAGGCUAGGCCCAAAUAUAUUAUGAAGUGGGCUAAAUCGAGUAGUUAGUAUCGUAUUGUUGAGACCCAAAAAAUUCAAGGCUAGGCCCAAAUAUAUUUCCGGUCCAAUGCGAUACCUUACCGAGAAGAAACCUUAUUUGGGCACGCGAAAGUUCGUCAUAUGCUCUUGCACACAUGCCAUGCCAAGCAAAUAAGCAACAUGCCACGCUACAAGCUUAAGUGGGCCCAAGCCACGUGAAUGCCUAGGGCCUGCUGAGUGGGUUGUGGUAUGGAUGGUUAUGAGUAUUCACGAGGCCCAUUGAUGGUCUAAGGAGUGGAAGUUUUGGGCUACUUGGGAGCACCAAAACUCAAGCCCAUUCAUUGAGCCCAAACAUAUGGGUAAGCAUGAGAUAAAACCUAGUAGCCCAUCACCUUAAGAAAUCCUAAUAGCCCAUAACAUGUGAGAAAAUCCCACAUCAACCAAAGCUUCCAGCAGUCUGACGAAAUCAAAGGGAACUCACAAGCCGUUGGAAACAAAACAACCCAACACUGUAACACCCCGACCCCAAAUUUCCCCAAAUUUAACCCUUAUUUAAUUAUUUAAGGGUAUUUUAGUCAUAUUUUUAACCGGAGAGAGUUUGGGGCAAUGACUAGUAUUUUUGGAUAGGUCGUACUGAGACGAGUUUAUGGACACGCAGUGAGCUCGAAUCGGAGUUGUAACGAGAGAGAUAUGGUCAAAAGAAGCCCAGUGGCACAAUCGUAAAUAUUUUGAAAUGAGAUUUUUUAUAAAAAUCUGGUUUUCUCUCUCUCUCUCUCUCUCUCUCUCUCUCUCUCUCUCUCUCUCUCUCUCUCGCUAGCGACCUCUCUCUCUCUCCCCCGUCGGUCUCUCCCCUCUUUCUCCUCGUAACUCCGGCCACCGGCCCCGGCUGUGGACGGGGCCGGUACCAAAAUGACCGAGGCGUCGUCCUCUUCCUACCCCAGCCACCUCCCACCGCCAGCCGUCGCGGAUUCGCCGGAAUCUGGAGAUGAAGCGGCCUACGUCGUCCAAAUUUCAAAGCUGCCGAUCUCCCUCCUCCGGCCACCAAUUCCGUCGACCCAGGUAUGGAUUUUGAACUUCUCGAGCUGCUCUAGCUGAUGGUUGGGUAGGAUUAGAUCGAUUCUUAGCUUAGACAACUCGAUUUUCAAAUUGAAAAUCGGCCGAACUUCGGCUGCCGUGAUCGGCCAUUUCCGGCCACUUUUUGGGGUAGGUCCAAGAACAAAAGUGGCUCCAAAUAGGGUGUUAUACCUAGGGUAGGAGUUUGGAGCCGUGGUUUUGAGAUUUUCCGGCGAAGCGUUAUCGCUUUGGGCACCCACGCGCUGCCGGUGCGUGCGGCGGCGCGUGGGCACUGUAGAAAAAGUAGCACUGUGUUCCGAUGAGAUCCUUAGGUUGUCACGAGUGCGUAGGAUUUUGCGGAUCUCAAUUCGGACGUCGUUUGACUAUCGAACGGAUAUUCGCAUAUUGCGCGUUAUUCGGGUUCGAUAGGUUGGGACCGUUGGAUGGACCCAAAUUUAAUAUAUGUUAAUCUAAUUAAUUCUAGGAUCGUGUAGGAAUUCACGGAUUGUGAAUCGGAGCCCCGGAUGUUCCGAAUAAUAAUUUUAAAGUUUGUAUUUUAUAUUAAUUGUCAGAUCGUGCGAUCGUGAGCAAUCUGACCGUUCGAUCUGAACCAAACUUGCAGGACAAGUGUCCUAUACCUUGUAGAACCCAUAGGGACCUUCGGAUCGGAAAUUGGAGGUCGUGGGUUCCGCAAGUCGGUUUGACCAGGGUUAGAGAAGUUUGACCCUUGGUUGACCGUGAGUCUCCCGGAGUAAUCUCACCUUUCUAGGGGAGAUUAUCGGGUACUAGAUGAUUGUGGACACAAUAUUAGAAUUAAUUUAUAUAAUUAUAAUUAUAUAUGGUUGUACAAGGGUACAACAGAGUCUAGAAUGUCAGUUUGGAGUGCUAUACGCACUACUUUAGGUACCUCCCCGGAUGUUGGGAUUUACUACAAGUACCACCAAGUGAAAUUGAGGUCCCGCGUGGCGUAGGUUAUCCAGCGUUGGGAUAGGUCUCAUACGUGGGGUUGGUUGUACCGGCGUAUGGGGAGAUUUGUGAUAUUAUGUUCAGGUCUCACGUGGCGUAGGUUAUCCGGCGUUGAGACAGGCCCCAUACGUGGUGUUGGUUGUACCAGCGUAUGGGGAGCUAUGUGAUAUUGUGUUGAGGUCGCACGUGGCGUAGGUUAUCGGGCGUGUCGACAGACCCCAUACGUGGCGUUGGUUGUACCGGCGUAUGGGGAGAUUUGUGAUAUGAAAUUGAGGUCCCACGUGGCGUAGGUUAUCCGGCGUUGGGACAGGCCCCAUACGUGGCGUUGGUUGUACCGGCGUAUGGGGAAAUAUGUGAUAUGAUGGCAUGGUCGCACGUGGCAUAGGUUAUUCGGCUUGUUGACAGGCCCCAUACGUGGCGUUGGUUGUACCGGCGUAUGGGGAGAUUAUUUGAAAUGCAGAGAAACGAAAUAUGGUAUCGCCCAAAUGUGGAAUUGGGUUUUAGGGAAGAACUACGUGUGGCUUGAUCCCUCAAGGAGGGUACGUAGGCAGCCUAAGGUUAAUAGGUGCAGCCGCAGACUAAAUGUUAGUCAUAAUUGAUAUUUGAAUUGUUUGGUAGUUGGUUAAGAAUUAUUGGAAGGCCGAAGGCCAUUUGUGUGAAUUGCAUGAAAUUAUAUUGUGCAUGCUGCCAGUUGGGAAUAUUAAAUGCGUUUUUAUGCAGGUAUAAAUUUUAGGAAAUGUCCAAUUUAUAGGGGAGACUCUGCCGAAUUUUCGGCAGGAAGUCUCAGUUUUUAGUAUCUGGGCCUGGCAUCGGGAGGAUGUCGGGAAUUCCAAAGGGUCGUCUCGAGUUCUGAAAAAUUCGGUGCGGGUCCUUUCAAACACCUUAUAAAAUAUCCAACGCCGUGCAUCUCUGUUAAAACCAGAUCACAGCCAAACCACCAAAACCAUGCAAACCCAUAUGCUGAUCACCAUUUUUACUAGCACCCUUACCCAUUCUUUCCUCUUCAAGCUUUGGUGAGAAAACAAGAAACAAAAGUGGGCGGAUCUUCACCCACAUGGAGAAAUCCAGCUGCCUGAGGGCCCUGGAACUCCAAAAAACUUCUUACCUACAUGCUCAGGCUAGGGAAGUUUCACCAAAUAAGCAAGAAUGGAAGAAAGUGAAGGAAAAGGGGAAAGGGUGGCUUGACGAAAUUAAGGUUUUCAGCACUUAUAAAAGGAAACACUUUCUAUCCAGCAAAAACAACUCACCCUGGUUGCUGCAAGCCUCCUAGCAACCAUGAGAAUUCAUUGAAGGCAAGCAUCCCCUUUGGAACCCUUCAAUUUCAUGCUUUGUUCUUCCAUCUUCCUCCUUUCUCUCUCUCUCAAAACCCACAUCCAGAGAGAGCAAGCAUCAUCUCUCAUCUUUGGAACCCUUCGAUUUGAAGCCUUGUUCUUCCAUUGCUUCCCAUUUUCUCUUCUGUCAAAUCACCUAGGAGCUUGACGAAACUUUCGUCAAGCUGCUGGAAAUAUGGUAAAGCCACCCAUGCUUCCAUCUUCUUCCUCUCUUUCCAUAAACACACAUCCAAAGAGCAAGCUUCAUCUCUCAUCCUCUAAACCUCUGCAAUUUCAAGCCUCAUUCCUCUAUCUUCUCCCAUUUUCAGCGGUAGUGAGAAUGAUUUCUGCGUGUGCAUGGGAAGGAUUGUAACUCAGAUGAGGAGGAGAUGGUUUGGAGUGGGGUGAGGCAGUUGGAUAGAGCUCUUGGCCUUUUCAAGUUUGGAUGGGAAAGAGCAGGGAUGAAAGAAGCUUUACAACUGCAAGGGCAUAUAUGGUGCGUAGGGGCUGAAGGCAGAACACUUACAUAUAGAGGAAACACAUUUUUUGUCCAUGGGAUUCAUGUUUGACAAACACUUGUCUUAGACUAUGAGUUCAAAUUUCAAAACCUUUUUUUUUUCUUUCUGAAAUCAGGACCAGUGUGGAGAACUAGCAAGGAUUGGAGAAACAGAUUUUUGGGCGUCACUUGACCACAGAUUGUUGAUUGCUCAAAUGUGUAGAAUUGGCCAUCUUAAAUGUCAAAAUGAUUUAUCAAUUGGGGUUUUUUUAGAAACGUUUAUGUUUGUCAAUAGAGACAGAAGUCAGAGAACAUAAACCUUUCUCAGCAAAUUGAAAUUCUCAGUGCAUGCUCUGUUCUUCCAUGGCUUUCAAACCUUCUCUGCCACGGUGAAAUGGAUCGAUAGAGAUAGUUUAGGCCGUUCCAUUUGUUUGAUGAAGCAUUCGUUCUAGGGAUUCUGUAUAUUCAUAACAAAAUCACUAGAAUGAUUCUUAGAAAUUCAUCACUGCUAAAGGCAAUGGGUUCAGCAUAAUAACUUCUUAGUCUUGCUUCUUGGUCCUUUAUUUUCUUUGCAUAAUACUCCAAGUUUACCUGGGUUCUACAGAGAAAAUCUCGUAGAUACCUCUUUUUGUGGUCUUCCAUGGCAUUUAAGUGCUGCUUUCCAUGGUGAAGUGGGCCUAUAGAGACUACCUGAGGUGUGUAGGCUUUGUCAUUUCCACGCCGUAAUCGCUCAGGAACUCUGUAGAUACACCUUCAAGGGGGACAAGGGAGACAAACUAUCCAAUUCCUUGCGCCUUACAAAUAGAUCGCAUGGGUUUUCUAUUUCAUCUGCAGCUUCAUCAAUUCCUUCCAUUUUUCUCCUGAUCAUCAUGCGCGGUGAUUCAAAUAUUUCAUAAUGAACAUUGAAAUGAGAUGCUACAAGCAAACUUAUGAAAAGAAACAGAAAUACCAAAAAGACAAAUCAAUGUAGAUGGUUUAGAAAAUCUAAACAUUGCAAUUAUACUCCUUUGCCCAACUUCUAGGAGCAAACGUACACAAAGACCUUAUUGCUUCCAACUUUUCCAACAGAAUUUCAUAUGAAUUGCUCCAAGUGAAAUCCGUAUGAAAAAUCGGUAGUUGGAUUUUCAUCCUGCUUUAAUAUGAUUAUUUAACUUCUAACAAAAAAACUCUUAUUACUUGAGCAAGUAAAAUACUAUUCCAGGUUUCUCCUAGUUCUAUAUGCGCUUAUAAUUGGUAUACUCUAUAAAUACCAUAAUCUGAAUUUCUCUGUUUUGAUUACUUUAAUUUAUUACUUAUGUUUUAAUUAUUGUUUACUUAGUGAAUUAUUAGUAUUUAAGAGAAGGCCUUCCAUCGAUUAGGCACCACGUGUCUAUAAUAAGUAAAGCCGUCCGGCUAUACUUAAAAAAAAAAAAAAUUGUAGUAUAGCCGACCGGUAUAGCCGCGCGGCUAUACUAUUUAAUACAUUAUAUUUAAACGGUAUAGCCGCGCGGCUAUACUAUUUAAUAAAAUAAAAAACAAAAGAAAAAGAAAAAUUACCCUCCUAUUUCAUUAGUUUGUACUUUAUAGAUACUAGCCCCUUGACACAUGCUCACGCAUGUGCCAAUUGGUUUUCUUUUUCUUUUUUAUUUUUAUUUUUAGAAUUAAGAAAAAAUAACAGGAUAGUUAUGUUCCAUAAAAGUAGGACCUAUUAUCUUAUUUUGUUUUUAAUUUUAAUUUUUUUAAUAUUAAAAAAAUAUGAAUUUACGAUAUUAUCCUCAUUUAAUUAAUAAUUUCAAUUCUUAAUGUUUGAAUUAACAAAGGGCAUUUUCUGGUAUUUUGAAUGUUUCACCAUUCUCUGCCUUUUGCUUUAUAUAUAUAGAUUAAUUUGCCAGUUUCAAGAUAUCCAAAGUACAUAUUAGACUUUCACUAUAUAAAUUUCAAUAUAUAUUUUUUAUAACAUGUGUUGUUCUUAUUCAAUAAUAUGUGAGAAUUAUUUGUAUAAUACGUGAAUUUUGUGUGUCUUACUGAAUUUUUUUAAAUACGUGUAUUAAACGUUACAAAUACGUACAUAUAUGUACAACACGACUAUUGUAAGUUUGCUAUAUAAAAAAAAGUGAGAUGUAUCUAGAACACGAAUGUAUUAUCGAAAAAUAUAUAUGUAUGUAUAUAUAUAUAUAUAUAUGUAAAAGCCUAUAGCCUCUCACCUAUACUAUUUAUUAAAGACAAUUUAAAAAUUACAACAACAAAAAAACCAGUACAGCCACAAAGCUAUACUAUUUUAAAAAAAAAAAAUAGAAAAAAUAUCAAGUACUACACAGGGCAAAGGCCCAGUGUAAAAUAGUAUAGCCGUACGGCUAUACGUUUUUAAGAAGAAUUUAAAAAACUAAGUAUAGCUCACCGACUAUACUAUUUUUUAAUAUAAAAAAACAACCCCAUCCAUUAGGCGCCACGUGUCAACAGAAGUUUAUUUUUAAAAAAAAAAAUUAAAAGACAAGGAGUAUAGCCGGGUGGUUGUACUAUUUUUUUAUUUUAAAAAGAAGACAGUCCAUCGAUUAGGCGCCACGUGUCCAUAAUAAGUACAGCCGCUCGGCUAUAUGUUGGAUAUUUUGAAACUAGCAAAUUAAUAUCAAUAGCCGGUCGUAACCUAUGCUGUCCACGUCACUCAUGUUUUACCAGAGUUAAAGCAUCCACAAUGAGCUCCCCAAACCAUCUCUUUAGACAAAUUUUAGGGAGAAAUUGGAAAAGUACAACUCCAACCAUGCUCCCUAUCCACCAACUAAAAUAGGGAGACCUCUAGGAGCUCCUAAAUCUGAGGAGAGGGAAAGGACUCUUAGUGACUCCCUAUAAUUUAAUGUUGCUUUGUUUUAUGCAUAUUUUAAACUUUUAAUUAAAUCAAAUUAUUAUUUUAUAUUAUUUUGUAUACAGAUGGACCAAUUAUAUUAAAUUAAAAAAUAAUUAAAGUAUUUGUGACUCUCUAAACUAAGGAGUAUGAUUAGAGUUCAAAUUUUAUAAAAAGCUCUUAAAAUAGCUUUUGUGUGUUUUUAGCUAAAUUUUAACUAAAAAAUUUGAAGAUUCUUUAUUUGGGUUUCUUUCAAGACGAAAACCAUAUCCACAACAGACAUCUUUGGCUGUUCAUCACAAUUGAGAGACAAUGAAGAAGACAUAAGGGAGAGGCUGCCAAAUACUUAUCACCUUAGCCACCACCAACACCACAAGACCAAUAUGUGUAGGCCAGGAGGCUUUCCAAUUUUAAUAUAUAUAUAUAUAUAUAUUAAAAAAUAAAAUAAAAAUCAAUCUAUUAUCAUAUAUAUUAUAAAAUAAAGAUUAUUGCUCCAUCCUCCAUGCACUUGCGUGCCCUCUUACAAAGUAUGAAGUAGAUUUUGUUAGCUGGAUUUAUAAGAUCUUUUGUUUUUUGGAAAUUUUCUGAAAUAAGGAAAAUCAAGUAAAAUUAAUAAAGCAUAAAUUGGAAAGGGAAAAUAUCUAGAGGAUGCAUUGUAGGAUUGCUCAAGCCAAUAAUUGUACCCUCUAAAUAUAUAGGGACAUAUUUUUUUUGUUUUCAUGACAUGUCGUCCUAAAAUUAUUGUUCUUAGCGGGCUCUCCACCCCCUCUCGAUUGAAAACCUAUUGUGUAAAUCUUCAAUCCUGAAUUAGAAAAGUACAACUCCAACCAUGCUCCCUAUCCAUCUCCUAAAAUAGGGAUACCUCUAGGAGCUCCUAAAUCUGAGGCGAGAGAAAGGACUCUUAGUGUCUCUUUAUAAUUUAAUGUUGCUUUGUUUUAUGCAUAUUUAAACUUUUAAUUAAAUCAAAUUAUUUUUUUAUAUUAUUUUGUAUACAAAUGGACCAAUUAUAUUGAAUUAAAAAUAAAUUAAAGUAUUUAUGACUCUCUAAACUAGGGAGUAUGAUUGGAGUUCAAAUUUUAUAAAGAGCUCCUAAAAUAGCUUGUGUGUGUAGGGGUCUUUUUCUUCUGGCAACUACAGAUGGGUUGGGCUACCGUAAGGAGCAAACUGAAGAAAAUAUCCCCUGUGUCUGAGUUCAAAGAUUCGGCCCCAAAAUAUUUCGAAAAGGCAGUAAAGCCUUAGGAAACACCUUAGUUACCUUCACCAACGAAAAUGACGGCUGCUUACAGGUAGAUUCUUAGUGCUUACAGAUGAAUUCUUAGCUUAGCAUGAGGAGAUCGUGGCAUGGAAGCAAAGUUAGCAUGAGUUUAGCACUAAAGAGAAAAUUAUGUGUUCUUGGGAGGAAGAAGGGGUGUCCAGGUAAAUGGGAAAAGGUUUUGCAAGUAGAUUUGGCUAAGAGAGAAGGGAGAGAGAGAAGAGGGUGGCUAGAGUGCUUCUUCCGGCAGCUUGACAGUGACUCUGUCAAAUGUUAGAGCAAUCUGCCAUAAGAGGGAAAAUGGGGAAGAAGGAUGAACAGUGCACAAAAUUGCUAGGUUUUUGCAAGUAAGAGAGGAAGCUUGCUCUCUGGAUGUGGAUGAUCCGUUGGGUAGAAGAGGCCCCAUUUUAUAGCCGCUGGAAACUAUCAUUUCUCAAGAAACCCUAAUAGUUUCUACCCAAUUUGGUCAAGCUUUUCCCUUCCUUUCUCAUCUCCUCCCUUGACUUUUCCUAUCUUGGUGAAAUUUCCUCUGUCUAUUUGCACAAAAUCAGGAGCUCAAGGCCUCCCUUUCCCGCAACUGUUCAAUGGGAGACUCCAUUCUUAGCUAUUUUUCUUCUUCUUUCCUUCCUCCUUCCCUGACCAAAUCUGAUGAAGGAAAGCAAAUAGGUGCACACAUUGGUUUGAAGGGUGCUUCUCCUUCUAGCAGCUUACAUGCCAAUAUCCCUUGGGUCCUUGCAUGUUUUUUGCUUUGAAACUUGUUUCUUCCUUCCCGUCAACUCACGUGGUCUUCCAUGCUUCUUCAUGGCUUUAUCUUUCAGCCAAAAGAUGGAGUUUUUACUGCUUGCUACUUUUAAUUGUAUGGGUCUUCUAGGAUAGGAAGUCAACCUACCAAACAAAUGGGCCACCUUUAUCAAAUAUUGGGCUGUUGGGGUUAGUUUUAGUGGGCCAUUUUGACUGGGCUUUUUGGUUGGGUUAUUUAAGUUAUUUUCCCUUUUGUGCUCACCCAUGUAUUUAGGCCUAAGAAAUGGGCUUGGGCUCCGAGUCUCCCAAGCAACCCGGAACCUCCAUUUCUUGGCCCAUUAAUGGGCCUCAUGACAACCUAUUACCAUCCAUACCACAACCCACUCAAGCAAGCCCCGGGCAUUUGAAUGGCUUUGGCCCACUUUAGGCUUGUAGUGUGAUUGGGUGUGGCAUAACGAUUUCUCGCUUGGCAUGGCAUGUUGCUUGGCAUGUUUUUUCAUUACGAUGCUUGAUGGAUUUGUAGAGCUACCUAUUUUUAUGAUCUUAAUCUUGAUUCCUAGCAUGACAAAUUUAUUUAUUUGGCAUGGCAUGCGGAGCGUGACUUGUGCGUGGCGAGUUUUGUAUGCUCCAACUUGGGCCUUUCCUAAAUAAUGUAUCAUUUUGGGUUAUGAAUUCUUUCGGGCCCAACCGUGAAUUUUUUGGGUUUCAACAGUGUGUUUUUAGCUAAAUUUUAACUAAAAAAUAGGGAGCAUGAUUGUAGAUCAUCUUAUAUACCUUAAUUUGAAGAUUCUUUAUUUGGGUUUCUUUCAAGAUGAAAACCAUAUCCACAACUGGCAGACAUCUUUGGCUGUUCAUCACAAUUGAGAGACAAUGAAGAAGACAUAAGGGAGAGGCCGCCAAAUACUUAUCACCUCAGCCACCACCAACACCACAAGACCAAUAUGUGUAGGCCAGGGGGCUUUCCAAUUUUAAUAUAUAUAUAUGGAGUGAAAAAAAUAAAAUAAAGAUUAUUGCUCAUCCUCCAUGCACUUGCAUGCCCUCUUACAAAGUGUGAAGAAGAUUUUGUGUGCUUCAAGUCAUUGACUAGAGCUGAAACAUGGUUAGCUGGAUUUAUAAGAUCUUUUGUUUUCUGGGAAUUUUCAGAACCAAGGAAAAUCAAGUAAAAUUAAUAAAGCAAAAUGGAAAGGGAAAAGAUCUAGAGGAUGCAUUGUAGGAUUGCUCAUGCCAAUAAUUGUACCCUCUAAAUAUAUAGGGACAUAUUUUUUUUGUUUUCAUGACAUGUUGUCCUAAAAUAUUUGUUCCUAGCGGGCUCUCCACCCCCUCUCGAUUGAAAACCUAUUGUGUAAAUCUUCAAUCCUGAACGAUGCUCCUAAAACUCAAGUGUCCCAGGCCAAUUAUUGCUCUCAUACCACUUGUUGCAAUACACAUCCACUCAUUCUCAGGGAAAGAAACCCAUCGAUAUUAUCUCAAAUUUAACCACUUUAGUCUAUUAUGAUUAACUAUGUAUUUUAUGGAUCAAUGCAGUUGUGAGGUUUUAUACCCAAUUAGAUCGACCAAUACAGAGAUCACAUGUGGACUGAAAAGCGCCAUCGGUAGGGGAGUGUUUGGCACCCUUUACUGCCGAGUGCAACACAAGACCCCUUACCAGGAACUUAUCUACUAGGACACGUGAAGCCACCACAAGUAAUAUCAACAGUCCCACAUCGAAGUUUAACAUAACAUGUACACUCCCCAGGACUGAUAAAAGUGGGCACAAGUCCCAAAAAUGGGGGAACUUGGACUUUCAGCAAUUCAUCCAUUAUUAUGUCCAAAUUACUAUACACUCCGUACUUAUUCUUACUUAAGCAUUGGAGAGCCUUCGGCCGGUACCACACCAGUGCCUAAGGGCUUACCGAGCGUUCUCUAUCUUGCAUAUUGAUCGCUCUACUGAAGCCCAUAAAGAGUUAAAGGUCAAGACAUCACUAAGUUGAGCCCAAAAGUGCUGAACCACAUCAAAAAUAUGUAUAGAUUGAAAAAAUAAAAUAAAAAUCAAUCUAUUAUCAUAUAUAUUAUAAAAUAAAUAUUGGAUAAAUUACUCAAAUGGUCCUCAAACUUAUACUCGAUUUACAUUUUGGUCUCUCAAUUAAAUUAUUUGUUCAAAUGGUCCAUCAACUCUAUAUUAUUUCUGCAAAAUCUACAAAGUGGUGGGAGGCAGACCAACAAAAAAAAUUAGCGAAGGCUUAUAACUCUGGUAAAACAAGAGUUACUUGGAUAGAAUAAUGUUACGUCGUACUGAAGAUUUUUGGGUUUCUUUAAUUGGUUAAGUGAAGAUUCUUUAUUUGGGUUUCUUUCAAGAUGAAAGCCAUAUCCACAACCACAACCACAACUGGCAGACAAUCUUUGGCUGUUCAUCACAAUUGGGCGACAAUGAAGAAGACAGAAAUUGGAGUACUGUAUGUUAUCACCCACACCACAAGACCAAUAUAAGGAGGAUGGGGAGGCUGCGGAAUACUUAUCACCUUAGCCACCACCUACACCACAAGACCAAUAUGUUGUAGGCCAGGAGGCUUUCCAAUUUUAAAUUAGAUAAAUCGGAAACUGUUUCGAUAUCCAAUUGUAUUCUAUAAAAUCAAUGAACACGGUGCUUCAAGAAAGUAAUAAAAUUUCAAUAAUUCAAUUGAGUGGUCAAAUUCAAGUGAUUUUUUGUAGUGAUGAUCUUUGAAUGAGUAUCUAUAAAAGAGACGGUUUGGAUUAGUGAAAUACAAUAUGGAGUGGGCCCUACCAGCAAUCCACGACAAAAUGUCUGCAAGCUUUCGUAAUAUAAGGAGGAUGGGGAGGCUGCGCAAUACUUAUCACCUUAGCCACCACCUACACCACAAGACCAAUAUGUUGUAGGCCAGGAGGCUUUCCAAUUUUAAUAUAUAUAUAUAUAUAUAUAUAUAUAUAUAUAUAGGGAUGUGAUUUCUCUACUCCCCUUUUCUCUACUUAUACUCCCUUUUGCUUUUAAAUACUUUUUAAUCAAUUUUUUUUCCGCUUUCCUAUUAAUAUUCUACCAUUUCCCUACAUUAAUUUCUUUUUACUUCACUUUUAUAUUAGUUCUUUUUCUUUAUACUUAAUUUUUCAACUUGCACUCCAUUUUCAUUAUUUUUUUCCUAAUCGAGUAAGAAAUUAAGUUUUUUUUCCCCAUUUAAUACUGAAAAUGGAGUGUAAGUUAGAAAAUUAGGUAUAAAGAAAAAGAAAUAAUAUAAAAGUAAAGUAAAAAAGAAAUUAAUGUAGGGUAAAGGUAGAAUAGAAAAGAGAAUGAACAAAAUUGAUAAAUAAAUAAAAAAGGUUUAAAAAGCAAAAAGGAGUGUAAAUGGAGAAAAGGGGAAUGAGGAAAUCAGCUCCAUAUAUAUAUAGAUUGAAAAAAUUAAAAUUAAAAUCAAUCUAUUAUCAUAUAUAUUAUAAAAUAAAGAUUAUUGCUCCAAGGAAAUGACAUCUUUUGUUUUCUGGGAAUUUUCUGAACCAAGGAAAAUCAAAUAAAAUUAAUAAAGCAUAAAUUGGAAAGGGAAAAGAUCUAAAGGAUGCAUUGUAGGAUUGCUGAUGCCAAUAAUUGUACCCUCAAAUUAUACAUGGACAUAGGGGUGGGCAUUCAAAUAGGCAAACUAGAAAUCCGAGCUGAACCGCACCUAGGAAAACCGGAAAAAAAACCGAGUUGACCAAAAAGUCAACAACUGGUCAAAAAUCGAACCGGACCGAUUUGGACUGGUUUUGGAUUCAGUUUAUAUGCAAUGCUACAUUUUUAGUCUCAUAACUAAUAUUUAUCCAAGUUCAAUUUCAAAACAUCUUUCUUUUUUAGCUUUAAUAUUUAUUUUUAUAUGAAAUUAAAUAAUUUAUUAAUUUUCAAGUAAAUAAAAUAAAAUUUCAGUUGAAAUUUAUAUUAAAAAAAUAAUUUUAAUAAUCCAGUUCAAAACCAAACCGGACCAUCCAGCUGUGAGGUACAUUUCUCCCACAUGCCACAAUUGUAUAUUCACAAUUACGUCUGAUACAUCACAUCAUGCCACUUGCCUCAAAUGAAUUUAAGUGAGUGUGGCAGUGGAAAGUAAUUAAGCUCUAUAUUGGUGGGUGGACUGUUACUUCUGGGUUCCCCUCAUCAUUCGUCUAUAAAAUGGUGAAGGCAGUUGCUAUUGUUACCAUAAGAGCCAGCUCCGACUUCCUUUAAUUUCUUGCUUCAUAUCCACUAGCUACAUCUGUUACCAAGUUAAUUUCAGUCCUAAUGGGGUUUCAUCUCCCACUCAUCUUUGCUCUUCUCAGUGUAAGCUCUGCAAUUUGAUUAACUUUUCCAUUCUCUCUCAUUGUACUCUAUAUAAACGAAAGUUUUGUGUUCCUAUAAUUCUCUCCGAUUUUAUUUAGUACGUACUUAAGUGUCGUCCACUAAUUAAUUACACUUUGUGAUUUGAUUUUAAUUUGAGUUCGAAUUAAUGUUGCAGCUAGCAGCAGUGGCACUGGCAAACCAUGCUGCUCAACCAGCACCUCAACUUUACUGGAACUCCGUCCUGCCAAACACACAGAUGCCAAGAUCUAUCAGUGAACUUCUGCAUCCUGGUUUGUGUUGAGCUCUUUAGAAUCUUAGAUAUCUCUUCUACCUGCCAUUUUACUAAAAUAUGUUCCACCACAUAUUUAUCAGUUAACCACUGUUAUUACAUGAGUGACACAUAUUCACAAAUCGGCUGAUCACUUAUUUUCCAUUAUGACGUUGAUAUAUAAUUUGCAGACUCCACAAAUGAAGAAAAGAGCACAAAUGACGUUGGCAAACCUGAAACUUUCCCAUUGGGCAAUAAACAUUACUCCAGUCAAAAACAUUAUGGAAGAGGCAAACCUGAAACUUUCCCAUUGGGCAAUAAACAUUACUCCAGUCAAAGACAUUAUGGAAGAGGCAAACCUGAAACUUUCCCAUUGGGCAAUAAACAUUACUCCAGUCAAAGACAUUAUGGAAGAGGCAAACCUGAAACUUUCCCAUUGGGCAAUAAACAUUACUCCAGUCAAAAACAUUAUGGAAGAGGCAAACCUGAAACUUUCCCAUUGGGCAAUCAGCAUUACUCCAGUCAAAAAAAGUAUGGAAGAGGUGCUUCUCCAUCCGACAAUCAACCACCAAUUCCAUAGAAAUUCAAACACGGCUACUUUCUUGCCACGAGAAAGCGCUCAAUCGAUCCCCUUCUCCUCUAACAAACUACCAGAAAUUUUCAACCAUUUUUCAGUGAAGCCAACAUCUGAGGAAGCCAAAACAAUUAAGCAAACAAUCGAAGAGUGUGAAGCUCCAGACCUUAAGGGAGAGGAAAUAUAUUGCGCCACAUCUUUAGAAUCAAUGGUUGAUUUUAGCACUUCGAAGCUUGGAACAAGAAACGUUGAAGCAAUCUCGACGGAGGUAUUGGAAAAAGGAGCCACCAUGUCCAUCCAAAACUAUACAACAAUGCCGGGACUGAAGAAGUUGGCAGGUGACAAAGUCGUUGUGUGUCAUAAGCAGAACUAUCCCUAUGCUGUGUUUUUCUGCCAUGCAAUAAAACAUACAGCAGCUUAUGCUCUCUCCCUGAAAGGCGAUGAUGGGGAGAAGGUUAAAGCAGUAACCAUCUGCCAUCUAGACACAUCAGAAUGGGACCCAGAGCAUAUGUCCUUCAAAAUCGUCAACGUUAAGCCCGGAACCAUUCCCAUCUGCCAUUUCAUUUCCACUGAUGCUAUUGCCUGGGUUCCGAACCACAAAUCUGCAUGAUCAUCACUUAGCACUAGUACUGUGCGUAUAAUAUGCCUGUAUAAUUAUCUCCCUACUUAUUUCUGCCUGUUCAUCAUGUGGUGUAAGAUAUAUGUUGAGAUGAAGUUUUUGGGAUUAGUGGUCGAAAUUAACCCGAUCAUGUUUUCUCUUGUAACUAUAUAGACUUCAACUUGUACUCAUAAUAAAGCAUGCUAUAUUUAUGAAGAGAUAUUAAUCUUCAGGCAAAUAGAUAUUAUGAAAACAUAUAUAGCAAUUUAUCCAGAAGAAAUAUUAUGAAAUGAAAAGAAUAAAAAGUAAAAAAACAGAAGGAAAGGAAUUCGCACCUGCUAUGUAUGAAAGGACCAAGAUUGUUUUCCCUUUGGUUAAUGACUAGAAAAGCUCACUUGCAGAUUGCUUUCUCUGACCGUAGAUGCAACAGAAAUUUUCUCUUAAUAAUAGCACAAUGAUCGGGUAAUUGUAAGAACAAGUUGAUUUAAAAUUCCUUGACCCAAAAAAAAAAAAAAAAUCAUUUCAAAUUCAGGUCAACCCAUAGAUUUCUUGCCUUUUUCUUCUUCAUCACGUUGGGCUUGUCUUCUUCUUGAGGAUUGUAUAGGCCCAGGAAAUGCUUUGAGGUAGUUUUUGGCCUUGGAAGUUGGGACCCAACCCAACUUCACAAAAAGAAAACAGAUUUGCCAAAAAUCAAAUUUCAAGUCUCUCCUCAGAUCACUAAUACAGAUCAAAUUUUGGAUUUGAUGAACUAAAGUGGUUUUACUUUCUCUGUCAGUGUUUGAUGACUUAAUUUGUUAUUUACUUCUUUUUUUUUUUUUACUUGAUCUUUGUAGGGGUUUUUUUCUUCCGGUAACUUAAACGGGCUGGGCUGCCGUAAAGGGUAGAUUGAUGAAAUUGUCUCCUUUGUCUGAGUUCGAAAAUCAAGCCCCAAAAGCGCUUCGAAAGGGCAGUAGAGCCUUAGGAAGCGUUCUAGUCAUCUUCACCAACUAAAACAACAGCAACUUACAGAUGAUUUCUUAAGGCUUACAGAUAAAUUUUCUAGCUUGGCAUGAGAGGCUUGUGACAUGGAAGCAAAAUCAGCAUGAGUUUAGCACCAAAGAGGAAAAUAUGGCUUCCUAGGGAGAAAUGGGAGUGUUUAAGGUGAGGAAGAAGAGGUUUGCAGGCUGAUUUGGCUGAGGAGAGAGAAAGAAAGAACAAUGUUCUUCCAGUAGCUUGACAAAGCUUCUGACAGAUGUGAAAGUCGUCUGCCAUAAGAGGAAAAUGAAGAAGAAUGGUGAAUAGUGCAUGAAAUUGCUGGGUUUUUGCAGGUAAGAGAGAAAGCUUGCUCUCUGAAUUUGAGUUGGUUUUUGGUUGGGUAGAAGAGGCCCCCUUUUAUAGCUGCGGGAAACCAUCUUUUUUCAAGAAACCCUAAUGGUUUCUAUCCAUUUUGGCCAAGCUUUUCCCUUCAUUUCUCUUCUCCUCCCUUGACUUUUCCUAUCUUGGUGAAAUUUCCUCUGCCUAUUUGCACAAAAUUAGAGAUUUUGAGGAGCUCAAGACCCCUUUCCCGCAGCUGCCUCAGUGGAGAAUCCCCAUUUUCAGUCAUCUUUCUUCCUUCUUUUCUCCCAUCUUCCAAGGUUAGGUCUGAUGAGGGAAAGAAAUGGGUAUGCACACUGGUUUGAAGGGUAUUUUUGCUUGAAACUUGUUCUCUCCCAUGUGCUGGAGCUUCCCAGCAACUUACACACAUGGAUAUUUUGGCUUUCAUCGUGGCUUUUGUUUUCAGCUAGGUGCUGGAGAUUUCGCAGAUAUUUUCAUGAGUUGCUUGGGCCUUCUAGGACAAUAGGUUGGUUUAUCAAGUGAAUGGGCUAACUUCAUCAAUUGUUGGGCUAUUUUGGUUGAGUUAAUGGACUAUUUUGGUUGAAGUAAUGGGCUAUUUUGGUUGAAUUAAUGGGCUAUUUUUCUCUCUUUGUGCUCACCCACAUAUUUGGGCCUAAGAAAUGGGCUUGAGUUCCGGGGCUCCCAAGCAACCCCGGGACUUCCAUUUCUCGGCCCAUCAAUGGGCCUCAUAUCAACUUAUUACCAUCCAUAUCACAACCCACUCAAGCAAGCCCUGGGCAUCUUGCGUGGCUUGGGCCCACUUAAGCUUGUAGCGUGACGUGUUGCUUAUUUGCUUGGCAUGGCAUGUGUGCAAGCGCAUAUGACGAACUUUAGCGUGCCCAAAUUGGGUUUAUUCUCGGUAAGGUAUCGCAUUGGGCCGAGAAUUUAAUUGGGCAGAACUGUGGAUUUUUGGGCCUCAACAAUCUUAUAUAUAUUGGUUUUCUUUUUUUCCUUAAUAUUCACCACCUUUCUGUUGCAUAAGUAUUUCAGUCUUAACGGGUUUCCAUCUACCACUCAUCUUUGCUCUUUUAAGUGUAAGCUUUUUUUUUUUUUUUUUAAGCACAAGAUUAGAGGGGAGGGGGAUUUCUCAAUGUAAGCUUUGCAGUUUCAUAAUUAAUAUUUCCAAUAUCUCACUGUUAGUAAAAUAUGGAACAGGAAAAGUAUGAAUAAAAUACACACAUGUUUUAUUUAGCAAAAUUUUGACAAGAUACAACUGAAAAGUUUGGCCACUAUAUAAUAUUUUGAUAUAAUUUCUACACUUCUUCUCAAAAGAUUAGAUCACUUCACAUCUUGUGUAUGUGAAAACUAAUGUAAAAAGUUGAAACUUUAUCGUAAAACCUCGACAAAAAUGAGCUCUACUAGAAAAUGUUCAAUUUGGAUUCGUUGAUUUAAAUGGCAAUUUGACACUUGAUAGAAAUUUUUACAUACAUGUGUUAGUGUUUGAUCACUUCACAUGUUACUUACUAUAUUUAUUCCACUCAAGUUAGGUAAAUAUUAUUAUCAAACAUUUCAAUUAAUUUGUGAUUUUUUUAUUAUUUAAUCAAUUAUGAAUUAAUGGAUUCUUCUUGUUGUUUUGAAGACCAAUAAAAAAAAAAGGGUAAGGAUGGCUUAUAACUCUGAUAAAACAACAGUGACGUGGACAGCAGAUGUUACACCGUACUGAAGAUUUUUGAAGAUUCUUUAUUUGGGUUUCUUUCAAGAUGAAAACCAUAUUAUCCACAACCACAAUGAAGAAGACAGAAAAUGGAGUAAUUCAGAUGUUACCAGCCAUCCACGACAAACUGAAGUCUGCAAAGCAUUCGUAAUCUAAAGGGAGACUUUGGAAAAGCCCAAAGGAGAGAGAAAAUUUUUAAAAGAAGCAAAAAUGGACAAAAUUGCCCUUAUUUAUUUUUUGAUUUCCUAAGAAAUCCUUUACAUUUGCAUGUCUUUGGUUUGAAAGUUGAGAGGUUAUUCUGUCUUUUUUCAAAAAGCUUUGGCUUUUUCCAAAAGUGAAAGUUUUUUUAUGGGUAAAACCUAAAUUUACUUAAUCCCUAAAAAGGAUGGGGAGGCUGCGCAAUACUUAGCCACGUGUAGGCCAGGAGGCUUUCCAAUUUUAAUAUAUAUAUAAAUUGAAAAAAUAAAAUAAAAAUCAAUCUAUUAUCCUAUAUAAAAUAAAGAUUAUUGCUUCCAUGGGCAGUGCUAUGCACAGGACAGUGCCUGCCCAGCACAAAUUUUUUUUAAAUAAAAAAAAAAAAUCUACAUAUGUUAUAAGCUCAUCCAAAAAAAUAAAAUAAAAUAAAAGUAAAUUCUACAUAUAUGUUGCCCAUCUAGGUGGUUCCAUAUCUUCUCUCUCCUUCUCUUUUGGCUAUUAGACUUCUUGUUUCUCUCUCUCUCUUUGCUACCUCACAUCAGCAAGUUUCUCCCUCUCUUUUUUUGGGGUCAAAUUCUUCCUCUAUUGACAAAAUCUUCUAUUAUCUUGGGUGGGCAACUUGGCAACAACAUCUUCUCUUCUCCUUUUGUCAACAACAAGUAUUAUUCUCAUUCUCUCAUUUGCUAUAUAUCUUUAAUUAUAGUUUUAAUUUAAAAUUGAGUAUUCUAGGGUUUAAUUAGGGAUGAAUUAUAAUUUUAGAAUUUUGUUGAAAUUAAUUAAGGCUUCGAUUAGGGGUGAAUUAUUCUACUGCUUUGGUUUGGAAUUUUGUUAAAAUUGAGUAUUAUAGGGUUUAAUUAUGGAUGAAUUAUAAUUUUUGAUUUUGGUAUUAUUGAGAUGUUAUUAUGAGAAUUUGUUUCAUUUUUUUAUUGGUAUAUUUGAUUAAAAUUCUUUCUACAUAUUAUUCAUAGGCUAUCUUUUAUUAUGUCGGAUCACAAUCGGAAUCCCAAGAGAACAAAGAAUUUGAAUAGUGUUGUUUUGUAUUGCAUUGCAUUUACUUUUGGUUUUAGUUUUGCUUUUAGUGUAAAUUACUCAAAUGGUCCUCAAAUUUGUACCCGAUUUACAUUUUGGUCCAUAAACUAAAUUAUUCAUUCAAAUGGUGCACCAACUCUUUAUUAAUCAGUGCUUUGGUCCUACCGUUAUGUUUUCUAUUAAAUUUAGUCAUGUGAGCAGCACAUGCUACAUUUGUAGGGGUAAAUAAGACUUUUGACCACUUUAUCACCUAUGUAUCACCACUUUAUAACCUAUUUGGAGAACAUAGGUCAGUUAUGGACGGUUUUACAAUUAUAUUUGACGGCAACAUUAACAUAAUGUAACAGUGGGAUCAAUGGAGCGAUUAAUAUAGAGUUGAUGGACCGUUUGAACGAAUAAUUUAAUUGAGGGACCAAAACGUAAAUUGAGUAUAAGUUUGAGGACCAUUUGAGUAAUGUACCCUUCGCUUUUAUAUUUGUUGAACUUUUAUUUAUGGAUAGAUAUGCAUUUGAGGGUAAGACCCAUUAUGUUCCCCCUGACUUGGUGUAUCUUUUUAUGUUUAUUAAUGAAAUUCACUCGAACUGUUGAGUUUAGUAUGUAAGUUUUGCCUAACCGGCUUUUGAAUCCUAGAACCGCCACUGUUGCUCCAUCCUCCAUGCACUUGCAUGUGCUCUUACAAAGUGUGAAGUAGAUUUUGUGUGCUCCAAGUCAUUGACUAGAGCUGAAACAUGGUUAGCUAGAUUUAUAAGGACCCAUCUCUCUAUUUCCUAGACAUAUACCCAUCUCUCUAUAAAUCUAUAUGUAAAACUCAAUUUCAAACUUAAAUGACCAGUAAGAUAUAAGAGGUCAUAGUAUUCCUAUGUUUUUACAUCGUUGCCACCAGACUUCUUAUUUUAUUUAUAAUUUAUUUCAAGCAUUUCAUUAACUGCCAUAAUUGUAAUUAAUACUCCAUAUUAAUAGCAUAUCAAUCACCCCAUUUCUUUUGAUUGCCAUUCCCUCUAACAUAUCGCCCCUUAAAAUUGAAAACCAAAAAAAAAAAAAAUGUAAAUUACAUAUCCAAUAAUGUACCUAUGAAAAAUAUAAAUAUAAAUAUAUACGUAUAAAAAUAUAGGUUUAUUAUUUACCAAAUAAAAAAUAUAAAAAAACUAGGUCAGUUGCUUUGUAAUUGAAAUUUCUAUACAUUUUCCACAAAUUAAAAAUAGGUACACAAUAAUUUAUAGAAAAUAUAGGUGCAUUAUUUAUCCAUAGGUAAAAAUACCUAUAAAUGCACAUAGGUAAAUUAUUUACCCAUAUAUUAUUUUUUUGCUAAGGAUUUACCUUAGUUUUUAGUAGAUUAAUUUACCUACCUAGAGGCAUAGGUAGCUUAAAAAAAUUGUAGCACCUUAGUUGGUUGCAUACUAAUUUACCUACCUAGAGGCAUAGGUUGCUAAGAAAAAAUGUAGGUAAAUUCAUGUACCUAAACACAUAGGGGUCAAAUAGAGAAUAACAUGUUAUUUCCCUUCGAACAAAUUAAUUUCAAACCAUAACAAUAAUUGAAUUCGGAAAUUGGUAUAAAUAAAAGGAAAUAAAUAAGCUAUCAAUUUGAAAAUUAAAAUAAGAAAUGAUCAAGUAGUCAUAUUUGAAAAAAAAGAAAAGAAUAUAUUCUUGGUUUUUAUAGGAACAACGUGUAUAUUCAAACCAAAUGGCAGUAACUACACCAAGCUUUAAUUACUUUUUUUUAAGGCCAAAAGUCACUUUUGGUCUCUGUAGUUUGACACUUCUAUUACUUUUGACGCUGUAGUUUCAAUUCCGUCAAUUUUGCCAUUGUAGUUUCAUAUUUGUAGCAAUUCAAGGACAUGUUAAUAUUAAUGUCAAUUUGUUUAAUGAUGCAAGGGGUAAUUUCGUCAUCCCAAAAUCCUUGAGCAUAAAAGCUUGUCUGAAAUUCUCCCCAUUUCAUAUUAGGGCUCGAAAUUCAACCACUAAUCCCAAUUUUUGAAGAACCCUAUACCCAAAUGACCAAUUUCAAGCCCUAAUAACAAAUUAGGGAAGUUUUAGAUGAGCUUUUAUGCUCAAGGAUUUUGAGUUGAAGAAAUUGCCCCUUGCACUGUCAAAGAAAUUGAUAGGAAUACUGACUUGUCCUUGAAUUGCUACAAAUACAAAAAUACAGGGUCAAAAUUAACAGAAUUUAAACUAUAUGGUCAAAAGUGGUUAAAGUGCCAAACUACAAGGACCAAAAGUGACUUUUAGCCUUUUUGUUUAAAUAAGGAAAAAACUUACCUAUUAAAUCCUUGGAAUCUAUACAAAAUUGAAACACAGUUAAUCAGCAUUGAAUUGCAGCUAAUUUCUUAAACAAGGGUAUUAUAGGAAUUUAAAAAGUAUAACAUUUAAUCCAUUGAGCUUGAUUAGGAAUCUUGAUGAGUUGGAUCCUAGUUAUAUAGUUUCUCUUAUAAAAAUCGGGUUUUAUUUAUAGACAAAUAAAACAAUGGGUUGUAGGUAAGAAAAUAUUAAUUUGAAGGGAAAGUGUCACAUCCUGGGAUCGGCUCCGCCGUAGCACGAUAUUGUCCGCUUUGGGCCCCCCUCUCUGCCCGCACGGUUUUGUUUCUGGGAGCUCACGAGCAACUUCCCAGUGGGUCACCCAUCCUGGGAUUGCUCUGGCCCCCAACUCGCUUAACUUCGGAAUUCCUAUGACUCCGAAGCCAGUGAGCUCCCAAAAGGCCUCGUGCUAGAUGGAUGCGGGUGUGUACAUAUAAGACACAUCACCCCCUCUCCGUUGGUUGAUGUGGGAUCUUACAGAAAGAGUCAAAUUUACUAAAUUAAUAAAGCAUAAAUUGGAAAGGGAAAAGAUCUAGAGGAUGCAUUGUAGGAUUGCUCAUGCCAAUAAUUGCACCCUCUCGAUAUUGAAAAACCUAUUGUGUAUUAUUAUCUUCAAUCAUGAAUGAUGCACCUAAAACCCAAGUGUCCCAAGCCAACCAUUGCGCUCAUACCACUUGUUGCAGUACACAUUCACCCGUUUUUAAAGAAAGAAAUUCUACCAAUCGAUAUUGUCUCAAAUUUAAUCACAUAGGUCUAUUAUGGUUAACCAUAUGUACUUUUAUCGGCCAUAUAGAGGUACCUUUUUCCAACGUGCAACAAUUGUAUUUGAUUCACAAUUAUGUCUGAUAUACAUCACAUCAUGCCACUUGCCUCAAAUGAAUUUAAUUGAGUGAGGCAAUGGGAAGUAAUUAAGCUCUAUAUUGGUGGGUGGAGUGUUACUUCUGGAACCCUCAUCAUUCGUCCAUACAAGGGAACAAUUCCCUUCCUUCUAUAAAAUGGUGAAGCCAGUUGCUAUUGUUUGUUAGAGUUUUAGGAUCUGAGUGUUAGAUUUUGUGAGAAGAGAGAAGAGAAUUUAGUGAAAACUUCCAAUACUGCUCUGCUAUACGUGUAGCAGAGAGAACAUUCUGUUUUGUUAUAUAUUUUCAGUACAACAACACACACUUGGUGUGAGAAGAAAAAUGACUGUUAUGCACAGUACCAGCUGGAUGCUUUCCAUCAAAGUAAUCUCAGCCAUUCACUAUCUAACCAAUCAAGCUAUGACACCUGGACUAAGUAUAAAGAAAUACAACUAAGCAGAAAACAAGACUCUUAAUCCUGAAAUCAACUUAAGCACUUAUAAUUCAACACUCCCCUUUAAGUCUUGAGGUGAUUUCACUCCAAGCAUGCCUCUGAGAUAAUUGAAUCUGUCUUUGGCCAGAGGUUUGGUAAAAAUGUCAGCCAAUUGUUCAUUUGUAGGACAAUAUUCCAGAUUGAUUACCCCUUCUUGCAAUGCAUCCUUGAUGAAGUGAUACCUCCUGUCAAUAUGCUUUGUCUUCUGGUGGAAUACAGGGUUUUUAGUGAUUGCAAUUGCUGAGAUAUUAUCACAAUGCAAUGGAGUAGCUUCAGUUUGAAGCUCUCUAAAGUCUUCUAGCACAAAACGGAGCCAAAUAGCUUGAGUAGUAGCCUCAGCUGCACUGAUGUACUCAGCUUCUGCAGUAGACAGUGCAACACAGUUCUGUUUCACUGAGGCCCAAGAAAAUACUCCACUUCCAAAACUAAACGCAUACCCUGAUGUGCUCUUGCAAUCACCAACUGAUCCUCCCCAAUCACUGUCACAGUAACCAACUAGAAUUGAUCUUUUGCCUUUCACAUAUUCAAGACCAUAGUCCAGAGUUCCUUUGAUGUAUCUCAAAACCCUUUUAGCUGUUCCAUAGUGUCUAUUUGUAGGACAGUGCAUGAAUCUAGCUAGCAAGCUUGAGGCAUACAUGAUGUCUGGUCUUGUAGCAGUUAAGUACAGCAAGCUACCAACAAUGCUUCUGUAUUGUUCUUCAUUUGCAGCUCAACUCCCAUCAUCCUUAGCUAGUUUCUCAGUGGCAACAAGGGGUGUUGUCACAGGUUUGCACUCAGUCAAACCAAACUUGCUCAACAAGGUGCUAGCAUAUUUCUUUUGAUGUAGAAAUAUACUAGACUCAGUCUGAAUAACUCCCAUGCCAAGAAAGUGAUGAAGUAAGCCCAAAUCAGUCAUCUCAUACUUAGCCAUCAUGUCUUCUUUGAAUUCAGCCAACAAUGCUUGACUGCUCCCUGUAUACACAAUAUCGUCUACAUAGAUAGACACAAUUAGAAUCUCCUUAUCUCCCCUUACUUUGGUAUAUAAGGUUGUUUCACUUAAGCUUUUCACAAAACCACAUUGAGUGAAGUAGCUGUCUAUCUCUCCAUACCAAGCCCUUGGGGCUUGCUUCAGACCAUAAAGGGCUUUAUGCAAACGAUAAACCUUGUCUUCUUUACCUUUAAUUACAAAACCUUCAGGCUGACUGACAUAAACUUCCUCUUGCAGCACACCAUUAAGGAAAGCAGACUUCACAUCAAGCUGGAACAAUUUCCAAUCCUUUUGAGCAGCUAGAGCAAUAAGUGUUCUAAUGGUGUCCAAUCUGGCUAUAGGUGCAUAAGUCUCAUUAUAAUCCAGUCCAGGCUUCUGAGCAUACCCCUUAGCCACUAAUCUUGCUUUAUUCUUUUGCACUGAGCCAUCCAAAUUCAGCUUUGUCUUGUACACCCACUUAACUCCAAUCACUGGUUUUUCAGUUAGUCUAUCUACCAAUUCCCAUGUUUCAUUCUUUUCAAUCAUCUGCAGUUCAUCUUCCAUAGCCUUAAGCCAAGAUUCAUCCUGAGCAACAUCAGCAUAUUUUUCUGGUUCCAUGAUACACAAGUUACACUGAGCUAGAACAUCAUCUAGCCUUCUCCAUUUUAGAGGGGUGUGAUCAUAAGCUUGAGUUCUCCUUUCUUCACUGCUUAUAUCACCUGGAGUUGAUGAAAUGCUCUCUUGCAUAUCCAAAGUUUGAGGUGUACCAGUAGAAUUCUCAUUAGAACUGUCAGAUUUCAAGUCCAAAUCAACUUGGUUUUCAAUUGAGUAUGUUGUCAUAACUGAACCAUUUUUGUUUGUCCAAUGCCAAGCAUUUUCUUCAUCAAAUGUCACAUCCCUUGAUAGUAAAAGCUUGUUAGAAACAGGAUCAAAAACUCUAUAUCCUUUUUCACAAGUUGCAUAUCCCACAAACACUCCCUUUGUACUCUUAGGAUCCCGCUUGUGUCUCAAUUCAGUUGGCACAUGAACAUAACACAGAGAACCAAACACUUUCAGAUGUGCAAUUCCAGGCUUCCUUCCACUAUAUGCUUCGAAUGGAGUAAUGUUGUUGAGAGCUUUGGUAGGACAUCUGUUCAGCAAAUAGAUAGCUGUAUGCACAGCUUCUGCCCAUAGGAAAUAAGGCAUUCCCUUCUCAUGUAACAUUGAUUUUGCCAUCUCAAUGACAGUUCUAUUCUUCCUCUCAACUACUCCAUUCUGCUGAGGAGUAUAGGCCAUUGUAAGCUGCCUUUGAAUGCCAUUAGCUUCACAAAACUCCAAAAAAUCAGUAGACAUAAACUCUCCACCCCUGUCACUUCUUAUGCACUGAACCUUGUGUCCAGUUUGUAAUUCAGUCAUGGACUUGAACUUCUUGAAACAAAAGAAGGCUUUUGACUUGUUUCUCAAGAAGUAUACCCAAAUCAUUCUUGUGAAAUCAUCUAUAAUCAGCAUGAAAUAUCUGUUCCUUGCAACAGACUCAUUUCUCAUGGGACCACAGAGAUCCACAUGUAUUAGCACUAGUACUUUGCUUGCUCUUUGAGCUUGAUCUUUUGGAAAAACAUUUCUGUGCUGUUUUCCAAAUUGGCACCCGUCACACACACCACUUUGUUCUUCCAAUUUUGGUAAACCAUGUACCAUUUCUUUAUCACUUAGCUGCUUCAAUCCUCCAAAAUGCAGAUGACCAAAUCUCUUGUGCCAAAUCCAUGUGGAUUGAAGAAAACUAGUCUUCAUUAGUAACUGUUUUUCAGCUAGAAAAGAGACAGGAUAGCAUCUGUUACUCUUCAUUUGCACCUUUAUGAUGAGAUAAUCCAUGGAUGGGCUAUCAAAUACCCUGCACAUCCCUUCUCCAAACACUAGACAGUACCCAUGUUCAUCCAUCUGCCCAACACUUAGCAGAUUUUCUUUCAAUCCUGGCAGAUACAUUACUUCUCUGAUGUAUUUCCUGCCCUUUGCUGUAUCAAUACUCAGUGAGCCAAUACCAGCUACACUCACUAAUGCACCAGUUGGCAUUUGUACUCUCCCAGCUACAUUAGUUCUCACAUCAACCAGCAAAUCUAAAUUUCCUGUCAUAUGAUUGCUGCAGCCACUGUCAAUGUACCAUUCAUUGGUUUUGAUCUCAGUGGUUGAGCAAUUGGCAUAAAACAGGUUUCCUGUAACCUCCAUUUGAUUUACACAAUUAGCCUUCUGCACAUUUUUGCUCACUGUACAGUCUCUAGCAAGAUGUCCAACUCUGUCACAGUUAUAGCAUUUUGGUUUUCCCUUAUACCUGCACUCACCAAAAUGAUGCUUUGAACACACCUUGCAUUGAGGCUUUGUGUUUUCCUGAUUUGAGAACUGUGUUGAAGUGUGGUUCUGUGCAGAAUAAUUAUUCUGCUGUGUCUUGUCUUUUGCCUCCCAUGACUUCCCUUUAGAGUUCCAGCUUCUCUGUGACUUAGAUGAACCAGACUGAGAAGCAUUUUUGUUCUGACCCUUUGAAUUCACAGUGAAUGAGGCAAAUGCCUUCUCAGCUGUAUCAACACUAUGCAUUUCAAGCCUUUGCUCCCGACUCUUCAAAAUGGCAGUUACUUCCUGCAAAUCCACAGUUUCUAGUGUCUUUGUGUUUUCAAUCACAAUGCAUAUAGGGUCAUACUUCUUACUUAGACUAAUUAACACCUUCUGAACCUACCUCUCAUUUGACAGAACUUCACCAAAUGUUUUCAUUUGGUUAAUCAAUUCAGUUAGUCUAGUAAGAUAUUCAGAUAAGGUUUCACUAUCACGCAUCCUACUGUAUUCAAACUCACGUCUAAGGUUUUGAAGCUUUACCGAUCUAACAUGCUCUCCACCAUGAUAUUCUGAGUACAGCAGAUUCCAAGCCAUCUUUGCAGAGUCAGCAUUGGCAAUUCUGGGAAAAAUCUGAUCAGAAACAGCAUUUUGAAUGAUACCCAAGGCCUUCGCAUCCUUCAUGAGAAUCGCAGCUGUUUUCUCAUCAACUUCUUCUUCUGAACCAUCCUCAGAUUCCUGCUUCGUCUUUGAAUCUGGGAUUAAAAACCCCUUCUCUACCAAACCCCAUAAACCAUAUGAUCUGAAUAUGGUUACCAUCUUAAUCCUCCAAAAUUCAUAGUUCUCACCUGAGAAAAUGGGGAUUCUAGCCUCUGAACUUCCAGAUCCAGCCAUUACGAAUUUCAGAUUCGCCUGGAAACAAGAUGUUUUCAGAUUUGACCCUUGAUCGAGCUCAAUCAGCUUCGUGAGCUUAGAAUGAGCUCACCUCGAUCGAUUUUCUUCACAGAACAACGCCCAGCUUCAGAUAAUCAAACUUGGCUCUGAGGCCAUGUUAGAGUUUUAGGAUCUGAGUGUUAGAUAUUGUGAGAAGAGAGAAGAGAAUUUAGUGAAAAUUUCCAAUACUGCUCUGCUAUACGUGUAGCAGAGAGAACAUUCUCUUUUGCUAUAUAUUUUCAGUACAACAACACACACUUGGUGUGAGAAGAAAAAUGACUGUUAUGCACAGUACCAGCUGGAUGCUUUCCAUCAAAGUAAUCUCAGCCAUUCACUAUCUAACCAAUCAAGCUAUGACACCUGGACUAAGUAUAAAGAAAUACAACUAAGCAGAAAACAAGACUCUUAAUCCUGAAAUCAACUUAAGCACUUAUAAUUCAACAUUGUUACCAUAAGAGCCAGCUCCGACUUUCUUUAAUUUCAGUCCUAACGGGGUUUCAUCUUCCACUCAUCUUUGCUCUUCUCAGUGUAAGCUCUGCAAUUUGAUUAACUUUCCCAUUAUCUCUCACUGUACUCUAUAUAAAGGAAUAAGUGUCGUCCACUAAUUAAUUACACUUUGUGAGAUUUGAUUUUAAUUAGAGUUCGAAUUGAUGUUGCAGCUAGCAGCGGUGGCACUGGCAAACCAUGCUGCUCAACCAGCACCUCAACUUUACUGGAACUCCGUCCUGCCAAACACACAAAUGCCAAGAGCUAUCAGUGAACUUCUGCAUCCUGGUUUGUGUUGAAUAAAUAUAGUAUGUUACUGGAGUACGUAUGGCAACAUAUUCACAAAUGUGUCACGUAUUUUCCAAUAUGACGUUGAUAUAUAAUUGCAGACUCCACAAACGAAGAAAAGAGCACAAAUGUCAUGAAUGCUGUUGGGAAUGGAAAGCCAAUUGACCACAAGGGCAACCUGAAAAUACUGUACUACCACAGCUUGCACGACGCCCAUUUUCUUACAAGAGUGAUGAUCGUCCCACUGACAAUCAACUCCAUUAUAAAAACGUAGCUAUUUUCUUCUUGGAGAAGGACAUGCGCCCUGGCACAACAAUGAGCUUCCAAUUCCCUAGAAAUUCAAACACGGCUACUUUCCUGCCACCAGAAAGAGCUCAAUCGAUCCCCUUCUCCUCUAACAAACUACCAGAAAUUUUCAACCAUUUUUCAGUGAAGCCAACAUCUGUGGAAGCCAAAACAAUUAAGCAAACAAUCGAAGAGUGUGAGGCUCCAGGCAUUAAGGGAGAGGAAAUAUAUUGCGCCACAUCUUUAGAAUCAAUGGUUGAUUUUAGCACUUCGAAUUUUCGAACAAGAAACGUUCAAGCAAUCUCGACAGAGGUAUUGGAAAAAGGUGCCACCAUGUCCAUGCACAAGCAUACAACAAUGCCGGGACUGAAGAAGUUGGCAGGUGACAAAGUCGUUGUGUGUCAUAAGCAGAACUAUCCCUAUGCUGUGUUUUACUGCCAUGUAAUAAAACCAACAGCAGCUUAUGUUCUCUCCCUGAAAGGCGAUGAUGGGGUGAAGAUUAAAGCAGUAGCCAUCUGCCAUCUAGACACAUCAGAAUGGAACCCAAAGCAUUUGGCCUUCCAAAUCCUCAAAGUUAAGCCCGGAACAAUUCCCAUCUGCCAUUUCCUUCCCACUGAUCAUAGUGUCUGGGUUCCGAACCACAAAUCUGCAUGAUCAUCACUUAGCACUGUACGUAUAAUAAGCUUGCACCCCUGUAUAAUUAUCUCCCUACUCUACUUAUUUCUGCCUCUUCAUGUGGUGUAAGAUAUAUGAUGAGAUGAAGUUUUUGGGAUUAGUGGUCGGGUUGCCUUAAAAACACAGAUUACAGAAACUGCUUGAACUUAACCCGAUCAUGUUUUCUCUUGUACUCGUAAAGCAUGCUGUUGUGGUUCUACUUAAUUUCGUUCUCCCCAAUGUUUGAGUGUUUAAUUGUUACGUUGGAUAAUGCUUGUAGUUAGAGAAGCCUUCAUUUAUAUCAAAGUCCUCAACUUGUAAAGAUAUCAAUGGUCCUAGUGCUGCCACGUGUAAGAAGAUUGAAGAAUAAAGCUGUUGAGAUAUUGUUAGACCUGUUAUGCAGUUUAGGAAAACUGUUAGUAUUGAUAAGAGAAGGUUAGAGAUGUUAGAGAGGUUAGAAAACACGUGAACAAGGCUUUAACUCAGCUGAUAUAAAGUCUGUAGUUGUGCUCAGUUGAACUUAAUGAGAAAUACAACAAGUCUCUUCUCUAUCUCUGAAAUUCUCUCUGCUCUCUCUGCUUUACUUCUUUUGUCUCUGCUCUACAUUUUUUUUCAAUCUUCCUAUCUUAACAAAACUAUCAAGAAUUAAUGCAUCCAGAAACAUAUAUACCAAGACGCAAAACAACAUAUUUUUCAUGCUCUGUCUGUAACACCAAAGCAAACUUCCUUUAUCACAAAAGGAUCAAAUUCCAGUACUAAUCUAAUCCAUCAUGUAAAGCAUACAAUCUACAAGUGCCUCCCUUAAUUUGUCCAUUGGAUAUAUAUGUCACUUUUUGGUAAUUUGGUAUAGCAGCACCACGUAGUCUUGAAAUAGUAGUGCGGCUAUACCAAAUAUACCAUUUGCCCCUGCAUUUAACAGAAAAGUAAACAAAAUUGACGGUAGAACUAUUUGUCCUAACGAAACUGCAGUUGAAAGACCAUGAGAACGAUUUUGAAAAUUGAGGGACUCAAAUGAAAAUUGGGUCUAAGUUCAAGAACCAAUAAAACGAUUAACCCAUAGAUUUUGGAUCCAGUACCACAUCCCAAAGAGAAAACCACAAGUUUGCAAGCAAGUUUGUCCAUAAUAACACUACGUACAGUAUGGGCAGUGCGCUAGACUCAUCUCACUUUCUCAACCUAUCCUAUAGUUGUCUAAAAGAGUUUCUAAUUUAAUGUACUGAGAUUUACGAAAGAAAUAUCAGAGAAACAAUUUUCAGGCAAUAAAAAAAUGUCUUGGCAAGAAAAUGUACAAUUUGUUACAUAACUUAUUAAAUAUGAACAGUUGAAAGAAAAAAGAAUCUGGAUGAGGGAUUUGCAAAUUCCUAUGGCCCAAUUACCUUUUUUUCUUUGUUGUUUUUUUUUUUUUUUUUUUGGUUCUUUUGAUCCAGUAGCAUAUUCCAAAGAAUGAAAACCACAGGCAUGCAAUGCAAGCUCUUUUCCCACGUUUUCCUCUGUUUUUCUCCUAUCAUGGAAGUGAUUAAAACACACCUCUAAGCUUGUUUUGCGUUUGGUAGCCGAGUGUAAAAGCUCAAUGCAAGAUAGUUUGAGGUAGAAUUUUCUCCUAUUUUAUUAGGACAAUGAUAAUUAAAAAAAAGUGUGAUUCAUUGAAUAUUUGCGGGGUUUUGUUCAGACCUGACAAAGUUCUAAGUCAACACAUCAAAUUCCUUUUUCCAACAUGCAACAAUUGUAUUUGAUUCCCAAUUUUUUCUGAUAUACAUCACAUCAUGCCACUUGCAUCAAAUGAAUUUAAUUGAGUGAGGCAAUGGGAAGUAAUUAAGCUCUGUAUUCGUGGGUGGAGUGUUACUUCUGGAACCCUAAUAAUUCGUCCCUACAGGACUCUAGAACUCUCAAACUUCUUACAAGGACUACUUAACUCUAUAGCUUAAUGCAUAUAGCAUAUAUAUGCAAACACAAUUAGAAAUUCUACAACAGAAGCAAGAUCAAUCUCACUAUGCCUUCUAAACAAACAAACAAAUAAAACAAGCAUAUUAAUUGCUUUAAUCACUCUACUAACAUCAACACAGCACACUUAGUUUACUAACAGAUGAUAUAGAAAGGAAAAAAAAGGACCAAUAGGGAGAAAAUGGUGAACUAAGGAGAGACUAAUACUUCUGGUCCUUAGAAGGCAUAACAGAAAUAAUAGAGCACACUGCUUGAAUGCAAGUCAGUAUUAGGAGCAAAACAGCUGCAAUGAAAGAAAUAGUUGCCCAAGGUGUAUUGAAAUAAUGUUGCCUCAAAUUUGCCUUCCAUUUGUUCCAAGGCUUUCUGCAGUAGCUAUUAAGGCGCUCAGAAAGAAUAGCAAAGUAGAAGCUUUCACGAUACACUGCAAUUCCUUUUCCGAGGUUGUUAAUCAGAGUGCACACCUCAUUGUAGUCACCAAGCAUAUUUUUGACAAUCCCAUCCUUCAGAAGGAACUCCACAUCCUUUUCGGUGUUCACAAACUCAUCCAUGAGUGAAACAUAAUCACUUAUGUAAUUCUUACGGCAAUGGCACUAUUCAAAGGCAAUGAGGUUACGGAGUGUGAGCUCUGUGUAAUCGUGUAUUUUUAGUUUUGGAAUUUCUAGAAUCCCAUCGUUGAAUUGUGUUAACGCAGCUUUCCUUUCCUAGCCUACACGGAAGUCAACUUCACAAUCUCCUCCUAGCAAUUAGUCUUUCCUGCUGUAAAUCAGAUUUCCUACUGUAAAUCGGAUUGUAUUCAUGUCUAUAUUAUUUCCUACUUUAAGUAGAUAUCUUGUACUAGUAUAAAUAGGGACUUUGUGUAAUCUGUUAAAUACAAGGAAAUAUAUACUCUGCAUGGUAUCAGCCUAACCUAGGGUUCUCUCUCUCUCCCUUAUUCGAUCCUCUUCUCCUUUAGGUCCACCUCAUGGCUUUGUCUGAAUCCACCAUCUCCCUCCCAAGCCCCAACUCUUCUAUUUUAUCAAGCUUAUUGACUCCAACUAUCUUCUUUGGCUCCGCCAACUCAAACCCUUUUUAGUCGGCCAUGACCUCUGGAAAUUUAUCGAUGGCAUUCAUAAACAACCUUCUGCCCACACCUCCACCUCUACCACCGCAACACCCACAACCACCACCACUCUUACCCAAAUCAAUCAUGCCCAUGCUCAGUGGUACCAACAAGACCAACUCAUUGUUAGCUACAUCACCAAUACACUCUCUGAGUCCAUUCUCUUUCUCACUGUUGGUUGCACCUCUGCCCGGGAUCUCUGGGAGUGUCUCCAACGCCACUUCUCUCAAUCCAGUAUGGCCAGUGAAUCUACUCUUCGUUUUAAACUCAUGGAUUUGCAAAAAGGCUCUGAACCCACUUAUGCUUACAUUCGUCAUGCUAAGUCCUUUGCCGAUUCACUGGCUGCCAUCAAUGAACCUGUCUCCCCAAAAGAACUUGUCACUACUGUGCUUUGGGGUUUAAGACCCUAUUGCAACAUCCUCGUCACAGCAAUUCUCAAUUUCCCUCUGCUUCCUAACUUUGCUAAUCUUCGUGCUCGUUUGUUAGCAUUUGACGCACAGACUCCUUGAAUCUCUCCUGAUCAAAACACAGCGCAAAUGGCCACCCAAUCCUCUCCUCACACCACCGGUCAUACUUCCUUCCCUUCUCACCGUGGUGGUGGCUCUUCCAACAACAGGCGUGGUGGCCUCGGUGGCUGGCGCAAUAGCGGCCGGGGUGGCUGGCGCAGCUUCUCAUCUUCCUGGAGCAACCCGUGGAAUGGCUUCCAGCAGCUCCAAUGACCUAAUCAACCAUGGCCUCCUUUUGCUCCAAGUUCUGGAUCUCAAAGCAACUGGCCUUCCUUUCAGCCUCCUUGGGCCUAAUCUGCCGCUUCUAUCAAACACUUUGCCCGGCCCAACUCAGCUCCUGGUGUCUUGGGACCCGCUUGGUGCACUACCUGCAAUACCAAUCACAUACUACUACAAUAUGUCCUCAUCGCUACAAUGGCCCAGAAUCCUUUCUUUGCUAGGGCUCAAUUCAUGUAGCCACCUGACUCUACUUGGUACCCUGACACAAGUACCACUCAUCAUAUGAUUGGUAGUCCUUCUAAUCUCCAAAAUCAAUCCUUCUAAUCUCCAAAAUCAACAGCCAUAUCAGGUUCAUAAUUCUGUAUUUCUUGGUAAUGGAGAUUCUCUCCCUAUCUCUCAUACUAGCUCUCUCUUUUGUCUUCCAUCUCUUCGUACUAAUCUUCUUUUUGUUGCCCAUUUUACUUGUGAUAAUUUAGUUUUCUUUGUCUUUACUCUUGACUUUUAUCAAAUCUAUGACUUAUGUACUGGUUCGUUACUCUUUCAGGGCCCUUCUAAAGAUGGUCUUUACCCACUUUCCAUCUCCUCUCACUCAUCCAUAGUCCCCCAUGCCCUUACCACCGUGCACUCUCCUGCUUGGCAUCAUUGCCUUGGCCAUCCAUUCCAUCGUGUGCUCUCUCAUUUAGCGCCAUCUCUAGGCUUUAAAGUUUCUCAUGCUUUCUGUAAGGAUUGUGCACUUAGCAAAUCCACCAAACUGUCAUUUCUUAGUAAUAAAACCUUUGCCCCAUCUCCCUUUUAUUUAAUUCACUCUGAUGUAUGGAUGUCCUCGGUCAUUUCUGUCACUGGUUAUCGCUAUUAUGUCUUGUUUACAGAUGACUUUUCUCGUUACUCCUGGAUCUAUCAUAUGCACCGUAAAAAUGAGGUCUUUUCUCACUUUCAAACCUUUCUUGCUAUGGUUAAAAAUCAAUUUCACACCACUGUACAAAUUCUUUAAAGUGACAAUGGCACUGAAUAUGUUAAUAAUGCUUUCUCUGAUCUUUGCAGUCAACUAGGCAUCCACCAACGUUUCACAUGUCCCCACACUCCCCAACAAAAUGGCCUAGCUGAACAUAAACACAGACACAUUGCCACCAUGAUCUGUCCCCGGUCAUUUAUUCAACCAUCUUGACCUUUUGCUUGAUCAUUUUCCACAAGCAACCGUCCACGUACCCCAAUAAUUUAAAAGGGCUGAUGAUCUUUAAUUUGGUGAAAGCUUCUAUCUACCUACCGUGCUAUAUAUGAGCUAUGCAAUCGUGACCGUGUUACAUGACGUCCCAAUGUCGUAGGGAUAAAAAAAUAAUAGUCAUGGUUUUCUUAUUAAUGUCAAUACAUUCAUAGCAAAGAGCUUGUAGCUCUAGUGGUUAAGAGCAAUUACCCAUGCACUUGAGAUAUUUUGUGUUUAAAUCCCCUCUUCCCCAAUAUUUCUUGUAUAAAAAUAAAAAUAACAAUAAUAAUGACAUUAAUGUUGUAUUCUAUAAAGUGUUGGACAUGUUUUAUACCCCUUUCUUGCAAAUUACAGUUUGCCACGUGUACAAAAAUAAUAGAUAAGUGUUGGACAUCAAGAGCACUUACAUAUAGGUUUAAUAGGUAAGUUUUGAAUAUUUCUGUAUUUAGCUUUAAAUAUUGAAAAUCAACCUAUUAGCAUAUUAAAGAUUUGUCCAUAUUCGACGUACAUUCUCUUAUUUUUCUCUCAUUGAAGUAAAUACAAAACUAAGCACAUAGUGGGAAAGUGCGUCACGAUUAGGGGUGGGUUUAGUCUAGGUUGGUUCAUUUUUGGGCUCAAUUUGAACACCGAACUGUAAGCUUCGGUUUGGCUAUUUUGGAAACCGAAACCAAACCAUAAUUGAUGAAAACCGACCACUUCGAUUACCUUCUGGUCUUCCAACCAGAAGAAAACUCAAAACUUUAACCAUACCAAGUGCAACAGAAUUACACCAGGCUGGAUUCAAGUUUAUGAUGGUUAAAGAUAAAAACUUAUUUGACAUACAAUUUGAGAAUGGAAUCCUCAAAAUUCCACACCUGCGAAUACGGGGUUUAACAGAAAUUUUCUUCCGCAAUCUUAUUGCCUAUGAGCAGUGUGAGCUUCAUGAUCAUUACAUCAACGACUAUGUCUUCAUCAUGGACCGCCUGGUCGACAGUGCCAGGGAUGUGGAAUUGCUUGUGAAGAGUGGAAUUCUUGAAUCUAUGCUACCGGACAGCGAGGCAGCAGGGGAAUUUAUUAAUUCUCUUGACUUGGGGCCUAUUUUAGGCAAGCUUGAAACAAGACUAUUUCAGUUCACCAUGGGCUGGCCUGUCUAUUAUUGUAGCCGCUAUACUAGUUGUGCUCACAUUUAUUCAAACAGUGUGCUCCGUAAUGGCGCUGUAGGUUCUUCAUUUCCUCAAUUUCAUGUUUAGUGGUUGCAGAUUUGUUGCUCAUGUACGUGUUUAUCUAAAGUUAAAUAAGAGUGAUUGACUGGAUUGACUGUUAGUCUGUUAGUUUGUUUUUCUGGGGUUUUUCCCCCCUGUUCGUCAAAAAAAAAAAUAAAAGAGUGAUGGCUUGUGCCUAUGAAAAUUACUUAGGAGUAUGCUCCACAGAGCCAAAAUAAAUAAACUAGGGAAGUGGAGGUUCUUCUGUUUGUAUAUAAAUGAGCAAUUCAAACUCUCAGUGCCAAGGGAGUUACCCUUGAUACAUUUGUUAAAAAUUAUAUAUUUGGUCUUACAUCAAACAAAUAAUUUGAAGGGCUUUUUUGACAACUGCUGACAGCGUUUGGCAGAAAAGUUUAGAAGCGCUUCUACGCUUCUAGAUCAUAAAAGUGCUUUACCAAAAAGCACUUAGAUUUCUUAUGAAAAUUUCAACAUUUUUAUAAUAAAAGCGCUUGCUAGAAGCACUUAUAAGCAGAAGUGCUUCAUAGAGAAGCAGUCCCAAACGAGCUUGAUUUUCAAAUGUGCUGCUUAAGAAGAAAUUUAAUACGUUUUGAAAACAAAAAAAAAUACGAAAUUUAAUACGUUUGUUUUACAAAUUGUAUUAAUUGUUAUCAAUAAUACUUGUGCACACCCACAACAUACUUCUUUCUUUCUUUAUUUUCCUUCAGUACAGUUCUGCCUUUCUUUAAUUAUUUUUAACGAAUGCAAAGAGUUUGUCACAAAAUCAAGGAUUGAAAAAAAAAGAGAGUAAAUUAUGUGCUAGAGAAACUUUCCUGCAGAAAUUGAAGAACAACUCUAGUUUCUCUCUUUCGCCUUGUACUCCCGCACUGAGGUUAGUAUUGUUAUAAUGUGCAGAUUAUACGGUCACUCUUGUAUAAUGGCGAGAAGGCUCUAAUUAUAUUUUUGAACCUCUUUGACAGGACCCGCCCCGAAUUUCCCGAAACCCAAGACGAAUUCUGUGGAAAUUCCCUACAUCACCCCGAUGUUGGGCCCACUUCUAAAACUAUAUCAUUUUUCCUAAAAAGGAAUAAGGGCACGAGACUUUCUACCGAAAUUUCGGCAGAGUCUCUCCUGUAAAUUGAACAUUUCCCAAAAUUUCAACCUGCAUAAAACACAUUUUAUAUUACCCAACUGGCAGCAUGCACAAAAUAAUAACAUGCAAUUCACAUAAACGGCCUCUGGCCCUCCGGUAAUUCAGAGCAAUGCAAACUAGCAACUCUAAACCUAAUAAAACAACAUAAGUAACAUUUAGCCAGCGGCUGCACCCAGGCACUACCCUAGGCUACCUACGUACCCUUACUAAGGGAUCAAGCCACACGUAGUUCUUUCAUACAAAAUUUCCAAAUCCAUCAACAUGCAAUCAAUUACAGAAUCCCAAACAAAAUCUUUCUCAAACAUCAUUAGUUCCCAACUCAGUAUAAUAAUCCUUAAUUCAUCUCUGUAAUAAUCACAAUAUCUCCCCAUACGCCGGAACUACCAACACCACGUAUGGAGCCUGCCUGUACGCCAGAUAACCAACGACACGUGGGACCUCAUCAUCAUAUCACAUAAUCUCCCCAUACGCCGAAACUACCAACACCACGUAUGGGGUCUGUCAACACGCCGGAUAACCUACGACGUGUGACCUCAACAUCAAAUCACAAUAUCUCCCCAUACACCGGAACUACCUACGCCACGUAUGGGGUCUGUCCACAUGCCGGAUAACCUACGACACGUGGGACCUCAUCAUCAUAUCACAUAAUAUAUUAACGAUCAAGAAAUAUCACUACGGUCAUUUAAUCCUCCUGGGAAGGUAAAACUAUCUCAGGAGACUCACGGUCAACCAAGGGUCAAACUACCUCAUACUUGGACAAACGAGCCCACGGAGCCCACAACCUCCGUUUUACUAUCCAAGAGUUCCUAUAGGUUCUACAAGGUUUAGGAUACACGGCUUGCAAGUUUGGUCAAGAUCAGACGGUCGGAUCGCUCACGAUAGGACGGUUACUGCAAACCUAGCCCUAGGGUUGGCAUUUUCGGAGUAUCCGAAACUCCGUUUUACGAUCUGUCGAAUCAUAGACGAUCCUAAGGAUUUGCAGACUAACUAUAAUAAAUUCAAGACCAUCCAACGGUCUAAACCUAUCGAACCCGGAUAACGCGCAAUAGGCAAUAUCCAAAUUGAAAUCCGAGCACACCUACGCACUCGUGAGGACUAGGAGAUUACAUCGGGACAUAGUGCCCUUUUUCUACAGUGCCCAUGAGCCGCCGCACGCACCAGCAACGCGUGGGUGCCCAAAGCGAUUAUGCAUCGCCAAAAAAUCUCAAAACCACGGCUCAAGACUCCUACCCUAGGUAUAACACCCUAUUUGGAACCACUUUUGUUCUUGGACCUACCCCAAAAACUGAUCAGAAGUGGCCGGAAUGGCUGAAAUGUAAUUCAAAAAUCAAGCUACCAACGCUCAAAAUCGAUGCAAUCCUACCCAACCAUCAACUAGAUUAUGAAGAAUGGAUAAAUUUCCAUACCUUGAUCGCCAACAAUGGCGGCCGGAGGAGAGAGAUCUGAUCCGGCGAAGUUCGAGUGAAAACGGCCAAAAAUCAUCUUUUUCAGGCGGCUGGAGGGCGACCGAUGUCAGGGAAGGGCAGGGUCGUGACGCUAAGGCUGAGCCUGUCCUUUUGGCACCGGUCCCUUCCGCAGCCGUGUCCGGUGGCUGGAGUUUCGAAGAGAGAGAGAGAGAGAGAGAGAGAGAGAGAGAGAGAAAUCUGAUUUUUAUCAAACCUUUUUGCCAAAAUUACGGUUAUGCCACUGAGGGUAUUUUGAUAGUAUCUCUCUCGUUACAACUUCGAUUCGAGCCCACCACGUGUGUACGGACUCAUCUAACUGUGUUGUACGCAACGGUAUAGUCGAAAUUCCCAAAUUAUUUCCUUGUCAAAAAGUCAACUUUAAACAUUAUAAAAUAUUUUAGGGAAAAAAUGGUAUUUUCUCUCAAUAAAUUAGUAACUAAUUUAUUUAGGACUGGGUCAUUAUACUCUUUUUCGCUUCAAUGGAUGGGAAAAAAUUUUAUGUAAUAUCCCACAUCGACCAACGAAGAGGGGGCGAUGUGUCUUAUAUGUACAUGCCCGCCUCCAUCUAGCAUAAGGCCUUUUGGAAGCUCACUGGCUUCAGAGUCAUGGGAACUCCGAAGUUAAGCGAGUUGGGGGCUAGAGCAAUCCCAGGAUGAGUAACCCACUGGGAAGUUGCUCGUGAGCUUCGAGAAACAAAACCGUGAGGGCAGAGAGAGGGGCCCAAAGCGGACAAUAAGGCCUCGUGCUAGAUGGAGGCGGGCAUGUACAUAUAAGGCACAUCACUCUCUCUCCGUUGGUCGAUGUGGAAUGUUAGAAUGGAAUUGUUACCUUUGGUGUGGAGGUGUUCUAUCAUUUGAGCAAGAAAUUCCCACAUAUUCUUCAACUAUUUUUCAAGCAUGCAUAUUCCUCCCUAUCAAUCUUUGGUUUCUUCCUUUACUGUGCAUAGUAAGGAUCCAGUCAGGGACGGACCGUCGCUAUGACUAUCCUGGGCUAUAGCCCAGGCAAAUUAUUUUUUUUUCUAGUCUAAAAUAGCAAUCCCACCGCUUGCUGUAGUACUUGUUCAGUUCGUCACAAACAUGAGCAUAAUAGAAGUUAUCAACAUCUAUAUAGGAACCCCAAUGAAAAGGCUGUUAACUAAUAAUGAAGUUAACCCGUCAAUUUUUCCGCAUAUCAGAUAUCUCUCAGAAUAUGCGAUUCCAUAUUCAAUAAGCCACUCCACAUGCCCUGAGGUUUUCAUCAAACCACCCAUUAAGGAAACAUACUGACUCAUGUAAUUAUCAUUACUCAUCGGGUAAUGCAAUUGUUCAAAGGCAAGGACAUUUCUCAUUAUUUAUGUAGCGAACCCCAAUGGAAAUGGUGGGAUCUUCAGAACCCCAUCGGUGCUACUGAAUUGUAUGUCAAAUAUGUUUUCACCUUGUCACGCCUCAAACUUGACUCCAGCGUGCUGUAAUUCUGUCAAGCUGGGUAUGGAUGAUGGGAGUUUGAUGCAGGAGCAUAGGGGUGGAUCAAGAUAGAUAUUUACUAUUUAAUUAGUUAUUUCAUGAUAUAUUGUUAUUUUCUUAUUUAGGUAGUUUUAUGAUAUCUUUUAUUAUUUAUGUGUGAUUUUAUAAUUAAUUAGUAUACUUUUGGACCAAGUAGCCUUGGUGCUCAAGUCUUGUAAAGCCUAUAAAUAAGGCUAAUGUAAUAGUUGUAGAAUAGAUGUCGAUGAUUAAUAAAAUCGUUUAUUUGUGGCAUGGAUUUGCUACGAUAUAUGUGAGUUUGCACUAGCCCUAGAUUUCAGUGCUCGUGUAUGUGGUUGGUGACCUGUGUCCGGAUCCCGAUCCCCAUCAAUUGGUAUCAGAGCUAUGGCUCAAGAUCUGCUAUAUCGGGGAGGUUUUUGGAUGGAGGGUCGUUUUAACAACUACAACGACAUGGAGGAAAUUAGGAGGAUGCUACGGCAACUUAUGGAACACAUUGCUCGCAUUGAAGCUCGAACCCAGAUAGGUAAGAGUUCUGACGGGGAGGGAUGUGUGAACCCUUAUCUGAACCGAGUAGCUCGCAUCGACACUCUAAGCCGUGAGAGUCUCGACGGGGAGUACGAGGGAGAUAGCCCUUUUCAUUAUUGUGCUCCGCUGUGUGAGUCAAGUGAAGAGGGGCACGGUUAUUCUCAUUGUGUCUUUGAAGGUAUAAAUGAAUUUAGUAAUUUUGGUGCAUCUUGUUAUUCAUCAAAGUUAUUAAAUUUGGAUUUACCUCCAUUAUUUGAUCCUUGCAAUUGUGAAAAUUGCAAUAAAAAUUGUUUGGGUGUUCAAAGCAAUUUUGAUAAGCAAUUUAUUGACCAGAACAGUGAAGAGAUGAGAAUUGAGAAAACUUUCGAAGAUAUUAUUGAUUUUAUGGGCAUUAAUAUUUUCACUUGGAAGGUUGCCAAAAAUCUGGUUGAUUUUGUCAAUCGGUUGAAGAUUCUAGAGAGAAACAUUUGCAUUGCUAGAGGGAGUAAGAAGUCAAGAAUAACGAAAUAUUCCAAAUAUCUUUUUAUUUGGAAAGGAAGGUUUCAAUUGGAUGCUAAAAGAUCCAAAAUUAAUAUGCAGCAAUUGAAGAUUCUACUCGGAUUUUCCUUAAUCAAAGGCUUGAAUUCGAGGACGAAUUCUUUCCAACUAUGGGAGUCUGAUGCAGGAGCAUAGGGGUGGAUCAAGAUAGAUAUUUACUAUUUAAUUUGUUAUUUCAUGAUAUAUUGUUAUUUUCUUAUUUAGGUAGUUUUAUGAUAUCUUUUAUUAUUUAUGUGUGAUUUUAUAAUUAAUUAGUUUACUUUUGGACCAAGUAGCCUUGGUGCUCAAGUCUUGUAAAGCCUAUAAAUAAGGCUAAUGUAAUAGUUGUAGAAUAGAUGUCGAUGAUUAAUAAAAUCGUUUAUUUGUGGCAUGGAUUUGCUACAAUAUAUGUGAGUUUGCACUAACCCUUGAUUUCGGUGCUCGUGUAUGUGGUUGGUGACCUGUGUCCGGAUCCCGAUCCCCAUCAGAGUUCCCCUCCAGCUUUUGAUUCCAACGGUUGAUAGAGUUUAAAUAUUUUCCUGAAAAGAUCAAUAAUAUGUGCCACUGAUCUAAAAGUCUCCAAAUUGUCUUCCAAUUUGUCAACAGGCAAUAGAUGUUCGAAGAAACUGAAAGAAAUACAAAUUAUUGAAAGCCCCUCAGUAAUGCUGUUAUUGUCAGCAUUAGCAGGGAGUGUAAUUUUCUGUGGGUCGAAAAGAUCCUCGAGAAUGAAGAAUGGCAACUGAUUUUCAAGCAACCACGUAUCUGUCCAUGCAUCUUGCAACAUACCUGGUUUGUCAAAUAUGCGGUCAUUUUCGUCCCAAAAUUUGAAGUAGUCCUUCAAUAAGGGCUCAAUAACGAAGGCGGCGCCCACUAGAAUGAUUGUUACAAAUUCAUCACUGCUAAACUUGAUGGGUUCUCCAUAACAACGUCUCAAUCUUGCUUCGUGGUCCUUUAUUUUCUUAAUAUAAUCCUCCAAACUCACAUUGGUCCGACCUAUAAAAUCUUGCAGGUAUCUCUGUUUGUUCUCUUCCAAUACGACAUUCAAGCCUUCCUUUCCAUGGUGAAGUGGACCUAUAGAGACCGACUGCCUGAGGUGUGCAGAGCUUUUCAUUCACACAUACGUAGAUAAAAUGUCUGGGGGCUCAGAGAGUGAUGAAUGUGCAACAGCUAAUGGGAGGGUUUAUAUUCCUGAAGUAAGAAAUGAGGAAACACCAGCAGUUGGGAUGAAGUUUGACUCGCUUGACCUCGUUUACAAUUUCUAUAAUAGAUAUGCAUUCUUGGCUGGCUUUGGUAUUCGACUUCAUUCUAGCUUUUGGGGGAAAAAUAAGAAAGAGAUUUUGAGGAAAGAAUUUGUAUGUUGCAAACAAGGUGCAUACAAGAAGGAUGAAACUCGGGAGAGAAAAAGACAACGGGGAAUAAGUAGAUGCAAUUGCAAAGCAAAGAUUGUGGUUGUGAAGACAAAUGGGAGCAAGAAGUAUACCAUUUCUCUUUUUGCAGAGGGACACAAUCAUAAGAUGACACCCUCAGAAAGAAUGCAUUUAUUGAGAUCACACCGUCAUAUUUCAGAUUCUACAAAAGUACUCACAAAACAGUUGGGUUCAGUUAAUAUUCCCAUUCAUCAGAAGGUAAGUAUAUUCGAGGUGCAAUCCGGAGGAAUGGAUAAAAUCGGUUUUAUCAAAAAAGAUAUCUACAAUCUUGAAUGUAGUGUGAAUGGGAAGCUGAGGAACCACGAUGUUGAACUAGUGACCGAGUAUUUUAUGGCUGAACAGAAAAAAAAUGAGGCUUUUUAUUUCAAGAUUGAGGGAGAUGGGCAUGACAGGUUUAGUCGAUGUUUUUGGGCAGAUGCAACUUCUAGACGGGCGUAUGGGUUUUAUGGAGAUGUUGUUGUAUUCGAUACCACAUUCAACACGAAUCGAUACGACUUGACAUUUGCACCAAUGUUGGGAGUUAAUAACCAUGGUCAGACAAUUGUCUUAGCAUGCGCAUUUUUGAGCAAGGAAACGACUGAGUCGUUUGUUUGGAUGUUUGAGGAGUUUAAGAAAGCCAUGCCAGGUGGGGAACCUAAAACGAUCAUUACAGAUCAAGAUGCGGCAAUGGCCAUAGCGAUUUCAAUAGCCUUCCCGAGUACAUUUCAUCGACUUUGCAUAUGGCACAUCACAUCAAAGUUCUCUGUUAAGUUACCACGUGACGCUUAUAAGGAGUAUUGGCCUGAAUUUCAGAAAGCCAUAUGGGAUACUGACAAUAAGGAUGAGUUUGAUGCAAAAUGGAAUAUUGUGGUUAUAAAGGCUGGUUUGACUGACCAUCCAUGGCUAAGUUCAAUGUUUGAUUUAAGGGAAUCUUGGGUUCCAGCCUACGCACGACAAUUUUUUGCCGCUGGAAUGUCAAGCAGCCAAAGAGCGGAAGGUUCUCAUGGUUUUUUCAAGCAAUACAUAUCAAGGAGAAAUUCGUUGAUGGAUUUCAUAAUACGAUUUGAGAGGGCAUUUUCUCAUCAACGUGAAAAAGAGUUAGUUGCUGAUCACGUAGAUGCAUUUGAAGUGGCUCAAUGUCUUCUACCGAUGCCAAUGAACAAACAAAUGGCUACCUUGUACACAAGGACAAUGUUUCAAAAGUUUGAGCAAGAACUAAUACAAAGUACAGCAUGUUUCCUAGAGCUCAAAACAGAGGAUGCAUGUAAAGUUGUGUUCAACGUGAGCGAAAGGAAAAAUUGGGAAACAAGAGUGGCAGAAGUCGUAUAUGUCAAAGAUUCUGACCACGCAUCGUGUAGCUGCAAAAGAUUUGAAUUUGUUGGAAUUAUUUGCAAGCACAUCCUAGCAUUGUUCAGAAGGGACCAGAUUGAAUAUAUGCCCGAUAAAUAUAUUUUGAAGAGGUGGAAGAAAACUGCGAAAUGUGGAUUGGUGUCAGAUGCAAAUGGCAACGAAAUUAAAGACUGUGCAGAUCCUGGCCUUCUAAUAAAGCGGAGUACAAUGUCUCGACUUGCUUCAAAUGUGGUUGAGGAUGCAUUAAUGAGUGAAGAAGGAUGUGAGCUACUGUCAGAGACUCUAAAAAGUUUGCAGGUGAAGUUGAAGUUGCUGAAGGAUGGACCAAGUAAUAACGAAGUUGGAGGGUCCAGCUCUCAAACACAAUAUAUGAAAGACCCUAAGAGAGUGAGGUGCAAAGGAAGGUCGAAAGGAAUAACGGGAGCAAAGGAAAAGGCAAUGAAGCGAGGGAUUAGACACUGUCGGGAGUGUGGACACAUUGGUCAUGAUAGAAGACAAUGCCCAGCCUUGAACACACCGUAAGAUGCUACCACUAUUUGUAAUAAUAUCUAAAAUAUGAAAAGGUAAAAUUUUUAUGUGCUUGUGUUUGAUGUUUAUGCAGGACAUCACCGUCGAACAAUGACAAAUCAACUCCAAUACAUCGUAGUGACCCAUUAUUCGACGAUUUUGACAAGAUGCACAGACCAACUGAAUGAUUGAUAUUUGUAUUAGACGAAAUGUGGUUGUUAUGAAGAUUAAUGAUCAAGUGAAGUUUUAUAGAUUCAGUUUUUGAAUGUUAUUGUGUUUUUGUUCAUGUCCACCGAUGAGCUCUUACUAUGUCCACUGGUAAUUGAAAUGAAAAUUUUCUUGGUUUCAUUCUUCCAAGACAUUUGGAGACAUGUUAAUUUUACGUCUUCUCCCUAUUUAUAAAUUUUCAUAGACAUUUGAUCAAGUUUGAAAUUUGUAGUUAUGUGAAGAAGCAAUGACUCUUACCAUGUAAAAUGGGCAGUUUAGGGUGAAAUUUGUUUUAACAGAGAUUCAUUUUUCAAUUCCUCAGGGUAAUGCAGCAAUUACAGCAGCCAGCUGUUGUUUCCAUUACCAGUAAUCAUUUCCAGCAGCAGCCACUUUUUCCGACUGGUUAUUAGGGGCACGAUUUUGUACACUUUUGUAAGUGAAGGAUACUCGAAGCACUUUGUUGGAACAGAGCAAAUAGAAACCAGCGGGUAAAAAAAAAACAUAACAUUGCAGCUAAUUACAUUUCGAUACAUAGGUGAAAAAUAUUAAAGGGUACACUAACUUACAUAAAUACUCAUAAUUCCACACACAAAAGAACAUUUGAUUGCAAAACAUAUUAUGUGCUUCCUCAUAGCAAUACCACGAUCUCCCCAACCAACUGAACAACGGUAGCCACAAUCACUGGGUCGUACUCGUCAGCUUCUUCUUAGCAGGUCUCACAUGCUUAUGGCCACUCAUAUCCCUAGUGAUAUACACGAAAUAAAUCUUCAGCAAUAUUUGGAAUUUUAUUAUAUAUAAAUAAACCAUAAACCAUUCAGUAAACAAUGUAUAGCACAUGUUAUGUAACUUAUGACUCACGUGUCAGUUUUUUUUUUAACACAUUAGUACUCCAGCUCUUUAAUGUAAAUGGACAUGAUAAGGAGCAUUUACUGAUUCCCGGCUUUCUAUGAUAUUGACUGCUUCUUGAAUAAUAUUUCCAUAUUUGCAAAAUAUAAUGUUAGACAUUAUAACACAUGAUGACUUGCAAUACAUAGUCCCAAUAAUUAUAUAUCAAGCAAAUGAAACUGAUAUUUGUGUUAUUUUAAGUUAGAUAAUGACAUUAAGGGAGUAUAUGUGCAAUACCACGGUCACCCUCAACCAACUGAACAGCGGUAGCCGCAAUCACUUAGUCGUAUCGGUCGGCUUCUUCCGAGCAGCUUUGACGUGCUUAUGCUCAUUCAUGUCACCCCCAUCGUCUAGUAUCUCUCUCACAGCAUCAGGGGACACAUAGUUCCAAUCAUAACUUGUAUGAGUAGUUGCCGCAAAUGCUCGGAAUUUGUCGAAUCCUUCGUUGAAUGCCAACUCCAGUUCAGUAUGGUGCUCUUCGCAUCGCAUAUGGUUCAUCAAACAACCUUUGAUUUCAUCAUUCAUUACUGUAUCCAACUCCUCAGCUUUCAGCUUCCUGCUAUGACUCAGCUUCAAGUACUUGUUCUUUUGGGAUAACGCUUUGUUCACCCUAAUGUUAAGAUCAGCCAAAAUUGCCUCGUCUUCAACACAUUUCUCGUGCCAUGAAUUGAUCAGUCUGGAAUUAUAAUCCAGCUUGCCACUGACUGCAUGUAUUGCCUGUAAUGGAUCAUCGGAGUCCCCCUCACUCCCAAAUGAUGUUGAAAAAGGAAGGGGUCGGCGAGUACAAUGUGGAAAUAGAACCUGCCACUCCAAUUUGUCAUCUUCGAUUGUGUUGUUGGCGCCUGAAGAGGUUGACAUGCUUGAAUAAUCCUCUUUGUUUUGGGAGGAUGAGGAUUGCAUAUGCAAUUUCGUUUGAGAAAGGGAACAUAGGUUUAUAGACCAACAUACCAAAGCUUGUGUGUAGUCAACAUAUGUACUUUUUGGCGGGAAUUUUUUAAAAAUAGGUGUUAGGUUUUGCUUUUCAAGCAUGUCAACCUCACACUCUCCUGACACCACUGCUAGUGGUUGAAACAAAGUCAAUGGAAGUGACAUCUACUUAGUUAACUCAACCAAACUAGUUAGGAUUAAACUUAGAUUGUAUCAGACCAAAAAAUAAUUUCUACUUUGUCAACCAAAUAUUUUUUGGCGGGAACCCUUUUCUUGGUAUUACUAUCACCCCUUUCAUAUAAAAUCUCCUUCCACACAAAACUCACUCCUCCACCGAAUCUGUCUCCAUCUACCGAUACUCUCUCAAGCAAACAAACUCAUUCCCCCCAAAGAAUGAGCAUAAGCACAACCAAGUUUGAUGUGAGCAUAAUAAACACCCCUCCAAACAAAGACCGGCUUCGACACGCAAGUGAGUCACCGGACAAGCAAUGUCACAUUGCUAGACAGAAUGACCAUUUUGUUGGAAGUUUUGAGUCUGAAAGAGUUGUUGCUUUUUGGAAGGAGAGGCAUCUUCAACUUGGUGAUGAAAUCCAAAGGGCAAGGGCACGUUUGGAAUUUGUGGAAGGCCAAAUUGAAGAUGACAAAAGGCAGGCCAAUCUGGAUAGGGCGAAGUUGUAGCGCAUGAAGCGUAGACACAAACGACUUCGGAGUGUAGCUGUUCAAAAAUACAAGAACUCAUCUAAUGUAGUGGAGUCAAAGAAGCGUGUGAUGCAAGCUGGAUUCGACUACUUCCGAUCCUAUGCAAAACUCGUCGUACCCGGGUUUGAUUGGUCAUCUAUUACCGUUUCCGACGUCACCAAAUAUACUCAGCAAGGGAAGUAACCAUUUUGGUUCUCGUGUUUUAGCAGAGGCAAAUAAGUGGAAUUGGAAUUUUGGUUACACUCUGCUUCAAAGCUAUUUUGAUGCUAACUACUAUGGAAGAUUUAAACCUUAAUAUUUUGAUGUCUUUAAUUACGAAAACAGAAGAUGCAAAGAGCUCAUCUACUUCAGCCAUAUGUUGCUGCCAUGUCCAUUUGUUUUUGAUCACUUAUCAGAUUUGGACAUGGUUGCAUCAUAUGCAAUGUUGCCUUUAUUUAUUAUAUGUUAGGACAAGGUUUAUGGAAAAGCUUUUGUGAGUGCGUUUGUGACAAGGUUAUGGAAUUAUUAUGUACACUUUAUAUAUUGUUUUUUGUACUGGUUCAUUUCCUACUAUUUCUUGCUUUCUUUAUAUUUUAUGUUUGUGGAAUCCCUCUCAAAGUUAACAUAUACUGUGAAAAAAAUAUUAUGCAACUGAUUAUAUAAUCACUCAUAUAGACUAGGACAAAUAUUCACUAAGGGUUUUAAACUUGCUUCACUUGUGUGAUGUUAUUGACAAAAAGUAUGGCAUUAUUUAUGUGAUUUGACAUGAUUGAAAAUAUAUUACUGAUUCCCAAUGCGGCGUCAUAUGGACAACGUAUUGAAUACCUGUGACGUGUUAAUAACUCAAGGUGCAGUUGCAUGUGGACAACUUCUUGAAUACCUCUGACGUGUUGAAAACUCUAGGUGCAGUUGCAUGUGGACAACUUAUUGAAUACGAACUGACGUCUUCAAAGCUCUAGGCGUAGUUGCAAUGAUGGCUUCAAAGCAUGUGCAAUUAUUUUUUAUGUACAUUAUUAUAACAAAACAUAUUAUUGUAUAUAGUGAAACUAAAUAUUGUAUUAUUAGAAAUUAUAUUUCGAAUAUUAUCCGAAAUAUACGUGUUAACGUGAAUUUGGGUUAAGAGGAAAGUGAGUUAUGUACAAAUAAUUUUCAUUUUCUCAUUUUCCGGGCAUUUUUUGGAUUUUCGUAGAAUUUAUUACCUAUGUCCACAGAUUGUUGCACUAAAAAAGCCAAAAUAAUAGCAAGAGGACACCUGGAGCGAUCUCAGCCCGUCACUGAUGACUACUUGCACAAGUGUACGUCAGUCAACAUGGCCACACCCUCCCAUUUUACCCUAAAUUAUUAUUUUAUUACUUUUCCUUACAAAAAUCAGAACUAAUUACACACAAAAUAAAAAAAUUAUCCGAAAAUUGCUACGAACUCAUUGACACUCCAUCUCCGUUGCUGAAUUCUCCGAUUCAUUGUUACGUAUUUGUAAAAUUAAUUCCCAACAUUAACGGGAGAUGCUUGUUGAAGUAGGUUAUUCAAGUUGAAGUUAACAAACAUCAAUACUUAGGGUUAAGAGGAAAGUGAGUUAUGUAACACAAUUUGGAUUAUUUCAUUGCGAGACGAAUGAUUUAUAGGUUCUCCUAGUUUUAUGACGUCACAAGUAGGCCGGAGUAAUUUUUGGGGCAUUUUUACGAUUUUCCUACUAUUUUUUACCUAGUUUCAAAGAUUUUUGAACAAAAGAAUCCAAAAUGUAAAAGAAGAUGACACCUGGCGCGAUCUCAGCCCGUCACUUUUCACUACUUGCACAAGUGUACGUCAGUCAACAUGGCCACAUCCUCUCAUUUUACCCUAAAUUAUUAUUUUAUUACGUUUUGUCUUGGAAAAUUCAUAACUAAAUACACAAAAAUUCAAAAUUAUUUCUGAAAAUUGCUACGAACUCAUUGACACUCCAUCUCCGUUGCUGAAUUCUCCGAUUCAUUGUUACGCAUUUUUAAAAUUAAUUCCCAACAUUAACGGGAGAUGCUUGUUGAAGUAGGUUAUUCAAGUUGAAGUUAACAAACAUCAAUACUUAGGGUUAAGAGGAAAGUGAGUUAUGUAACACAAUUUGGAUUAUUUCAUUGUGAGACGAAUGAUUUAUAGGUUCUCCUAGUUUUAUGACGUCACAAGUAGGCCGGAGUAAUUUUUGGGCCAUUUUUACGAUUUUCCUACUAUUUAUUACCUAGUUUCAAAGAUUUUUGAACAAAAGAAUCCAAAAUUAACAAGAAUAUGACACCUGGCGCGAUCUCAGCCAGUCACUUUUGACUACUUGCACAAGUGUACGUUACCGAACAUGGCCACAUCCUCCCAUUUUACCCUAAAUUAUUAUUUUAUUACCUUUUUUCUUGGAAAAUUCAUAACUAAAUACACAAAAAUUAGAAAAACGAUCCGAAAAUUUCUACGAACUUAUUGCGAUUUCAUCUUCCUACUGCAUUCCCUGUUUAAUGGUUAUGCUACAUUAGUAUUUUAUUAUUAUUUAUCCACAAUUAUUAUAAUUAUUAUGAUAUUACUUUUUAGGCUGUCCAUUUGUUAAUUAUACCACAUCCAACUUGUUGAAAACAAUUUUAUUUUCCGUGCGAAUAGGCCAUUUGUAGUGCUUAUCGGUUUCUCUGUUCUUCAAUUUGUUAAUUUUUUUAUUUUUUAGGUUGAAGGGAUGUUUUGAAACAUAAUAUGGAAAUAUACAAGUCAUCCAUUGUACUCCUUCCACACAAAAAAAUAGUCUACGUCAUUCACUGUUCAACACCCUAGGUUAAGACACGUGUAACCAAAUCCGUUCGGAUAUGCUAAGUGGGAAAAUGUCAUUCCCAAGCACUGGUGAAAAGACACUUAUUUACUCCAUGCAUGACUUUUGGUUUACCAAAUAUGAAGAUUGGGGUCGGUGAGCAAAAUAUCUGUGUCAGUAAAAUGUCAUUCCUAGCCAUCUAUGAUGUAAGUAAUAAUUCCGCUAUAUAAUAAAUAUUAUACAUUUAUAUAUAAAACGGUUUAUGACAAAAUACCAACAUUUGAACAACAUUUAAACUGAGAUAGGUAUAACGUAGCCAGCCAACCUAGAAGUGAAGAGAAGCAAGUCCACAAUGCAUCAAAACUGUAAAUUCGUACUAAAACUAAUGCAAAAAUACGUGAUUCCCUCGCACAACUUACUCACGCAGGAUUUUGCACCAAAAAAUACUCUCACGGUGCCAUUUGCAUCGGUUGCAGCAAGUCCAAAACGCAGGAUUUAUCUUGUCUUCACUAGGCCACCCUGGAAUAACAAAAUACCAUUCAUUGUUGUUACAAGCGCUGCACCGAUUGAACUUAAUCUUCCCAUAGUCAAACAUAUCUACGAUAUGUCUUGCAACAAAUGCUCCGCGACAUCUUCCUGUUAAAGCAUCCCUGGUUCCUUUCAUAUCAAUGUUGUUACGUUGAUUCAAAGAACACAAGAAUUGUAAUGCAUCCUCUUUUGACUGACCAAUUCCGGACAUACCAAGUAGUCCAACUACAUAUGCCGCUUCCAUAUGGCCUGCCGUGGCUGCAAUGCGCAUCCCAUACAACGCUUCCACCUUACCGUCUGUGAAAAAACCUUCGAAUGCUUCUCUAAAUAUGGACUCAGGGUUAUCGCAAGCCCUGCAUUGUUGCAAGAAAUGCUGGACUGCAGGUUUGGCACGGUAGCAGAUAGGAUGGUGUGGGUACUUUGCCAUUGAAAUGGUGUUCCACACUUGUGGACUGUUUGCCAAAAUGUUGAACAAUCGGCACACACAUGCCAUACGGAAGAGAUCUUCCGAUGAUUCGGUUGCCACGUAUAACAUCACUUGAAACCAAGCGGACUCCGGGAUAAAGGCUUCGGGCAUAUCGAAAUGGAGAUGCUUCCUUCUCUUUCCUCCGACUGUAGUGAAGUGUUUCGAAUUCAUUGAAAAGUUUUUGGAAUGGAACGAUUUGAGGAGUGGCAGAGGGGAUAAAUGAUAAUAUUUGGGGUACACGUUCUACUUCCGAGCCUCUGUUUAUAGUGUUUUGAAAAGGUGUUUCCAGUUGGGGUUUUUCCAAGUUGACCCUUUUGAAAGAAACUGAAUCCAAGUGAAUUAAAACUUAAGACAAAAGAAGGGAAAACGUCAUAACGGUGCAUACAGAGUCAGACAGUUAAAAAGUUAAUUAAAUGGCUAUUUGCAUAGCCAUUUUUGGGUUUAUCCCACUAUCAAAUUCAUUGAUACAAAUGUGAUGGAUUACUGACUAGUGACAGAAGGUCCCAUCAUAUACUUUUUCAUUUUCGCACACCCAACUAUCCCUAGUAAUGUUAUUAAAAUGGAACCAAUAAUGACGGAUUCUUAUCCAACUAGUUGCCUUAAUGAAAUAUAAAUAAAUUAAUAAAAUUGAAGCAGUGUCCCGUCAUUAGUCAGAAAAUAUAUUUGGUAGUGAAGUAGUUUCUAUUGCUUUUCGGGCUAAAAGAUGUCACAAUGCUGACGGUACAGGUGUCGACAUCGUGACCAACCCACCAAAUGAUCCCAAAAAAAAGUAAUAUAACUCGAUUUGGGCAGAGAUGAGAGAGAGCUGAGUGACAAGUUUAGGGUUAUGAGUGAAGGGGUAUGAAUGACAACUAUGAGUGAGAAGGUAUGAGUCCGAAGAGGUUUCAGUGAGAAGAUUUGAGUGAGAAGAGGUACAACUGAGAAGAUUCAACAUGUCUUCGUCUUCAUCUCCUGCUCAAACAAAGAGGUGUCAGUAUUGUGGAGCUACAAUGGUGCUUCGGGUUUCAAAAUCUGAAAAAAAAUCGAGGGAAGCCAUUCUGGAAGUGUCUAACCUCCUAUGUAAGUUUUAAUUUAAAGAAUAUGUAUGUGGGUGAAAAAAAACCUAUGUCUAACUCUGACAGAAUUAUAUUCCAUAUAUGAUGCCUGCAAUUAGGGAGCCACCAGUUGCAAUGGAUUCGAAUGGGUUGAUGUAACCUCCGCUGAAGCAGAACAUCAAGAUGACACGUAUGAUGUUAGAGUGCUGAACAUGCUGAAGUCCAUUAAGGACUUGGUAUUAGUUUUAUUAGUUGUAUUAAUUGUCAUUUUAUUUGUUCUUUUAAUGAUCAUUUAACUGCACGGUUUAAAAGAUUGUGAAAGUUCUCUCGCACAAGACAUAUUGCACGCACCACCAAUGAGACCCUAAACCCAUUUUGUAAUAUUUGGUAACUGCAUGUAUUUCGCAUGUUAUUGAAUGUUUAUUGAAGGUUUAUUGAUAGUUUGCUGCAUGUAUAUGGAAUAUCAUUGCCCCAAAAUUGGAUGUUUAUUGGGGCCACAAGUAUCACUCAAGUAAGAAUGAAGGGGAGAAACGGACCUUAUUCUUUCUUAUAGUAGGAAGAACAACUGUUAAGUUUAAUAUCCUAUUCAAUACGACUUCCCUAUGGUUGGUGUACUUGGGGACUGAAGUAUAUUGCAUCAUUAUUGUGGGCAAGGGCAUGUCUAUUGUGUGUGUUAAGGGAGUAUUGUGUGGGCAAGGGCAUGUCUACUGUGUGUAUAUUGCAUGUCUACUGUGUGUAUAUUGCAUAUCUAUUCUCUGUAUAUGGCAGGCCAAGUUUGUGUAUAUUGUUUGUCUGUUGUGUGUGUAUUGCUUGUCGGUGCGUUUGUGAAUUGUGGUUCAUUUUGUGUAUAUUGUCUUUGUUUCUACUUUUAUGCUACUGAGCUGCGGAAAACCUCGCAUGUUUAGACACCUAUUAUGAUGCAACACAUUGCGAUUAAUGGUGGCUUGCAUCAACAAUGACAUAUCACUUUGCAAUGAUGUAAUACACUUAAAAAGCCGUCUUCAAAUCCCAAUUCACAUAUGCAGUCUUAAAAUUCUAAUUCAAUGCAGUUUGGUUAACAAACAUGUAAAUGUCAUGAAGGAGUUAGCGGUAGAAUUCGAUAAGGACCCGUACGUCUCUAUUGUGUAUUUACAUUAGUUUGAGAAUGGACAUUCCCAAAACCUUCUCAUGUACCAUUUGUCAUCUUCAACCAAUAUCAUGGGAAGUAAGCAUCUCCCCUUGUUAUCUCCGCAGCCAAUUUCAACCGAAAAAAAGGCAUGUUGUGCGAGGUGCAAGUAGCUAACGGAAGCUUAGCGCUGAAAAGCUCAAUGUACUUUAACACAAACAUGCCACAAUCGCCUCUGAAGCAAAACAAGAACUCGAUCAAUUCAACUAAUGACAUUCUAAUGUAAUUGACAAUUGAAAGUAAUAAAAUUAAAUUGCAAGUUGUGCUUACUCAUUAGACUGUUGUGGAACAUCCACACGCUCUAUUGGCCACGGACACCACCAAUCUCGGCUGCAAUUGUUUGCAUAAACACCUUCUUCAUAAAAGUCGAUGGUGUUGAGAAGAUUUGGAAGCGUAAUUGAUAGCGGGCCGAGUUCUUCCUUUACGAUGUCAUCUGGAAUUAGUGAAACCUUUGAAUCGUACACUUUGAUUCACACAAUACCAGAUCAAACANNNNNNNNNNNNNNNNNNNNNNNNNNNNNNNNNNNNNNNNNNNNNNNNNNNNNNNNNNNNNNNNNNNNNNNNNNNNNNNNNNNNNNNNNNNNNNNNNNNNNNNNNNNNNNNNNNNNNNNNNNNNNNNNNNNNNNNNNNNNNNNNNNNNNNNNNNNNNNNNNNNNNNNNNNNNNNNNNNNNNNNNNNNNNNNNNNNNNNNNNNNNNNNNNNNNNNNNNNNNNNNNNNNNNNNNNNNNNNNNNNNNNNNNNNNNNNNNNNNNNNNNNNNNNNNNNNNNNNNNNNNNNNNNNNNNNNNNNNNNNNNNNNNNNNNNNNNNNNNNNNNNNNNNNNNNNNNNNNNNNNNNNNNNNNNNNNNNNNNNNNNNNNNNNNNNNNNNNNNNNNNNNNNNNNNNNNNNNNNNNNNNNNNNNNNNNNNNNNNNNNNNNNNNNNNNNNNNNNNNNNNNNNNNNNNNNNNNNNNNNNNNNNNNNNNNNNNNNNNNNNNNNNNNNNNNNNNNNNNNNNNNNNNNNNNNNNNNNNNNNNNNNNNNNNNNNNNNNNNNNNNNNNNNNNNNNNNNNNNNNNNNNNNNNNNNNNNNNNNNNNNNNNNNNNNNNNNNNNNNNNNNNNNNNNNNNNNNNNNNNNNNNNNNNNNNNNNNNNNNNNNNNNNNNNNNNNNNNNNNNNNNNNNNNNNNNNNNNNNNNNNNNNNNNNNNNNNNNNNNNNNNNNNNNNNNNNNNNNNNNNNNNNNNNNNNNNNNNNNNNNNNNNNNNNNNNNNNNNNNNNNNNNNNNNNNNNNNNNNNNNNNNNNNNNNNNNNNNNNNNNNNNNNNNNNNNNNNNNNNNNNNNNNNNNNNNNNNNNNNNNNNNNNNNNNNNNNNNNNNNNNNNNNNNNNNNNNNNNNNNNNNNNNNNNNNNNNNNNNNNNNNNNNNNNNNNNNNNNNNNNNNNNNNNNNNNNNNNNNNNNNNNNNNNNNNNNNNNNNNNNNNNNNNNNNNNNNNNNNNNNNNNNNNNNNNNNNNNNNNNNNNNNNNNNNNNNNNNNNNNNNNNNNNNNNNNNNNNNNNNNNNNNNNNNNNNNNNNNNNNNNNNNNNNNNNNNNNNNNNNNNNNNNNNNNNNNNNNNNNNNNNNNNNNNNNNNNNNNNNNNNNNNNNNNNNNNNNNNNNNNNNNNNNNNNNNNNNNNNNNNNNNNNNNNNNNNNNNNNNNNNNNNNNNNNNNNNNNUUUUCCUCUCCCUCAUCUCUAUUAUUUGGCCCUUCACCCCCUUCAAUCCCUUCAUCUUCUUUUUCCUCUCCCUCAUUUCUGUUACUUGGCCCUUCAUCCCAUUGAAUGUCAUCCAUUUCCCCAUAUCCCUUAAAUAGAUGUGAGACGACACAACGAUUCGUCCUCUGUUUCAGUAAAGCUAGGUCCCUCCUUACUUCCUGCUCAAACUGAGGACCUAAACAUUGGUCCAAUAGUUUUUCCAUCCGUAUGACCUUUAAGUGAAGGACGUCUUUUUCCCGCUUUUCUUGAAACAACUCGGACCUCAACAAGCUUACCACCUUGUUCAACUCAUCAAGAUCACCACAUGAAGAAGGAAUUGACUCUGCCGAGACAACAGCAGGGCGAUCCUGUGGCCAACUCCAAUAUGGCUGUCUCAUUUCCUCUUCACUUAGACAUAGCGCCCGCAACUGAACUGACUGUUUCAGAAUACAGACAAGAGUCAUAUUAAAUCAUUCUACUUCAUAAUUUCAUUCAAUCUUAUCAAUAGUUCUAAGGGCUGCAAACCAAACCUCUUUGCUCUGGAAAAAAUAAUUGUUCAACUUUCUCAUCUCUGGAACAGACGUAGUAGUUCUCCAUCGCAAAAUACGCGGGACAGCGGUCGGAUCAACAACCUUGCAGUAAUUCAGGUCCGCCAUUCUAGGAAUUAAUUCAUAUACCCAAAUCUACACAAUUCACAGGACAAAAGUCAUUAUUUAUGUUUUAAAGAAAAACAAAACAUAACUGACAUGAACAUUAUUACCAUGUACCUGGAAAGCAUACGUGAAACCUUUAAAACUCCAGCCACUCCUUUGCGCUUCACUAUGCUUAUCCUUCUUGCCCUUCUCAUUUCUCCGGCUUGUUCCCGUUACCUUACUUUUCCCCUUCCCUCUUCCCUCUUCAUUUUCCAAGCUUUUCACAUACUUUGUUGGUGCAGAAAAUAGACUGUCUUGGGUUUUGUCAAAGGACACCGAACCCCACGGAUACCUGUUGAACGCAUCCAAGUCCUCUACAAGGGUCAGGUAAUUUAGAUUGAUGUUCAAAUGUUUGUCCCUUCCCAAAACCACUAACUCAGCAAAGUAAACAAGAGGUAGCUUGAAGAUGUCAUCUUCCUCUGUGCACCUCACAAAUGCUUCUUCUAAAGCAUUGCAUGUAAUUCCUUCGUCUAUAAAAUAUCUUUUCUGAAGUCUGAUUUCAUUACUCUCUCCACUGGAAACUUCAGGCACUUCCCCAAAACGAAGCCCUGUGAUCAAACAGAAAUCCUGACGAGUGAACUGAGCAACGUCACACCCUAAUAAGAAACUCAGUCCAUCCAAGUCUUUCACACCCUGCCCCGCUACUCUACGCAACACAACCCCAUGCACAAUCUGUCCGCUAAACUGAAUCUUAUCUAUAUUCAGAAGAUGGCCAAAGCAUGAUGUCUUGAAUUGUUCUAAUUGUUCCGCACUCAACUUCGCUCGAAUUGCAGCUAGAGAUGAAUUUGCAUGUGAGCAGUUGUUCACCCGUGAUGAAUAUACCUCUGCCUCUGGCCAUACCAGCUCCACGUUGGAUCCCAUUUCCUCAAAUACAAUGUGAAAUAACGUGAACAUAUAUACUACCACGUAUUUGCACAAUCACAACUAGUCAACCAGGCACAUUACAACUUUUACAAAGUACAUGAGCAUAUGGAUUACUCAUCACAGGCUUUAACAUCAUCAAAGCAAUAUGACAAUUUUUGUGCAAAUACCUGUUAAUGCAAUGAUUAUGUGAAUUACAAACAAUUUCACGUGUUUUAUUUAUGGAUCCAUACUCGUGUGAGUGCAAUGUAGGCAAGUUCUGCACUUCACACACAUGACAAUUAUUGUCAUCUCAUACACAACCCAAAAUAAAUAAAUAAGAAAUAUAGUGGAAGGAAGCAAAGCAAAGCAUGUACUCUGCUAUCUGCUUGCUAAGCAAUUGCCACAUCCUUCUUUCUUUCUACCUUUUUCUUCAGUCACCCACAAUCGUCAUAGAUCAACCUUCAUUUCAAAUGCUUUGCACUUUUAUUCAUGAGUUUAUUAUUAUCUGUUCUCAUUUCUCAUAGGCAAAUUUAGUAACAAAUGAAAUAAUAUUUAUUUCACAAAAUAUAUAAAUUCUAGUGCCAGAGAGGUACUCUUCACUCUGCACUGCUUCAAAUGUGGAAGGUUUUGAGAUGUUAUUGACAUGUGAUUGACUUUAUUUUCAUUCGUUUUUUAACAUAUACCCAAGCAAAAAUUAACAUGCAAUUGAAGCACAAAUAAGAGAUGCCAAAUCCAACAACAUUGAUGGUACAAAUUGGGGAAAACCAUUACUCUAACCCUAAACUCAAAUUCCUUACAUUACUCAUCAAAUGCUUUGCAGUUCUAUUCAUGAGUUUAUUAUUAUCUGUUCAAAUGUUUCUCAGGCAAAUUUAGUAACAAAGGAAAUCAUAUUUACUUCAUAAAAUAUAUAUAUAUAUAUAUAUAUUCUAGCGCCUCUUCUUAAUCUGCACUAUGCACUGCUUCAAAUGUGGAAGGUUUUGAGGGCCUCCUCCAAUUCAACACCAUUAUCUUAUUCAUAUCAUUAUUGACAUGUUAUUCACUUGUUAUUGACUUCAUUUUCAUUCUUUUUUUAACAUAUACCUAAGCAAAAAUUAACAUGCAACUGAAGCACAACGAAGAGAUGCCAAAUCCAACAAAAUUUAUGGUACAAAUUGGGGAAAACCAUUACUCUAACCCUAAACUCAAAUUCCAUAAAUUACUCACCAAAUGCUGGUUAUUGCAAGGUGUCUGUGUGGGGUCUUUCUGUUUCUUUGCUCCACAAAUGGAACCUACCACUUCCAACGAAUACAGCUUUUCCCCUUCCCCUUCCACUGCUUCGCCUCUUCACUGAUUUGGAAUCCACACCUUUGCCCCUUCUACUCCAAAUAAAUACUUUCUCGGGGUCUGGAGAACGGAGUGGCGAAUCGUUGCCUUCAACUGUCGUUAGCCGUUGCCUUCAUUGGGUAUCUCAGACCUCUGUGUUUUAGAGAGAUGAGUUCUUUCUGUUCAAACUUCGAACUUGCCUCUUCUUCUUCUUUUUCGGACGUGUUUCCCUCUUCUUCUUCUUUUUGGACGUGCUGGAUAUUCAAUUCGGGUUUGGGUUCCUUACCUACCCAAUUGUGAAACUUUAACUCAAUUCUCCCCAGCCCUUGGAUUAAUCUGAUGGCUAUAAAGUGAACCCCUUAUAACUUACCCCUUAUAACUUUCCACUCAUUAUAGUCUUGGCCAGGUAUGGCGGCCAUGCUAGUAAGUGUUGGGUCUUUGACCCAACUUAAGCUAAAUGGGUCAUAAGAUGACCGAUCAUCUUAUCUCAUAAGGAUAUAUAAGUCAUGUUAUGAUUUAGGAUUUUAUAGGGUUUCCUUUGUAAGAGGUAAGAGAGAAACAAGCUCUCUCUCUCUCUACACAAGGAGGUCAGCCAUAGCAAGGGAAAGGCUCCUAGCACUCUCCUCUCUCUUAUUAUAUCAUCCUUCCAAGGACAGCUUUGGUAUGGUAAAGUUGGAGGUUGCACACUUUGUGCACUUUGGUAAGAACUCAUCCAAGGGAGCCAAGAUUAAAUUGGUUAGCUGUUGGAUUAAAUUGGUUAGCACGAUUCAACGGUUAAUAGAUAAAACUUCACAUAAAAGUCAUAUAUAAGGCCCUCACUAUAGAAUGACUCGUUAGUUUAGUCUCUUGUUACAUAUCAAAUGUUAGAGAUAUUUUUUAAUAAGGAUCUGCCAUACCACAUAGUUGGAUAAGACAUUAUACACGGCUUUUGUAAGAGCAUCUCCAGCGCUCCAAACUAGCCCAAGCAGCAGGGGGGCCUAAGUCUAGGAAGCAGCUCCAGCUCGCAAGAUUCAACCCAGGCAAGGUGUGGAACCCACGAGGAGAUCUAGCCCGUCACCUUGCCUUUGGGUUUCAGUCAAGCUGAUGUCAACGAAAGAAUUUCAAAUUUUUUUUACCGUUACAAUGUACGCGCCAACGAUAAAUUUUCUUUGGAUUUCUUGCAUUGAUCCACAGCUACCAAAAACCAACAGCUACAAGCCACGUGGCUUCUCCAGGAGCCUCCGAUCCAAAAAUCAUGUCAAAUCUAACGGCAGUCCAUUUUUUGGCUAAAAAUAUCAAAAAAUUAUGGAAACAUGUUCUAUAAAUUCCUACAAAUAUUAUUCACUUCCCACACCAAAUCUUCAUACAAAUUCAUAUCCUUUCAAUAUUUUUCACUUUCCAUACAAGAUUUUCUACUACUAAGUUUCGUUUGUGUAAAAAUACAAAUGACCUCUUCUAUCGAAGCCGGAGGCGCGUGUACAACCGUGGAAGAUAUUUUGUUGCGUGAGUGUUGGGUCAAAGUUGGUCAUUCCCUGAUCACGGGCAAUGAGAUGAAGUCCUCUCGUAGGAGUUUCUGACAUCGCAACGAAAGUAAGAUGUGAUAUGAAAAUGUAAGGAAUUUGAUGAGAGGAAUGGGAUUUGAGGAGUUUGAUGUAGGAAUUGAUGUAGGAAUUGAAUUUGGGAGGUAUGUAUAUAAGAUUUGAGGGUAUGUGUUUAGGGAUUUUGAUAAGAGGAUUUGAGGAAUUUAGAUUUGAAGGAUUUGGAUUUGGGGAAUUUAAAUAUGAGGAAUUUGAUUAGGGUUUGGGUUUGAAUAUGUGAAAUUUGAUAUGAGAGUUUAGAGACAACAGAUGAUCGAUUGCUCUGAUACCAUGCUAAAAUAUGAUAUGGUUUGAAUACUUUAGGUUGAGUUUUAUUCUUUUCCAUAAAAAGGUAUAUAUAGGAGUUUACAUGAGUGCUUUACAAAGAAAUAGAUACAAUAAUCAAUUAGGAUAAUAUCUCCUAAUUAUACAAUAAUUUGUCAACUAUAUAGAAUAGGAAAGUAAAUUCCUUAAUUAAUCAAGAAAAUAAAUCUCAUUGAUUAAUUAGGAGACUAACGUCAACAUUUAUAAGCCAUAAAAGAGCAGAAAAAGAGGUACUUAGGAGAUUUUAUACGUCGGACUAAGGUAAGCUUAAAGGACUAUAUCAAAAAAAUAAGGGACCAAGAAGCAAGACAGAGAAGUUGUUAUGCAAACCCAUUAAGUUUAGCAGUGAUGAAUUUGUAAAAAUCAUUCUAGUGGAUUCUGCCUUCACUAUUGAGUUCUUAUUGAGGUUCUAUCUGAAAGGAUCUGGACAUGAAGGAGACCGCUUAUUAAACAAACCGUGGAUGUUUACAGCCUGACAUGUGGUUGCUUGAAAAUCAGCUCCCAUUCUUUAUUCUUGAGGAUCUUUAUCACACAUACAUAAUAACCGACUCUUUUAGGAAUUAUUACAGUACUCAUGAUCAUGAGAGGCUUUCAAUAAUUAAUAUUUCUAAGAAUUUCUUCACAGCCGGAAUAUUGAAUUUGGAGGGGAAGGGAGACAAAUGGAACAGAAUAUCAUCUUCUUCUAGUGUUGGAAAUUUUAUAUUAUUUAAUAAUAUUUAAUUUCUAUUGUGAAUGAAAAAUAAGUUUCUUUAAGAAACGUGUGUCUUAGGCCAGUUUUUCUAACUGGUCGGCUUCCUUAGAUUUGUGCCUAUUGCUUUUCAAAGUAUAAUGAUGCAAUGGUUGUAUCUCGUUCAGGCAAAUGGAAGGUAUAUAGCAAUUUAUAGAACAAUACAGUAAUCCAGAAGAAAUAUUAUGAAAUGAAAAGAAUAAAAAGUAAAAAAAGAGAAAGAAAGGAAUUCCCACCUGCAAUGUAUAUGUAUGAAAGGAAGGACCAAGUUUGUUUUAAAAUGGUAAGAACAAGUUGAUUUUAAAUUGGGUUCAGAUCAACUCAUAGAUUUCUUGCCUUUUCUGUUCUCCUUCCUUGGACAUGAACUGUUUAAUCUUGGACUCUUCCCCAUCAUGUUGGGCCUGUCUUCUUCUUGAGGAUUGUAUAGGCCUAGGAAAUGCUUCGGGGUAGUUUUUGUGUUUUGGGCAUUGGGACCCAACUUCACAAAAAGAAAACAAAUUUGACCAAAACACAAAUUUGAAGGACAUUGAAAUUGUACCCGUAGGAUAGAUUAAAACACUAUAAGGGAGGUAAAUAGUACGUUUACAGAGUUUAAGUGUAAUAAAGGAAUAAAAACAUGCCCAGAGAAUUGAUAAGUGAUAUCAAUUCUUGAAUAUACGUGAAAAUUAUUUUAUGUGGUUAAACCCCACCUCUGGGGAAAAUCCACGGAACUUCUUAGUCCAACUUCUAUCACUUAUCCUAGACACAUUCUAGAUAAUGUUUGCCAACCUCUUCGUAACUCAACUUCUGUCACGAGAUGAUCUUUCAACACUUUAUGUCGAACGCAAUACUGGUCACGAUUUCUUCAAGCUCGCCGGAGUUCUUCCAAUUCUCCUUAUAUUGAAUCUGAUACUAGUCACGAUCGAUUCAAGCUCAUCGGAGAAAAAUCGCCACAACAAUCUUGGUGCCCUCAACCGUAUGAGUCACUGAACAUGCAAAUGAAUACAAUAUGAAUGAUAAAAGUGUUUGAUAAAUCACCAAGUUAUGGAACACUUGAUGAUUUAUCUCAAAUAAAAAUUCAGCUUUCCAAAGUUUAUGAAUUGAAAAUAUGACCGUUAAAGCUCUCUAAACAAAGAAGACGAAGGUCUUAUUUUAUAGACUUUUACUUUACAAGAAAGAAAACACGUUGAAAACCAAAUCUCCAAUUUCCAAGGCUUGACAGAAAAUCACAAAAUUAUCUUUCCUAUUCUAGAGAUUGGUCACAUGAAGUCCAACCAAUAGGAAAUGAGAUAUUUAAGAAAGGAAGAUUUUGAUCAAUAUCAAUAUCAAAUGAAUUCUUAUACGCCUAGUCAAUUGUUAUGGGUAUCUUGACUCCUUGAUAUUGUGAUAUGAUUGAAACAUGAUUUCCACGUUAGAAAAUUAAGGGGAUGUUAAAACAUGAAGGUAAUAGGAGAAUCAAAUUGAUUUGGGCCAAAAUUGCCUAAAAAGAAAACACUCCUUAAUAAACUUCAAUUUACUUUUAAAAAUAGUAAAACGUGAUUGAAUCGUUCUUUAAAACAAUUCCCUAAUAUACAUGCAUGAUAGUGAUAUCACUUACCUUUGAAUCAGAUGGCUUUCACGGGUCAAGCCACAAGUUUUUGUCUUGGGGAUUGCUGAGCUUCAUCAAUCCUGCCAAUGUCAAUUUUGCCCCUAAGCUCUCUCAAAGCACGUUUACAACCUAUGCUAACAUAUAUUAGAGUUUAUGUUAGUAUCAAGAAAAUGCCAACACUAAUUUCGUAACACGUAGAAAUUGUUAGAGAUUGAAGUUUUUAUCAUUUUUUCUUCCAGACUCUCCACCACUCACUAAUAUAGUUUACUCAUGUGAUGAGUUUACAAAACCUAUUUCUCUACUCUCACAAAGACUAUACUUAGGGGGGUGUAUUCAAUUAGGAUUCUAAAGCGUUUAAAAAGAUUUUGUUUAAGUGCCAGCUUUCAUAGAACUUGAUGGAACUUUAUAAUUCGUAUAGAACUUGAUAGACUUUCAGAAGACUUCUGUAUAAUUUUUUAAUAAAACUUUCUUAAGCUUUCAUAGAACUUGAUAGGCUUUCAUUCCAAACUUAUGUAGAUGGUAUAUUUCAUUUUAUCCCCAUCCUUGACAUUUAAAGAAAGAAACUUGAAUUUUUUCAAUCAAAUUUGUUUUUGUUACCAAAGCAGCAAAAACAAAAAGUACUUGUUUGCGAUGGAAGAACAUAUGCACAGUUCAAAAUGAAAAGAAUAAGAAGCAAAGUACCUAUUUGACCAAUGAAUGCUGUGUCAACUAGAGAAGCAAUUGGAUCGGCUGUCAAAGCCAAUGCUGCAGGCAAUGCAUCGAUGGUCCAAAUUGCAAUAAAAAAAUAUUUUGAAUAAUGGCUCUUGCAGACAAAGACCACAUAAAUUCUGAACUGGUCUAGCUUGAAUAAUAAGGUUAGAUUAGCCAAUUGAUGAGAUUAAAAGCAAAGCAAGUUGAUGAAUUUAUCAUCAACUAUUUAAUAACCACAGUCCUGAUCUCUUGGACCCCUGUAGUCCAAGAGAUUUAUGGUCACCCACCGUUGGAUGUAAAUUCAACGGUUGACUUGAAUCGGGUAAUAAUCAUUUAUGUCAUAUUGCAUUUAUAUAUAUCAUUUUGAACCAUUGGAUUAAUAUCCAACGGUGGGUGACCACAAUCUCUUGGACUCCUGUGGUCCAAGAGAUCGGGACUGUUAAUAACCAAUAGAGUAUUUAAACAUAAACAACAAUGUUUGAUCAACAAAACAAAUAGUCCAAAUAUCAUCCAAAAAACAAUAACAAAAAAUCAAUCAUUCCAAACAAACUAGUCAUUCUCAAAAACUCUCAAAAAACCCACUCAUUCCAAAUUGUAGGAUAUCCAAUUUGAGCACUCCUCAGGAGACAUUUUCAAAAAUGCAUCCUUUUUUGUGUUACUAUGCAACAAAGAGAGUGCUUUAUAACGAGCAUGUUCAUCCAAAUUUGGGGUCUCCUUAAUGGCAUCCCAUAUAUAACUCCGCUGCUCUCUCUCUUUUUCCCUUUUUGCCAAUAGGUUAUGGACCUCCCGGAAGUCGAUGACAAUUGAAUCAAUGCUAAGGCUAAUUCUUCCCAUAGCUUGCUGGGUGGUCACAUUUGAGAUAGCAUUCCCUUCCAAAUAUGUUCUAGUUCGUUUCCUCUAGUAACAAGCAUAAAUCCUAGUAACAAGCAUAAACCCUAACCCCAACCUAUAACCUAAUAACAAGAAGAAAACCCAACGAGGUAUUGAUCAAAGAAAAAUUAGGGAGCAUACCUUCACAGAUGGAGGAAGGAAGCUGUUCGUCUUCGCAGAGAGAAAAUCUAGGGAAAGAGAAAAACGUCUUAUGAAAUACUUGGGGGGGAGGUUGGAUUUAUUUUGGUCUUUUUUAUUUAUAACUCUCCCCUUAAAACCUACGUAAAUUUAUCACUUAAUGAAAUCCUUCCAAAUAUAUGACCUUUCGAAUACACCUAGAUUUGAUUCAACUUUUUUAUAAUCAUAAUUGAAUACACCCAUAUUUGAAUGGACUUUUUAAAAGUUCAUAUAGGUCCGAAAUGAAUAUACUCAAACUUGUAAAACCUCUUUUAAAGUUUGUAUAAAUCCAAAUUGAAUACACCUGGAUUUUUAAAAUCUUUUUAAACACUUUAUAAUCCUAAUUGAAUACACCCCCCUUAUUCUCAAAAGACUAUAUUACUUUACCUCUAUCUCUGUGAAAUGUAAAAAGUUGAAACUUUAAUGUCAAACCUCAACAAAAGAUGAACUUUCAUCAGUUACGUUGAAUUUGGAUUUGUUGAACUUAAGUGGUUUUAUUUUCUUUGUCAGUGUUUGAUGACUUAAUUUGGUAUUUAUUUCUUCUUUUUUUUCCUUGGAAAUGUGUUCCACCAACGUGAGGAAGAAAAAUAUGCACAAAUUAAUAUAUUUAAUAGAAGCCCAAGAUUUCGGAUGCAUAUAAUUUCUACAAAAAUCUACAAAGUUUUUUACUUUACAAACUUCUUAUGUCUACCAAUUUCUACUAAAAUUAAUUUCUCUGUGGUGCUCAAAUUCAUCAUAUGUGUGUCGUUAAUUUUAUUGAAAAUUGGAAGUUCCCAUCAUUUUUGUUUUUUGGGAAUUUUCUGAACCAAGGAAAAUCAAGUAAAAUUAAUAAAGCCUAAAUUGGAAAGGGAAAAUAUCUAGAGGAUGCAUUGUAGGAUUGCUCAUGCCAAUAAUUGUACCCUCUAAAUAUAUAGAGACAUAUUUUUUUUGUUUUCAUGACAUGUGGUCCUAAAAUUAUUGUGUAAAUCUUCAAUCCUGAACGAUGCACCUAAAACUCAUCCACCCAUUCUCAGGCCAAUUAUUGCACCUAGUGGGCUCUCGACCCCCUCUCAAAUUUAACCACAUAUUUUAUGGACCAUCCAGCUGUGAGGUACAUUCCCCCCACAUGCCACAAUUGUAUAUUCACAAUUACGUCUGAUACAUCACAUCAUGCCACUUGCCUCAAAUGAAUUUAAGUGAGUGAGGCAGUUGGAAGUAAUUAAGCUCUAUAUUGGUGGGUGGAGUGUUACUUCUCGGUUCCCCUCAUCAUUCGUCUAUAAAAUGGUGAAGGCAGUUGCUAUUGUUACCAUAAGAGCCAGCUCCGACUUCCUUUAAUUUCUUGCUUCAUAUCCACUAGCUACAUCUGUUACCAAGUUAAUUUCAGUUCUAAUGGGGUUUCAUCUCCCACUCAUCUUUGCUCUUCUCAGUGUAAGCUCUGCAAUUUGAUUAACUUUUCCAUUCUCUCUCAUUGUACUCUAUAUAAACGAAAGUUUUGUGUUCCUAUUGUUCUCUCCGAUUUUAUUUAGUACGUACUUAAGUGUCGUCCACUAAUUAAUUAUACUUUGUGAUUUGAUUUUAAUUUGAGUUUGAAUUAAUGUUGCAGCUAGCAGCAGUGGCACUGGCAAACCAUGCUGCUCAACCAGCACCUCAACUUUACUGGAGCUCCGUCCUGCCAAACACACAGAUGCCAAGAUCUAUCAGUGAACUUCUGCAUCCUGGUUUGUGUUGAGCUCUUUAGAAUCUUAGAUAUCUCUUCUACCUGCCAUUUUACUAAAAUAUGUUCCACCACAUAUUUAUCAGUUAACCAUUGUCAUUACAUGAGUGACACAUAUUCACAAAUCGGCUGAUCACUUAUUUUCCAUUAUGACUUGAUAUAUAAUUUGCAGACUCCACAAAUGAAGAAAAGAGCACAAAUGACGUUGGCAAACCUGAAACUUUCCCAUUGGGCAAUCAACAUUACUCCAGUCAAAAACAUUAUGGAGGCAUACCUGAAACUUCCCCAUUGGGCAAUAAACAUUACUCCAGUCAAAAACAUUAUGGAAGAGGCAAACCUGAAACUUUCCCAUUGGGCAAUCAGCAUUACUCCAGUCAAAGACAUUAUGGAAGAGGCAAACCUGAAACUUUCCCAUUGGGCAAUAAACAUUACUCCAGUCAAAAACAUUAUGGAAGAGGCAAACCUGAAACUUUCCCAUUGGGCAAUCAGCAUUACUCCAGUCAAAAAAAGUAUGGAAGAGGUGCUUCUCCAUCCGACAAUCAACAACUCCAUUAUAAAGACUUAGCUAUUUUCUUCUUGGAGAAGGACAUGCGCCCUGGCACAACAAUGAAGUUCCAAUUCCCUAUAAAUUCAAACACGGCUACUUUCUUGCCACGAGAAAGCGCUCAAUCGAUCCCCUUCUCCUCUAACAAACUGCCAGAAAUUUUCAACCAUUUUUCAGUGAAGCCAACAUCUGAGGAAGCCAAAACAAUUAAGCAAACAAUCGAAGAGUGUGAAGCUCCAGACCUUAAGGGAGAGGAAAUAUAUUGCGCCACAUCUUUAGAAUCAAUGGUUGAUUUUAGCACUUCGAAGCUUGGAACAAGAAACGUUGAAGCAAUCUCGACGGAGGUAUUGGAAAAAGGAGCCACCAUGUCCAUCCAAAACUAUACAACAAUGCCGGGACUGAAGAAGUUGGCAGGUGACAAAGUCGUUGUGUGUCAUAAGCAGAACUAUCCCUAUGCUGUGUUUUUCUGCCAUGCAAUAAAACAUACAGCAGCUUAUGCUCUCUCCCUGAAAGGCGAUGAUGGGGAGAAGGUUAAAGCAGUAACCAUCUGCCAUCUAGACACAUCAGAAUGGGACCCAGAGCAUAUGUCCUUCCAAAUCGUCAACGUUAAGCCCGGAACCAUUCCCAUCUGCCAUUUCAUUUCCACUGAUGCUAUUGCCUGGGUUCCGAACCACAAAUCUGCAUGAUCAUCACUUAGCACUAGUACUGUGCGUAUAAUAUGCCUGUAUAAUUAUCUCCCUACUUAUUUCUGCCUCUUCAUCAUGUGGUGUAAGAUAUAUGUUGAGAUGAAGUUUUUGGGAUUUGUGGUCGAAAUUAACCCGAUCAUGUUUUCUCUUGCAACCAUAUAGACUUCAACUUGUACUCAUAAUAAAGCAUGCUAUAUUUAUGAAGAGAUAUUAAUCUUCAGGCAAAUAGAUAUUAUGAAAACAUAUAUAGCAAUUUAUCCAGAAGAAACAUUAUGAAAUGAAAAGAAUAAAAAGUAGAAAAACAGAAGGAAAGGAAUUCGCACGUGCUAUGCUAUGUAUGAAAGGACCAAGAUUGUUUUCCCUUUGGUUAAUGACUAGAAAAGCUCACUUGCAGAGUGCUUUCUCCGACCAUAGAUGGAAGAGAAAUUUUCUCUUAAUAAUAGCACAAUGAUCGGGUAAUUGUAAGAACAAGUUGAUUUAAAAUUCCUUGACCCAAAAAAAAAAAAAAAGUUCUUUUCAAAUUCAGGUCAACCCAUAGAUUUCUUGCCUUCGUCUUCUUCAUCACGUUGGGCUUGUCUUCUUUUUGCGUUUUGGGCCUUGGAAGUUGGGACCCAACCCAACUUCACAAAAAGAAAACAGAUUUGCCAAAAAUCAAAUUUCAAGUCUCUCCUCCGAUCACUAAUACAGAUCAAAUUUUGGAUUUGAUGAACUAAAGUGGUUUUACUUUCUCUGUCAGUGUUUGAUGACUUAAUUUGUUAUUUACUUUUUUUUUUUUACUUGAUCUUUGUAGGGGCUUUUUUUUUUCCGGCAGCUUAAACGGGCUGGGCUGCCGUAAAGGGUAGAUUGAUGAAAUUGUCCCCUUUGUCUGAAUUCGAAAAUCAAGCCCCAAAAGCGCUUCGAAAGGGCAGUAGAGCCUUAGGAAGCGUUCUGGUUACCUUCACUAAUUAAAACAACAGCAACUUACAGAUGAUUUCUUGAGGCUUACAGAUAAAUUUUCUAGCUUGGCAUGACAUGGAAGCAAAAUCAGCAUGAGUUUAGCACCAAAGAGGAAAAUAUGGCUUCCUAGGGAGAAAUGAGAGUGUUUAAGGUGAGGAAGAAGAGGUUUGCAGGCUGAUUUGGCUGAGAAAAGAGAAAGAAAGAACAAUGUUCUUCCGGCAGCUUGACAAAGCUUCUGACAGAUGUGAAAGUCGUCCGCCAGAAGAGGAAAAUGGAGAAGAAGGAUGAAUAGUGCACGAAAUUGGUGGGUUCUUGCAGGUAAGAGAGAAAGCUUGCUCUCUGAAUCUGAGUUGGUUUUGGUUGGGUAGAAGAAGCCCCCUUUUAUAGCUGCGGGAAACCAUCUUUUUCCAAGAAACCCUAAUGGUUUCUAUCCUUUUUGGCCAAGCUUUUCCCUUCCUUUCUCUUCUCCUCCCUUGACUUUUCCUAUCUUGGUGAAAUUUCCUCUGCCUAUUUGCACAAAAUUAGAGAUUUUGAGGAGCUCAAGGCCCCUUUCCCGCAGCUGCCUUAGUGGAGAAUCCCCAUUUUCAGUCAUCUUUCUUCCUUCUUUUCUCCCAUCUUCCAAGGCUAGGUUUGAUGAGAGAAAGAAAUGGAUAUGCACACUGGUUUGAAGGGUGUUUUUCCUUGAAACUUGUUCUCUCCCAUGUGCUGGAGCUUCCCAGCAGCUUACACACAUAGAUAUUUUGGCUUUCAUCGUGGCUUUUGUUUUCAGCUAGGUGCUGGAGAUUUUGCAUAUAUUUUCUUGAGUUGCUUGGGCCUUCUAGGACAAUACGUUGGUUUAUCAAGUGAAUGGGCUAACUUCAUCAAUUGUUGGGCAAUUUUGGUUGAGUUAAUGGACUAUUUUGGUUCAAGUAAUGGACUAUUUUGGUUGAAAUAAUAGGCUAUUUUUCUCUCUUUGUGCUCACCCACAUAUUUGGGCCUAAAAAAUGGGCUUGAGUUUCGGGGCUCCCAAGCAACCCCGGGACUUCCAUUUCUCGGCCCAUCAAUGAGCCUCAUGUCAACUUAUUACCAUCCAUACCACAACCCACUCAAGCAAGCCUCAGGCAUCUUGCGUGGCUUGGGCCCACGUAAGCUCGUAGUGGCAAUGUUGCUUAUUUGCUUGACGUGGCAUGUGUGCAAGUGCAUAUGACGAACUUUCGCGUGCCCAAAUUGAGUUUCUUCUCGGUAGGGUAUCGCAUUGGGCCGAGAAUUUAAUUGGGUAGAACCGUGGAUUUUUUGGGCCUCAACAAUCUUAUAUAUAUUAGUUUUCUUUUUUUCCUUAAUAUUCACCACCUUUCUGUUGCAUAAGUAUUCCAGUCUUAGCGGGUUUCCAUCUACCACUCAUCUUUGCUCUUUUAAGUGCAAGCUUUUUUAUUUUUAUUUUUUUAUGCACAAGAUUAGAGGGGAGGGAGAUUUCUCAAUGUAAGCUUUGCAGUUUCAUAAUUAAUAUUUCCAAUAUCUCACUGUUAGUAAAAUAUGGAACGGGAAAAGUACGAAUAAAAUACACACAUGUUUUAUUUAGCAAAAUUUUGACAAGAUACAACUGAAAAGUUUGGCCACUAUAUAAUAUUUUGAUUUAAUUUUUUUUAUUUUUUUAAUAUAUAUUAUUUUUAUUCAAUAAUAUGUGAAAAAUAGGUGUACAAUAUAUGAAAUUUGUAUGUAUUAUUGAAAAAUUCGUAAAAAAAAAACAUGUUAUUAAAUGUGAAAAAUAUGUACGUAUAUGUAUAAAACAUGUAUUGUACAUUACUUUUUAACAAACUUGUAUUUUACCUAGUCUUUAAACCGUAUAUGGAAAACGGAAGUAUUAUUGAAAAAUACAUAUGUACGUAUAUGUAUAAAACAUGUAUUGUACAUUACUUUUUAACAAACUUGUAUUUUACCUAGUCUUUAAACCGUAUAUGGAAAACGGAAGUAUUAUUAAAAAAUACAUAUGUACGUGUAUAAUAUGAGUAUUAAACAAAAAAAUGUGCUAAGUACUUAUCUUUUAAUUUAAUAAUUCAUUUCAUUUUGUGAUCUCAUACGUAGUAAUGAGAGUUCAAAUUAAUGUUGCAGCUGACAAUGGUGGCUCUGGCAAGCCAUGCUUGAUGCAGGAGUAUAGGGGUGGAUCAAGAUAGAUAUUUACCAUGUAAUUAGUUAUUUCAUGAUAUAUUGUUAUUUUCUUAUUUAGGUAGUUUUAUGAUAUCUUUUAUUAUUUAUGUGGGAUUUUAUAAUUAAUUAGUUUACUUUUGGACCAAGUAGCCUUGGUGCUCAAGUCUUGUAAAGCUUAUAAAUAAGGCUAAUGUAAUAGUUGUAGGAAAAGAGAUGUCGAUGAUUAAUAAAAUCGUUUAUUUGUGGCAUGGAUUUGCUACGAUAUAUGUGAGUUUGCACUAGCCCUAGAUUUCGGUGCUCGUGUAUGUGGUUGGUGACCUGUGUCCGGAUCCCGAUCCCCAUCAAUGCUGUUCUCCCAGUACCUCAACUUUACUGGAACUCUUUCCUGCCAAACACAAAUGCCAAGAGCUAUCAGUCAACUUCUGCAUCCUGGUUUCUAUUAAGGGACUUUUCGUGAGCUUAUCAUCUACCCAAAUUUUACUCAUCCGACGUAAUUUUAAAAGUGAUUUGAUCCUUUGGCAAAGUAAUCUUGAACUACAAAAAAGGAGGGCACUCGAAUAGGCAUGCCAUUUGGUAUUACCCACCUCUAAUUUCUUUUAAAAUUUUAGUAAUUGAUUUUUAAGAUUAGAAAAUGGGAAAGUUCAAAACCGAAAAAGUUGUUUCAGUUUUGGCAAGUAUCGGAAAAGACUAAAAUUUUCCGACUUUAUUAUUACUAGAAACAAAGUCGAAGUAUUCACCAAUCAUGUGGCCUUCCAAGUGCUCAAGGUUAAGCCAGGAACCGUUCCUAUCAGCCAUUUCCUUCCCAAGUAUGAUCAUGUUGUCUGGGUUCCAACCCACAAAUCUACAUCAGUACCUGAACUAAUCAGUUCUACAUGAAUAUUCAUUCAUGGCAACCUUGGGCUAAGUAUUUGAAUUUAUGCUCAUAAAGCUUUAAUGCUUUUGAGGGCCAAUCGUUGUCUACAUAUGGUAUUGUAGCAUCUUUAGAUGGAAGAGGUCAGGGGUUCAAUUCUUGUUUUCCACUUCUUUAUUUGUUGGUUUAUCGAGUGUAGAGUGGAGUUGCACCUAUAUGUUCGUCUCUCACCCCAUCAUUUACCAUUGAUAUAUAUUUAAUAGAAGCCUAAGAUUUCGGAAGCACAUAAUUUCUACUUUACAAACUUCCUGUGUCUACCAAUUUCUACUAAAAUUAAUUUAUCUGCGGUGCUGAGAUUCAUCAUAAUUUUAAUAGAAAUUGGAAGUUUUCAUCAUUUUUGCUUUAAGUCUCUACUCCACUCACUAAUAAAGAUUACUCAUGUGAGUUUACAAAACAUUUUUUUUUUCUACUCUCUCCUGAAGACUACACUUCUUCUCAAAAAAUUAGAUCACUUCACAUCUUGUGUAUGUGAAAACUAAUGUAAAAAGUUGAAACUUUAUCGUAAAACCUCGACAAAAAUGAGCUCUACUACAAAAUGUUAAAUUUGGAUUCGUUGAUUUAAAUGGCAAUUUGACACUUGAUAGAAAUUUUUACAUACAUGUGUUAGUGUUUGAUCACUUCACAUGUCACUUACUAUAUUUAUUCCACUCAAGUUAGGUAAAUAUUAUUAUCAAACAUUUCAAUUAAUUUGUGAUUUUUUUAUUAUUUAAUCAAUUAUGAAUUAAUGGAUUCUUCUUGUUGUUUUGAAGACCAACAAAAAAAAAAAAAAGGGUAGUGAUGGCUUAUAAUUCUGGUAAAACAACAGUGACGUGGACAACAGAUGUUACGCUGUACUAAAGAUUUUUGAAGAUUCUUUAUUUGAGUUUCUUUCAAGAUAAAAACCAUAUUAUCCACAACCACAAGCACAUCCGGCAGACAAUCUUUGGCUAUUCAUCACAAUUGGGAGACAAUGAAGAAGACAGAAAAUGGAGUAAUUCAGAUGUUACCAGCCAUCCACGACAAACUGAAGUCUGCAAAGCAUUCGUAAUCUAAAAAGGAUGGGGAGGCUGCGCAAUACUUAGCCACGUGUAGGCCAGGAGGCUUUCCAAUUUUAAUAUAUAUAUAGAUUGAAAAAAUAAAAUAAAAAUCAAUCUAUUAUCAUAUAUAUUAUAAAAUAAAGAUUAUUGCUCCCAUGGGCGGUGCUAUGCACAGGACAGUGCCUGCCUAGUCCAAAUUUUUUUUAAAUAAAAAUAAAAAUCUACAUAUGUUAUAAGCUCAUCCAAAAAAAAAAAAAAAAAUAAAAGUGUUGUAAAUUAUAAGGUGGAGCCCACAUGUUGGAAGGCUUUGCCUACAAAAGGGUUCACACCCUCCCUUUGUAAUUAGACAUUGAGAAUACUAAGGAAGACAGAAAUGAAUAGAGAGAAAACAUUCCCUUCUCUCCAUCUCAAUUCCCUCUCCAAUUCCUCUAGAUUUAUAACACGUUAUCAGCAGCACGAAUCGCUUUCAAACAAUACCAGCUGAAUUUUAUGAUGAAACCCAGAUCUCUCAUCCAUCUCUGCUGCUCCACUACUUCAAAAUAAAUCCCACAGAAAAAGAAAAAGCCUCAAUGCUCUCUCUCUCUCUCUGUCUCGCUUGGGAGACUUGGACAAUUCCUCAUCCCCGUUACUGACAAUUUCAACAGCUUCAGGGGAAGCUAGUUUAUCUUCCUCUGCUCACGAAACCAUGACUCUUUCAGAGCCAAACAACAACACAAUAGACAACGCAUGGAGACCAGACUGGAGCUCGUCGGCUAAGGCACCGACGAUCCGACCCUACCCGUAUGGACCUUCCGGAUGUGGUUCCUGGGUCUUGUCUCAUGUGCCCUCCUCUCAUUUCUCAACCAAUUCUACAAGCAGCAGAGCUUCAAAUCAAACAGAUCAUGGCAUCGCUUUCACACCUCCCCAUCUUCCUCUUCCUCCUGUUCACCGCUUUCUAUUCUACAGCUUCGCAGUCCUUCAUCGGCGCAUCCAAAGGCGACAUACCGGCGCUCGCCUCAGAUCCGAACGCGGCGGCUCAGUGGGUGAACUCGAAUGUCCUCGCCUUCUACUCGGCCAGCAACAUCGACCUCAUCAACGUCGGCAACGAGGUCCUUUUUCUCCAACGACCAGGGCCUCAUCUCGCAGCUCCUCCCCGCCAUGCGAAAUGUCCAAUCUGCCCUCUCCGCCGCGUCCCUCGGCGGCAAGGUCCGUGUCUCCACGGUCCACUGCCUCGCCGGAUCGGGAUCCUUCCUUCAAGUGUUUCUCUGUCUUCGACUUGAAAAAGAAGGUCAUGGCAGGCCUAUGUAAAAAUUGCGAAAAGGAAGGCAAUCUUCAACCUUUUCUCCUGUCUCUCUCUUGAUCAAUUCAUGGAAGGCACAUUUGGGUCUUCCGGGGGCUCAUCAAAUGAGUCAGCAAUGUCAAAGGUGGAGGUGGUGGAGCAAGACUACGUGGGGAUGUCAUAUGAGGCAACCUCAUACCCAGCUGAGGCAGAGCUUGUGCUGGGCCUGGGCCUUGGCCUGAGCCUUCGUGGUGGUGGUGCAGGGAAGCAGCCAAAGCCAUGUGCAUGGGGUGAGCGUGGUAGAAUCUUGACUGCUAAAGUUAGGUGCUGAGUUACACUGUGUUCUCUGCUACUGACCCUAAGAGGAGUGCUAGAAACUUCCAUGUUCCGCCAUCAUUUCGCUUUCACUGUUACAAGGCACUGGAGUAUGUUUAAUUGAAAAGUGAGAUACACAGCAAGUUGAUCAGCCUAGUGGAAAGCAAAGGAUUAUUGCCAGGGAUAUGAACACCCACCGAAAUAAAGGGAUAAGUACUCUUUUUCCCUUCGACCAGUUUUUUUUUGUCCCACUGGGUUUUUACUGGCAAGGUUUUUCACGAAACAUAUUCCGUAUCAUUUGUGGUCUCUAAGAGGGAGUGUUGUAAAUUAUAAGGUGGAGCCCACAUGUUGGAAGGCUUUGCCUACAAAAGGGUUCACACCCUCCCUUUGUAAUUAGACAUUGAGAAUACUAAGGAAGACAGAAAUGAAUAGAGAGAAAACAUUCCCUUCUCUCCAUCUCAAUUCCCUCUCCAAUUCCUCUAGAUUUAUAACAAAAAGUAAAUUCUACACAUAUGUUGCCCAUCCAGGUGGUCCCAUAUCUUCUCUUUCCUUUUCUUUUGGCUAUUAGACUUCUUGUUUCUCUCUCUCUCUUUGCUACCCCACAUCAGCAAGUUUCUCCCUCUCUUUUUUUGGGAUCAAAUUCUUCUUCUAUUGACAAAAUCUUCUAUUAUAUUGGGUGGGCAACUUGGCAACAACAUCUUCUCCUCUCCUUUUGUCAACAGCAAGUAUUAUUCUCAUUCUCUCAUUUGCUAUAUAUCUUUAAUUAUAGUUUUAAUUUAAAAUUGAGUAUUCUAGGGUUUAAUUAGGGAUGAAUUAUAAUUUUGGGAUUUUGUUGAAAUUAAUUAGGGCUUCGAUUAGGGGUGAAUUAUUCUACUGCUUUGAUUUGGAAUUUUGUUAAAAUUGAGUAUUAUAGGUUUAAUUAUGGAUGAAUUACAAUUUUUGGUUUUGGUAUUGUUGAGAUGUUAUUAUGAGAAUUUGUUUGAUUUUUUGUUGGUAUAUUUGAUUAAAAUUCUUUCUACAUAUUAUUCAUAGGCUAUCUUUUAUUAUGUCGGAUCACAAUCGGAAUCCCAAGAAAACAAAAAAUUUGAAUAGUGUUGUUUUGUAUUGCAUUGCAUUUACUUUUGGUUUUAGUUUUGCUUUUAGUGUAAAUUACUCAAAUGGUCCUCAAAUUUGUACCCAAUUUACAUUUUGGUCCAUAAACUAAAUUAUUCAUUCAAAUGGUCCACCAACUCUUUAUUAAUCGGUGCUUUGGUCCUAUCGUUAUGUUUUCUAUUAAAUUUAGUCAUGUGAGCAGCACAUGCUACAUUUGUAUGGGUAAAUAAGACUUUUGACCAGUGGCGGAUCCACGUUGGGACAAGAGGGGUCGGACGACCCCUUGGAAGGCUGGAAAUUUGGCAAGGGAGUCCAUGAAAGCCCCCUUGGACAGCUGCUGGAAGCCCCCUUGUAUGCACACAAUGUGCUCGACGAAAUGCCCCAACGAAAUGUCCUGCGCAGCUGUGCUGCGCCUUGCGCGUAAUUUUUUUUUAAAACCAGCCUUGCCAAACGACGUCGUUUGGUCAAGGCUCAGUCAAAUUUUUUUUUAAUUAACCUGGCCUCAAAACGACGUCGUUUUGGGCCAGGUUUAAAAAAAAAAAAACAGAACAGUACACACGCACAGCAGCUCUGCACAGAUUCAUUUUCUCCAAACCUUUCAUUCCCAAUUCCACAGCCCCUCUUCCCAUCCUCUCAAACCCUAACCUCCCAACCUCCCAACCUUGGACAACCUCCAUCAACUCUUCACCGGUGGCCCAAUGCCGAUCACCACCACCUUCUACCGCCGUCCGCCGCCCAUUUUUUAAACUACAAGUAAGUAAGCAUGGAAAAUCUGAUAUUAAUAAUUAUAGUGAUAAUAUAUAUUGUUGAUAUUGAUAUUUUUUUUUUAUGUAAUGAAAUUUAUGGAUAUGAAUCAUAUUGAUUGAUUGAGUUUAUGCUUGAAAUUUAUGGAUAUGAAUCAUAUUGAUAUUUUUUUUUAUGUAAUUAAAUUUAUGGAUAUGAAUCAUAGUGAUAAUCAUAUUAAUGUAGAUUGAUUGAGUUUAUGCUUGAUUGAUAAUAUGAAUUGAUUGGGUAUAUUAAAUAUUGAUUGCUAUUUGAUAUGAUAAUUUGGUAUAUUGAAUAUUGAUUGAUAUGGGUUUAGGGAGUAUAUUGAAUAUUGAGAGUGGGUUAUUGAAAUUUUCAUAUUCAUAUGAUAAUUAGGAUAAAAAUUAAUGAUUGAUUGAAUUAAUUGAUUUGUAGAUUUAUGGAACGAUUCUUUAAAAGAAAAUUAUCUACGGAUAGUUCUUCUCUGUCUAAUCCGGGUAGUUCAAAUGCAAGACCAAUUGAAGUAGAUGAGAUCUUAGCUAAUCUUCAAGCAGACCCUGGACUAAGAACUCGAAUGGCGGAUUAUAGUCCUAAUAUUAGGGAUGAGAUCCGAAGAGCAUAUCUACAAAAGGGACCUUGUCAACCUAGAAGUUAUAAAUUCCCACAAACUAAUCAAUCAGGAAUUAAUAGACGCUUCAUUGCUCAUUGGUUUGAUGAUCAUGAUUGGUUGGAAUAUAGUAUUGCUAAAGAUGCUACGUUUUGUCUUCAUUGUUAUCUCUUCAAAUCUAAUUUUGAUCAAGUGGGUGGUGAUGCAUUCACUGGGGUAGGCUUCAAUAAUUGGAAGAAGGCGAAAGAAAGAUUUAACCUUCAUAUUGGACCGGUUGGUAGUGUUCACAACCAAGCUAGAGAAGUUGCUUACAAUUUGAUGCAUCAAACUACACACAUUGAAACAAUUGUGCUCAAGCAAACAAGCCAAGCUCGCACGGCUUAUCGCACUUGCUUGAAUGCAUCACUUAAGUGCACUAGGUAUUUGUUGCGGCAAGGGCUUUCUUUUCGUGGUCAUGAUGAAAGUGCACAAUCAAGUAAUAAAGGGAAUUAUUUAGAGCUCUUGCAAUUUCUUGCGGAUCAUGAUGAAAAAGUUAAGGCCGUUGUAUUGGAAAAUGCUCCGGGAAAUUUAAAGUUAAUAGCUCCUUCAAUUCAAAAAGAUCUUGUCAAUUCUUGUGCCAAAGAAACCAUUGAUCUUAUCUUGAGUGAUGUAAAAGAUAGAUAUUUUUCAAUAAUGGUGGAUGAAGCACGUGAUGUUUCAAUAAAGGAGCAAAUGGCAAUGGUGUUGCGUUAUGUGAAUGACAAAGGACAAAUAAUUGAAAGGUUUGUGGGGGUUCAACAUGUAACCGACACUACUUCAAGUGCACUAAAGGAAACAAUUGAUGAAUUCUUUUCUUCCGCGAAUUUGAGCUUUUCCAAGCUACGAGGACAAGGUUAUGAUGGAGCUAGCAAUAUGAGAGGUGAGUUCAAUGGCCUUAAGAGAAAGAUUUUGAGAGAACAACCUUGUGCAUUUUAUGUUCAUUGCUUUGCUCAUCAACUUCAACUAGCUCUUGUUGCGGUAGCAAAGAAAAACAUUGAUGUCAACUCUUUUUUCACAACGGCUAAUAGUUUGGUUAAUGUGGUUGGAGCAUCUUGUAAGCGUCGCGAUGCACUUAGAGCACAAUACCAAGAAGAGCUUGUGAGAGCUUUUGAAGAUGAUUGUCUUAUAACGGGGCGGGGCUUAAAUCAAGAAAGGACUCUCAAACGUGCCGGCAAUACACGAUGGAACUCACAUUAUGGUACGUUGAUUAGUAUCAUUUCUAUGUUCCCAUCUGUGGUGAAUGUGCUUCAAAUGAUUGUUGAUGAUAAUCUUAAUGAUAGUUCGGGUGAAGCCUAUAAGUUAAGGAGAGAAAUACAAUCUUUUGAGUUUGUGUUUCACUUAUUUGUAAUGAAAGCUAUAUUGGGAAUAACAAACACUUUGUCUCUAGCAUUGCAAAAGAAAGAUCAAGACAUUGUGAGUACAAUGAAUUUAGUGAAAACAUGCAAGGAAAACCUGCAGUUGAUGAGGGAUAAUGAGUUUGAAGAAUUGGUUGGGCAAGCAUCCUCGUUUUGUUACAAAUAUGAUAUUAUAGUUCCUACCAUGGAUGAGGAAUAUGUAAUUCCAGGGAGAUCAUGGCGUAAUGCUCCAAUGAAGACAAAUUAUCAUCGUUAUCGUGUGGAGAUCUUUAUUCAUGUAAUUGAUGGGCAACUUGCGGAAUUAAAUGAUCGCUUCAACGAGGUAAGUACUGAGUUACUUACUUGUUUGGCAUGCUUGAGUCCAAAAAAUAACUUUGUGACUUUUGACAAACGAAAGCUAGUUCGUCUUGCUCAAUUUUAUCCUUAUGAUUUUUCGGAUAGAGACUUAUUGAUGCUUGAAGAUCAACUUGGUGUUUAUGUUCAUCAUAUGCGUUCGAGUAGUGAUUUUUCUCAAUUGGAAGGGAUUAGUAGUCUUGCGGAAAAAAUGGUGGAGAAAGGAAUGCAUGAAAUAUUUCCUUUUGUAUUUGCUUCUUACAUUGGCUUUGGUUUUACCGGUUGCAACUGCAUCAGUGGAGAGGGCAUUUUCCGCUAUGAAUAUUAUUAAAAAUCCACUUCGCAACAGAAUGGGAGAUCAAUGGUUGAAUGAUAGCUUGCUUGUUUACAUUGAGAGAGAUGUUUUUGCUUGUAUUGAUAACGAAAUUAUAAUGCAAUGUUUUCAGAAUAUGAAAACUCGUCGUGGACAAUUGUAACUUGUAUUAUUGGUUUUGUUAUGAAUUAUGAAUGAAAGUACUAUCUUUCUAUCUUUUUAGCAUUAUUUUCUUUGUAGAAAAAUUUCAGAACUUUUACACUAAGCCCCCUUGGCUACAUAAUCCUGGAUCCGCCACUGCUUUUGACCACUUUAUCACCUAUGUAUCACCACUUUAUAACCUAUUUGGGGAACAUAGGUCAGUUAUGGACGGUUUUACCCUUACAUUUGACGGCAACAUUAACAUAAUGUAACAGUGGGAUCAAUGGAGUGAUUAAUAUAAAGUUGAUGGACCAUUUGAAUGAAUAAUUUAAUUGAGAGACCAAAAUGUAAAUCAAGUAUAAGUUUGAGGACCAUUUGAGUAAUUUACCCUUCGCUUUUAUAUUUGUUGAACUUUUAUUUAUGAUAGAUAUGCAUUUAAGGGUAAGACCCAUUAUGUUCCCCUGGCUAGGUGUAUCUUUUUAUGUUUAUUAAUGAAAUUCACUCGAACUGUUGAGUUUAGUAUGUAAGUUUUGCCUAACUGGCUUUUGAAUCCUAGAACCGCCACUGUUGCUCCAUCCUCCAUGCACUUGCAUGUGCUCUUACAAAGUGUGAAGUAGAUUUUGUGUGCUCCAAGUCAUUGACUAGAGCUGAAACAUGGUUAGCUAGAUUUAUAAGGACCCAUCUCUUUAUUUCCUAGACAUAUACCCAUCUCUCUAUAAAUCUAUAUGUAAAACCUAAUUUCAAACUUAAAUGACCAGUAGGAUAUAAAAGGUCAUAGUAUUCCUAUGUUUUUAUAUCGUUGCCACCAGACUUCUUAUUUUAUUUAUAAUUUAUUUCAAGCAUUUCAUUAACUGCCAUAAUUGUAAUUAAUACUCCAUAUUAAUAGCAUAUCAAUCACCCCAUUUCUUUUGGUUGCCAUUCCCUCUAACAUAUCGCCCCUUAAAUUUGAAAACCAAAAAAAAAAAAUGUAAAUUACAUAUCCAAUAAUGUACCUAUGAAAAAUAUAAAUAUAAAUAUAUACAUAUAAAAAUAUAGGUAUAUUAUUUACCAAAUAGAAAAUAUAAAAACCUAGGUCAGUUGCUUUGUAAUUGAAAUUUCUGUACAUUUUCCACAAAUUAAAAAUAGGUACAUAAUAAUUUAUAGAAAAUAUAUGUACAUUAUUUAUCCAUAGGUAAAAAUACCGAUAAAUGCACAUAGGUGAAUUAUUUACCAAUAUAUUAUUUUUUUGCUAAGGAUUUACCUUAGUUUUUAGUAGAUUAAUUUACCUACCUAGAGGCAUAGGUAGCUUAAAAAAAAUGUACCACCUUAGUUGGUUGCAUACUAAUUUACCUACCUAGAGGCAUAGGUUGCUAAGAAAAAAUGUAGGUAAAUUCAUGUACCUAAACACAUAGGGGUCAAAUAGAGAAUAACAUGUUAUUUCCCUUUGAACAAAUUAAUUUCAAACCAUAACAAUUAUUGAAUUUGGAAAUUGGUAUAAAUAAAAGGAAAUAAAUAAACUAUCAAUUUGAAAAUUAAAAUAAGAAAUGAUCAAGUAGUCAUAUUUGAAAAAAAAGGAAAGAAUAUAUUCUUGGUUUUUAUAGGAACAACGAGUAUAUUCAAACCAAACGGCGAUAACUACACCAAGCUUUAAUUACUUUUUUUUAAGGCCAAAAGUCACUUUUGGUCCCUGUAGUUCGGCAUUUCUACCACUUUUGAUGUUGUAGUUUCAAUUCCGUCAAUUUUGCCAUUGUAGUUUCGUAUUUGUAGCAAUUCAAGGACCUGUUAAUAUUAAUGUCAAUUUGUUUAAUGAUGCAAGAGGUAAUUUCGUCAUCCCAAAAUCCUUGAGCAUAAAAGAUUGUCUGAAAUUCUCCCCAUUUCAUAUUAGGGCUCGAAAUUCAACCACUAAUCCUAAUUUUUGAAGAACCCUAGACCCAAAUGACCAAUUUCAAGCCCUAAUAUGAAAUUACGGAAGUUUUAGAUGAGCUUUUAUGCUCAAGGAUUUUGAGUUGAAGAAACUGCCCCUUGCACUGUCAAAUAAAUUGACAGGAAUACUGACUUGUCCUUGAAUUGCUACAAAUACAAAACUACAGUGUCAAAAUUAACAGAAUUUAAACUAUAGGGUCAAAAGUAGUUGAAGUGUCAAACUAUAAGGACCAAAAGUGACUUUUAGCCUUUUUGUUUCAAUAAGGAAAAAACUGACCUAUUAAAUCCUUGGAAUCUAUACAAAAUUGAAACACAAUUAAUCAACAUUGAAUUGCAGCUAAUUUCUUAAACAAGGGUAUUAUAGGAAUUUAAAAAGUAUAACAUUUAAUCCAUUGAAUUUGAUUAGGAAACUUGAUGAAUUGAAUCCUAGUUAUAUAGUUUUUCUUAUAAAAAUCAGGUUUUAUUUAUAGACAAAUAAAACAAUGGGUUGUAGGUAAGAAAAUAUUAAUUUGAAGGGAAAGAGUCAAAUUUACUAAAUUAAUAAAGCAUAAAUUGGAAAGGGAAAAGAUCUAGAGGAUGCAUUGUAGGAUUGCUCAUGCCAAUAAUUGCACCCUCUCGAUAUUGAAAAACCUAUUGUUUAUUAUUAUCUUCAAUCCUGAAUGAUGCACCUAAAACCCAAGUGUCUCAGGCCAACCAUUGCGCUCAUACCACUUGUUGCAGUACACAUUCACCUGUUUUUAAAGAAAGAAAUUCUACCAAUCGAUAUUUUCUCAAAUUUAAUCACAUAGAUCUAUUAUGGUUAACCAUAUGUACUUUUAUCUGCCAUCCAGAGGUACCUUUUUCCAACGUGCAACAAUUGUAUUUGAUUCACAAUUAUGUCUGAUAUACAUCACAUCAUGCCACUUGCCUCAAAUGAAUUUAAUUGAGUGAGGCAAUGGGAAGUAAUUAAGCUCUAUAUUGGUGGGUGGAGUGUUACUUCUGGAACCCUCAUCAUUCGUCCAUACAGGGGAACAAUUCCCUUCCUUCUAUAAAAUGGGAGCAAUUCUCUCACUGUACUCUAUAUAAAGGAAUAAGUGUCGUCCACUAAUUAAUUACACUUUGUGAGAUUUGAUUUUAAUUAGAGUUCGAAUUAAUGUUGCAGCUAGCAGCGGUGGCACUGGCAAACCAUGCUGCUCAACCAGCACCUCCACUUUACUGGAAUUCCAUCCUGCCAAACACACAAAUGCCAAGAGCUAUCAGUGAACUUCUGCAUCCUGAUUUGUGUUGAAUAGAUAUAGUAUGUUACUGGAGUACGUAUGGCAACAUAUUCACAAAUGUGUCACGUAUUUUCCAUUAUGACGUUGAUAUAUAAUUGCAGACUCCACAAACGAAGAAAAGAGCACAAAUGUCAUGAAUGCUGUUGGGAAUGGAAAGCCAAUUGACCACAAGGGCAAACCUGAAAAUACUGUACUACCACAGCUUGCACGACGCCCAUUUUCUUACAAGAGUGAUGAUCGUCCCACUGACAAUCAACUCCAUUAUAAAAACGUAGCUAUUUUCUUCUUGGAGAAGGACAUGCGCCCUGGCACAACAAUGAGCUUCCAAUUCCCUAGAAAUUCAAACACGGCUACUUUCCUGCCACGAGAAAGAGCUCAAUCGAUCCCCUUCUCCUCUAACAAACUACCAGAAAUUUUCAACCAUUUUUCAGUGAAGCCAACAUCUGUGGAAGCCAAAACAAUUAAGCAAACAAUCGAAGAGUGUGAGGCUCCAGGCAUUAAGGGAGAGGAAAUAUAUUGCGCCACAUCUUUAGAAUCAAUGGUUGAUUUUAGCACUUCGAAGCUUCGAACAAGAAACGUUCAAGCAAUCUCGACGGAGGUAUUGGAAAAAGGUGCCACCAUGUCCAUGCACAAGCACACAACAAUGCCGGGACUGAAGAAGUUGGCAGGUGUCAAAGUCGUUUUGUGUCAUAAGCAGAACUAUCCCUAUGCUGUGUUUUACUGCCAUGUAAUAAAACCAACAGCAGCUUAUGUUCUCUCCCUGAAAGGCGAUGAUGGGGUGAAAGUUAAAGCAGUAGCCAUCUGCCAUCUAGACACAUCAGAAUGGAACCCAAAGCAUUUGGCCUUCCAAAUCCUCAAAGUUAAGCCCGGAACAAUUCCCAUCUGCCAUUUCCUUCCCACUGAUCAUAUUGUCUGGGUUCCGAACCACAAAUCUGCAUGAUCAUCACUUAGCACUGUACGUAUAAUAACCUUUACCCCUGUAUAAUUAUCUCCCUACUCUACUUAUUUCUGCCUCUUCAUGUGGUGUAAGAUAUAUGAUGAGAUGAAGUUUUUGGGAUUAGUGGUCGGGUUGCCUUAAAAACACAGAUUACAGAAACUGCUUGAACUUAACCCGAUCAUGUUUUCUCUUGUACUCGUAAAGCAUGCUGUUGUGGUUCUACUUAAUUUCGUCCUCCCCAAUGUUUGAGUGUUUAAUUGUUACGUUGGAAUAGGCUGCUAAUGCAUGUAGUUAGAGAAGCUUUCAUUUAUAUCAAAGUCCUCAAACUAUCAAGAAUUAAUGCAUCCAGAAACAUAUAUACCAAGACGCAAAACAACAUAUUUUCCAUGCUGUGUCGGUAACACCAAAGCAAACUUCCUUUAUCACAAAAGGACCAAAUUCCAAUACUAAUCUAAUCCAUCAUGUAAAGCAUACAAUCUACAACUGCCUCCCUAAAUUUGUCCAUUGGAUAUAUAUGUCACUUUUUGGUAAUUUGGUAUAGCAGCACCACGUAGUAUGCAUUUAACAGAAAAGUAAACAAAAUUGACAGUAGAACUAUUUGUCCUAACGAAACUGAAGUUGAAAGACCAUGAGAACGAUUUUGAAAAUUAAGGGACUCAAAUGAAAAUUGGGUCUAAGUUCAGGGACCAAUAAAACGAUUAACCCAUAGAUUUUGGAUCCAGUACCACAUCCCAAAGAGAAAACCACAAGUUUGCAAGCAAGUUUGUCCAUACUAACACUACGUACAGUAUGGGCAAUGUGCUAGACUCAUCUCACUUUCUCAACCUAUCCUAUACUUGUCUAAAAGAGUUUCUAAUUUAAUGUACUGAGAUUUACGAAAGAAAUAUCAGAGAAACAAUUUUCAGGCAAUAAAAAAAUGUCUUGGCAAGAAAAUGCACAAUUUGUUACAUAACUUAUUAAAUAUGAACAGUUGAAAGAAAAAAGAAUUUGGAUGAGGGAUUUGCAAAUUCCUAUGGCCCAAUUACCUUUUUUUCUUUGUUUUUUUUUGGUUCUUUUGAUCCAGUAGCAUAUUCCAAAGAAUGAAAACCACAGGCAUGCAAUGCAAGCUCUUUUCCCAUGUUUUCCUCUGUUUUUCUCCUAUCAUGGAAGUGAUUAAAACACACCUCUAAGCUUGUUUUGCGUUUGGUAGCCGAGUGUAAAAGCUCAAUGCAAGAUAGUUUGAGGUAGAAUUUUCUCCUGUUUUAUUAGGACAAUGAUGAGCUAUAUGUGACAACAAAUUGCUUUAAUAAUGAAAAUUAAAAAAGUGUGAUUCAUUGAAUAUUUGCGGGGUUUUGUUCAGAGCUGACAAAGUUCUAAGUCAACACAUCAAAUUCCUUUUUCCAACAAUCGUAUUUGAUUCACAAUUUUGUCUGAUAUACAUCACAUCAUGACACUUGCAUCAAAUGAAUUUAAUUGAGUGAGGCAAUGGGAAGUAAUUAAGCUCUAUAUUGGUGGGUGGAGUGUUACUUCUGGAAUCCUAAUCAUUCGUCCCUACAGGACUCUAGAACUCUCACACUUCUUACAAGGACUACUUAACUCUAUAGCUUAUUGCAUAUAGCAUAUAUAUGCAAACCCAAUUAGAAAUUCUACAACAGAAGCAAGAUCAAUCUCACUAUGCCUUCUAAACAAACAAACAAAUAAAACAAGCAUAUUAAUUGCUUUAAUCACUCUACUAACAUCAACACAGCACACUUAGUUUACUAACAGAUGAUAUAGAAAGGAAAAAAAAGGACCAAUAGGGAGAAAAUGGUGAACUAAGGAGAGACUAAUACUUCUGGUCCUUAGAAGGCAUAACAGAAAUAAUAGAGCACACUGCUUGAAUGCAAGUCAGUAUUAGGAGCAAAACAGCUGCAAUGAAAGAAAUAGUUGCCCAAGGUGUAUUGAAAUAAUGUUGCCUCAAAUUUGCCUUCCAUUUGUUCCAAGGCUUUCUGCAGUAGCUAUUAAGGCGCUCAGAAAGAGUAGCAAAGUAGAAGCUUUCACGAUACACUGCAAUUCCUUUUCCGAGGUUGUUAAUCAGAGUGCACACCUCAUUGUAGUCACCAAGCAUAUUUUUGACAAUCCCAUACUUCAGAAGGAACUCCACAUCCUUUUCGGUGUUCACAAACUCAUCCAUGAGUGAAACAUAAUCACUUAUGUAAUUCUUACGGCAAUGGCACUAUUCAAAGGCAAUGAGGUUAUGGAGUGUGAGCUCUGUGUAAUCGUUUAUUUUUAGUUUUGGAAUUUCUAGAAUCCCAUCGUUGAAUCGUGUUAACGCAGCUUUCCUUUCCUAGCCUACGCGGAAGUCAACUUCACAAUCUCCUCCUAGCAAUUAGCCUUUCCUACUGUAAAUCGGAUUGUAUUCAUGUCUAUAUUAUUUCCUACCUUAAAUAGAUAUCCUGUACUAGUAUACAUAGGGACUUUGUGUAAUCUGUUAAAUACAAGGAAAUAUAUACUCUACAUGGUAUCAACCUAACCUAGGGUUCUCUCUCUCCCCCUUAUUCGAUCCUCUUCUCCUUUAGGUCCACCUCAUGGCUUCGUUUGAAUCCACCAUCUCCCUCCCAAGCCCUAACUCUUCUCAUUUUAUCAAGCUUACUAACUCCAACUAUCUUCUUUGGCUCCGCCAACUCAAACCCUUUUAGUUGGCCAUGACCUCUGGAAAUUUAUCGAUGGCAUUCAUAAACAACCUUCUGCCCACACCUCCACCUCUACCACCACAACACCCACAACCACCACCACUCUUACCGAAAUCAAUCCUACCUAUGCUCAGUGGUACCAACAAGACCAACUCAUUGUUAGCUACAUCACCAGUACACUCUCUGAGUCCAUUUUCUCUCUCACUGUCGGUUGCAUCUCUGCCCGGGAUCUCUGGGAGUGUCUCCAAUGCCACUUCUCUUAAUCCAAUAUGGCCAGUGAAUCUGCUCUUCGUUUUCAACUCAUGGAUUUGCAAAAAGGCUCUCAACCCAUUGAUGCUUACCUUCGUCAUGCUAAGUCUCUUGCCGAUUCACUAGCUGCCAUCAAUUAACCUGUCUCCCCAAAAGAACUUGUCACUGCUGUGCUUCGGGGUUUAGGACCCGAUCACAAAAUGCUCAUCACAGCAAUUCUCAAUUUCUCUCCGCUUCCAGACUUUGCUGAUCUUCGUGCUCGUUUGUUAGCUUUUGAUGCACAGACUCCUCGAAUCUUUCCUGAUCAAAACACAACGCUAAUGGCCACCCAAUCUUCUCCUUACACCACCGGUCAUACUUCCUUCCCUUCUCACCGUGGUUGUGGCUCUUCCAGCAAUAGGCGCGGUGGCUGGUGCAGUAUUGGCCGUGGUGGCUGGCACAACUUCUCAUCUUCCUAGAGCAACCCGUGGAAUGGCUUCCAGCAGCCCUAAUGACCUAAUCAACUGUGGCCUCCUUUUGCUCUAAGUUUUGGAUCUCAAAGCAACUGGCCUUCCUUUCAACCUCUUUGGGCCCAAUCUGCCGCUUCUAGCAAACACUCUGCCCGACCCAACUCAGCUCCUGGUGUCUUGGGACCCGCUUGGUGCACCACAUGCAAUACCAAUCGACAUACUACUACAACAUGUCCUUAUUGCUACAAUGGCCCAGAAUUCUUCCUUUGCUGGGGCUCAAUUCAUGCAGCCACCUAACUCUACAUGGUACCCUGACACAAGUGCCACUCAUCAUAUGACUGGUAGUUCUUCUAAUCUCCAAAGGAAAUUAAAUGAAGGAGUCCUACGAAGGCUCAAGGCUCGAAAGCACACGAUCCGGCUCUGCUGCGGAGCUCACUCAACUACUGGCUGAGGGGGCGCAAAACAGAAAAUUGUGAGUGGACAAAAAUAAAAAUUCAGUUCAGUGUAAACCAACGUAAUAUAACCCCACCGUUUAGAAAACCAUGCAAGAAAUCCAAAUGCAUCUCAAAACCAUCAUAAUCAUCAAAUCAAAAUCAAAUACUGGAUGCCAAGUCCGAAAUCCAUAAAGAAAGCUUUACAAACCCACCAUCCAAAUCUUACAAUCCCACAACUAAACUCUCGAAAGCGUACCCAUUGGCAGUACCAGCAAGGAAGUAUCCUCACCGAGAAACAAGAACAAAAGAAUAGCUAUAUAUAUAAUUAUAUAAUAUAACCACACCUAGUUGUACCGGGAAAACAAUCCAACCGGGGGAUUGUUUGACUAGUCACCAUGGCAGAGUCAAAGUAAACAAAUUCCUCAAUUCACCAUGUGACUAGGGAACGAGCUGUCCAACUGGGGGACCAACUCUCAGCCAGCAUGUACCGUCGAUAGCCUCAAAACCCGUACGUCUGUGACCAGUCCUACGCGUGCAGACUACCCAAUCAAGGGUUUACAGCAACAUCCCAUCAAGGAUGCCCUAGGUUCCCACAAUUCCAAGUAUCUCAAGUUUGCGUAUCCAAGUUCCAAAUCCGGGGAGGUACAUAGGGUAGUGCUUAUAGCACUCCAAAUUGACAUUCUAUACUCAUCACUUUCCACAAUCUCAUCUCAACAACCUAAGUACCCCACACAUAGCCAAACAUAUAUAGAAAUUCUCAAAAUCCAUAUAUACAUACUCAAGAUACUCAAAUAUGUCAAAAUCCAAAAUAUAUUUCCAAUGCAUCAUAAAAAUAUCACUUUUAACAAUUGAAUAAAUAAUAUAUAUCCAAUAUACCAAUUAAAACAUCAUGCAUAAUAUUUCCCAUCAUAAAAUCAUGCAUAAGAUUUGAAAACAAAGUCCACUCACAAGUAGUCCCACACUGCUUGACCUUGAGAGGGUCCCGCCUACUGCGUAUGCGUGGUUGGAGUACCUAUUUCAGAAUACGUAUACGAGAUUAAUAAGAAGCGUUUCGAACGAGAACUUUGAAUUAAAUAUCCUAAUUUCCCAGGUUUCUAGUAAGUGUACUAGGAACGAGACGUUCUAAGGUUCCACUACCCAAUUCGAACCAUGGAAGAGCUUCGGGAGACACUCGGUCAACCGGCGGUCAAAUUCCCAAAUCGGGUCAACUGGCCCACGGGACCCACGACCUCCGUUUUUAAAAUCCGUAAGUUCCUAAAGGUUUCACAAUGUCUAAGAUACUACUAUCACAAGUUUGGUCCGAAACGGACUGUUAGAUCGCUUACGAUCGCACGAUCAGACGGUUAUUGUAAAACGUAAACUUUAAGUUAUUGAAUCAGAACAUCCGGGGCUCCGAUUCACGAUCCGCGAAUUCCUACACGAUCCUAGGAAGGUCUAGAGUAACAUAUAUUGGAAUGGAGUCGAUCCAAAGGUCCGAACAUAUCGAACCUAGACCGGAUAACUCCUAAUAUGUGAGAUUCGUUCGGGGUUCGAACAUCAACCAAAUUGGAAUCCUAAGGUACCUACGUGCUCGUGACAUUAAGGGGAUCAAUUGGGACAAAAAUGCCCCUCUGCUACAGUGCCCACGUGCCACCACACGCGGCGGUAGAGAGUGGGUGUCCAAAGCGAUUUCUCUUCGCCGGAAAAUCUCCAAAUUACAAGCCACUCUCCUGGCUACAGGUUCUACUCAACGAGUGGAACACUUUAUUCAACUACAGCCAAGUCCAAUUCGGACGGCAAGUGGCCGGAAACUCACGGUUUAACCCGGAACUUCAUGGCUUGGAUUGGGCGACCAUCGUCACCAUUGUCGUGGCACAACCUAGGAAAUAGCUAAAAGGAGAGGAGGGCUACCUAUUCCAAGCGAUGGCGCAGCUCGCGGUAGCCGAAAAUGUAGCCGAUGACGUUGGCAGUUUUGGCCGGUUUUUCACGUCGUUGCCAUCGCCGUUUGUCGAGUUUUCGAUUGGAGAAAAGGGGUGGGGUGAGUAGAGGAGGAAGAGAGGAAGCUUUUGCAAGAAAUGACACUUGUCAGGGAGGGGGGGGUUGGGGGAAGAGAGAGAGAGAGAGAGAGAGAGAGAGAGAAAAAAAAAAAAUUUCAGAUUUUCAUCCAAACCCUUUUCGAAAUAUUUACAAGUUUGCCACUAAACUACUUUUGGUUGCCAAAUCUUCGUUAUAACUCCGAUUCAAGCCUACCACGUGUCUACGGAUUCGUCUCAAUACAACCUACCCAAAAAUACCAGUCACUGCCCCAAACUCUUUUUGGGUAAGAAAAUGACCAAAAUACCCCUACCCCAAGGGUAAAUUCAUAAUUUCACUUCAAUAAUUUAAUAAAGAAUUAAAUUUGGAGUCGGGGUGUUACAUUAACUACCUGUUUAGUAGGUGUGGGGUUUUAUACAAAAAGCAUCGAUGUUAUUGGGAGUGGAACCACUUAUUAUAAGUUGUGAUUUAUUUAGUCAAGUUUCCUAUGUGGGAUUUUCUAUUCUUCAACAAGCCCCCUCAUGUGGGACCACCACAUAGUGGGCCACAUGUAAAGCUAAGUCCACAUCGGAGUCAAUCAUUCAAGCCCAAUACCUAAACACCACGUAUUGUGUGAGGGGUAGGGGUAAACAUUCAAGCCCAACAUGUGAACCACCAAAUAUUAAGUAAGGGUAAAGGCUCAAUUCAGGCCCAAUCAAUGAACCCAUUAUGAUAUCAUGUUAAAUUUCAGAUAGACGGGACUGUGGCCCACCACUAGCAACAUUGAUAUUGUCCCCAACUUAACUACAUGUUUAGUAGGUGUGGAGUUCUAUACAUAAGGUCUCGAUGUUUUUAGGAGUGGAACCACUUAUUAUAAGUUAUAAUUUAUUUAGUCAAGUUUCCAGUCAACCUGACUUUGAUACCAUGUUAAGAUUUUAAAGGGACGAACUCUUGGCACUAUUAGUAACAUCGACAUUGUCCCCAACUUAACCACCUGUUUAGCAAGUGUGGGGUUUUAUCCUAAAGGCCUCGAUCUUAUUAAGAGUUGAGUCAUUUAUUAUAUGGAACUUUCUAUUUUGUUAACUCUGUGUAUUCUUCAUCAAUGUGAACACCCCUAAACCAAUCAUACCUGAUACGAAUUGAAACACAAGUUUGUUUUUUGCCUUUGGUAGAUGAGUAGCUAGAAAAGCUCAAUGCACUUGCUCUUCUGCUACAUUUCAAUAUAAGAACAAGGUUUGGAAGUCAGGUCAACUCCUCAUAGCUUCCUUGCCUUUGCUUUGACAUGUCUAUGCACUUCUUGGGGAAGUUUGAAUAAUCCAUUGCAGGCCCCAUGACAACUAAGGAACCAACAUUUUGUAGAAGGUUUUGUCUAUACCUUUUGACUAUAAGUAAAAUCUUUUGUAUCUGCUCUUAUGUUUCGGUGAAGUUUCUAUGUGUCCUUUGUGCCGAGUUUCUAUGCGUCCUUUGUUGAACCAAAAAAUGAGGUUGUUUCUUACUAGAUUCAAAUACUUAAAAGAAAAAAAGAAAUUGUUGUUUCUUAAUGGAUUUUAUGAUGAACAAUAUCAAACUCUCCUCUUAUACGUCUGUUGGUAAAUUUUAACAACAAUAUUAAAACCUUGCAAGUGCACAAAUCAAAUGAUAGUAUAGUAAGCAAGCAAGGGUCGAUCCCACGGAGAUUGUGAUCUAAAGAGAUGUUUAUCAAUGUCACGCAAUGAAAAUCAAAACAAAGGACUUCCAAACACACGCCAACACCAAGGGGGGUUUUGAUUUGUUUUUGUGAAUCAAACAAAAUAAGGAAAAGGAAACAAAAGAGAAUUUAAAUUAGAGUUUAAGAGAAAUUGGUUUAAAAUCAAUCAAGAUCAAUAGCUAGGACUUACUAUCCACCUCCAAACAAUCAAUCAAUCCAUAAACAACAAUAGAUAAUCAAUUUCUAGUAAGCACACUACUACAAAAAAGCAAAAAGACGACGGUAAAUCACCGUCGUGUAUUCGGUUUUUCAAUGGUCGUGGAAUCCACCGUCAUCUUUUCCCUCAUAAACCACGACGCUAAAUCACCGUCGUUGUUACAAUAUACAACGUCAUCAACAAAUACAAAACGACGUCUUUGUACUGCAAAAAGAUCUAAAAAAGCAAUCGAUGAUGAGAAAAGACGACCAACUCUCUAAACAAACCGUCGUUAAAAAGAAAAAAUAUGACACAUAUUAACAGAACAUGGCCGCAAGAUAGACAUACAACGACGAAAAUUAAAAUAAGACGCCGUUAAAUAUCAUUUUCACGACAAUAAAAAAUAUGUCGUCUUUAAAUACAUUAGAAGACGACGUUAUUGAUACCUACUACGUCGCCUAUAUAAAAAUAACCGUCGUAAAAUAAAUUUUCCACUUCGAUUUUUCUAUAAAAGAUGACGUGGAAAUAGUUGUCAGUGUCAUUAUUUACGACGUAUGUAUUUAUAGAGUAGACGUUGAACAACGAAACAACGUCGGUUACAAAUAUAUGAGAGUCGUAUUACAAAAUUUAUACGUCCUAUUUUCAGAAACAAACAACGACGAUAAAUAUUAGACGUUGUUAAAUAAAACAACGUCGAAAACAAAUAAAAACAGACGUGUUUAGUCUGCUAAAGUUCUAAAAAAUAGUCGAGGAUGAGAAUAGACGACCAACUCAAACAAAUCACCGUCGUUAAAAAGGAAAAAUAUGACACAUAUUAAAAGAACAAGGCCGCAAGAUAGACAUACAACGACGACAACUAAAACACUACGCCGUCAAAUAUAAUUUUCACGACAAGAAAAAAUAUGACGUCUUUAAAUACAUGAGAAGACGACGUUAUUGAAAUAUACUACGUUUCUUAUUUACAAACAACCGUCGUGAAAUAAAUUUUCCACUUCGAUUUUUCUAAAAAAGAUGAUGUGGAAAUAGUUGUCAGUGUCAUUAUUUACGACGUAUGUAUUUAUAUAGUUGACGUUGAAAUGCGAAACAACGUCGGUGGCAUUUAUAUAGUCGACGUUGUAUUUAUAUGUAUUCAUUACUCACGACGCACUUAUUAAUAUAGACGACGUUGAACUUCUAAACAACGUCGGUUCCAAAUAAAUGAGAGCCGUAUUACAGAAAAUAUAGAUGGCGUUGAUUAUGAUGAGAGCCGUAUUACAAAUAACGUCGUUUAAUUGAUAUUAGACGGCGGUUAUAAUGAAUUACCGUCGGAAUUCAUUUCGUUCCUCUUCGUUUAUAAAAGAACUUGCGACGUGGAAAAUGUAUGAUGACGUCGUAUUUUUUAACGUUCAGAUUAUAUAUCUCGUUUUUUAGACGUCGGUAUUAUGGGAUUGGAGUCGUGUUAUUUUGAAUUACAUGGCGGUUCUUAAUCCUUCCCCGACGUGAUAUCCUGAAUAAUUGCUUCAUAAUAGCGUCGUGGUUCUUCAUUGUUACGUUGCUUUAAGACGUCGGUAAAUAUGCUGAAUAACUGGUUCACAAUAACGUCGUGUUUUAUUUGAACGUAGAAAGUGAAGAAAUCACAUUACAAUAUAUUACAAAAUUAAUGUCAUACACUGCCAAUUACAUAAGCAUCAUUCAAUCCAUAUAUCUUCACACCCAUCUCGAAUAUUUUGACCGCCUAACUCACCCACCAGUUCAUCAAAUGUGUCAACAUUUGGCAUCCCUCUAGUAAAUGGCUCACACUCAAUUAUCACAUCACCUAAGACUUCAUCACCAAUAACAUUAUUAUAUUCUCUAUUAGGCAUUGAUAACACUACCGACCAACCACGAUGCAUCGGGUCGUCAACAAAAAAUAUUUGUUUGACUUGAGAAGCCAAAACAAAUUGGUCAUUCCUAUGUCCAAUUUUACUCAAAUCUACAAGGGUAAAUCCAAGUUCGUCGACUACAAGACCAGAACUAUCUAUCCAAUCACACCUAAAGACUGGGAUUGUAAACUUUUGGUAGUCAAGGUCCCAAAUUUCUUGAAUGACACCAUAGAAACCCAUAUUUGAGAGAAUUGAGUUUUUAUCCUUGGCACUAGCAACUUGCAUGGUAUGUGCAAGUAAAUAAACUCCACUAUUUUGAGUUGUCCGCACAUCAUCUUGUGCCUUGAUAUUGAAUUUAAUACCUUUAAUAAGAUAGCUCCUAUAUAAUGGCACAGCCAUGUUUGGACCAGCUGCUAGCCACCUUAAAUUUUCUGAUACGCCAUGAUUGUCUUCCUCAAGUUCACUUUGAACCUGCAAAUUAAUCAUAUAUCUUAAUGCAAUCUAACAUAGAAAUAAGAAGAAAAUUAAAAGAGAAAUAUGUUAUUCAACAACAUAUACCUUGAAGCGUAGCCAUUGAAUGAAAGUGUUAUUGUGCUUAUCCUGCAGCCACUUUGUGAUUUAAGGUAUGACAAUCAUGUGAUUUAAGGCCAAGAAGUCUUGAAUCUUGUAAAGAUACAAGAUUUUUAAUAUUUGAAGAAUAACCUUCAGGGACCUUCAUACCAUAGAAAGAAUUGCAAACCUCUCUCUUCUCUGCUCUUGACAAAUUCCAAGGCCCAGGAGGCAAACGAGUACGUCUUUCUCCAUACUCGGGUUGCAAAUCAGUUUUGACCCCCAUGUUCAAUAAAUCUAAUCGAGCAGCAAUCCCAUCUUUAUUUUUUCCAGGGAUCUCCAGCAAUGUACCAAUGAUACUAUCGCAAACAUUCUUCUCAAUGUGCAUAACAUCUAGGGCAUGCCUCACAGGAAGGUAUUUCCAAUACUCGAGAUCAAAGAAUAUUGAUUUCUUCUUCCAACAAACUCUGUCACCAUUUUCAACCAUGUGCAGCACUUCUUCUCCGGUUAAUGGCUCGGGAGGUAUGCCAUAUUCAGGUUUCCCAUUAAAAGCUGCACGUUGCCUCCUAUAUGGAUGAUUGAUUGGUAACCAUUUUCUAUGCCCAAUGUAACAAAUUUUGUGGCCAUUUUCAACCUGUGACUAGGUGUAUCAUCGCCGCAUAUUGGACAAGCUUUAUAUCCUUUAACAACACAACCAGAUAAGUUUCCAUAGGCGGGGAAAUCAUUAAUUGUCCACAUUAAUGCAGCUCUGAGUGUAAAGUAUUCUCCAUUAUGUGCAUCAUACACUCCUCUAAUCCCAUCCCACAAAGAUUUUAAAUCAUCAAUCAAAGGCUCCAAGUAGACGUCUAUAUCAUUUUCGGGUUGUUUAGGACCGGAAAUCAAUAAGGUUAACAUCAUGAACUUUCGUUUCAUGCACAGCCAUGGAGGGAGAUUAUAUGUAACUAAGAUAACCGGCCAACAACUAUAUCUGCUACUUAGAGAACUGUGGGGAUUGAAUCCAUCAGAUGAAAGAGCCAAUCUCAAGUUUCUCGGCUCAUUACCAAACUCAGGCCAUUUAUCAUCAAGAAGUUUCCAAGACGGGGAAUCCGCCGGAUGAGACAUCUGACCGUCAAUUGAUUUUCUAGCAGCAUGCCAAGUCAAACUCUUAGCUGUCUCAUGUGAUUGAAACAUCCUUUUAAACCUUGGAAUUGGAGGAAAAUACCACACCACCUUCGCUGGCACAUCCUCUUUCAAGAUUGAAUCUUUGCCUUCCUUCCACCUUGAGAUACCACAAGUAGGACAAUUAGUUGAAUCCUCAUACUCCUUCCUAUACAAGAUGCAAUCAUUGGGGCAUGCGUGCAUUUUCUCAUAACUCAGCCCCAAUGCACACAAAGUCUUUUUUGCCUCAUACAUAGAGGUUGGUAUUGUAUUUCCUUCUGGAAGCAAAUCGCCUUGAAGUAUCAAUAAUUCUGUAAAACAGACAUCACUCAUCCCAUGUUUUGCCUUCAAAUUAUACAACUUCACUAAUGCCGAUAACUUCGUGUACUUUCUACAACCAGGGUACACUGGUUGAUCUCCAUCCCCAAUCACAUUGGCAAACUCAUACGGAUCGGAACCAAAAUCACCAAAAUCAUUAUCAUCCAUAUCAAUUUCUUCAGACACAAAACUGUACCUACUAUGGCCAUCAUCUUCUUCAACAUUUCUACUAGCAUUAGUAGUUGCUUCCCAAGGUUCUCCGUGAAAUGUCCAAUUCUUAUAGCUUUGGUCAAUUCCAUUAAAGUAUAAGUGAUCCCUUAUAAUUCCAACCCCAAACAACUUCAAAUUAACACAUUUAACACAUGGACAACGGAUAUGUGUUGUAGUUAGAAGAUUUUCUACAGCAAAGUUCAAAAAUGCUUCCACCCCAAACUCAUAUGCCUUCGAUCUUCUAUCCGAGUGCAUCCAUGACUUAUUCAUCUCCGACACUAUAACCUAUUAUCUAUAAUAAAGUGAAAAUACAGGCAAUGACCAUCACUAUAGCAGAUUAUACAAAGAUCUAAUAGCAAGUAAUACAUAACAGAGACGACGGGUUUUAAACAAAAACAGACGUAUUUGGCAUAUAUAGACGACGGAUUUUCAACAGACGUCGUCUAAUAUAAGUAAUACAAACGACGGUUUAUGAAAAAACCGUCGUGUAUAAGUAAUACAACGACGGUUUUUUCAUAAACCGUCGUGUAAUCGUCGUCGUAUGCCUAAAAAGGCGUCGUGUCUCAGUUUAUUUUCAAGAACCCAAAACCCAUUAAGAACACAACAUAUAUAUGAAACCAAGCAAGAAACCAACAUAUACAUGAAGCCAAGCAUGAAAACAAUAAAUCCAUUCCCAAUUCAACAUAACAUAGGGUGAUUAAAAGAUCCGACAAAAUUAAAACCAUUCCCAAUUCAACAUAACAGAUAAUGUAAUCCAUGAACCCAUUAAACAGAAAAUCCAUGAACCUAUACCUAUAAGCACAUUAUUAACAGAUCGCAAAGCAUAUACCUAAAACCCUUUAACAAAACAACCUAAUAUCAUUCAAUGAAUUUACAAAGGGAAGAUAGGGUUUGUACUUACAGGUUGGACGAGCUCACAGAUUCGACGAAGCCUGGAGAGUGCAACUUUUAAUUAGAGCAGAAGUGAGAGAGCGAAUGUUAUGUUGCGCGAAAUCUGAAAAUUUUAGGGUUCAGGGUUAGAAGUAUAAGAAUAAGAGCCAAAUAUAAAAAAAUUUAGGGCGCGCGAAAAUUUUUAGAGCGCGCGCUCUUUAAAACGUCGAAAGAAAAACCAUGGCGAAAGUUCUACAAGAACCGACGUAAAUGUAAUAUUCCACGACGAAAACACUUAACGUAACGCCGUUUAUUUUGACGUUCAUUUUUCGGAUUAAUUUUAAAUUUAUUUUGAAUAUUUUGAUAUAAAGACGACUGAAAAACCACGUCGAAGUUAAGAAAUUGAAAACGUUGUAAAUUAUAAUAGACGACUUACAUAUUAAAAUGACGUCGUUUAAAGUGGAAACCAUGUCGGAUAUUUUACUGCACGACGUAACAUAUGUAUUCCACGACUCAACCACCGUCGUUAACAAUUAAUACCCUAAACCCUUAAAACUAAAUUAUAUAAUUUUAAAAAUUAAGUUUAUAAAAGGGUUUAUGGUUUUACAGCCUAAUAUAUACCCUAUACUACCCAAAAAUUAUACUUUAAAAAUAAACCCCAAUAAAUAACAACCCUAAUCUCUAAACCCUAGACUCUAAACCCUAAACCAUAAAACUAGAAGUGAUUUUAUGACUCAUCAAAACAAUUUUGUUUUGGAUGGUCAUUUUAAAUUUUUUUUAUUCAAAAUGAAUUUUUUCAAGGUUUAGGGGGAAGAAAAUAUAUCAAUGACUUCAUAGGAGUUGACUUUUCAUUUUUCUGAUUUAUUUUAAAUUUAUUUUGAAUAUUUUGAUAUAAAAAUAAUAAAAUAUUCUUAUCACAAUAACAAACCACGUCGGUGUUAAUAAAUUUUAGACGUUGUAAAUUGUAAUAGACGACUAAGUUGUUAAAAUGACGUCGUUUAAAUGAGAAACCAUGGCGGAUAUUUAACUAUCCGACAUAAAAUAUAUAUUCCACGACUUAACCGCUGUCGUUACAAAGUACUACCCUGAACCCUUAAGAAAUUGAAGACGUUGUAAACCAUAAACGACUCAAUUGUUCAAAGAACGUCGUCUAAAUAUCCUUUUACGUCGGAUUUGGUUAAAACGAAACAACAAAAAACGACGGCUUUUGACUUUAUUACGUCGUUGGAAAAGUAUUACACGUCGGUUACGCAAUUUGUAUGUUUGUUUUUUUUUUUAAUUUAAGAAAACCUCAACAAAUUUUUACAUUAUAUAUUAUAGACAAAAUUUGUACAUUAUACAUAAAUAUCAAGUGUUCAAUAAUUCCCCUAUUCCAGGUGAAGGCAAACAAACUCUGACCAUUCAUUCCGGACUUCAUCAAUUGCUUCUUGGGGGUAUGGCGCUUCCUGUUUUCCCUUGGCAUACUGCAUAAACAAUGACUAUUAGGGUUUAUAAAUAAAAAGAAAUUCAAUCACAGACGACGAUAUUUUUCAUAACCGACGUACUAUAUCUAUUCAACGACGGUAAUUUUACAUGACCGUCGUUGAUAAUACAAAAAACGACGUAAAAUGUAUGAAGGUAAUUUCUUCUUACCUUCUUCUCAAACCCCAAGGAAGGAUCCAUGAUGAUGUCCCUCAUGAAGCGCAUCACAUAAUACCCGCAUUCGACAUUGCUGGGUUGCUUUGGUGUCCCUGACAGAGUUUUCCAAAUGGCUGCCUUACGGCCUGGUCUGGCUAUGUGAGAAUUAUAAAUUUUUAUAGCACUGUUCACAAUGUUUUUGGCCUCUUCAUCGACCACACGAUUUCCUGGCAGAGGAUCCAGAAAAUAGACGGUUUCUCUCUUUGCUCUUACAAUCAGCAAGAUCCAAUGACGGCUGCACAAAAUUAAUAUAAAAACGACGGUUAUUUACAAUAACGACGUAUUAUAAUGUUUCACACGACGAAAUAAAGUAGCAAUCGACGACAUUUUACAUUUAUCACGACGAUAAAUAACUACCGACGUGGUUAGUAGUUUCAAACGACUCAAUAAAAUAAAACACCGACGUGGUUAGUUUAUACGCUGUAAUUUAUUGAAAAUCAUAAAAACAAAAUCCUGUUAAGGAGACUAACCCUGGAUUGUAAGGCAUCAGGAAAAUCUGUUCACCGUCAGUCUUUUGAAGUCGAGCUGCUAGUAAGCGUGAUCUGUCAGCUAUUGUGCCAGAGUUGGCACUAACUGUAGCAAGGUCGAUAAAGCCAACCAUAUUGCACAUAUUUGCUCGUUUCAAAACAUCGUGCAAGUGCCUAAAUAUAUAAAAUAAUAUAAACAAGUCAGCACAAAAAAACACACGACGGUUAUGUAUAACAAAACGACGUAUUAUAAAAUUUCACACGACGUACUGAAAUAGACAACGACGUUAUAAUAUAUUUAUCACGACGGUAAAUACUAACGACGUGGUUAGUUAGUUAAGACGACGUAAUAAAUAAACCAACGACGUAUUAUUUUAGAAUGACAAACCUCAUAUAUACAAAAAAACACGACGGUUAUGUAUAACAAAACGACGUAUUAUAAAAUUUCACACGACAUACUGAAAUAGACAACGACGUUAUGAUAUACUAACGACGUGGUUAGUUGGUUAAGACGACGCAAUAAAUACACCAACGACGUAUUAUUUUAGAAUGACAAACCUCAUAUAUACAGCAAUGACAGUGGCUCCUAUUUCUUCCAUGCCUGCAAAUUGUGUAAUAUCUUCAGGCAGGAGGAAGGUAUCGCGCUCUAGACCAAACACCUCCUUAUCAAUUGUAAAGUGCAGGGUCUUAUCCUGAGGCACGAGUGUCGUUUCCACAUAACGACAAAGGGAGUUUAAAGAAGAUGGCGCCUCCAUAUUUGAAUAAUCAACAACUUUAAUAACCUGUUUAAAGAAAUAUAAAAAAUGACGUGGUAAUUCAAUAAAAACGACGGUUUAAGGAAUAAAACGUCGUCUGAAAAGAAUUUAAACGUCGUCUGAAGAAACCGUCGUGGUGAAUAAUUUAUUACGUCUUAAAAAAAAUUCCGCCGUCUAAGUUGUAAACAAACGACGGUUUAAAGAAAAAUAUCGACGUCUGGAAUUUUGAAAAACAAAUAAAAAAGGCAAAGUUAUGUGAACAUACCUGGUCGUCAUCUUCUUUCUCCUUUUCAUCAUGUUUUUCUUCUGUCUUCCCUUCAUCUAUUACGUCGAGAAUGACUAACUCCGUCGUCUAAAAACCACAAAGUUUUAAAAUAACGACGUUUAAUGGCGUGUAAAACAAGUAAACUAAAUACGACGUGGUAUUGAAAUACAAACGACGGUUUAUGUUUAAAAUCGUGGUGGUAUGUAUUUCAAACGACGGUUUUAUUAAUAAUAACGACAUCUAAUGGUUUUUAAAAAAACAGAGAAUUCAAAGUUCAGAUAUGUUACCUUUUCUUCCUGAUGUUUCCCAUUUUUGGCAGUAUCAUCCUCAAAAUGCUGGGAUCUCACAUCACCUCCAGAGCAGCUUGCUUUGUCAGACAUUGGAUUUUUGGGACUUUGGCUAAUUCUGGGUUUAAGCAUGCUUGGAUCAAAAUUGGGAAUUAAUUGGGAAAGCUGACUCAGGAAAUGCUCCCUCUCAGCCUCUACCAAUUGUUUCGUUCUAGCCUCCAUCCUUAAAGCCUCUUCCCUUGCCUUAGCUUCCAUCUUUUUAGUCUCUUCUUGAAGGAGAACUCUUAAACUGUCCUUCAAACGGUCGUCAAAGCUCACUCUCUGUGGUUUGGGUAAAUUGAAAUAUUGCCUUGGUGAGAUCCCAGCACCUACUCCUCUCACUCUGCCUGGAUGCUCGGGGCCCAAAGCCAUGGUCAGCACAUCAUUGCUGCCAGAAACAGUGACUUUGCCUUCCGAGACUUGUUUUUGCAAUUCAUCCUAAAACAAAGAUAUAUAAAAAAGUAAGAACAAAAACACACGACGGUUAUUUAUAUACAAACGACGUAUUAUAUAAUUUCACACGACGCAAUAACAUAUAAAUCGACGUUAUUAUAAUUUAUCACGACGGUAGUUUUUAAACCGACGUGGUUAGUUUUUAAAACGACGAAAUGAAUAAACCACCGACGUCUUAUGCUUUAUUUACAGAUAACAGAGGGAUGAUUCAAUAUUCACACCUUUAACGACCUUGUUUAAAAUAUUUCGACGUAGUAAUUCAAUACAAACGACGCGAAAAUGAACCACCGACAUCUUAUGCUAUAAUUACAGAAAACAGAGUAGUGAUUCCUGAUUUAGACCUUUAACGAUGUGGUAAUAUCAUUCACACGACGCAAAAUAUAACAUAAGACGUAAUAAGAAUUAUUCACAGUUUAAUAAAAAUUUAAAACAGAGUGAGUAGGCUUACAAUUAAUUUUGCUUUCUCUGCCACCUUUGGAUCCGGGAUGUUACCAUGUUUGUCCUGUCUAGCUCUCUUCCAUAAGGUAGAUCGAUCAAUUUCUACCCCAGGCAUGGUUUCCUCCAAUUGAUCCUCCAAACCAGCAUAUCCUUUUCGAGACAAUCGAUGAUUGUACUCAAGUUUCUCCCUAAUCUGUGCAUGUUGAGAAUGCACAGACUCAAAAUCUUUGGAUAACCUUGAAGCUACAAAGGCAUCCCAUUGUGCUUUCUCUAUGAAUUUAUAUAUUUCAGGGGGUUGGCUUAAUCUCUCCCUGUCAUUAGUGUAUGGAAGGAUAUAUUGCCUCGUUAGUGUAGACUUGAAAUCCUUCCAUUUCUUGGCAGCAGAAGCUAACACAGAGCUCUUGCCCCCUUGACCUACCACAAAAGCAAUGUCAACUGCUUCCCAAAUCUGCUCCUUUAUAUCCUUGGAGAUUUGAGCCUAUUUCAUGUCCACAAGUGGAACUCUGGAGCGUGCCAACACACCAAUGUAGGACUGCAUCUCACUAUGUGCUUGGCCAAUUCCUUUCCCCCUUUUAUUGUACUCAACAAUUGGCCUCAGUUUCUGAAGUUUUCUCUUCACAACAUGAGGCAUUGUGCUCAUACCUCGACCAGACUUUGAAUCAUCAGAGAUUGUUGUCGUGCUGGUUCGUUCUGUCUCAGCAGAUGAUGAAGCAAACUUCAUCUUCUUCGAAGGCUUCACUUGAGGAGGUACCAUUCCAAGGUCCUUACCUCCAUUUUUCUUGGAGCCAGAAUCCUUACUUUGGUCUUAGUGAGAAACCAUUUUUACAGACAAAACUGCAAGUGAAAAUAUUUCAGGAAAAGAUUAAGAACACAAACGACAGUUAUUAAUAAAAUACGACGUAUGAUAUGAUUUUAAACGACGCAAUGAAAUAAUCUCAGACGUAAUAAAUGUUUAAAACCAAGGUAAUUAAACAACGACGAAAUAAUUAACUAUAAACGACGUGAUAAUUAACUAUAAACGACGAAAUAUUUAUAUAACGUCGUGGUAUUGAUGUUCACACGACGUCAGUCGUAAUAUACCGUCGUCUAUAUAAGGAUCCAAAACCCUUCUUUCUUUCUCUGUGAAUGUUUGAUUGCAGAUUUGAUUUUUCUGAACCAUGGUUUUUGUUUUCUAAUUUGAUAAAAUACAAGGCCAAGAAAGAAAGUUUUGGAAUCUUAUAUAGACGACGGUAUUUUAAUAUGACGUCGUGGUAUUAACAUUCACACGACGUAAAACAAUAAGAUACUGUCGUCUAUAUUAGAUACCAACCCUACUUUCUUUUUCUUUAUAUUUUAUCAAAUUAGGGAAAAACAAAAACCAUUGUUCAGAGAAAUCAAACCUGCAAUUAAACAAGCAAAUAAAAAAAAGACUAUAAUUUUAAAAACAACUUUGUCAAUUUUCAGACGACGCUAGAACGACUGACGAACCGUCGUGGUCUACAUAUUUAACCACGUACAUAAGAAGCUACCGUCGUCUUAUUUAGUUGAGGUAGUUGUCUUCAAAGUUGGAAACUUUCCCUCUUUGUCUGUAUAUUUUAUUGAACUUGGAAAGAAGUAAAAUGAUUUUGGCCAGAAAAAAGGUAAAAAGAUUUUUCAAACAAAAAACGUAUGAGCAUGCAAAACAACAACCAAAAUAGUGAAAAUGAAAGCUUACCUUUUGCGUGCAAUGAAAGCAAGAGGAAGAUUAUGUUUAAGUUCAGAGACGACGAAGAAGAAGAGAGGAAGACGAUGAGAUACUCUGACAGUGCUCUGACAAGGAAAAAAGUCUAAAAGUUUUCUCUGGGAGAUUGAACUUUUUAAUCGGGUUUGAAAACGGCGCAUGUGUAUGUCAGGUAGACGAAAAGUUGCUUACAUAUAAAACCAUUUCAAAAAAAUAAUACGGCGGUUACAUAUAACUACGACGUAUAAAUUACAAAAUACGACGGUACAUUUAACUUCGGACGUGGUAAAUAAAUACGACAGUAGUGUUGUAGGUACCGUCGUAGUAAACUCAAAAAUUAAAGUACAUAAGUAAUAACUCGCGUCAUGGUAGAUUAUUUAACACGUCGUUUUUAUUAAUUUACCGACGUGGAUUUCUGUAAUAUACGUCGAUAAUACCGACGUUGAUUUUACAAUUUAAACGGCGGUUUUUUUGUAAGGACCGCCGUUGGUUUUAAAAAUUUAUUCUAUAAAUUUGUCGCUUUCAUUCAUUUUCGGUUUACAUUUAAGGUUCCAAGUUCUUCCUCUCUCAGUCUCUCACGUCUCAAAGACAAUAAUUUGGAUGUCUUUCUCAAAGAGAAAUUGAGCUUACUCGCAUCAAAUAUAUGUCCACAAGAAGAAGCUUGUCAACUAGCCUUCUCACUUCCUUGAUCAAGCCUGAUAGGACACUUAGUGCUUCUGAAUACUCCUUGCUUUCCAUCAAAAGAGAUGCAAGCCUGGCCUCCACUCGCUGUCGAAGGAAAGUUCGCUUCUCAGGGAAAUCUUCUUGAUUUUCUUGGCUAAGAAGAUCCGUCAGAUUUGUGAUAGCCUCUUCCUUUAUCCGUAGAGCUUCAGAAGAAGAAGAUGGGUUUCAAGAAUGCGAUAAAGAAUAGAAAUGGCUUCAGAUGGCCUCUAAAGCAUGAGCAAUCGAAUCAGUAGUUGUUGGGAGAUAUGAUGAAGACAUUGUCAAUGCUUUGAACUAUACAAGUCCUGCAGAAAGAUAAAGGACCAAACUGUUAAAGAAACUGAAACAAUGGCGGUUUUCUGUUCUACCGUCGUCUUUUCUCGUCGUCUAUAUUAAGGUAAGAUGGCGGUAGAUUUAUAAUUACCGACGUAGAUUAUUUUGUUAAACGUCGUUAAGUGUACUACAACCGACGUGGAUUUUAUUUUUAAAUUAUAAAUAGAGUUUUUUUUCCCCUAUUCUUUCAGUUUUAGUUUUCAAUUACAAAGCGUGAUAAAUAGAUUUUUCUUUCCCGAGGAAAUUUAAAAUGAGGGAAAUUAAUGUUCUAGAAUUUGUAAACUAACACGACGCAAUAUUUGCAAAUCUGUGUCAUCUGUUAAGAUUAUGAUGUGGAACAGAGUUCCAUCUGGUAAGAUUUCGUAACCCUUGGGAUCUCAGACAAAUCUGAUUAUGUCGGCGGUUUUCUAUAUAAAUCGUCGUGGUUAUUUCAAUUCUUGUCAUUAAGUAGAUCUACCGACGUAGGAUAAGAAAAUCAAAGAAAAAAAUUGUUAACAAAAAUUCUUAUUAAGACGACGGUUAAAAUUAAAGGUACGACGUAUAAAAUGAAUAAAUACGACGUUAAAUUUUAUUGUACGAUUUAAAGAUAACGUCGUAGAACUAUAAGAGAAUGACGUCGAUAUAUUUAUAUUUUCCGUCGUUGUACAUUAAUUUAAUACGGCGAUAUUUUGUAUUUUAAAGCCGUGGAUUUGUUUGUAAUUAUACGGCGUCUUAUACGAAAACCUCGUCGUGUUAUUUUAUGAGUAAAAACGGCAGUUUUUAUUGAAAUCGUCGUCUUUACUUUCUACGUCGGUCGAUUCAUAACUUCUGCCGUUCUUUGUUGGCAUUGAUUUUACACUGCGAAAAUCUGUUUCAAAUAGACGUCGGUUGUUUAAUUAUGUACGUUGUUGUUUUUGAACAGCCAUUUGAAUCUCCAUUUUUUAGUUGUCUAAGGUUGUAUUACACGACGGUGUUUUUAGAACCGUCGUCUUUUUAAAAACCACGACGGUUUUCACUUAGACCGUCGUUGUUUUCUGGUCGUCUUUUUCACUUUUUGUAGUAGUGGCAUAUGAUGACGACACUCACAACAAGAUCAUGGCAUUUGACUCGAGUUGUAUGAUUCUCUCUUAAGUGUAUGUAAAGUGUAUGACAUUUACAUCAAUACGUGUAUUCUUAAUUGAAAUCUACUAUGGCAUUUACUCAAAUUAACAAUCAAGAAUCCAUUAAGAUCAAAGAGAAUAUGAGUGUCACAAAAACCCUAAAACAUGGCAUUUGUUAUUAGGAAUUCAAGAAUCGAUUUCUCAUAACUAGUUCUUAACCCAAUUAUUCGUUGCAAAUAAGAACACAUUCAAUAUGGCAAUUGACCUAUGUUCUACAACAAUUUAAUUCCAAUACAUGCUUCUAAGUUAGCUACUCAAAGAAACAAAAUAUCAGAAUUCACAUAACAUAUAGAAACCGAAAACAUCACGCUUGUAGAAACUAAAAAUCCAUUAACCUUGUUUAUAAAAUUGAAAUCAUGUUUAGGGCUUCAAGAUUAAGCCCUAACUAACAAGAAAUUAGUUACUCAUGGUCUUGGAUGAACUCAAAAAUAAAUACAUAAGAACUGAAAAUUAAAGAAGGAAGGAAAAGAAAGAACUCGUUCGCAGCUUUCUCCUCUUGCGCUGUUGAUCUCUUUAGGACGUGAAUCCUUUUUAUCAGCCUUGCCUCGUCUUUUAUAUCACUUAUAUCAGAGUUCUAAACCCUAAAAUUGACUGAAAAGUCGUCCAAGAAGUCUUGGUAAACAAGGAAUCCAAAUAGGAAAGUAAAAAUCACAAUUCCUAACUCCACUGGGAAAUACAGCUCAGCCCAAUGUUCACACGAUUUUGGGAUCUUCGACCUUGUAGAAAAAUCAUUAAAAAUAUAUUUUAGAAAGAUAAAUGUCUUAUCUUUCCAACCAUAUAUAGCACGUAACUUGAAAAAUUCGGAAAGGCUUCCGUUUCUUCACAUUCACGUAGCAUGUACGAAACUGUCCUGUCUGCACGUGGGCUAACUUUACUUGUAAUACUGUACCAAUUGGCUCGGUAGAAAAUUCUAGAAAAAUCAUAGAUUGAACUUCAAGAUGUUAGCUUUCAUCUCCAAUCAGGGGCGGCCUUGGGGAGGUGCAAGUGGCGCCACCGCACAGGGCCCCCGAAAAAAAAAAUAUUUAUAUUAUAUAUAUAUAUUAAUAUUAUAUGAAUCGUAUAUAUAAUAUAGCGUCUGGAUAUUUGCACAACAGCGUGUUCAGGGGAGUUGGAUGGAGCACAUCUCUCUUUGGCAAAAGGGCCCGAGUUCGAUGCUCCUUGAUGUCGUUCUACUGGCUAGCCUUUUGUGAUAUUAUUUUUGCAUUCAAACUUUACAUAAUUAUUGAACCAUUGGAUUAAUAUGCAACGAUGGGUGACCACAAUCUCUUGGACUCCUGUGGUCCAUGAGAUCGGGACUGAUAUUACAUGACUUAUUUUAUUAAAUUAUUAUCAUGUUGAUGAUUGGUUGUAUGAGAAUAUAGUUUGUAGAAAUAUUUAUCUAUUUCUUGUUGGGGUUUUCUUCCAGGUUAUAGGGUUUUGGAAUUUUUCUUUGUAAUCUAAACAUGCCACCUACUAGAAAAUACGUUUAUGGAUAUACAAAACGGCUUAGAAAAAGAAAAUUCGAGGAAUUGACUCAAUCUCAAAGAGGAGCUCUUGAUAGAUUCAUUGUUAGAGAAUCACAUGCUACAAUUGAUGAAAAUAUUUAAAUUUUUAUGAAUUUAAUUUCUGAUUUUCAUUGCAUAUUUAUUGAUGGUGAAUUUUAGUUAUAAAAAAAAAUUGUUUAUGACAUUAAGUUAUGGCAAAUUUUUAUAGUAUUUUCGUAUUAGAUUAUGCAAGGCCCCAAUUUAAGUUUCGCACAGGGCCCUCAAAAUCUCAGGGACGGCCCUGUCUCCAAUUGGUCUUGUGCUAAAAUUCCUCCGAAAAGUUGAUUUUCCCUUAAAAACCUUCUAAGAGUGCAGAAAAGCUGAAAAUCAGAAAAAUAAAGUAAUAAGCCAUUUUUAAAUCUAAUUCUCUUACAAAACCAAAGUAAAAAGAGUACAUAAAUGAGUAUAUUUAUGGACUUAUCAACGUCUUCUUCGUUGGACUUGGGGUUGUUUUCCUUAUAUGUCCCCUAUAUAUAUAUAUGGCCUUUAGUUGAGCCCACAAAUACCUUCAGUUAGUUUUUGGGUUUAGGGGCCUACAGAACCUGCACUAAACAAUAAAAGAAAAUACCUAAUUAGUUUAGUACGAAUUUAUAAUGAAGGCUUUAUUAGGUGAAGUUUUAUUUCUUAAUCGUUAGAUCAAAUUGGUUAGCAUCUGAAGUCGCCCAAAGAUUUGAGAGGGAUUCCACAAACAUAUAAUAUAAAGAAAGAAAGCAAUAGUAGGAGAUGAACCAGUACAAAAAACAAUAUAUAAAUAGUACAUAAUAAUUCCAUAACCUUGUCACAAACGCACUCACAAAUGCUUUCCAUAAACCUUGCCCUAACAUAUAACAAAUAAAGGCAACAUUGCAUAUGAUGCAACCAUGUCCAAAUCUGAUACGUGAUAAAAAAAAAAGGACAUGGCAGCAACAUAUGACUGAAGUAGAUGGGCUCUUUGCAUCUCGUGUUAUCGUAAUUAAAGACAUCAAAAUAUUAAGGUUGAAAUCUUCUAUAGUAGCAAGCAUUAAAAUAGGUUUGAAGCAGAGUUUAAAGAAAAUUCCAAUUCCACUGAUUUGCCUCUGCUCAAAGACGAGAACCAAAAUGGUUACUUCCCUUGCUGAGUAUAUUUGUUAACGUCGGAAACGGUAAUAGAUGACCAAUCAAACCCAAGUACGACGAGUUUUGCAUAGGAUCAGAAGUAGUUGAAUCCAGCUUGCAUCACACGCUUCUUUGACUCCAUUGCAUUAGAUGAGUUUUUGUAUUUUUGAACAGCUACACUCCGAAGUCGUUUGUGUCUACGCUUCAUGCGCUGCAACUUCGCCCUAUCCAGAUUGGCCUGCCUUUUGUCAUCUUCAAUUUGGCCUUCAACAAAUUCCAAACGUGCCCUUGCCCUUUGGAUUUCAUCACCAAGUUGAAGAUGCCUCUCCUUCCAAAAAGCAAGAACUCUUUCAGACUCAAAACUUCCAACAAAAUGGUCAUUCUAUCUAGGAAUGUGACAUUGCUUGUCUGGUGACUCACCUGCGUUUCAAAGGCGGUCUUUGUUUGGAGGGGUGUUUAUUAUGCUCACAUCAAACUUGGUUAGUAAAUCCAUUCUAUGGGGGGAGUGAGUUUCUGUGGAGGAGAGAGUUUCAGUAGAUGGAGACAGAUUCGGUGGAGGAGUGAGAUUUUUGUGGAGGGAGAAUUUCUAUGAAAUGGGUGAUAGUAAUACCAAUAAAAGGGUUCCCGCCAAAAAGUAUUUGGUUGACAAUGUAUAAAUUAAUUUUUGGUCUGAUACAAUCUAAGUUUAAUCCUAACUAGUUUGGUUAGUUUGGUUGAAUUCACUAACUAGAUGUCACUUCCAUUGAGUUUCUUUCAACCACUAUCAGUGGUGUAAGGAGAGUGUGAGGUUGACAUGCUUGAAAAGCAAAACCUAACACCUCUUUUUUUUAAAAUUGAAAGAAAGUACAUAUGUUGACUACACACAAGCUUUGGUAUGUUGGUCUAUAAAGCUAUGUUCCCUUUCUCAAACGAAAUUGCAUAUGCAAUCCUCGUCCUCCCAAAACAAAUAGAAUUAUUCAAGCAUGUCAACCUCUUCAGGCGCCAACAACACAAUCAAAGAUGACAAAUUGGAGUCGCAGGUUCUAUUUCCACAUUGUACUCGCCGACCCCUUCCAUUUUCAACAUCAUUUGGGAGUGAGGGGGACUCCGAUGAUCCAUUAGAGCUAAUACAUGCAGUCAAUAGCAAGCUGGAUUAUAAUUCCAGACUGAUCAAUUCAUGGCGCGAGAAAUAUGUUGAAGACGAAGCCAUUUUGGCUGAUCUUAACAUUAGAGUGAACAAAGCGUUCUCCCAAAAGAACAAGUACUUGAAGCUGAGUCAUAAAAGGAAGCUGAAAGCUGAGGAGUUAGAUACAGUAAUGAAUGAUGAAAUUAAAGGUUGUUUGAUGAAUCAUAUGCGAUGCGAAGAGCACCACAGUGAACUGGAGUUGGCAUUCAACGAAGGAUUCGAAAAAUUACGAGCAUUUGCAGCAACUACUCAUACAAGUUAUAAUUGGGACUAUGUGUCCCCUGAUGUUGUGAGAGAGAUACUAGACGAUGGUGGUGACAUGAAUGAGCAUAAGCACGUCAAAGCUGCUUGGAAGAAGCCGACCGAUACGACUAAGUGAUUGCGGCUACAGUUGUUCAGUUGGUUGAGAGUGAUCGUGGUAUUGCACAAAUUAGAAGUAUAUUCCCAUAAUGUCAUUAUCUAAUUUAAAAUAACACAAAUAUCAGUUUCAUUUGCUUCAUAUUGUAACACCCCGACCCCAAAUUUCCCCAAAAUUUACCCUCAUUUAAUUAAUUAAUUAUUUAAGGGUAUUUUAGUCAUAUUUUUAACCGGAGAGAGUUUGGGACCAUGACUUGUAUUUUUGGAUAGGUCGUACUGAGACGAGUUCAUAGACACGUAGUGGGCUCGAAUCAGAGUUGUAACGAGAGAGAUAUGGUCAAAAGAAACCCAGUGGCACAAUCGUAAAUAUUUCAAAAUGGGAUUUUUAUAAAAAUCUGGUUUUUCUCUCUCUCUCUCUCUCUCUCUCUCUCUCUCCCGCGACUUCUCUCUCUCUCCCGUCGGCUCUCUCUCUUUCUCUCCUUGUAUCUCCGGCCACCGACCACGGCUGUGGGCGGGGCCGGUACCAAACUGACCGGGACGACGUCCCCUUCCUUCCCCGACCAUUCCCCGCCGGCAACGCGGCCGUUGCUGGCCGGAAAAUGCAGAAAACCGCCGGGAGGUCGUCGAAACUUCAACGCCGUCGAUCUCCCUCCUCCGGCCACCAUUUUCGUCGACCCAGGUAUGGAUCUUGAACCUCUCGAGCUGUUCUAGCUGUUUGUUGGUUGGGUUUUGAUCGAUUCGAUCUCUAGAUCACUCGAUUUUCGAAUUGAAAAUUGGCCGAAACUUCGGCCGCCGUGAUCGGCCAUUUUCGGCCACUUUUUGUGGUAGGUCCAAGAACAAAAGUGGCUCCAAAUAGGGUGUUAUACCUAGGGUAGAAGUUUGGAGCCGAGAUGUUGAGAUUUUCCGGCGAAGCGUUAUCGCUUUGGGCACCCACGCGUGCGGCGGCGCGUGGGCACUGUAGAAAAAGUAGAUGUGUUCCGAUGAGAUCCUUAGGUUGUCACGAGUGCGUAGGAUUUGGCGGAUCUCAAUUCGGACGUCGUUUGACUAUCGAACGGAUAAUCGCAUAUUAUGCGUUAUCCGGGUUCGAUAGGUUGAGACCGUCGGAUGGUCCCAAAUUUAAUAUAUGUUGAUCUAGGUAUUUCUAGGAUCGUGUAGGAUUUCACGGAUCGUGAAUCGGAGCCCCGGAUGUUCCGAAUAAUAAUUUAAAGUUUAUAUUUUAUAUUAACCAUCAGAUUAUGCGAUCGUGAGAAAUCCGACCGUCUGAUCUGAACCAAACUGGCAGGAAAAGUGUCCUGUACCUGGUAGAACCCAUAGGGACCUUCGGAUCGGAAAUUGGAGGUCGUGGGUUCCGCAAGUCUGUUUGACCAGGGUUAGAGUAGUUUGACCCUUGGUUGACCGUGAGUCUCCCGGAGUAAUCUCACCCUUCCAGGGGGAAUUAUCGGGAGCUAGACUAUUGUGGAGGGUUACACAAUAUUAGAAUUAUUUAUAUAAUUAUAUAUGGUUGUACAAGGGUACAACAAAGUCUAGAAUGUCAGUUUGGAGUGCUAUACGCACUACUUUAGGUACCUCCUCGGAUUUUGGAUUCGCUACAAGCACCACCAAGUGAAAGUUAGGUCCCGCGUGGCGUAGGUUAUCCGGCGUUGGGACAGACCCCAUACGUGGCGUUGGUUGUACCGGCGUAUGGGGAGAUUUGCAAUAUGAUGUUCAGGUCUCACGUGGCGUAGGUUAUCCGGCGUUGAGACAGGCCCCGUACGUGGCGUUGGUUGUACCAGCGUACGGGGAGAUUAUGUGAUAUGAUGUUGAGGUCCCGCGUGGCGUAGGUUAUCCGGCGUUGGGACAGGCCCCAUACGUGGCGUUGGUUGUACCGGCGUAUGGGGAGUUAUAUGAUAUGAUAGUAUGGCAUGGUCGCACAUGGCGUAGGUUAUCCGGCGUGUUGACAGGCCCCAUACGUGGCGUUGGUUGUAUCGGCGUAUGGGGAGAAUAUGUGAAAUGCAGAGAAAGGAAAUAAGGUAUCACCGAUGUGUGGAAUUGGGUUUUAGGGAAGAACUACGUGUGGCUUGAUCCCUCAAGGAGGGUACGUAGGCAGCCUAAGGUUAUUGGGUGCAGCCGCAGACUAAAUAUUAGUCAUAUUUGGUAUUUGAAUUGUAUGGUAGUUGUUUGAGAAUUAUUGGAAGGCCAAAGGCCAUUUAUGAGAAUUUGCAUGAAAUUAUAUUGUGCAUGCUGCUAGUUGUGGAUAUUAAAUGUGUUUUUAUGCAGGUUGAAAUUUUGGGAAAUGUCCAAUUUAUAGGGGAGACUCUGCUGAAAUUUCGGCAGGAAGUCUCGGUUUUUAGUAAGUGGGCCUGGCAUCGGGGUGAUGUCAGGAAUUCCAAAGGGUUCGUCUCGGGUUUUGAGAAAAUUCGGGGCGGGUCCUUAAACAUAUAUAAUUAUUGGGACUAUGUAUUGCAAGUCAUCAUGUGUUCCUUCUGUCUAACAUUAUAUUUUGCAAAUAUCAAAAUAUUAUUCAAUAAGCAGUCAAUAUCACAGCAAGUUGGGAAUUAGUAAAGCCCCAUUAUCAUGUCCGUUCACAUUAAAGAGCUGGCGUACUUUUUCUCAAAAAACUGACACGUGAGUCAUAAGUAACAUAACAUGUGCUAUACAUUGUUUAGUGAAUGGUUUAUGGUUUAUUUAUAUAUAAUAAAAUUCCAAAUAUUGCUGAAUAUUUGUUUUUUCUAUAUCCCUGGGAACAUGAGUGACCAUAAGCAUGUAAGACCUGUUAAGAAGAAGCUGACUAAUACGACCGAGUGAUUGUGGCUACCGUUGUUUAGUUGGUUGGGGAGAUCGUGGUAUUGCUAAGAGGGAGCACAUAAUGUGCUUUGCAAUCAAAUUUUCUUUUGUGUGUGGAAUUAUGAGUAGUUCAAAUGUUAGUGUACCCUUUAAUAUUCUUCAACCGUUUGAAAUGUGAUUAGCUGCAAUGUACUUUUUUACACGCUGCUUUCUAAUCACUCUGUUCCAACAAAGUGCUUUAAGUAUCCUUCAGUUACAAAUGUUUACAAAAUCGUGCAUCUAAUAACCAGUCGAGCUCAGAUCUUAAUAACAAGUAAAACACUAGAACAUAACAUUCGGAAAAAGUGGGUGCUGCUGGAAAUCAUUACUGGUAAUGGAAGCAAGAGCUGGCUGCUGGAAAUGCUGCAUUAGCCUGUGAUAUAAUCAAUGAAUCUCUGUUAAAACAUAAUUCACCAUAAACUACCCAUUUUACAUGGUAAAAGUCAUUGCUUCUUCACAUAACUCAAAAUUUGAUACUUUAUCAAAUGUCUAUGAAAAUUUCUAAAUAGGGGAAAGACGUAAAAUUAACAUGUGUCCAAAUUUCAUGCAAGAAUGAAACCAAGCAAAUUUUUAUUUCAAUUAUCAGUGGACAUAGUAAGAACUCAUCGGUGGACAUGAACAAAAAAAUAAUAAUAUUAAAAACUGAAUCUAGAAAACUUCACCUGAUCAUUAGUCUUCAUAACAACCGAAUUUCGUCUAAUAGAAACAUAAAUCAUUCAGUUGGUCCGUGCAUCGUGUCAAAUUCAUAGAAUAAUGGGUCACUACGAUCUAUUGGAGUUGAUUCGUCAUUGUUCGACGGUGAUGUCCUGCAUAGACAUCAAACACAAGCACAGAAAAAAUUUACCUAUUCAAAUUUUAGGUGUUAUUAUAAAUAGUGUUAGCAUCUUACGGUGUGUUCAAAUUUCUUGCGCAUUGUCUUCUAUCAUGACCAAUGUGUCCACACUCCAGACAGUGUCUAAUCCCUCGCUUCAUUGCCUUUUCUUUUGCUCCCGUUACUCGUUUCGACCUUCUUUUGCACCUCACUCUCUUAGGGUCUUUCAUAUAUUGUGUUUGAGAGCUGGACCCUCCAACUUCGUUAUUACUUGGUCCAUCCUUCAACAACUUCAACUUCACCUGCAAACUUUUUAGAGUCUCUGACAGUAGCUCACAUCCUUCUUCACUCAUUAAUGCACCCUCAACCACAUCUUAAGCAAGUCGAGACAUUGUACUCCGCCUUAUUAAAAGACCAGGAUCUGCAGAGUCUUUAAUUUCGUUGCCAUUUGCAUCUGACACCAAUUCAGAUUUUGCAGUUUUCUUCCACCUCUUUAAAAUAUAUUUAUCGGGCAUAUAUUCAAUCUGGUCCCUUCUGAACAAUGCUAGGAUGUGCUUGCAAAUAAUUCCAACAAAUUCAAAUCUUUUGCACCCACACGAUGCGUGGUCAGAAUCUUUAACAUAUACGACGUCUGCCACUCUUGUUUCCCAAUUUUUCCUUUUGCUCACGCGAAAGACAACUUUAGAAGCACCCUCUGUUUUGAGCUCUAGGAAACAUGUUGUACUUUGUAUUAGUUCUUGGUCAAACUUUUGAAACAUUGUCCUUGUGUACAAGGUAGCCAUUUGUUUGUUCAUUGGCAUCGGUAGAAUACAUUGAGCCACUUCAAAUGCAUCUACGUGAUCAGCAACUAACUCUUUUUGACGUUGAUGAGAAAGUGCCCUCUCAAAUCGUAUUAUGAAAUCCAUCAACGAAUUUCUCCUUGAUAUGUAUUGCUUGAAAAAACCAUGAGAACCUUCCACUCUUUGGCUGCUUGACAUUCCAGCGGCAAAAAAUUGUUGUGCGUAGGCUGGAACCCAAGAUUCUCUUAAAUCAAACAUUGAACUUAGCCAUGGAUGGUCAGUCAAACCAGCCUUUGUAACCACAAUAUUCCAUUUUGUAACAAACUUAUCCUUAUUGUCAGUAUCCCAUACGGCUUUCUGAAAUUCACGCCAAUACUCCUUAUAAGCAGAAUGUGGUAACUUAACAGAGAACUUUGAUGUGAUGUGCAAUAUGCAAAGUCGAUGAAAUGUAGUCGGGAAGGGUAUUGAAAUCGCUCUGGUCAUUGCCGCAUCUUGAUCUGUAAUGAUCGUUUUAGGUCCGCCACUUGGCAUGGCUUUCUUAAACUCCUCAAACAUCCAAAUAAACGACUCAGUCGUUUCCUUGCUCAAAAAUGCGCAUGCUUAGACAAUUGUCUGACCAUGGUUAUUAACUCCCAACAUUGGUGCAAAUGUCAAGUCGUAUCGAUUCGUGUUGAAUGUGGUAUCGAAUACAACAACAUCUCCAUAAAACCCGUACGCCCAUCUAGAAGUUGCAUCUGCCCAAAAACAUUGACUAAACCUGUCAUGGCCAUCUCUCUCAAUCUUGAAAUAAAAAGCCUCAUUUUUUUUUUCUGUUCAGCCAUAAAAUACUCGGUCACUAGUUCAACAUCGUGGUUCCUCAACUUCCCAUUCACACUACAUUCAAAAUUGUAGAUAUCUUUUUUGAUAAAACCGAUUUUAUCCAUUCCUCCGGAUUGCACCUCGAAAAUACUUACCUUCUGAUGAAUGAGAAUAUUAACCGAACCCAACUGUUUUGUGAGUACUUUUGUAGAAUCUGAACUAUGACGGUGUGAUCUCAAUAAAUGCAUUCUUUCUGAGGGUGUCAUCUUAUGAUUGUGUCCCUCUGCAAAAAGAGAGAUGGUAUACUUCUUGCUCCCAUUUGUCUUCACAACCACAAUCUUAGCUUUGCAAUUGCAUCUACUUAUUCCCCGCUGUCUUUUUCUCUCCCGAGUUUCAUCUCUCCUGUAUUCACCUUGUUUGCAACAUACAAAUUCUUUCCUCAAAAUCUCUUUCUUAUUUCCCCCCCAAAAGCUGGAAUGAAGUCGAAUACCAAAGCCAGCCAAGAAUGCAUAUCUAUUAUAGAAAUUGUAAACGAGGUCAAGCAAGUCGAACUUCAUCCCAACUGCUGGUGUUUCCUCAUUUCUUACUUCAAGAAUGUAAACCCUCCCAUUAGCUGUUACACAGUCAUCACUCUCUGAGCCCCCAGACAUUUUAUCCACGUAUAUUAUUGAUCCACUUCUAUAUUAUUGCAUAGCAAAUAUUAAUUCAUUAAUAAAUCAUUACUGCAUCACAACAUAUCAAUGCAUUCCACUUACACAAAACAUUGCCCAAAUUGACACAAAACACGCAUAGCCUAACUUGUUGGAUUCCGAUUACACAAAACGCAAGCAAAAUUUAAUAAUAGUUACGUCAUCUCUUGUGAAAUAAUCUAGAAAAAAUAACAUUAGAACCAACAUGUUCAACUAAGAACACAAAUGCAAUUCAAACCAGCAAUCACAUAACUUCACCCAAUAUCCUCUCCAAAUGCUUACUCCUAAUGUCAUUAAGCCUAAGUUUAGGAUCUUUUACCUACAUUUCAUAAUUUUUCACCCCCACCAAAAAUAAUCAACUAAGUAUACUGAAUAUUCAUAAGGAAAUGACGCAUUAUUGAUGCCACAAAUGACGAAUUUCCUACCCUCACAAAAAACAAAUCAAACCCAAUUAAAUCAAUCCAGCAAGAGUGAACUUACCUCUCAAAAUCAAUCGGGAGCUCCGAAGUCAGUAAGCUUGAGAGAAUGUGGUGGACAUUAGAGAAGACUCUUUGGUAUUGGAGACUCCAUCUCUACCAAAAUCGAGGAACGAACUGCUGCUACGGCGUCUAGCUACAGAAAAAGAUAUGCUACUUUACUUUCAUCUGGAAUCUUGUUUGCUGAACGAAAAAGAGAAAGGGUUUUCACUUGAGCCAUAGAAUCAAAACAAGGCAACAUCUAGGUAAGAGCCAUUAAUCGUCAUAUCGAGGAUACCAUAGAUCGCAGGCCUCCCAAGGAGCUGAUGACAAUGGAGCGACUAUAGGGUUUGGGAGCUUUGGAUCCUUCUAAUUGUGGGUUUGCGUUACAUUCAAAAAAAGAGGAGUGUGUUGUUGAGUUUUUCACAUAGAGGGAAAGAGGGAAAGAUCUUCAACUGAAGUUGGGUUUCCAACGGGUCAAAUUUCAACCCGGUUCUACAUGCACCCUCUUUUAAAAACUCACCGUUGGAUUUCAUCCAACGGCUCGUACAUACCCCUCAAAAACACCCCUUAUAACUUUCCACUCACUAUAGAAGCUCUCCCCAGGAAAUGCUUCGAGGUAGAUUUUAUGUUUUGGGCCUUGGGACCCAACUUCACAAAAAGAAAACAAAUUUGACCAAAAAACAAAGUUGAAGGACAUUGAUAUUGUACCUGUAGGAUAGGUUAAAACACUAAAAGGAAGGUAAAUAGUACGUUUACAGAGUUUAAGUGUAAUAAAGGAAUAAAAACAUGCCCAGAGAAUUGAUAAGUGAUAUCAAUUCUUGAAUAUAUAGAACGUAAAAUAAAGGAAUACGUAGAAAAUUAUUUUAUGUGGUAAAACUCAAUCUAUGGGGCCACGGGACUUCUUAGUCCAAAAAAAAUCCAUUGAACGAUGAUUACAAGAAGUACUCACACACUUAUCCUAGACACAUUCUAGAUAAUUUUUACUAACAUCUUUGUAACUCAACUUCUGUCAUAGGAUGAUUUUUUGACACUCCUUAUGUUGAACGCAAUACUGGUCACGAUUUCUUCAAGCUCGCAGGAACUCUCCUUAUAUUGAAUAUGAUACUAGUCACGAUAGAUUCAAGCUCAUCGGAGAAAAACAGCCACAACGGUCUUGGUGCCCUCAAUGGUAUGAGUCACUGAACAUGCAAAUAAAUACAAUAUGAAUGAUAAAAGUGUUUGAUAAAUCACCAAGUUAUGGAACACUUGAUGAUUUAUCUCAAAUAAAAACUCAGCUUUCCAAAGUUUAUGAAUUGAAAAUAUGAUCGUUAAAGCUCUCUAAACAAAGAAGACGAAGAUCUUAUUUUAUAGAAUUUUUCUUUAUAAGAAAGAAAACACAUUGAAAACCAAAUCUCCAAGGCUUGACAGAAAAUCACAAAAGUAUCUUUCCUAUUCUAGAGAUUGGUCACAUGUAGUCCAACCAAUAGGACAUGAGAUAUUUAAGAAAUGAAGAUUUUGAUCAAUAUCAAUAUCAAAUGAAUUCUUAUACGCCUAGUCAACUAUUAAGGGUAUCUUGACUCCUUGAUAUUGUGAUAUGAUUGAAACAUGAUUUCCACGUUAGAAAAUUAAGGGGAUGUUAAAACAUGAAAGUAAUAGGAGAAUCAAAUUGAUUUCGGCCAAAAUUGCCUAAAAAGAAAACACUCCUAAAUAAACUCAAUUCACUUUUAAAAACAGUAAAACGUGAUUGAAUUGUUCUUUAAAACAAUUCCCUAAUAUACAUGCAUGAUAAUGACAUCACUUACCUCUGAAUCAAAUGCCUUUCAUAGGUCAAGCCACAAGUCUGUGUUUUGGGGAUUGCUGAGCUGCAUCAAUCCUGCCAAUGUCAAUGCUGCCCCUAUGCUCUCUCAAAGCACGUUUACAACCUAUGCUAACAUAUACCCUAAACCCUAGUAUCAAGAAAAUGCCAACACUAAUUUCGUAACACGUAGAAAUUGUUAGAGAUUGGAAGUUUUUUUUCUUCAAGUCUCUCCACCACUCACUAAUACAGAUUGCUCAUGUGAUGAGUUUACAAAACCUAUUUCUCUACUCUCACAAAGACUAUACUUCUUCUCAAAAGACUAUAUCACUUUACCUCUAUCUCUGUGAAAUGUAAAAAGUUGAAACUUUAAUGUCAAACCUCGACAAAAGAUGAACUUCCAUAAGUUACGUUGAAUUUGGAUUUGUUGAACUUAAGUGGUUUUACUUUUCUGUCAGUGUUUGAUGACUUAAUUUGGUAUUUACUUCUUCUUUUUUUCCUUGGAAAUGUGUUCCACCAACGUGAGGAAGAAAAAUAUGCACAAAUUAAUAUAUUUAAUAGAAGCCCAAGAUUUCGGAAGCACAUAAUUUCUACAAAAUUCUACAAAGUGUUCUACUUUACAAACUUCAUAUGUCUACCAAUUUUUACUAAAAUUAAUUUAUCUGCAGUGCUCAAAUUCAUCAUAUGUGUGUCCUUAAUUUUAGUGAAAAUUGGAAGUUUCCAUUAUUUUUGUUUUACGGGAAUUUUUUGAACCAAGGAAAAUCAAGUAAAAUUAAUAAAGCAUAAAUUGGAAAGGGAAAAUAUCUAGAGGAUGCAUUGUAGGAUUGCUCAUGCCAAUAAUUGUACCCUCUAAAUAUAUAGGGACAUAUUUUUUUUGCUCAUACCACUUGUUGCAGUACACAUUCACCCGUUUUCAAAGAAAGAAAUUCUACCAAUCGAUAAUGUCUCAAAUUUAAUCACAUAUUUUAUGGACCAUCCAGCUAUGAGGUUUUAUCUCAAAAACCUUCGGUACAUUUCUCCCACAUGCCACAAUUGUAUAUUCACAAUUACGUCUGAUACAUCACAUCAUGCCACUUGCCUCAAAUGAAUUUAAGUGAGUGAGGCAGUUGGAAGUAAUUAAGCUCUAUAUUGGUGGGUGGAGUGUUAGUUCUGGGUACCCCUCAUCAUUCGUCUAUAAAAUGGUGAAGCCAGUUGCUACUGUUACCAUAAGAGCCAGCUCCGACUUUCUUUAAUUUCUUGCUUCAUAUCCACUAGCUACAUCUGUUGCUCUUCUCAGUGUAAGCUCUGCAAUUUGAUUAACUUUCCCAUUAUCUCUCACUGUACUCUAUAUAAAGGAAUAAGUGUCGUCCAUUAAUUCUCUCCGAAAGUGUCGUCCUGAUUUUAAUUAGAGUUCGAAUUAAUGUUGCAGCUAGCAGCGGUUGCACUGGCAAACCAUGCUGCUCAACCGGUACCUCAACUUUACUGGAACUCCGUCCUGCCAAACACACAGAUGCCAAGAUCUAUCAGUGAACUUCUGCAUCCUGGUUUGUGUUUGAGCACUUUAGAAUCUUAGAUAUCUCUUCUACCUGCCAUUUUACUAAAAUAUGUUCAACCACAUAUUUAUCAGUUAACUACUGUCAUUACAUGAGUGACACAUAUUCACAAAUCGGCUGAUCACUUAUUUUCCAUUAUGACGUUGAUAUAUAAUGUUGGGAAUGGAAAGCCAAUUGACCACAAGGGAAAACCUGAAAAUACUGUACUACCACAGCUAGCACGAAGCCCAUUUUCUUACAAGAGUGAUGUGGGGACCAAAUCUCAUGUAUCAUAGCUUAACCCAUAUGCCACAACUAAAAGACGUGGGAUGAUCGAACAGCAUACCCACAUGGUCAUGGAUCUCUUCAGAUAAUCAAUAUUAAACAACCCAUAAACUUCUCCCUUUGAAGAACAAAUUAAAACCAAUUUCUAGAGGAAGGUUACAAAACAUUUUAGCCCGUGAAGAACAAAUCAAGACAAUAUAACCCAUUUGAUAACAAAAUCAAAAUGAGAUUUACCAAUACUAGAUGACCACGGCGCCAGUAUAAUGGUACGACGGCGGCGUUAUUGUAACGGUGGAGAAGUGGAUGGUAUGACGACGGUGUUAGUGUGACGGUGGAGGAAACGAUAUUAUGAAGGAGGCGUUGCUAUGUUCGGUGGAGGAGUCGUGUGUUUCACAGUUCAAUAUAUCCUUUUUAGUCAUUUUAUAUUAGGGUAAAUCAGUAAUUCAAUAAAUAAUUUGAUAGUAUGGUGUACUCAGUUAAUAUUAGGGUUCAUUUAACAGCACUCAAAUUAACUAGUGUAGAGUCUAUCUAUAUUAUUAAUACUAAAAAUAAAUAUAUGACUAAAUAACUCAAAAAAAAAAUAAAUCUACAAUCUUUUUUUUAAAAAAUUUUUUUUAUAGAAUUUUAUUAGAUUAAUAGGCACUACUAAAAAAUCUCCUUAUAAACUACAAAUACACGCAUAACUUAUACUAAUGUGAGCUACUGACACCACCUGCCACAUGACAGUUGUCCAAGCAUAGUGUUGUCAUUCAUUAUUCCCCACAGCAACUAACAUCCAAUAAAGGGUUGGGGCCCACCCAUACUCCACCUCUCUGUAUGUAGCUCUUUGAGAAUACAGAAGAAAUAUUUUUUAGGGAAAUAGCUUAAAAUGAUACCCAUUUCAUAAUUUUAAUUAAAAAUACCACCCCUUUCCAAUUUUUGUACAACUAUCACCUAUAAAUAUAAAAUUAUUGUCCACUUAUUGCUGAUUUUUCACAAGUUCAGAAAUUUUGGAAAGAAGAAGCUCACACAGCUCUCUCUCUCUCUCUCUCUCUCUCUCUCUCUCUCUAGCACAACUCUCUUUCUUUGGUAUCUGUCUAUCACAGCUCUCUGUGUCUCUCUUGGCUCUCUCUAUCUUGGCUCUCUCUCUCUCUAGCACAACUCUCUGUCUCUCUCUUUGCUCUCUUUCUCAUAGCGCAGCUGUUUCUCUCUCUAGCUUCGUUAUGUCUCUUUCUCCCCUAUUCGAUCUCUUGCUUUCUGUUUGGAAUCGCGAACCCCUCCCUUUAGCUAUGUCUUCUGAAUAGCUGCUUGCAACCUUGAAGCUCUAGUGGAUUGCCGACCUCGAAAAGGUAGUGUUGAUGGUUAUUUUCUUAAUAUCAGUGGGAUUAUGUGAAAUGGGUUAUAGUUUGAUUGUUUGGGUUUGUGUUAAAUUCGUUUUGGCUUUAAUUUCUUUGGGUUAGGUUUUGUUGAAUAUUCAUACUCAUUCAUCUGGGUUUGUACCAAUUGCAUUUAGAUUGGUCUGGAUAUGUGAAUCUUGAAACUUGGGAUUUUCUAUUUGAUGUAGUAGAUCUGUAUAGUGUGAUUCUGUUGUGUUCCUCUUAUUUUACAGUCGUAUUGCUGUUAUAUUGUCAUUAUAUUGCUUAUAUAUUGCUGUUAUAUUGUGGUUAUAUUGCUAUUGUAUUGUUUGGUUAUUGUGGUUAUAUUGUGUUAAUGAAAUGUUGUUUUGUCAUGGUCAGAAAUGGAGACAAUUGUUAUUCUCGUGUGCUACAAUGGAAAAUGGGUCACCUCGAAGAAGAUGUGCAAAUACGAAGGGGGUGACUCAAAAGGCUUAAUAGUUCCACGGACCAUCAAAUUUGUUGAACUGUUGGACCGUGUGCAUUAGAUUGGUAAUACAAACAGCAGGGAAGACAAGGUUUGCUUAAAAUUCUCAGUUUUGGUGGCCUCGAAUGAGUGGAAGCACAUAAAUAUUGAGGACGAUGAUGAUAUCAAUUUUUUUAUGAAGUACAAUUCCGAGGUAACACCUUCAAAACUAGCUCCCUUACUCGUGAGUAUAGAAGAUAAAGGAUUGACAAAUGAUGUAGUUCAUAGUAUGCAUAUCACGACAGAUAGUAGUCGGAUGGGUCAUUCUUCAGUUGCCAUUGUUGAAAGCAAUGAAGUAACUUGGAAUAAUACGAAUGUCACUGAUGUGGGAGGUGAAGUAGGGACAGAUUUUGUGGAUAUGAUUGAUUUUAGCGAGGUGUAGGAGAUGCAUGGUGGUGAUAAUAGUACUGAAAGAAAUGAAGUGUCAGUGUACUCUGCCCCUCCUAAUUUGGGCUGCUUCAACAUAGCUGCCCAGUUGCCAAUAAUGCGUUUAGGAGGAGAAUCUGAACCCACUCGUCAACAUUAUUGGAGUCAAAUAGGUGAACAAAAUCGGUACAAUGCAGCCGGUGUAAAUGAUGAAGAAGCAUAUUUGGACAGCGGGUUUUCACGAAGUGAUUGGAAUCCGAAAAUUACAGUUGGGCAAAUUUUCUCUAGUAAGAAAGCAUUGUUGACGGAGUUACGGUUGACGGCAUUAAGAGGCCACUUUGAAUUUAAGGUGCAAUUCUCUUGCACUAAAAGGUUGCUUGUGGUUUGUUGUCAACGUCCAUGCCCAUGGCGGGUCCGAGCAUCGAGAAUUGGAGAAUACAGCUUCAUGAUUGUGAGGUGUACAACUGUCCAUGAAUGUGAUUUGAGGUUCGUAAGUGACAAGCAUCGUCAAGCAACCGCAGCACUUGUAGCCACUUCACUUAAAAGGAAGUGACAUUAUGAGAGAUGUGAAACACAACUUUGGUUGCACCAUCCAUUAUUCGAAAGCUUGGAAAGCAAAGGAGUUAGCUCUAUUGUCCAUUAGAGGAUCAGCGGAGGAGGCAUAUUAUAUCCUUCCAGCUUAUUGCUAUGAAUUGGAGCGUAUGAAUCCCGGCACAAAAACACACAUCCAAACUGAUGAGAACAAUCACUUUGUGUAUUUAUUUAUGGCGGUUGGCGCAUGUAUUAGAGGGUUCCGUUCUUCCAUGCGCCCAGUGAUAGCCGUGGAUGCCACUCAUUUAAAAUCCAAGUACAAGGGUGUUAUGUUUGUAGCAAAUGCAUUCGAUGGUAAUUGAAAUAUAUAUCCUCUUGCUUUUGGGAUCGGGGAUUUGGAGACGGAUGCAUCAUGGCAUUGGUUUUUCACUAAACUUCAUGAAGCCAUUGGUGAGUGUCCCAAUCUUGUUAUUAUUUCUGAUCGCAAUGUUAGCAUAGAGAAUGUGUGGAACAAAAUUUUUCCAACUGCACAACGUGGCAUAUGCUUUUAUCAUAUGAAGGGGAACAUGAAACGCACUUGCUAGUUGAAAAAGCGUGAUCACAUACUUAUGCACUUUGAGCAGGCUGCGAAAUCUUAUUCCAUUGCUGAAUUUGAUUGUCAUUUUUGCAAGAUCAAGCGAAAGGAACAUGUUGCUCAAUAUCUUGAAGAGACAGGGUUACAUAAGUGGUCUAGAGCUCACAUGGAUGGACGCCGCUACAAUGUAAUGACAACAAAUAUUGCAGAGUCAAUCAACUCAGUCCUUAGGUUUGCAAGGAUGCUGCCAGUGGUUCAUUUGAUAGGGGAAAUUGUUAAUCUCCUUGUGAAAUGGUUCACCGAACGUUGUGAGUUGGUUUUGAAUUGCACAACAACAUUGUGCCCCAAUUUUGGAGAGAAGAAGUUGAGGAACAGGUUGGAGGAUGCUGCAAGGAUGAAUGUGGUUAAAGUAAAUAAUGCACAGUUUAAUGUUUUGGACGGUGAUAUGGACGGCCUCGUAGAUUUGGCGAACAGCAGUUGUAGUUGUAGAAAGUUUCAGCUUGAGCAGCUACCUUGCAAGCAUGUAGUUGCAGUUUGCCGCUUCUUGAAAGUAAAUGUAUACGCAAAGGCUUCUCGGUAUUACACUCAGAAAACCUGGAUGAUGCUUAUUCGGAUAGCAUCUACCCGGCACAACCUCACGGAAUGUGGGAUAUUCCUGAAGAUGUUCGAAGUCGAGUUGUGCUGCCUCCCAUGGCAAGGGUCAUGCCAGGCAGACGAAAGAAGAUCAGAAUUCCCUCGCAAGGAGAGGGCACCAUUAGAAGAAAGUGCUCAAGGUGCGGUUCCGCAGGCCACAAUAAAAGCACAUGUAAAAACAAUAUUCCAUUGCGCAAUGUAUCUUAGACAAUAUGAUUUGUGUUGCUUUGGUAGGUCAUGUAAACUCUACUUUUAUUUGUGGUGGGUUUCGUGUUAUGUUGAAUGGGAAUUCUUUUAAAUUUGCAUAAUUUGGGUUGCAUUGCUACAGCAUGCUGUAUUGCUGACAGAUUGCUAUUAUAUUGGACUUUUAUUGUACUGGUAUUGCUUCCAGAUUGCUAUUAUAAUUUGAGUGCGAAAUUAAAGGGACUGGAAUGUAAUUCCAAAUGGAUCCAAAUCAUUAAAGUUCUUAGAAUUCCUAUAUUACACAGUUACUGUGAUACUCCGACUAUACCUUCUUUUAUGAUUACAAAUUCGGCCAAUGCAUAGGCCAGAUGUGGGGCAAAUACAAGGUGAAAUGUCCUAUGUGUUUGACUACAUAUACUUGUUGAAGGAGCAUUACGAAUGCUAACCUCAAUAGAUUGCUCAUGUCUUGCCAAGAACACUCUUGAAUUUAUGCAAUGUGCCCAAGCCAGUCCCAAAGCUGGACUCACCCGUCUGCCUGAUGUGUCCAGGGACUCCAAGUUUCCCAACCUCACCUCAUUCACUUUAUCAUGUGGCCCAAUAAAAUCCACCACUUGGUUGGUGACAACCACCGCCAACCCAAACUUAUUUGCUAAACCCUUCAAUGUCCCAGAUAUGUUGAAAAAUAUUUCAAACCGCCAUUUCAAAUCUGCUGGUGUUGUCUGAUACUGUGAUCGGAACAAUGCAGCAAUGGAAUCAAUGACAAUGAGUUUCACAGGUAGGUGGGUGUGAUCAAUGGCAAUAAAUGCUUCUAUGUCUCCAAGGACAUGGAUGAGUUGUUGAGCAUCAUGAACACCAUGAACAUAUAUGUCUUCCAAUGGCUCCAACCUUAUUAAGUUGGGGUAUGAUGCAUGAUAAAGGUUGCCUAGUUGUUGCAAUCGACGAAAUGGGAAGCUGAAUUCUGUGAAUAUGUAGACGGUGGAGCCCUCUAGUCCGCCAUGUGAGGGUGGGAGCUGAGCUGGUACCGUAAGUUGGAGACAAAGUUGCGUCUUCCCAGAACCACUCUCCCCUACCAAUUCUGUUAUAGAGUUGCAGGGUAUCCCACCCCCCAAGCAGUCAUCUAGUAUUGGGCAUCCAAUGGAUAAUUGAGGGGUUGAAAGAGGAAGGAGCAUGAGGUUUUAGGGUGUCAUAUUUGUGUAAUUUAGGGGGGGAUGUGAUGGUGCUACAAGGCAUGCAUUAUAUAUAUAUAUAUAUGUAGAGUUCAUUUUGAAGGUCUGUAUUGUAGGCCAUAUGUCUUUUAAGGGAUGUAUAAUCCAUCCUUUUUUCAGGUUGUAAUUAAUUUUUUGUUUAUUUAUUAGUAUUUUUUUGGACCAAAUAAUUUAAAAAACAUUAUGAUGCAGUACGUACUGUAAUAGGAUCAUAUUGUAACUCUAUCAUCACUCUAUUGUACUCUUAUUGACAUAAUAUUGCCGUUAUAUGCAUGUUUAUUAUAUAGUUAUUACUGCUAUAUCGCCACUGAACUGGACACCGAUAAACUGUAUACGCACAAAUACAAAAAGAGGCUUCAUCAUUCCAUAAAAUCCUAUUUCCAAACUUACAUAAUACAACAACAGGCCACCCCAUCGUUACAUAAUACAAAAAUACGCCACCUCAUAGUUCCAUUUCCCUACUGUUGACAAAUUCGAAGUUGCAUACUCUUCAAGUGCGGUGACCGCGACGCAUGAAAUUCAUGACCCCGGCCACAGUGAUGUUGGCCUAGUUUCCUGCCGGAUCCACUAUUUUUGCAAACUUACGAAAUAGUUCGAAUCCGCUUUCCACUUCUUCUUGCUUCAACUUGGCCGUUGCUUCUGAUUCCUUGAAUACCAUAAUUGCAGUGGUAGGGGCAAUUUCAAUUUUUGCUUUCAUUGUCUUUAUAUGUAGGAGAUGCAUGCGCGCAUGAUAACGAGAGCGAAUUGUGCGGUUUUUUAUGACACCCCAUCUAGUUUGGCCCUCCACAAUUUUGAAACUAUGUCUGCAUGAAGAUUUUUCCAAAACAUGGUAUUGCCUCGACAUUGCUGCAUGCCAUGGACCAAGUCUGCAGGGAGUGAAUUGGGUGACUUGGCUUGUGUUUCAGUCUUCUCUCCUUCAGUAAUUGAAAGUGUUGGGUGUGGUGUGAGGUUAUGGUCCAUGGUCUUCGAUAUUUAUUGUAGCCUAGUGUACAACUUAAUUGGAAAAAAAGGGGACUAAAUGCGAUGGGAGUGAAAUCAGUGGGGAAGGUAGUGGCUGUAAGCAGGAGUUAAUGUGAUGGAAGUUUUCAUUUCAAACAACUGGGUUGAUUAAUAUAGGCAAGUUUUAAUGACCUGGAGUAACUCAGAGAGUUAUUGGUGGGAGGGAUUAGAGGGAGUAAUUGGCGGGAGGGAUUGGCGGGAGUCUUAGGCGGGAUAGUAUUGGGCGGGAGUUAUUACCCAGUUGACUGUAUGCCUUUUUGUAAUAUAUUUGUAUGUUGGACGUUCCAAACUUGGUAAUUUUCCCAUUAUGUAAUUCAAAUAAGGGAUUUGCCUAUUUGCCUAAUUGACCAACUCAUUCAAAUUGACCAAUAUGGUUAUUGUCUUAUUUCUCAUUUCAGCAAUCUCAAUUCGUUUCCAUUUUUCCAUUCUUCAUAUUUUCCUAUUUUCCAUGUGUCAUCCAAUUUUCCAAUUUUCCAAUUUUUCAUUAUUUUUGCCUAUUUUUUCCUAUUCCCUAUUUUCCUAUUGUGCAAUUUCCCAAGUUUCCUUUUGUUGUAUUUCUAGUUUUCCAAUUUUUCAAUGUUCCCAUUUUCCCAUUAUGUAAUUUAAAAAAAGUUGCCUGCUUUGCCUAAUUCAGAAAGUAAUUAAAAUGGUCCAAUAUGGUAAUUGUCUUAUUUUCCAUUUCCACAAUUUCAAUUCGUUUCCAAUUUUCUUAUUUUCCAUGUGUCCCUAUUUCCUAUUUCCAUUUUUCAAAUUUUAAGUUUUUGUCCAAUUAUCCAAUUAUCUUUUUUCCAAUUGGACUAUUUUCUAAGUUUCCUUUUUUUCCUAUUUCCAAUUUUCCAAUUUUUCAAUUUGCUAACUUUCCUUUUGUUCUAUUUCCAAUUUUGCUAUUUUCCAAGUUGCCUUAUUUCCUAUUUUUCAAUUAUCCAGUUAUCCAAUAUUCCAAUUUUCCAAUUAUCCAAUUUUCAAUUUUCCAAUUUGCGAAUUUGCCUAUUUUCCAAGUGUCCUUUUUUCCUAUUUCCUAUUUCAAAUUUUCCAAUUUUCAUGUUUUCAGAGUUUCCUUUUUUUUUCCUAUUUUCCAAGUUUCCUUUUGUCCAAUUUCAAAUUUUCCAAUUUUCCAAGUUGCUUUAUUUUCCAAUUACCCAAAUUUCCUAUUUUCCAAGUGUCCUUUUUUCCUUUUUCCAAUUUUCCAAUUUUCCAAGUGUCAUGUAAUCCUAUUGCCUAGUUUCCUCUUUCCAAUUUUUCCUUUUUUCCUAUUUCCAAUUUUCAAUUUUCCAAAUUUCCCAAAUUUCCAACUUUCCAUUUUUUCGUAUUUCCGAUUUGCCAAUUUUCCUUUUGUUCUAUUUCCAAUUUUCCAAGUUUCCUUAUUUCCCAUUCUCCAAGUUUUCACUUUUCCUAUUUUUCAAUUUCGCUAUUUUCCAAUUUUCUGUUCUGAAAUUCGCAAUAAAUGCUUAGUUACACAGUCCUAUUUUGGGUUGAAAUCCACAAUUUUCAAUUUCCCAUUAAGGUUUGCUUUUUUGUCGUUUGGAAGCCAAUUUUAUUGUUGUUAAUGUAAUGUUGUACUGUUGUAAAUUACAGCCAAUGAGUUAAUGAUGUAGUUUGCAAUCCCAUCAAUUGAAUGCACCAACUAAAUACCCAAUAUACUUCAUAUAAGUUCGUACAUAUAACUCAACCUUCCUAUACAGAACUGCAACAGAGGCACCUUCUUAACGGGAAAGGUAAUUAGUCUUACUAAAACGCAAAUAUUCUCCACUACAGCUAACCAAUUGUCGUUUACAACUGGAGACUGAAUCUACCUUUAUUUGUUUUGUUGCAGGCAACAGCUGUGAAUUGUCCCCGGCAAUACUUAAAGAUGUCGGAUGUACGCCCUCCAAAUGAGCAUGUCACAGUUACCCGGGGGACCAGCCGUGGCAUGUGCCAUUCCCAUCUCCACCUCGGACUCCCAAUCAUGAUCCCACUUCAUCUGGAAGUGAGGCUGAGAGCAAUGAUCCGCUUGACAAAAUCUCUGCCGUCAAGCACCACCUCCAAUAUAUGUCAAAGGCAACGGAUUGGUGGGAGAGUAAGUGCGAUAUUCAUGGCCAAGUUAUGGGAAACUUGGCCAACAAGUUGAACAAAGCAUACGCUGGAGAGGUGAAGCAAACUCUAAAAGCAAAAAGUCGGAGCAAAGAGUUAGAGUCCUUGAAGUUGAAAUUGGAAGAGAGAAAGAAAAAUGCUGUCGAAAAAUUCACACAAUCUGAAGAAUAUAACCAUGAAAUGGUUGAAUGUUUCAACAACGGCUUUGAAAUGUUCCGAGAUUAUGCUUCGGUCAUCUCACCAGACUACAAUUGGAGUGAAAUUGAUGUAGCUGGUGUUUGGCAGGUGCUGAAUAUGGGUGCUGAGGGAAUGGCUCAUCAUAGCCUCGUGCAUGCAGCAAGGAGAAAGGACAAAGACUUGGAUCUUUUGAUGGACCUGUAGUAACAGUGAGUGCUGCUUCAGUUCAACUCACCUGAGUACAUGGAUCUUUUGUUGCCUUCAUUUUCCCUUCGCAGGCUAGUAUUGUUAAGGUUCGGUGGCGAUUUCUUUUGCAUGUGUAAAAUGUUGUCUGUAAUGUGUAUGUAUUGUAUGUAGAUUGACUUAAUAUUGUAGUUCUAUUGUAUGUAUAUUGCCUUAAUAUUGCCUUUGUAUAGCAUAGAUAGUGUAUGCAUAUUGCCACCGUAUUGGAUGUAUAUUGUAAAACUAUUGGUAUCGUAUUGCCCUUAUAUUGCUCUAAUAUUGCCUCUAUAGUGCACCUAUAUUGACCUAAUAUUGCUCUUAUAUCGUAUGUCAAUGGCAUGUGCUCUAAUAAGUCUCCAGUUCGUUGAAAGUAAUCCUGAAUUCAAAUAUGAUGGACAAGACAAUUGUUAUCCAUCCUUAUAUUACCAUGAAUUGAUUUGGACCUUUCAAAUGAUAGUUGGAGUUGCACAUGGAUUCAUAUUCAAAAGGAAAGUAAUUCUCUCCCUCAAUGAAUUGUCGUUCAAAAGAAGGCAGCUAUCAAAUUUUGGGUACAAAAAGGCAACAUCCACGGUAAAUUAAUUGGGCACAAACCACAUAUUACAAAACCAGGAUGAUUUUUGGCAUGCUUCAAAAGAGAAGGGCCAAAUACAACAGAAAAGAAAAUCCAUUCAAGCUUGUACAAUAGAAUGCACAAUAACCCUUUUACAUGUCCUUCCAACACCAGUGUUUUGCCUACUUUAGAGUCGCAGGAGGAGAGCUUAUUGCCAUUGUGCAAUUCGAGGGGGCAGUCAAUUUGGAAUGGUGGCAUAAACAUGUUUACUCCACGGAUCACCUAUAUGGGACAGAGCUUCCUUCUUCCCUUGUCGUCUGUAGGUUUCAACUUCACACUUUUUAUAUACAUGUAUGAGAACUUGUGGCUAUUUAUUUAUGGCCUUCUAACACUUGUUCUGCCAUUCCAAAGUGGGUUGGAGACUUUUUGAGUUGAAUGACUGGAAAGACUUCAGAUGACAGAAACUAGAGAGUUUGAAGAAAAAGGGUUACCAAGAACAGCAGUCAUGCCCACGACAUAAACUAAACAUGCUAUAAGCUCCACAGUAAUAUUUACUUCAUCUCCAUAAUCAGAAUAUUGGGAAAAAAAUACCACGGAGAAAUACGUGAAAUGAAAAACAACUCGGCAGUUACUGUGAGAUUGUGUACAUAAAACUUGGAACAACCAAACCAAUUAAAGCUAAGCCAUCUCAUACGUAUACCUACAUCAAAUAACAGUGUAUGGUCAUCUUGUUUAGAAUAUUGCAAUCAACACUUGGUUGAGACCGACCUGCAAAAACAACUGGGUUAAGUACAGAUGAAGCCAUUUAUGAAGGGCAGUUCCAGAAUUAAGACCUACGUUAAUUUGUAACUGCCACCGAAUCAGUUCAUAGUGCCAAAUGCAUCUACCAAGCACACAGAUAUGACCAGCCAAAAGAAAAAAAAGCAAAGUAAAAAAGAUAAAAGAGGCAUGCCAUAAAUGGGAACCUCAGCAGAAAUCAUCAGAUAUGCAUACAAGCAGAUUGAGUAACAUCUCACUAAGUAGAGGUCAUGUUGGUAAUCGCAUGUUGUGUUUGCACACAGACAUUUGGUUUUUGCAAACACAACAUGCAAUUGCAUUCCAUGAUGUGUGUGUUGUGUUUGCACACAGACAUUUGGUUUUUGCAAACACAACAUGCAAUUGCAUGAUGUGUGUGUUGUGUUUGCACACAGACAUAUGGUUUUUGCAAACACAACAUGCAAUUGCAUAUUGUGUGUGUUGUGUUUGCACACAGACAUAUGGUUUUUGCAAACACAACAUGCAAUUGCAUAUUGUGUGUGUUGUGUUUGCACACAGACAUUUGGUUUUUACACACACGAUAUGUAACAUUUAGUUUUACCCUUUUAUUCUUAUUUUCUUCGUUCAAACAUGGUGGUGAGAAAAGCACCAAACCAUCCCAUCAUAUAAAGCAAAACUCAUACAAUAUUUUAGAUGCAAAAGUUAUAUAUUUUAUAUAAAUGCAUCAUCCGCAUGGCUUGAAAUUACAAAUUCACGUUCACAUAUUACUUUUCACAAGCGCACAGACUAACAAUAAUAAUAAUCAACCAAGUAGUUGCGACAUUCAUCCUAUUACGUCCAUAUUGAUAAUGUCAGAAGUUUCAUCGAUAAGCCUCAUCAAACUACAAGUUUUUUAAUUUGAAUUAUGAAUUCAGAACUAAAAGCUCAUGAUAUGCAGAAAAUGACAUACAUUGUCCACAAUCGACUUUUCGAUAUAUUUCUGCUCUAGCAAUUUAUCGUCCAAAUUCUGGACUCUCUGUGUCAGGUGCUUCUUUGUGUUCUAUCCAGCAUAAGAAUAUUUAAUAGUGUGAUUUCAAUUGUUUAUACAAAUUCUAUAAGUAAUAUUGAUGAGUGCUGUAAAUCUAUUUGAUAUUGGGAACAAACAUGGUCCCACUAACAGAAACUCAAACAAAACAGGAAUUUUUUUUUAUUUUUUUUGGCAUAGACAGCCGAAAAGAAACUUACAGCAAUAGCCUCUGUCACGCUCUCCAGACGUUUAUGCAAUUUUGAAACAGCAGCAUUCAUACUACGCUUUGUCACAUACAGAAGAUCUGAGAAUUUUAGACCCUAACCAUUUGUGAAGAGCAAAUAUUAGAUUUGCUUAAAGAAGACAACAACUCACAGAACCAAUGGAUGAAAUAAUAUGAACAUAAAUAUAUCAUUUGGAUACCUUCCACCACAUGUAACCAUAACCCAAUGCCCCCAAGGUAGCUGUUGGCAUUAUUAGUGAUGUCAAACCUAUUAAAAAAAUCAAAAAAAAAAAUAUAACCAAGUAUAAAAUGUUUCUAUUGCAUUAUGAAAUACAUACGUGUAAGGAAUUAAUCGUUUUACAACUUAACCAAAAAGUCAAGGCAGGAGCAUGCAUUCAUUGAGUGGUUAUAAGCAAGAGGAAAAAGCACAAAGCAUGCUAAGAAUUCAUUUGAACACAGAAGAGAAAGUAAGCUACCUUGGAAUUUGGCUGUCAUUCCCCUUCAGGACGGCUCUCUGUAGUGACGAGUCUAGUUGUCGGACCUCAGCUGCCAGUCGGCGCACCUAAAACAAAGUAACACAGGAAAAUUGAUAUCCAUUACAAAAAACAAAAAUUGAACACGAGAAAGCAUCCUUCGACACUAAAUUUAUAGCAGUUUUUCCAAUACCUGUGAUGCGAUCGCAUAAAAGUCACCUUCUGAUUGUUCUCCGGUUCCAUUGAACAAAGGCUGCAAACAAAACAGAAAUAGACACAAAUCCAUCAAUUUUUUGAGCAACAAGACACAAGCUCCGAAAUAAAUAAACUAUCUAACUGAUCAAAACCCUAGUUUACCAAAUGCAUUACAAAAUUAAAAACUCAUACAAAAAUAACACCAAAUACAAAUGUUCUGCGAGUUCCACUAGCAAAGCAGAGUACAAAUCAUGAAAAUGGUACCUGAAGUUCACCGAUCAAUUCAGAUAAUUGACCAUUCUUACGCAGGAUGGUGCUCGUAUACCCUGUAGAAAGAGAACAAUCACUCAGAUCAAAUGUAGCUAAAUACACAAGGAAACUAAUCCAGUAUGCAAGAUGAAAGAGGAGUGAUUGGUACCUACUCCAGCGAAGAUCAGCAAACACAGUAUGAGGUUCCAAAUUCAAAUAACAACAUAAUGCUAAGCAGAGAAGUAGAAUUGCUGCCGAAAUUAUUUAAAACGAACUAAGUCAAAACUAAAUGGAGAAAUGUUAACAAAGUUGUAUGCUUCAGUAAGUCCAGUAACAGAUUCCCAAAACCACAGAGACAAAAUGUGAACAAUGGCUACAAAAGCAUCCAUAAAGAGCAACUAUGUUUAUAUAUGGAGGUGUACAAAAUAGUUAACCUUCAAAAUCGAAACAGUGUGUGUGCCAUGUAAGGCAAUUAGCCACUGCUUCUAGACUAUACAAUAUUACACCUCACAAUAAUAACUAAACCAACUAGCUCUAGCAAAAAGGCAGGAUGACCAUAUAAAGUACCCCCAGCAAAGCAUCUACGUCUGCAUCUUCAUAUCAAGGAGUUCCUGACAUAAGUAAUGAGCAAAGUGAAUUCCCAAGUCAUAAGUCCAGAAUGAGGUGAAUUCACGGACAUUAAAACAUUUACCUCAUAAAUAUGCCUCCCCCCUUAAACCCUCAAUUGCAAGCCUCAGCCGGUAAUAUUUGAUCUUCAAAGGGUCAACUUUAUCUACCGAAAUCCCAGCACUGAGAUGCUCGAUGAAUUUGACGGUCAUGAUUCCGCAAGACGUACUGUGAGACCAAUAAGUUGGGAAAUUAGAACUGCAGUUAUGUAAGAUUUGGAUAAACUGCACUAAAUUCACAAAGCUUACCCAUCUCGUUGUUGUGGCACAUCUGCAAUGCUGCAAACUGAGAAUGGCGUAAACGUCAACAUCUUCAGCCCCUUUUGCUUAACCUUUUCAACCUCAGAAUCUUCAUAAAAGUGCAUAUCGUACAGCACUCGUGCCAGCGUAUCGCUAAUAGGGUGCAGAAGUGUAACCAGCUUCGAACAUUUGGUAAAAGCAACAUAUGAGUCAUACACAGUUGCAGUAUGUCAGACGAAAUCAAUUUCGAUUGCAACCCAGUAAGACCCUUUAAGAUUAUAUGGAAUAUAGACCUUCCGGACUUUUGUCCAAGCUUGGCCAUACCCGUGUUGCCACGUACCGCGUACAAAGUAAUGUAUAUUCUGCAGCUUGCUGGGUGGAAGGUCAACGGUGUUUGAAGCAACUGCCUUCUUCGAUCCACGUUUCUUGGCAGUCGGUUUGAACGGAUCUAGAAAUUGCUGCAUAAAUUGAAAUGAAGGCAUAUUAGAAAAUCACAACCGAAAGCAAAUGAAGCAGCGAAUGUAACAUGGUAACAUGUUUACCUGCAAGCAACAAUCUGCUGUUGUCCAGUCAGUUCCAAAUACCAACGGAUGAGAGAGUUGCCUUUUCCAGAUAAGAAAGGUUGCCAUGUCCAGGUGCUGAAAGUUGACACACAUAAUAUCAGCACAAUUUCAUACAACUGUACACUUAAAAAAGGUGAGAAAACAAUUUAAUUAUCGCAAUAAAGUAGAGCUUUGUGUAUUCUUACCCUUGAGCUAAUCCAUUCCGUUUCAUCGAUAAGUCUGUAGAAAAAAUCAGCGCCCACUGAAAAUAAUUCCAGCUGCACCUCCGCACUACAAAAGGCAAACUUGCAAUGGUUACUUUUAUAGUCAUCUCAUAAUUCUGACUUUGUUGAUGACAAAAAUACACAUGUAUAUUAAAGCAAACUCUACGUUUUCUCAUUAGUCUAUGACUACAUACUAGAAUAGGAUGAAGAUUGGAAUUCAAAGGUAAAGAAUCCUAACCUGAUAUCGUUUUUCCAGGCAGUACAAAACUCUAUUACUGCCUUCACAUCUUCAAUGGGCACGGAUUUUGAUGGAUCAAAACAUGGCGGGGUUGCAGUCGCAGCCAACACACUCAUCGUCCUCUUCUUCCUCAAAGGAUCAGUAAAUGGGCUCAACAAUGUCUGCGCCGGGCGCUUCUGUCUGCACCCUUUACCUUCCACUUCUUUUUUUUCCACACUCGAACUACCUUCUUCAUCACCAGCCAUACUAACUGUGGGUAGACUUGGAGGAUUCAUCGGACCUCCCGAUGGCAUACUCUUAGUCACUUUCCAAUCUUCUAACAGAGACAACACUUUUUGGCAGAUUUCGUCACACCCGGCCACAUCUUCCGGGGUAGGCAGCUUCUCGGAUUGUGCCUGCUCAGCUGCUUCAUGCACUUGUAAGUGAGGAACUGAAGCGGCCAUUUCUGCCUCUUCGACUACCAUGGCUGCGGAAGGUUCGGCUCCAUCACCGGGAACUUGUGUUUCCAUUACCGCCGGUUCUGUAGGCGGACUAACAUGGUCAUGUAAUGGCGACAAGUGAUUGUCGCCUCCUUCAUUCAUAUGAGGACUACUGAGGUCCUCAUGUCCUUUCCCACCUUCAUUCACCCCACCAUUUCGUUUUUUCAGCUGCUCUAUCUCCACAUUAAAAUAAUGCUCCAUUAAAGCCAGGGUGUUGCGGAAAUCCUCCACACACUUUUUAUUUUUUUCGAACUCUCUUUCAACUUUCAAUGACUCCUUCCGUACCAUGUCUUCCAACUGAUGCACUCUGUUGCGAAGCGCUCGAUUUGAUAUGGCAACUUUGGCCAAUUCAUCCUUUGUCCUUUGAAAGUCACGCUUCAAAGUGCGUAACUCUCUGGACGCGACUGUACCCUGCAUUCAGUUAUAAUGCAAGUGUUACAAUAUUUUCAAAAUAUAUUGCAACAAUACAGCAGUUAUUUUCCUAUUGUAUUAUGACGUAUAUCUUGGAAAAAAAUGUAAUGCUUGCCUUAGAAGACGACGGAAGGCUAGCAGUUUCGUCAAUGUCCUUAUCUUUUUCUUCUACAGAGGCAGAAGUGCUGGUUUUUUGUUCAGCGUCAUCGCCAAACAACUGAACAAGUUCUUCAGUGUCGUCAACACUGUCACCCCAAGUCCAAUACGGCUGCUGCUUGUCGAUUACAGAUGGCCGGAGAAGUUGCACAUCAACCUGCAAUUUACACAUACAAUAUACAUAUCAGUAAACUUAUUAUAUUAUAUUUUCAUAUGCCUAACAUUAUCAUUAAAAACUUAACUAACCUCACGGUUCUCGAAUACUUGGCUCAUUAGCUCAUAAAAACACGGCGAACUAUUGCUCCUCCAAUGUAGUAAACGAGGGAUGUAGGCAUUAUCUUCGUGCACCACCAAAUGUAGUGCAGCCAACGCUGGAAAAACCUCAUAAGCCCAAAUCUGGUUUGAGGAAUAAAACGUGAGUCACUGUAAACAAAUGAAAUUUAACUUCAACAUGAAUGGAAAUUUGCUCACCUGAAGUGCAUAGGCAAAACCUUUGAGGUGGUACUCUCUUGGUCUACCAGUUGCCGUUGUUUUUGCUUUCUUUUCAGAUUUUUUUGUUUUUGCAGCUUUUUUGGGCACUUUCACUCGCUGGUAAUCUGUACAAAGUGCCCUCAGAAGUGACACAAUUGUCUUGGCAUAACACACAGCACCCCAUGGAUACUUCCCAAACUCUUCAAGGUCUUCCACCAACUUCAAAUAUCGCAUGUCAAUCUGGACAUGUUUUUCACUGCCCAACAGCACAAACACAGCAAAGUAUACAAAUCUGAGCUUCAAUACAUCGUCCGCAUCAACGCAUUUGAGGAAGGCCUUUUCUAAUUCCAAAACAUUGACAGUUUUAUAGUUGCCAAAGUACUUCCUUUUCAAUGAGCAGUUCUCAUUAGUGGGAAUCGGAAUAAAGGGAAGGUUUCCAAACCUUAGCCCUGUCACGAUGCAAAAUUGCUGCGCCGUGAAUUGGAUCACCUUAUUGCCAACGAUGAAUUUGAUCCCGUUGAGUUGGGAAACUGUCUUUGGAUCAGCUUUCCUCAGCAGCAAGCCGUGGACAAUUGGCGAAGUCCACUUGAGGUCCUCAAUCAGUAGGAGAUGCCCAAAACAACUCUCUUCAAACCUUUGUAGCUGUUGUUCACUGAAUUUCUCCUUUAUCGUGCUGAUUGCAGUCUUCGUAUGGGAUAGGGACAAUGCUUUUCCUUGGAACUUUUCUUCCUCUGCAAUCAUCAACUUCAUUUGAGCAACCAUCUUUCCCUGCAUGCCAAUAUUAUAAAAAAAAAUUCAGUCCGUUGCAAUCUAGACAAUAACAAGCAAUAAACAAUCAGCACUUAUCUACAGCCUAUUAUAGGAUAUUAAGUGAAAACAAAAAAACAAAAAAUACAGGGCAUAAACAAAACCCCAGCUAUUUACAACUGACCUACUAAUUCAAUAGCUCAAAGCCACAUCCCAAGACACCCAGUACUCUACCACUCUUGCAUAAUAUAAUAUCUAAAGACACAUCUCAACACACCAGAUAAUCAUGACACAGCUUCAGCUAGAAUGGGAAUGUGCGGUAGCACAAGCCUAAUUGAGAACAAUUCAAGACUAACGAUAGAAAUCUAUCUGACUAGAAAGAGUUUUAAAAAAACAAGAAGACAUCGGGAAAGAAUUGAUUGACUUCAAGGUAUAAUGUAAUGGAACAUCCUAUGAAUUAGUGGCAACCAUAAUAAUGACUCCACUAUGGCCCUCCUUUCAAAUGUAAGAAAAUGAAUGAAAUUGGCACCAUCCCUUCAGUUUUUUCUUAACAAAAUAAGAGAUUUGUAUGUAUUCUCUGCUUUAUCGAUAUCAAAGAUAAAUUAAUAAAUAAACCAUCAAAACUGUAUAAAAUGUUUGUUAGACAUGUACAAUUACAAAAUUAUAAGUUCUCCUCAGAAACAAAGUUCUCUAAGUACGCAAACAAGAAAAGCAAAAGCUUAAAGAGUUAGCUUAUAGCAAAAUCAAUGUCCCCAUUUCUCUAAACCACACCUGCUGGUGGUAGGUUCCCAUCUUCACUCAUUUCCCGCUUUCUUUUAAACAGACAAUGAUCAAGCACAAAAGAGCAAACUUUUAAAUAACUCAUAUUACACCACAAAUAGUUCUAAAGAAAACUUAUUCAUAUCCAAUAUGCAACCCCUAAAGUUAGUAAACAGAGUUAUAAAAAAAUAUGUCAAAUUAACAAGCAUUAUUCUCAAACAAAAAGUAUGAUAUGGUUGGGAGUUUACAAGUUCAAAAUGAUAUACACAGGUUAAUUGUCUUAGACUUUAGAUAUCAUCUUCAACAAAGAAAAUAGAUACCGAUUAGACUUGUAAGAAGGUUAAAUGCAAUGGUCAUAAAGACCCAUAGUAAGCCACCAAAUACCAAUCAAUAACUGCUAUAAAAACCAUAAUAAAACCAUAAUAAACUAAAAAUACAACAGCACUAAAAUGCCAACACAACAUCACUACAUUAGCAAUAUAGUAGCAACAAAACCACAAUACGACAUCAAUAGCAACAGCAAAACAACAGCAGUGCAAGCAUCAGUCCACAAAGAACAAACCCAUUCACUGUUUCAAACAAGGAAUCAUCAUACUAAGAUCAUUUCAGAGAAACCCCAAAACCAAUUUCAGUGAAACCCCUAAACCAAUUUCAGAGAAACCCCUAAACCAAUUUCAGAGAAACCCCUAAACCUUCAACCAAUUUCGAACAAAUCCCUGAACCAAUUUCAUAGAAAUGCAUAAACCCUAAACCAACUUCAAAGAAACCCUAAACUGUAAGAAAAUGACGAUGAACAGUACCUGUUCAAGGUGAACGAUGGAGUUGAGCUUCGAUGAACAAAUUUCGCUCGGAGAGGAAGAGAGAAGAGAGAGUCAGAGCUGAGCGACGAGAGAUUAAGGGCUGAGCGACGAGAGAGUGAGAGCUGAUCGACGAGAGAUGAGAGAGUGAGAGCAAAGUGACGACAGAGUGAAGAGAAAUUGAGAGAAGGAGCCAAGAGAGAGAGCUGAGAGAGAACUUCAGCAAAACUGAUAGAGAACUUCAGCAAAAGUGAUAUGUGUACAAUAAGGGGACAAUAAAUAUAUAUUUAUAGGUUAUAGUUCCAAAUUUUUUUAAAAAGAGUGGUAUUUUCAGUUACAAUUAUAAAAAUGGUGGCAUUUUGAGCUAUUUCCUUAUUUUUUAUUCAACAUGGACGCAGAAACUGUUGCUAAACUGCAAACUUCUUAAAAUAUUUGUCUCACUUUCUCAACCCUAUAUUUGUCUAACUUUCUAGAUCCAUGUACUGAGAUUUAUUAGGGAAAUAUUGUAGAAACUGAUUAUUUUGAAAUAUUAAAUGUGAAAAACUGAACAAAAAUUUGAUGGGUUACAUAUUUCAACUCAUUUCAGCAGCUUAGAUUUUGAAGACCUCGGAAGAGGCCAUGCAGUGAGCCUAGCUAGUGCACUGUUGAUCACUUCAGUGUCUACCGAUCUGUAAUUUUUCCAGAUUGGUUAUAUUUUCCUUUACAUAUUCUUAUAUUAUUCCCAGCUGUAAGUGUUUUACACACUUGUCUAUUAGAAAAGGGGAGACUUAUAAAUAAAUCCAAAAUGGGUACAGUAUUUAUAAAGAAUGACAAAAUUAAAGUGUUUGGGCAAUAAUGCCCUUAUUCAUUUUGAGAUUGCCUAAGGAAUAUUUUUUCUGAUUUUCAGAAGAUGCCAAAGGACCGUUGUUUGAUGAUUGCCGUAAGGAGCUAAGAAAACUUGCUUUGAUAGUUUUGGACAGAUGCAUGCUACUGUUGCUGGGAUGAUCUCUUCACGUGAAAUGAGGAUGAUGAUGCUUCUACACUACACAAUCCAACGAAUUCACAUGUCUAUUUCAGAUACAAGUAUAAACUAACAAGGCUUUAAAAUAUGGGCUGAUGCACUGUUGUUGAUGUUGCUGACACUGUUACUGUGUUGUUGAUACUGUCACUGCGUUGCUGUUGGAAAAAGCACAAGGACUUCACAUGUUGCUUUCGUCUUUUGUGGAGGAGAGAGACCUAGGACUUGCAUGUCUUAGAUAUUUAAGAUAAGGGGCUUUCGUUCCAUUUUGAAAAUACUUUGGGUGUUUUUGAAAGGUGAUUGUUUCUUUUGGGUUUCUCACUAAAUUUCGCUUUAGAAGGGAAAAUAAUAAUAAUAAUGUCAAACAAAGUAGGGUAAAUAUUCAGAUAUGCUCAUAUUAUUAUUCUUCUCCAAUAUUGAGGUAUUUAUACAAGUACAAAGAUGUGUUAACCCUAAAUAAAAUAGGAAAUAUAUCUAAAUUAUAAUAGGCAGUAAAUCUCUAUUACAAUAGGACUAAAUAAUAAUUGGUAAGUAACCAAAAUUCUAAUGAAAUAAGGAAUCAAAAUCCUAACUAAGUAAGGACUCGCCAACACUCCCCCUCAAGUUAGGGCAAACAUAUUUCGCAUGCCUAACUUGACAAGCGAGUCAUAGAACACCAUACUUGAGAAGCACCAAUUGUAGAGAAGGUCUUUUCGUCAACCACGAGUGAAACAAGUGACAAACUAAAGCAAAGUUCGCAGCGGAAACACAAGAGCGAAUCCUAAAAAAUAGGGCACAUAGCAGAACACAAAAAUCCUGGAGCACGACAGUAGAUAAGGCAGAACACAGAAACCCUGUUAGCACGGCAAUAGGUAAGGCAGAAAAAGUCAAGAGCAAAGGCAAGGUCAACAGGCGUGACCACAACGAAAACACACCAGCAAAGACAUGAGCAACAAUAUUAGCACCAUAAUAGACAUGAGCAACAAUACUGGUACCAACAACAGCAAUACAAGGCACUGGCACCAGCAAGAGCAACAAGGCAUGGACAUAACAUGCAUAAUCAAUAGUAAUCAACAUUGUCCCCAACAAGAGUCAUAAUAGGCAUGAGCAAUAACAUUGUCCCCACUAAGAGACUUAACAGGUAUGAGUAACAGUACUGGCACCAGCAAAGGGCAUAGUAGUCAGCAGCAAUAACAAUGACAAAUACUUCUAUUAUUGCAGAGACAACUUCUCUUCACUCCCCAUCUCCCCUUGAAGAGAAGGGGUCAUCGGAACCAUAAGAAAAGUGGCACUUAAGAAACAGAAGUUGACUGACGCUCAAAUGUAGAAGAAUCAGCCAUGGCAAAUAGGUAGCUGAAUUGCAGCGGAAUAGAUGAGCAGCGGUGUCACUCCCCCUCAUAUCUGAUAAUGUAUGAGAGUCGAGAUUUGGAGAAAGCAAUAUCGAAAAAUAAAGUUGCAGAACCCAAAUAAAGUUGCAUCUAUCUCCCCAUCAAAUCCGACACUGGUAAAGGGUCGAGAUUUGAAAGAGGAGAAAUUGAAAUAAUAGUAAAGAGACUCAAACAUGCAGUCUCAUGGCAGAAACAAAUGCAAGAGGGGAAGAUGGUAGCAUACGGUUGUCCCAUGAAGAAAAAACUUCAGAAAAGGAGAAUAGUAAGGGAGGAAACCUAGCAAAUCAUGAACAGAGACAAAGACAAAGAUGCUCAAACUGAGAAGCGGAAAGGCAACUCAAGAGAGCAACCGAAGAAGACAGAGGCCCGCAGAACAGUCAAAGUUAAGGCUCGGCGAGUGGUGACGAUGCUCGCGGAGGAAAGCAACGGCUCGGUGAGCGGUGAUGAGGCUCACGGAGUAAAGAGACUUGUUAUGAAGUUUCAAAGAUAGAGAAGCUGAGACAUCAAGAAAGACCAUCUGGCAUACAAAGAUGAAAAAUAAAAAUUUUGGAACAGUAGCAAAGAAGCAUGUGAAGGCUGGUGCGGUGAAAACACAUAUGAAAGGAUGAACAAAAGAAGAUGACUAUACAAGAUGAAGACCCAUGAUGGGUUAGGAAUGAGGAGUGCCAACGACUCUCAAUUUGGCAGAGGUUAUCGCAGGUUAGGAACCUGGCUCUGAUACCAUGUCAAACAAAGUAGGGUAAAUAUUCAGUUAUGCUCAGAUAUGCUCAUAUUAUUAUUUUUCUCCAAUAUGGAGAUAAUUAUACAAGUACAAAGAUGUGUUAACCCUAAAUAAAAUAGAAAAUAUAUCUAAAUUACAAUUGGAAGUAAAUCUAUAUUACAAUAGGACUAAAUAAUAAUUGGUAAGUAACUAAAAUUCUAAUGAAAUAAGGAACCAAAAUCCUAACUAAGUUAGGACUCGCCAACAAAUAAUAGUACAACUCUUAUUAGCAACAGGUUACAAACUUCUUCUACAACACACCAACAUGAAUCUAGCCCUGAUCCACUCUUUUACAUACUUGAAAACAAAACAAAACACGAAAAACAAAAAACAAGAAACAAGAUAGGGAGAAAAUGGCUACGGAGAGACUUCCUGCUAAUCAGGGGCGGCCCUGGGGUGGUGCAAGUGGCGUCACCGCACAGGGCCCCCGAUUCUUAAGGGCCCCCAAAAAAUAAUUCUUUAUAUUAUAUAUAUAUAUAUUAAUAUUAUAUGAAUCGUAUAUAAAGUAUAGCGUCUGGAUGAUAAAGAGACUCAUUAUCAUUAUCUUAGUCAUAAGAUUCAAAAUGAAUUGAUACUUUUGUUAGCUUCUGAGCUCAAAAGUGCAAUCAUUAAAAAGAUUGAAGAAGCUAAAUAUUUUUCUGUGAUUCUUGAUUGUACUCCAGAUGCUAGAAACCAAGAACAAAUGAGUUUGAUAGUAAGAUGUGUGGAUGUCUCUACUAAUUCAAUAAAGGUUGAAGAAUUCUUUUUGGAAUUUUUGAUUGUGAAUGAUACAACAGGACAAGGACUUUUUGAAGAGUUGCAAACGGUGUUGCAAAAACUUAAGCUUGAUAUUGAUAAUGUGAGAGGACAAGGCUAUGACAAUGGAUCAAAUAUGAGUGGGAAAUAUCAAGGUGUCCAAAGAAAAUUUUUGGAUGUAAAUCCUAGAGCAUUGUACACACCUUGUGGUUGUCAUAGUCUUAAUUUAACACUUUGCGAUAUUGCAAACUCUUGUGGAAAAGCAAAAGAUUUUUUUGGAAUCAUACAACGUAUUUAUACAUUGUUUGCUAAUUCUACAAAGCGGUGGAAGAUAUUGAAAGAUAAUGUUAAACACUUAACUCUGAAAUCAUUGUCAGUUACACGUUGGGAAAGUCGUAUUGAAAGUGUGAGAGCAAUAAGAUUCCAAGCUGCAGAUUUAAGAGAAGCUUUACUUCAGUUAGCAGAAAGUGACGGUGACUCCAAAAUAACAAGUGAAGCUAAUUCUUUGGCAACAUAUGAACUUGGAAAUUUUGAGUUCUUAUUGGGCAUGGUUAUUUGGUAUGAUAUAUUAGGUGGUGUCAAUGUAGUGAGCAAAAACUUACAAUCUGAAGACAUGCUUAUUGAUGUUGCUAUUGAUAAAGUGAAAGGGUUGAUUACUUUUUUUUUGAAAAGUAUAGAGAAAAUGGGUUUACAGAAGCUAUGUGUACUGCUAAAAAAAUUGCUACUGACAUGGGAAUUGACCCGGUGUUUCCUGAGAAGCGAAAAAUUCGUAGAAAAAAACAUUUUGAUGAGAAUACUUGUGAGCUAUCCCAAUCAGUUCCUGAAUCAACUGAAGAAAAGUUUAGAAUUGAUUAUUUCUUGUAUUUAGUGGACCAAGCUAUUGGUUCUUUACGAAGAAGGUUUCGACAAUAUCAAGAGUAUGAGAAUUUUUGGGUUUUUGUUUACUUCAGAGAAGUUAAAUUCAUUGGAUGAUUGCGAUUUGAAGAAUAGUUGCAGUCAUCUGGAAAGCAUUUUGAAAAAUGACAAGUUUUCUGAUGUCGAUGGGGAGGAUUUAUUUGUUGAGUUGAAAGUUUUACAAGAGCUUUUACCAAAAGUAAAUACCACAGCUACUGCAAUAUUAAAUUUCUUGAAAAGAUUAAAUUGUUUUCCAAAUGCAUUCAUUGCAUAUAGAAUCCUAUUGACUAUUCCUGUUACUGUUGCAUCUGCGGAAAGAAGUUUUUCAAAAUUAAAAUUGUUAAAAUCAUACUUGAGAUCAACUAUGUCGCAAGAAAGAUUAAAUGGACUAGCUUUGAUUUCAAUUGAAAGUGAACUUCUUGAAAAACUUGAUUAUGAACAUUUGAUUGAUGAUUUCUCUUCUAAAAAUUCAAGAAGAUCAAUUUUCAGACAUUAGUAUUGUACUAGCUGUGUUUUUUUUUUUCUUCUAGGGUAAAAGCUCUCAUAAUAAUUUUAAUUCUUCAAAUAAGACAGCAAAUACAAUGUGAUGAAUUUUGGAUAAUCAGGUAUGUUUUUGUUGUUGCUUUUGUGUUUAAUGCAAUAUAAUCUAAUUUUUUUAAUGACAUUUGUGUGCAACUACUCUUUGAUUUGUGAUUGCCAAUUUUUUUUUCUUUCUAUUAAACACAGAUUGCUUAUUGGAGGCAGCAAGAGACCUUAUAGGGGCACAAGGAGCUUAUUUUUGUACAAAACAUUUAACUUUAUCAAAUGGAAACAUUUAAAUUUUUAUGAAUUUGAUUUCUGAUUGUCAUUGCAUAUUUAUUGAUGGUGAAUUUUAGUUAUAAAAAAAAAAUUGUUUAUGACAUUAAGUUAUGGCAAAUUUUUAUAGUAUUUUCGUAUUAGAUUAUGCGAGGUCCCAAUUUAAGUUUCGCACAGGGCCCUCAAAAUCUCAGGAACGGCCCUGCUGCUAAUACUUGAUCAAUAACAGAGAUAAUAGAGCACACUGUUUGUAUGACAAUGAGUAUCAGAAGAAUAAUAGCUGCAAAGAGAGAAAUAGCUGCCCAAGGUGUGUUGAAAUACUUUUGUCUCAAAUUUGCCUUCCGUCUGUUCGUGGUCUUCUUGCAGUACUCGUUUAGUUUGCCAGCAAGAUCACCAAAAUAGUAGUUUCCGUGGUUCGGAGCAACUUUACUGCAAAGCUUGUUAAUCAUAAUGGAAACCUUAUUGUUGUCACCUAGCGUGUUUACAACAAUUCCAUUGUCAACAAGCAACUCUACAUCCUUUGGGGUGUUUACAAAUUUAUCCAGGAUGAAAACAUAAUCGCUUAUGUAUUUAUCCACGCAAUGGCCUUGUUCAAAGGCAAUGAGAUUUCUAUGUGUAAGCUGUGUAAUCAUGUAUUUCAAUUUUUGGAAUUUCCAAGGUGUUUUUCUUGAACUGUAUAUCGAAUAAGUUCUUGCUUGAUCCCACGUUAAACUUAACUCCGGCCUGGUGUAGUUUUGUCAUGCUGGGUGUACUUUGGAGCCCUCCAUUUUUUUUUCUUUUGGCAGAUGUAAAGUUCUAAUAAAAUCAACAAAAUGUAAAGGUUUUUUAGGAUCAGGAGGCAUAAAAGACUUACGGAAGGCUGGUGAGUUCUCCAAGUUUUCUAAACGCAGUGCCUGUUGGAAGAACUUGUAAGAGAGUUCAAUUAUUGAAGGCUCCCCAGUCUGAGCACCUGUGAGAUUGUAAAGAUCCUCGAGAAUGAAAAAUGGCAGCUGAUUUACGAGCAUAAGCAUGUCAGGCAAUAUAUUUUGUAGCACCCAUGGUUUUUUAAAUAUCCAAGCAUCAUCAUCCUGCAAUUUUUCUUCCUGAAAUUUUUCUUCGGAUUUAUUCCUCAACAAUAGCUCAAUGACAAAGGCGGCAUCAACUAGAAUGAUAUUCACAAAAGUAGCAAUGUUAAACUUCUUAGGGCUAGUUUGGCGGCGUUGUGCUUUUAAAAAAAUAUGCUUCUGCUGUGCUGUGAAAAUAAUUAGCUGUGAAAAAAAGCUACUAGGCGUUUGGUAAACUGUUUUUGAAAAACUGCUGUGAGUAGUCAAAGUGUUUGGUAAAUUUUUAUCAGAAGUACUUUUAGUGUGUAUAAUGACCAAAAAGGACAUGAUGAUGAAAUUGUUUGUUAUUUUCUUCAUUCUUUUUCUACUUUAAAAAAAAAAAAAACCCAAUUUCACUACAUAAAUUUUUAUUCUUUUUUAAUUCACACCUUUUUAUCAAAAAAUUUAAUCUACAAUUAACAUACAUAUUUUACCAUAAAUUAUAAAUUACUAUUAUAACAAAAGUAAUUCUAAAUAUUGUUAUAUUAAUAUGGGCUUCGGACAUGACAAAAAUACAAAAAUUGUUCAAUUUUAAAAUGCCCCAAUAGAUCACUACAAUAUAAAAGAAGCUAAUUAGAUGCAUUCAUUAAACUUGUAGCGAUGCUAUUUCUUAAUGCAUUCAUUAGCUUCUUUUUUUGGUUUCCAAUGGUUCUCUAACAAUUUUAACUAAAAAAACAACCAUAAUGCUUUGUGAACAAUAAAUUCAAGUCCAAAUCUGCUAUUGCCCACACCAUACAUAUAUACAUAAUUGUUCCUUUCAUAAAACUUGAAGAUUCAAUAGUAAUUACACAGUUUACCAAUCUUGAUUCCAACUAUAUCCAUAAAAUUAAACUAUAAUUAGAAAUAGAGGAGCUACAUGUGAUUACUCAUAAAUGCUUCCCACUCUCAUCAUCAUCAUCAUCAUCAUCUUCCUCCUCUGUACUUUGCCUUUCACAAAUGGACAAGACCAGAUGGUAACGUACACGACAUGGUCCACAUAUAGAUAAAUUUUGGGUUCACUGGAGAACAUAAAAGAGUUUUUACACGAAUACAAAGUUAGUUAAGUAGUGAAUAAAGUAAAACUAUUCUGUACAAUUCUAGCUGAUGCAGUCCAAAAAGAAUAUAUGUCUAAUAACUUAAAUAACAAUAAAGAGAAACAAAAGCCUCAUGAAAAAUGCUAGAGUAAAAGUUACAUAACUGAAUCGAUGGACAGAGAACUCCACAGGCAGAGAAACAGCAACAAAAAUUGUCAAAACAGUAGCAAGACCAUGUUGGAGUCAAGGCCAAAGAUCAUAUUUCCUGUGUAUCUUCUUCCAUUCUGAAUUAUUCUCGUAUUCAAAUACUGUAACUCUAUUUCAAGUGCACCCCAAAAUACUUAUCUAAGGCCAGUACAUAGGACUUCAUAAAGGGUGCGAUAAAAAAUAUUGCCCCUUAAUUGAUAAACAGAACCAAGAUCCCAACAGCACACCAAAACUAUACCAACCACACCUACAUAAUAUGGACAGAAAAUCCUGUUGUUCCGAUCUCUAACCACACCAAUGACAUUCAUUAGGAAAAUACAAAAGAUGGGUACCCUGCAUUUCUAACAUUUAAGAUAAAAUUCACUGCCAGCUAAUCACAAAUUUGAAAAGAUGGCAAGAAAAUUGGCUAAGCUUUAACAAAAACCAGAGCAGUCCUUGCAUAGACCUGACUUUUUGCUCCAAGCUUUAGCAGAUCACUUACUGGUAGAGAGCAGAGAACAUGUAUGUGAAUAUCUGAAGUUGGAAGGGUAAGCCAUCACAAACACCAAGAGAUCUGAUUCUCAUCUCUUGUUACAACAACAAAUCACAAACACCAAUACAUCUGAUUCAGAAUCUCAUAAACAAUGGAGGAACAAACACAUAUUCACACACAUAUAAAUCCCUAAACAGAAAAAAUAAAAAAUAAAAAAAAAACCAUGAAAGUCAUAGGAGAAUCAAAUUGAUUUGGGCCAAAAUUGCCUAAAAAGAAAACACUCCUAAAUAAACUUCAAUUCACUUUUAAAAACAGUAAAACAUGAUUGAAUCAUUCUUUAAAACAAUUCCCUAAUAUACAUGCAUGAUAAUGACAUCAUUUACCCCUGAAUCAAAUGCCUUUCACUGGUCAAGCCACAAGUCUGUGUUUUGGGAAUUGCUGAGCUGCAUCAAUCCUGCCAAUGUAAAUUCUGCCCCUAGGCUCUCUCAAAGUGCGUUUACAACCUAUGCUAACAUAUACUAGAGUUUGUUUUAGUAUCUAGAAAAUGCCAACACUAAUUUCGUAACACGUAGAAAUUGUUACAUAUUGGAAGUUUUUAUCAUUUUUUCUUCCAGUCUCUCCACCACUCACUAAUACAGAUUACUCAUGUGAUGAGUUUACAAAACAUAUUUCUCUACUCCCACAAAGACCAUACUUUUUCUCAAAAGACUAUAUCACUUUAUCUCUAUCUUUGUGAAAUGUAAAAAGUUGAAACUUUAAUGUCAAACCUCGACAAAAGAUGAACAUCCAUCAUCAAUUACAUUGAAUUUGAAUUUGUUGAACUUAAGUAGUUUUACUUCUCUGUCAGCGUUUGAUGACUUGAUUUGUUAUUUACUUCUUCUUUUUUCCUUGGAAAUGUGUUCCAUCAACGUGAGGAAGAAAAAUAUGCACAAAUUAAUAUAUUUAAUAGAAGCAAAAAUUAAUAUUUACAAAAAUAUGCACAAAUCAAGUAAAAUUAAUAAAGCAUAAAUUGGAAAGGGAAAAUAUGUAGAGGAUGCAUUGUAGGAUUGCUCAUGCCAAUAAUUGUACCCUCUAAAUAUAUAGGGACAUAUUUUUUUUUGUUUUCAUGACAUGUGGUCCUAAAAUUAUUGUUCUUAGCGGGCUCUCCACCCCUCUCGACUGAAAACCUAUUGUGUAAAUCUUCAAUCCUGAAUGAUGCACCUAAAACUCAUGUUGCAAUACACAUCCACCCAUUCUCAGGCCAAUUAUUACUCCUAGUGGGCUCUCCACCCCCUCUCAAAUUUAAGUGGUCCAUUAUUAUUAACCGUAUAUUUUAUGGACCAGCCAGCUGUGAGGUUUUAUCUCAAAAACCUUUCUCCCACAUGCCACAAUUUAUGUCUGAUACAUCACAUCAUGCCAGUUGUCUCAAAUGAAUUUAAGUGAGUGAGGCAGUGUUACUUCUGGGUACCCCUCAUUAUUCGUCUAUAAAUUGGUGAAGCCAGUUGCUACUGUUACCAUAAGAGCCAGCUCCGACUUUCAAAAUAAAAAUUCCAACAACGGUCUUAGUGCCUUCAAUUGUAUGAGUCAUUGAACAUGCAAAUGAAUAAAAUAUGAAUGAUAAAAGUGUUUGAUAAAUCACCAAGUUAUAGAACACUUGAUGAUUUAUCUCAAAUAAAAAUUCAGCUUUCUAAAGUUUGUGAAUUGAAAAUAUAAUCGUUAAAGCUCUCUAAACAAAGAAGACGAAAGUCUUAUUUUAUAGAAUUUUUCUUUACAAGAAAGAAAACAUGUUGAAAACCAAAUCUCCAAUUUCCAAGGCUUGACAGAAAAUCAAAAAAAUAUCUUUCCUAUUCUAGAGAUUGGUCACAUGUAGUUCAACCAAUAGGAAAUGAGAUAUUUAAGAAAGCAAGAUUUUGAUCAAUACCAAUAUCAAAUGAAUUCUUAUACGCCUAGUCAACUAUUAAGGGUAUCUUGACUCCUUGAUAUUGUGAUAUGAUUGAAACAUGAUUUCCAUGUUAGAAAAUUAAGGGGAUGUUAAAACAUGAAAGUAAUAGGAGAAUCAAAUUGAUUUGGACUAAAAUUGCCUAAAAAGAAAACACUCUUAAAUAAACUUCAAUUCACUUUUAAAAACAGUAAAACAUGAUUGAAUCAUUUUUUAAAACAAUUCCCUAAUAUACAUGCAUGAUAAUGACAUCACUUACCCCUAAAUCAAAUUGUCACGCCCCGGACCUGGGGGUCAGUGGAAACCCCACGUUCGGUGCGUGAGAAAAUAAAAAGUAAAAUAAAAUAAAAAGAAUGCCGAAACAAGGGUUUAAAAUAAACUUCUCUUAUAAAAAUAACUCCAAAAUCUUACAACUUUACAAGAAAUAAAUAAAGCCCUAUCAUUCUUAUCUAAUUCAGCCUCAACUGGUUUAGUCCUUGUCUUGCCCACUAAUUCAUCUAAAAAAUGAAGAGUGUUGCUAAACGAACCCUAAAAUUAAUUGAGUACACCCUACUACCAAACGAUUUAUUGAAUUUGUCACAUCUCGGGAUCAACUCCGCCGUAGCACGAUAUUGUUCGCUUUGGGCCCUCCCUCUCUGGCUCGCAUGGUUUUGUUUCUGGGAACUCACGAGUAACUUCCCAGUGGGUCACCAAUCCUGGGAUUGCUCUAGCCCACAACUCGCUUAACUUCGGAGUUCCUACGACUCCGAAGCCUGUGAGCUCCCAAAAGGUCUCGUGCUAGAUGGAUGCGGGUGUGCACAUAUAAGGCACAUCACCCCCUCUCCGUUGGUUGAUGUGGGAUCUUAUAGAAUUACUAAUUUAUCCUAAUAUAAAAUGACCAAAGAAGAUAAAAUAAUAUUGGUAUCUAUUGCUUUGAAUCCAUGCCUUCAAACAAAUUGACUUAAUUUUUAACAAACAACACGGAGUCCAGGAGAAGUGUAUUGAUCCAAGUUGAUUUUUGUAUGCGUAAAACUUAAACAAUCAAUAACACAAAGCAGUUCAUGCUGAAAUAUUGGAAACCCACACCCAAAGAGUUCUCCGCUGCGAGGUUGAAGGCAGGAGAGAUGGGUGACAGAUUUUACUUCCACUGCGAAGUUGGAGGCUAGGAGAGUCUGUGACUGCCAUGGUUGAGGGAGAAGAUGCGUUCAAAAUGCCUAUUGAUAUUUUACAUUAUUGGCUUUUUUCAAAAGUGAAAGUUUUUUUAUGGGUAAAACCUAAAUUUACUUUUUCUAUACAAGUUAACAGUGUUUGUGUAUUGUGAAAAGGUGGAGAGACGUGUCAAAAUUUUAGACAAAGGACAGGAGGAGAUAGGGAAUUUGGGGACAGCAGAUCUCAACUCCCUUGAGACCCUAUUCUCUACGCCACCCCUCCCCCUCAACAACCCUAGUCACCAUUUCUCCUUCAACUCCAACGGCAACUCAUUAAAACCCAAUUCUCAAAUGCAACAAUCUAAUCCCAAUCCCAAUUCAGAUGUUUCUAAAAAACCCAUUGUCGUGGUGGAGAACUGCAAUUCCAGGUGGUGGUGGUGGUACCACAUGGGAGAGAGAAAAAAGAAGAAGAAGAAGCAGGAGAGAGAGAGUUUUUUAUUUUAUUAUUAUUUUACUGUAAUUUUUUAAUUUAAAUAAUUAAAAAAAUUAAAAGUUAAAGAGGAUGUACCAUGGGUAUUUUUGGUAGUUAAAUAAGGUGUACUUAGGGUCAGUUUGGCAUUGCUGUGCUGUGAAAAUAAUAGCUGUCAGAUUUGCUGUGAGAGAAAUCAGCUGUGAGAGAAAUCAGUUUGGCGUUUGAUAAAAUUUUUGUUAAAAGUGUGUUGAUAUUGAUUUUAUGCUUAAUCCGAAAAUGAUUGCUGCAUAAUCAUUAAACCCAGCGCCUCUUCGAAACUGAUUCCUAUAUAAUCAGAAAAUGAAAGCACCUCAUUAGCUGCUUUCCUUUAUAGCUUUCUCUCACAGCAAUUUUUAACAAUAAGUGAUUUUCUCACAGUUUACCAAACGGGUUGGGCUUCUCAAAAUUUUUUAAAAAUCACUUAUUACCCCAAAUAAGCAAUACCAAACGGGCACUUAGUUAAUUUUACAUUUUAAUUUAAACAUUAGGGUGUACUCAGUUAAUUUUAGGGUUCGUUCAGCAGCACUCAAAAUUAAACAAGGUGAGGGAUGAGCAAGUAGGGACAUGAGACAUUGCCACAGUAGAUUGAUAUAACUAAAUAUUAUUAUAAACAUAGAAAUAUAUAAGUAUUAUUAUAAUAGGAUUCAUAAUAAUUAAUAUAAAAGUAUAACAACAAUAUUUACAUUUAUGUACCAAGAUAAUUACACAUAUAAAUAUAACCAAUAUAUAUUUUUAUAUAUUUUAAAAUAUAAGUCUUUACGUAAAUGCCUUUCACGGGUCAAGCCACAAGUCUGUGUUUUGGGGAUUGCUGAGCUGCAUCAAUCCUGCCAAUGUCAAUUCUGCCCCUGAGCUCUCUCAAAGCACGUUUAAAACCUAUGCUAACAUAUACUAGAGUUUAUGCUGUAUCUAGAAAAUGCCAACACUAAUUUCGUAACACGUAGAAAUUGUUAGAGAUUGGAAGUUUUUAUCAUUUUUUCUUCCAGUCUCUCCACUACUUAUUAAUACAGAUUACUCAUGUGAUGAGUUUACAAAACCUAUUUCUCUACUCUCGCAAAGACUAAACUUCUUCUCAAAAGACUAGAUCACUUUACCUCUAUCUCUGUGAAAUGUAAAAAGUUGAAACUUUAAUGUCAAACCUCGACAAAGUGUUCUACUUUACAAACUUCUUGUGUCUACCAAUUUGUACUAAAAUUAAUUUCUCUACAGUGCUCAGAUUCAUCAUAUGUGUGUCCUUAAUUUUAGUGGAAAUUGGAAGUUUCCAUAAUUUUUGCUUUAAGUCACUCUUCUGAAGGAAGUUGAGGUUCCACUUCAUAAUCCAAAAUGUCAGGUUGACUUAUGGCAAACAAUGUAAAUAUGUAGGAGUACUAUGACCUUUUAUAGCAUUUUUAGUUUGAAUUUGGGUUUUAUACAUAGAUUUCAAAAUUAAUAGGUUGAUGCCUAGGAAAUAGAAAUUGUAAGGGCCUAUAUUAGAGUAGCCCUCUUAAAAAUAAUAUUAAUUAAUGAAUAUUUGUUCUUCUUGUUGUUUUGAAGUAGUGGUGGGAGGCAGACCAACAAAAAAAAAAUAUAGUGAAGGCUUAUAAGAGCAUUUACAAUCAUGCUCCCUAUUUUUUAGUUAAAAUUUAGCUAAAAAUAGAAAAAAAGUUAUUAUAGGAGCUCUUUAUAAAGCUCCUUUAUAAAAUUUGAACUCCAAUCAUACUCCCUAGUUUAGGGAGUCAAAAAUACUAUAGUUAUUUUUUAAUUCAAUUUGAUUUUGGUUAAUCUCUAUAAAUAUGAAAAAAUAGUUAGCAUUAAUUAAAAGUUUAAACUAUGCAUAAAACAAAGAAACAUUAAAUUAUAGGGAGCCACUAUGAGUCAUUACUCUCUCCUCAGAUUUAGGAGCUCCUAAAGGUCUCCCUAUUUUAUGAGGUGGAUAAGGAGCAUGGUUGGAGUUGUAUUUCUUCAAUUUCCUCCCUAAAAUUUGUCUAAGGAUGUGGUUUAGGGAGCCCAUUGUGAAUGCUCUAACUCUGGUAAAACACGAGUGACAUGGACAACAUAUGUUACGUCGUACUGAAGAUUUUUGGGUUUCUUUAAUUGGUUAAGUAGCAUCCACACAGCUUCCUAAAUCAUCUCCUUAGACAAAUUUUAGGGAGGAAUUGGAAAAGUACAACUCCAACUAUGCUCCCUAUCCACCAACUAAAAUAGGGAGACUUCUAGGAGCUCCUAAAUCUGAUGAGAGAGAAAGGACUCUUAAUGACUCCCUAUAAUUUAAUGUUGCUUUAUAUUAUUUUGUAUACAGACGGGUCAAUUAUAUUAAAUUAAAAAAUAAUUAAAGUAUUUAUGACUCUCUAAACUAGUGAGCAUAAUUGUAGAUCAUCUUAUAUACCUUAAUUUGAAGAUUCUUUAUUUGGGUUUCUUUCAAGACUUAUCACCUUAGCCACGCCACCUACACGUCUGCAAGCUUUCCUAACAAGGAAGGGGAGGCUGCGCAAUACUUAUCACCUUAGCCACACUACACCAAAUUGACGUCUGCAAGCUUUCGUAAUCUAACAAGGAAGGGGAGGCUGCGCAAUACUUAUCACCUUAGCCACACCAACACCACAAGACCAAUAUGUGUAGUCCAGGAGGCUUUCCCAUUUUAAUAUAUAUUAUCAAAUAAAAUAAAAAUCAAUCUAUUAUCAUAUAUAUUAUAAAAUAAAGAUUAUUGCUCCAUCCUCCAUGCACUUGCAUGCCUCUUACAAAGUGUGAAGUAGAUUUUGUGUGCUCCAAGUCAUUGACGAGAGCUGUAACAUGGUUAGCUGGAUUUAUAAGAUCUUUUCUUUUCUGGGAAUUUUCUGAAUCAAGAAAAAUUAAGUAAAAUUAAUAAAGCAUAAAUUAGAAAGGAAAAAUAUCUAGAGGAUGCAUUGUAGGAUUGCACAUGCCAAUAAUUGUAUCCUCUAAAUAUAUAGGGACAUAUUUUUUUGUUUUCAUGACAUGUGGCCCUAAAAUUAUUGUUCCUAGCGGGCUCUCCACCCCCUCUCGAUUGAAAACUAAUUGUGUAAAUCUUCAAUCUUGAAUGAUGCACCUAAAACUCAAGUGUCCCAGGCCAAUUAUUGCUCUCAUACCACUUGUUGUAAUAAACAUCCAUCCAUUCUAAAGGAAAGAUAACCAUCGAUAUUAUCUCAAAUUUAACCACUUAAGUUCAUUAUGAUUAACUAUGUAUCUUAUGGACCAAUCCAAUCAUGAGGUUUUAUACCCAAUUAGAUCGACUAAUACAAAGUUCACACGUGGAUUGAAAAGCGCUAUCAGUAGGGGAGUGUUCGGCACCCUUUACUGCCGAACGCAACACAAGACCCCUUGCAUGCCUUCACUAAGUUGAGCCUAUCUAUUUUUUAGCAUUAACAAUAUAUAUAGAUUGAAAAAAUAAAAUAAAAAUCAAUCUAUUAUCAUAUAAAAUAAAUAUUAUUGCUCCAUCCUCCAUACACUUGCAUGCCCUCUUACAAAGUGUGAAGUAGAUUUUUUGUGCUCCAACUCAUUGACUAGGGCUGAAACAUGGUUAGUUGGAUUUAUAAGAUCUUUUCUUUUCUGGGAAUUUUCUGAAGCACGGAAAAUCAAAUAAAAUUAAUAAAGCAGAAACUGUACCCUUUAAUUAUAUAUGGACGUAUGUUUUUUUGUUUUCAAGUCUUAGAUGACAUGGGGACCUAAAAUUAUUGCUCCUAGUGGACUCUCGACCCCUCUCAAAUUUAAGUGGUCCAUUAUUAUUAACCACAUAUUUUAUGGACCAUGCAGCUGUGAGGUUUUAUCUCAAAAACCUUCGGUACAUUUCUCCCACAUGCCACAAUUGUAUAUUCACAAUUACGGCUGUUACGUCACAUCAUGCCACUUGCCUCACAUGCAACAAGUCUGUGUUUUGGGGAUUGCCGAGCUGCAUCAAUUCUGCCAAUGUCAAUUCUGCCCCUGGACUCUCUCAAAGCACAUUUAAAACCUAUGCGAACAUAUAUUAGAGUUUAUGAUGUAUGUAUCUAGAAAAUGCCAACACUAAUUUCGUAACAUGUAAAAAUUAUUAGAGAUUGGAAGUUUUUAUCAUUUUUUCUUCCAGUCUCUCCACCACUUAUUAAUACAGAUUACUCAUGUGAUGAGUUUACAAAACCUAUUUCUCUACUCUCGCAAAGACUAAACUUCUUCUCAAAAGACUAGAUCACUUUACCUCUAUCUCUGUGAAAUGUAAAAAGUUGAAACUUUAAUGUCAAACCUCGACAAAGUGUUCUACUUUACAAACUUCUUGUGUCUACCAAUUUGUACUAAAAUUAAUUUAUCUACGGUGCUCAGCUUCAUCGUAUGUGUGUCCUUAAUUUUAGUGGAAAUUGGAAGUUUCCAUAAUUUUUGCUUUAAGUCACUCUUCUGAAGGAAGUUGAGGUUCCACUCCAUAAUCCCAAAUGUCAGGUUGACUUAUGGCAAACAAUGUAAAUAUGUAGGAGUACUAUGACCUUUUAUAGCAUUUUUAGUUUGAAUUUGGGUUUUAUACAUAGAUUUCAAAAUUAAUAGGUUGAUGCCUAGGAAAUAGAAAUUGUAAGGGCCUAUAUUAGAGUAGCCCUCUUAAAAAUAAUAUUAAUUAAUGAAUAUUUGUUCUUCUUGUUGUUUUGAAGUAGUGGUGGGAGGCAGACCAACAAAAAAAAUAUAGUGAAGGCUUAUAAGAGCAUUUACAAUCAUGCUCCCUAUUUUUUAGUUAAAAUUUAGCUAAAAAUAGAAAAAAGUUAUUAUAGGAGCUCUUUAUAAAAUUUGAAUUCCAAUCGUACUCCCUAAUUUAGGGAGUCAUAAAUAUUAUAGUUAUUUUUUAAUUCAAUUUGAUUUUGGUUAAUCUCUAUAAAUAAAUAAAAAUAUGAAAAAAUAGUUAGCAUUAAUUAAAAGUUUAAACUAUGCAUAAAACAAAGAAACAUUAAAUUAUAGGGAGCCACUAUGCCAAUAAUUGUAUCCUCUAAAUAUAUAGGGACAUAUUUUUUUUGUUUUCAUGACAUGUGGCCCUAAAAUUAUUGUUCCUAGCGGGCUCUCCAACCCCUCUCGAUUGAAAACCAAUUGUGUAAAUCUUCAAUCUUGAAUGAUGCACCUAAAACUCAAGUGUCCCAGGCCAAUUAUUGCUCUCAUACCACGUGUUGUAAUAAACAUCCAUCCAUUCUAAAGGAAAGAUAACCAUCGAUAUUAUCUCAAAUUUAACCACUUAAGUUCAUUAUGAUUAACUAUGUAUCUUAUGAACCAAUCCAAUCGUGAGGUUUUAUACCCAAUUAGAUCGACCAAUACAAAGUUCACACGUGGAUUGAAAAGCACUAUCAAUAGGGGAGUGUUCGGCACCCUUUACUGCCGAGCGCAACACAAGAUCCCUUGCAUGCCCUCACUAAGUUGAGCCCAACUAUUUUUUAGCAUUAACAAUAUAUAUAGAUUGAAAAAAUAAAAUAAAAAUCAAUCUAUUAUCAUAUAUUUUAUAAAAUACAUAUUAUUGCUCCAUCCUCCAUACACUUGCAUGCCCUCUUACAAAGUGUGAAGUAGAUUUUUUGUGCUCCAACUCAUUGACUAGGGCUGAAACAUGGUUAGUUAGAUUUAUAAGAUCUUUUGUUUUUUGGGAAUUUUCUGAAGCAAGGAAAAUCAAAUAAAAUUAAUAAAGCAGAAACUGUACCCUUUAAUUAUAUAUGGACAUAUGUUUUUUUGUUUUUUUGCUCUCGACCCCUCUCAAAUUUAAGUGGUCCAUUAUUGUUAACCACAUAUUUUAUGGACCAUCCAGCUUCGGUACAUUUCAAAAAGCUUCGGUACAUUUCUCCCACAUGACACAAUUGUAUAUUCACAAUUACUUCUGGGUACCCCUCAUCAGUCGUCUAUAAAAUGGUGAAGCCAGUUGCUACUGUUACCAUAAGAGCCAGCUCCGACUUUCUUUAAUUUCUUGCUACAUCUGUUGCUAAGUUAAUUUCAGUCCUAAUGGGGUUUCAUCUCCCACUCAUCUUUGCUAUUCUCAGUGUAAGCUCUGCAAUUUGAUUAACUUUUCCAUUCUCUCUCAUUGUACUCUAUAUAUAUAAAUGAAAGUUUUGUGUUCCUAUAAUUCUCUCCGAUUUUAUUUAGUACGUACUUAAGUGUCGUCCACUAAUUAAUUACACUUUGUGAGAUUUGAUUUUAAUUAGAGUUCGAAUUAAUGUUGCAGCUAGCAGCGGUUGCACUGGCAAACAAUGCUGCUCAACCAGCACCUCAACUUUACUGGAACUCCGUCCUGCCAAACACACAGAUGCCAAGAUCUAUCAGUGAACUUCUGCAUCCUGGUUUGUGUUCAGCUCUUUAUAAUCUUAGAUAUCUCUUCUACCUGCCAUUUUACUAAAAUAUGUUCGACCACAUAUUUAUCAGCUAACUACUGUGAUUACAAGAAUGACACUUAUUUUCCAAUAUAAUUUGCAGACUCCACAAAUGAAGAAAAGAGCAAACCUGAAAUUUUCCCAUUGCAGGGCAAUAGAGUUUACACUCAAAGCCAUUAUAAAAAACGUCCUCCUCCUCCAUCUGACGAGGGCAAACCUGAAACUUUCCCAUUGGGCAAUAGCCAUUACACUCAAACCCGUUAUAAAAAACGUCCUCCUCCUCCAUCUGACGAGGGCAAACCUGAAAAUUUCCCAUUGGGCAAUAGCCAUUACACUCAAACCCGUUAUAAAAAACGUCCUCCUCCUCCAUCCGACGAGGGCAAACCUGAAAAUUUCCCAUUGGCCAAUAGCUUUUACACUCAAACCCGUUAUAAAAAACGUCCUCCUCCUCCAUCUGACGAGGGCAAACCUGAAAAUUUCCCAUUGGCCAAUAGCUUUUACACUCAAAGCCAUUAUAAAAAACGUCCUCCUCCUCCAUCUGACGAGGGCAAACCUGAAAAUUUCCCAUUGGCACGUUCUCCUCCAUCUGACAGUCAACUAAAGCAUUACAAAGACUUAGCUAUUUUCUUCUUCGAGAAGGACAUGCGCCCGGGCACAACUAUGAAGUUCCAAUUCCCUAGAAAUUCAAACACGGCUACUUUCCUGCCACGCGAAAGUGCUCAAUCGAUCCCCUUCUCCUCUAAGAAACUACCAGAAAUUUUCAACCAUUUUUCAGUGAAGCCAACAUCUGAGGAAGCCAAAACAAUUAAGCAAACAAUCGAAGAGUGUGAAGCUCCAGGCCUUAAGGGAGAGGAAAAAUAUUGCGCCACAUCUUUAGAAUCAAUGGUUGAUUUUAGCACUUCGAAGCUUGGAACAAGAAACGUUGAAGCAAUCUCAACGGAGGUAUUGGAAGAAGGAGCCACCAAGUACAUGCACAACUAUACAACAAUGCCGGGACUGAAGAAGUUGGAAGGUGACAAAGUCGUUGUGUGUCAUAAGGAGAACUAUCCCUAUGCUGUGUUUCUCUGCCAUGCAAUAAAACAAACAGAAGCUUAUGUUCUCUCCCUGAAAGCCGAUGAUGGGAUGAAGGUGAAAGCAGUAACCAUCUGCCAUCUAGACACAUCAGAAUGGGACCCAGAGCAUUUGUCCUUCCAAAUCCUCAACGUUAAGCCCGGAACCACUCCCAUCUGCCAUUUCCUUACCACUGAUGCUAUUGCCUGGGUUCCAAAACACAAAUCUGCAUGAUCAUCACUUAGCACUGUACGUGUAAUAAGCUUGGUCGGGUUGCACCCUAGGCCUGCAUAAUUAUCUCCCUACUUAUUUCUGCCUCUUCAUCAUGCGGUGUAAGAUAUAUGAUGAGAUGAAGUUUUCUCUUGUAACUAUGUAGACUACUUCAACUUGUACUCAUAAUAAAGCACGCUGUUGGGGGGUUCUACUUAAUUUCGUUCUCUCCAAUGUUUGAGUGUUGAAUUGUUACGUUGGAAUAGGCUGCUAAUGCAUGUAGUUAGAGAAGCCUUCAUUUAUAUCAAAGUCCUCAAACUAUCAAGAAUUAAUGUAUCCAGAAACAUAUACCAAGACGCAAAACAACAUAUUUUCCAUUCUCUGUCUGUAACACCAAAGCAAACUUCCUUUAUCACAUCAUUUAAAGGAUCAAAUUCCAGUACUAAUCUAAUCCAUCAUGUAAAGCAUACAAGUGCCUACCUAAAUUUGUCCAUUGGAUAUAUAUGUCACUUUUUAUUUUUUGAUAGAGAUAUAAAUGUUGAAAAAAUUAGAGUACACAACUCUUAUAGACACUACUACGAUUUACUAUUUGCGCGACGGAAGUUUGCGCGACGAACAUUGUUUCGUCGCGCAAAAAGCACUAUUGCGACGAAAAAAAAAUACCGUAGCGCAAACAACAUAACACAAGCGCGACAAACAGUUUCGUCGCGCAAACAAUCUAUGCGCGACCAAUAUUAAUUUCGUCGCGCAAAGGUAGGGGAAAAAAACCCGGUUUUUUUUUUUUGGCGCCAUAAUCUUGCGCGACAACAACAAUCGUCGCGCAUGACAAUAUUGCGCGACAAUUCAAAGAAUUCGUCAGGUAAAGAUGGACAGAAAAUUGUCUCAUUUUUUUGGCGGUAAAAAACUUUGCGCGACGAAAUUUUUCGUCUCAAAAGACAACUUAGCGCGACGGAAAUAUGUACCGUCGCGUAAAAAAACGAGGGAUACUUAUUUUUGGCGCCAAAAUGCAGGGUGGAUAAAAAAAAUUUUGCGCGACGGAAUUACCUUCGUCGCGUAAAGUGUAAUGCCGGUGCUUUCUUGCGCGACGAAAUAAAUAAUUUGCGCGACGUAAUUUAAACCUUGCGCGACGAAAAGUAUUAUUUGCGCGACGAAAUUUUGUGCGACGAAUAAUAUGUUUCGUCGCACAAAAAAGCAGAUGUCGACAGGUAAUUGCGCGACGGAAAUGUUGUUUUGUGCGAUGGAAAAGUGGGUUUUCGCGACGGCAUUUUGCGCGACGGAUAUUGGUGUUCGUCGCGCAAAGUCCUUCUUCUUCAUAUUAGUAUCUGCCAUUGCAGAGGCAGAAUGCAGAAAUUGCAUUCUGCCUCUCUCUCACUCUCCCUGCCGCUGCUCUGCUGUGAAUUCAAUACGUUCAUUGGGUAUGUAUUUUUUGUCGUUAGUUUAAAUGUAUUAAUGUAAAUUCGUAGUAACGCUAUUAAUUUUGUUAUCGUUAGGGAUAUUUGUGAUUAGUGAUUGGUGGAGAACGAUUGAGAAGGUAUGUUAUUGUAAAAGUUUGUUUGUUAUGUUUGUAAUUUUUUUGUGAAGUUAUAUGUAUAUAAUGUUGUGAAAUUGUGCGUGACAUAGCACAAUGUGUUGUGAUGUACGAAGUUAAUUGAAAUUAACUUCGUACUUUUAUUUUUAUGUUUAGUAACACGUAGUUUCCCGUUCGAGAUUAGUUGGAUUUCGUGCAUGGAUGAGUAAUGCAUGACUGCGGUCCAAUUAAUUCUUGAAUUGUCCCAUUAUUUGGACAGUUUGGUAAUGCAUAGUGUUGUCACAUAAUCUUCGGCUACAGGAUUAGGUUUCGAUUGUGGAGAUUUCGGUGUCAUCUCGGUACGUUCUUCGAGUGGUACGUAGGUAUUUAUACCUAUGCCCACUUCAAGAACUGUGUCGAGAUGCUGCCGAAAUUAAUCCACGUCGAAAUCUAAUCUCAUGUAGCCGUAGGUUACGUGACAGGACUAUGCAUUCCCGAAUGGGAUAGGGCCCUUACCGGAGGCAUAAGGUGACAUUAUAACUUCGUAUGAAGUUGUUGUGAUUGUUGUGUCGUGAUUGUGGUUUCAUGAAUUAUGAGCAGAAGGUGGAUACAUAACCCGAAUAGAUGCGCAGACGAAUACUUGGAUGGAAUCGAGGAUUUUAUUGAGUUUGCACAUAGACACAACCCGGGUGCAAGUAGAAUCCGUUGUCCUUGUAGGAGGUGUAACAACACGUUGUGGGAGACAAUUGAAAAUGUUGGAUUUCAUUUAGUAAGGAAUGGAAUGAUUGAAACAUAUAGCAUUUGGAACCUUCACGGCGAACAUGUAGGCCAUGCUUCGUCUUCAAAUGCCCCAAGAGUGGACAAUGUUGAACCUAUUGUGGAUCCUAAUGAUCAAGUCAUGGGUAUUAUACAGGAUGCUUUUCCAUUCGCAUCGACCAACAUCAAUCAGGAAGGGGAAGAUAACGUGCCUACACCAAUAGACAGUGCGGAGUUUGAACAGUAUGAAAAACUGUUAAAAAAUGCCAACCAAGAGUUAUACCCGGGGUACGAGAGCUUUUCCGUUCUCACUUCUAUUGUGGAGCUAAUGCACGGAAAAAUAAAGUAUCGUAUGUCGAACUUGUGUUUCGAUUACUUUUUGGGGGUUUUCAAGAGAAUGCUUCCGACGGAUAAUUAUUUGCCGAAAGACCAGAAACAUGCACAGAAGGUGUUGCAUGGUCUUGGAUUGGGUUAUGAAAAAAUCCACGCUUGCAAAAACAAUUGCAUGUUAUUCUACAAAGAGCAUGAAACGUUGGAUACAUGCCCUAUAUGCAAUGAGUCGAGGUUCAAAAUGACAUCCCAGAAUAGAACGACUAAGAUACCACAAAAAGUCAUGCGUUAUCUGCCCCUUAAACCUGGGUUGCAGCGAUUGUAUAUGUCGACGCAUACUGCCACAGACAUGAGAUGGCAUAAGGAAAAACGGGUAGACGAUGAUGUGAUGCGGCAUCCUGCAGAUGGGGAGGCAUGGAAAGAGUUCGAUCGAACGUUCCCCGAGUUUGCUGCUGAUCCCCGAAAUGUAAGAUUGGGACUUGCCACUGACGGAUUCAAUCCGUAUGGGGUUCUAAACCAACACCACAGCACUUGGCCGAUUUUCGCAUUCCCAUAUAAUUUGCCGCCUUGGAAAUGCAUGAAAAAAGAAUACAUGAUGAUGACUGUUUUGAUAACUGAGGAUCCUGGCAGGUCAAUUGAUGUGUACUUAAGGCCUCUGGUUGAUGAGCUGAAAGAUUUAUGGACAAACGGUGUUCGCACGUACGAUAAAUCAACUGGGAGGAUGUUCACUUUGCGAGCAGCAAUUAUGUGGACUGUGAAUGAUUUUCCAGCAUAUGCAAUGGUUUCUGGGUGGAGCACAAAAGGUUAUAUGGCAUGUCAUGUAUGCAAGGAAGAUGUAACUUCUGGUUGGCACGCGGGAAAAGUUUGUUACCUUGGUCAUCGGAGAUGGUUGCCAUGGGACCACGAGUGGCGAGAAAAAGAUAAAGAGUUCAACGGGAACACAGAGCGUCGCCUCAGACCUGGAGAAUGGUCCGGUGAUGAGAUCUUGGAACAGCUGAACCGUUUGGAUUUUGGUCCGUUCGGAAAAACAAUUAGUCGGACCAGACCUUCUACACAUUUGAACUGGACGCACAAGCCUAUGUUUUUUGAGCUCCCAUAUUGGUCGAAACUGAAAUUGAGGCACAAUCUAGAUGUGAUGCAUGUUGAGAAAAAUGUAUUCGACACAUUGGUGGGCACGAUUCUAGAUAUCGAGGGGAAGACGAAGGACACGAUCAAAGCUCGUCUUGAUUUGGAAAGAAUGGGCAUACGAAGGGGUUUAUGGAUGAAUAGGGACAGUGAUAAAGCUAGAAGGGAUCUUGCAUUCUUUUCUAUGAAACCGAAUGACAAAAAGGAGUUUCUAAAGUUUGUAUCGUCUGUCAAAUUUCCCGAUGGGUAUGCUUCUAAUAUCGCACGUUGCGUGAAUGUCGAUGGGGGUAAAUUUACUGGACUUAAGAGCCAUGACUGCCAUGUUCCUGUGGGUAUUCGACACCUACUGCCGGAAGAUGUGGUGAAGCCAAUCAUGUUGUUAUCCAGAUUUUUUUCCCAACUGACGGCAAAAACAUUGCGAAGGACAGACAUGUUUCAGUUGCGCCAUGACAUUGUCCAAGUCCUAUGCAAGUUUGAGAUGAUAUUUCCUCCGGCUUUCUUUACAAGUAUGAUGCACGUAAUGGUUCACUUGCCAGAAGAGGCAUUGCUUGCUGGUCCUGUCAACUAUCGCUGGAUGUAUCCAAUAGAAAGGUAUAUAAUCUUUAUCAUUUGUGUAUGCAUCAUUAUCGACACUUUGCUAAUUUGUAUCAUAUCGUUUUAUUUUGGCAGGCUUCUCGGAGAGCUGAAAAAAAGUGUACGCAACAGGGCAAAGCCCGAAGGAUUAAUUAUAGAGGCUUGGGUUCAAUAUGAGUCGCUUACUUUCUGUGGAAUGUAUUUAAAAGAUGUGGAGACGGUUUUCAAUCGUCCUCAACGCAAUAAUGACGGAGGUAUGAGAAAUGAAAAACUUUUUGUUUUUGCCCAAAGCGCAUGACCAUUUGGAGAUCCUGGACGAGGAGAGUCGUUUUCUAGAAAUGACAUGGAGGUAGCGCAUUGGUUCGUACUGAACAAUUGUGAUGAGAUAAUGGCCUACUUAGAUGAGCAUGAACAGAUGAUGAAGCGAGAACAUCCAUCACAUUUGGUUGCCCGGAAACAUCGUGAAUUAUUUCCACAAUGGUUUUUGGAUUCUGUAAGUUAUAACUGUUUUGUAAUUGACAAAUAUAAAUUGUAGUAUUUAAUUUUGUCAGACUAACAUGUAAAUGAUUUUGUAUACUAUUAGGUGAAUAAAUUGAAAUCAUCGAAUUCCCCCACUUACAGUGAUGAGUUAUAUAACUUGGCGUUCGGCCCAAUUCGUGCUGAGUUGUUCUCGGGUUGUAAUGUUAACGGCGUCAAAUUUUUGGGGGCCGCACGAGAUGACAAGUUGUGUAUGCAAAACAGCGGUGUCCAUGUCCCAGGUGGAGGCGAAAGUACGGACAUUGAUUUCUAUGGCAAACUGACAACUGUCGUGCAAUUGCUUUAGAAAGAUCGAUACCAAGUCAUCAUGUUUAAGUGUCGAUGGUUCGAUACCAACCCAAAUAGGGCGGGAAGUGUUAAAAUCGACCAUGGAGUACUGUUUGUGAACAUGGCGUCCCAAAUUGUGUAUCUAGAUGACCCUAAAGCCGGGAGCGGGUGAAAAGUUGUGCAGAAGAUGGAUCAUAGGAACGUGUAUGAUAUACCAGAACUAGACCCAAGUGACAACGACGUCGACAAUGUGGCUGACCAACGUUUAGAAUCUUCAAUGGAAAAUGAUGCGGAAACACUUCGAGAUACAAAUGUUAUACAAGAACCGUUUCAAAUAGAAGGAGUGUCUUCAGUAGAAAUACCGAUUCAGUCAAUUACAAUUGACCUCGGUGAUCUUCCCCGAUACGAUGUUGCAGUGGGUCCUAGCAACGCCGAUGAUGCAGUUAUAGAGGAGGAGGAGGAAGAAGAUUGGGAGACCGAGAGUGAUGAUAGCGAUGAUAACGAAAGUUAUUAUAGUUCAGAUGAUGAAUAAUGAAUUUAUUUGUAAAGUUAUUAUGUUAGUGUAUUCAUUUUGUGUAAUACAAAUCUUUGAAUAUAUGUAGUUGUCCAUAUGUAGUUGUGUAUUCAUUCUCCAUAUUUCAUCACAAACUUCAUUGGAAUGUCAAUACUUUAGUCAAUACUUAUUACGACCCCAUGCUUGUCGAUUGGUUUUUAUUUAUUUAUUUAUUAAUGUCUUUAACUCUUCAAUUAUUAUUUUUUUCUUUUGAGAUAUAGUUAUUUCUUCAUGUUUAAACAAAAAAUAUAAGUUAUUUCUCCAAUAUUAUCUGUGUGCCACUUAUUUUUCUUCACUUUGGUUCAUGAUUAGUGGCAUCAAUCUAGUCAAACCGAUAAAAUCGGUCGAUUCAAAUCUUAAUUAUCAAUUUAGUUUGGUUUUGAUGAAGAAAUACAAAGCCUUUCCAAAAAAUACAGAGCAUAAAAAAUGAUGAAUACAAAACCUUUCCAAAAAAUACAAAGCAUACACAAUUUGAAUUAAAUGAGGAUUUAUGGCGCCAAAUCCUUGCGCAACGAUAAGGAGCCCUUCGUCGCGCAAAUAUAUAUUAGGUAACGUUAUAGUAUAAUAUAUACCCACAUAUAUAUUUAAAAUUGGCGAUCGAAGUAGUUCAUUGUAUUCAUAUGAAGUGUAGGACUGUAGCUGCAAAAAAUCAUCAACAUCGGAGUUAAAAUAACCGUUCAAUCAUCACUUUUUAUUUAGAACCGUCGAAAAGUUUUACCCCGUUACUUAAUCUCUGAAUGUUUUUUUUGUCUGAUUUUUGCUGUCUAUGAUCUCGAAGUAUAACAAAACAAGUUUGACGGCUGGAUGACUGAAGCUAGUUUCGUAGACUGCGUGUGCUAUCAAAAUCAUAUAUUCACCAAAAACUCAAAAAUUUGUUCAUACAUUUGUGAAAAUGUAACUUAAUGUUUAUGUGGUAUCCCCUAGUGUAAAAAUAUGAAAUUGAAGAUCAAAUUCAGUCAUUGUAUUCAUAUAGGGUCAACAAAUGUUGCUGUAAAAAAUGAUCAAAAUCGGAGUUAAAAUAACCGUUAAAUCAUGACUUUUCAUUUAUAACCGUCAAAAUAUUUUGUCCUGUUCCCUGAUAUCUGAAUGUUUGGUCGUUUUGAUUUUUGGCGUAUACGAUCUCCAAGUAUAAACAAAUAAGUUUGCCGGUUGGAUCAUUGAAACUAUUUUAGGGUUUAGGGUUUAGGGCUUAGGGCUUAGGGUUUAGGGUUUACAUUUUAGGGUUUAGGUUUUGCGCGACGAAUAAACAUUCCUUUCGUCGCACAAAGUGAAAGUGACAAAGAUUGCGCGACGGAUAAGUCUUCCAUUCGUCGCGUAAUCUGGGACACACAUUUCACCCCUCCAUACCCUUUGAACACUUAGUGAAAAUUUCAACCGAAUGAAAUUCUUGAACCCGCGCGACGAACAAAGCAAAUACGUCGCGUAAAGUGGACGUGAACAAGAUUGCGCGACGGAUAAAUCUGGUAUUCGUCGCGCAAUCUGGGCCACACUUUCACCCUUCCAUCCCCUUUGAACACUUAGUGAAAAUUUCAACCGAAUGAAAUUUUUGAACUCGCGCGACGAACAAAACAAAUACGUUGCGCAAAGUGGACGUGAACAAGAUUGUGCGACGGAUAAAUCUAAUUUUCGUCGCGCAAUCUGGGCCACGCUUUCACCCUUCCAUCCCCUUUGAACACUUAGUGAAAAUUUCAAGCGAAGCAAAAUCUUCAACUCGCGCGACGAAUAAAAGUAUUCGUCGCGCAAAAGGCACAGGCCUCUGAUUUUUGUUAGCAAACAUUGCGCGACGUUUACUGUCUUCGUCGCGCAAAAGGCACAGACCCUUCAGUUUCAGCCUCCCGCUAAACCCAAAAUUUUCCCAAAAUUUUGGCGGAACGACAGCGUUUUGCGCGACGAACAUAUGACUUUCCGUCGCACAAGGUUAACCUUGCUCGACGUUUACUAUCUUCGUCGCGCAAAAGCACAAACCCUUCAGUUUCAGCCUCCCGCUAAACCCUAAGUCCCAAAAUUUGGGCGGAACGACAUCGUUUUGCGCGACGAAUAUAUGAUUUUCCGUCGCGCAAGGAGAACCUUGCGCAACGUUUACUAUCUUCGUCGCGCAAAAUCACAGUUUCAGCCUCCCGCUAAACCCUAAAUCCCAAAAUUUUGGUGGAACAACAGCGUUUUGCGCGACGAACCAUGUAUUUUUCGUCGCGCAAAAGGCACAGACCCUAAUCCCCAUUCAAAAUUUGGCGUUCUGGGAGACCUUGCGCGACGGAUAUUUCAUCGCGCAAGAUUCAUUAAUACCAUUUUGCACGACGCAUUCUGUUCUUCGUCGCGCAAAGUCGAAUAAAUUUGCAGAAACGGCCCGAUGCCUCCUUCUUCCCCAUUUUCUGGUUUCUCUCCGUUUCUUCCUCUCUCUCCGCCGUCACCUUAGCCCUCUCUCUCUGCCAUCACCUCAGCCACCUCCGCUCGUUCCGUAGCCUCCCUGCCGUCACCGUCGAGCCUGCCGUCGCAAUUUCGUCAGUUUUUCCCGAUUCUUCGCCGGCCGAUUUCUCUCUCCUCCGGCCACCAUUUUCGACGCCUAAGGUAUGAUUUCUCGACUAUUUUUUGUGCUCUAGCUGAUGGUUGGUUAGGAUUUCUUGAAUUUUCGCUAUAGGAAAUAGGAAUUAAAACCCUAGGUUUUGGCCGCUUUGGGAAUUUCAAAUCCGGCCACUUCCGGCCAUUUUUCGGGGUAGGUCCGAGAACAAAAGUGGCUCCAAUUAAUGUUUUCAACCUAGGGUAGGAACCUUGGCCCUUAGUUUUUAGAAUUUUCCGACGAAUGUUAUCGCUUUGGACACCCACGCGCUGCCGGCGCGUGUGGUGGCGCGUGGGAUGUUGUGGCAGUGGGGCAUUGGGUCCCAGAGCAAUCCCCUGUUUGUCACGAGCGCGUAGGUUUGCUCGGAUUUGAAUUUGGUUAUCGUUUGAGUCUUGAUCGGAUUUCGGCUAUUGUGCGAUUUCCAGGUUUGAUAUGUUCGGACCGUUGGAUCGAACUCAAACUCACGUAGUUGUACCUUUGUGUUUCUACGAUCGUUUAGGAUUCGACCGAUCGUUGAUCGGUGUCCCGGAUACUUCGAAAUUCCAAACCCUAGGUGAAGCUAUGCUUUUAAUUAAUUAGUUUAAAUUCUUAAUGAAAUUAUAUGUGCAGAUGUCAGAUUUGAUUAGACGUGGUAGGUCGAUGAUGACUGCACCGAGUUCGGAUCCCCCUGCUCAGUCGGCAUAUGCUGCCACUGCUCCAGCUUUGAUGGAGCACGUGCUGGUUGGUCCCGGGGCGUCCCAGGCGCCUGCGUCAUCUGCGUCAUCCGUCGCGCAGCCAGCUAGUGCUAGGCGGCGGCACCGGCCCGCCGACACGACAUCGACCGACGGUACUGGUGCCUCGGGAUCACAGCCAGAUAUAACUACCAUUUUGUAUUGUUAAUUUUAUAUUGAAAUUUGACAAUGUUGUUUAUUUAACAUUAAUAUCUUUUUUCUUUGCAGCGAAGAAGAACACCUGAGGGCCGUGUCGUCAGCUGAAGACGGCGAAGGUCACCCGGGUGACCAACAGUCGUAUCAGCAUCGGAUACGACGAGCGCCAUCGGGCUGCACCGACGGCGGAGUUGCAUAGCUCCUUGGCCCACGACAUUGGCCACGUCGUGCGGACCCAUUGCCUGAUGCAAUGGAAGUCUUGGAGGGUCAUGCCUGACGAGAUCAAGGUGGAGGUUCGCGGCCAGUUGUCGGUAUGUACCUUACAUUUUCAUUAAUUUUCUUUAAAAUUGUGUAUAUUUCUAUUACUUAACGUAUCUAAUUAAUUGAUUGCAGACGAACUAUAACUUGGAGGAUCUCGACGAAGAGUCGUUGGCGUACGUCAACAGACUCUUCGCUGAGAGGUACAAGCAGUGGAAGAGCGACUUGCACCAUCAUUUUCAGGCCUUUGAUGAUCCGCAAGUCGCUCUUCAGGAGGGUUGCCCGAAGGAGCUUGAGGGGCGGGAGGAUAGUUGGGAGUGGCUCUGCGCUCAUUUUCAAGCGUCCGAAUAUGUGGUAUUUUUUUAAUAAUAUUUGUUUAAUUAUUACUUAUUUCUUAUUAAUGUUUAUUUCAUUUUUUUUAUUUCAUUAUUAUUUAAUUUGUUAUGUUUUAACUAAUACGUUUCAUUUUUUGUAUAACAGAAUAAGGCCCAAGUGAAUAAGGGUAAUAGGAAGAAGAAGACCCUUCUCCACCAUUCCGGCUCCAGGCCCUUUUCGUAUAGGAUGGAUGCCCGGCGACGGGUAAUAAUCACAUAAUUUAUAUUUCAUUUUUAAUGUCAUUUUUAUUAAUUUAUUUUUUUCAUACUAAUAUUUUUCUUCUCUUGUUCAAUUUAGGAGGGGUCCAAGUUCCCAGAGAUCGACGUCUUUGGUGACGUUUAUGUUCGACCCGGGAAUGAGUUGGCCGAGUCCCUUCAUGUAAGUAUUAUUUAAUUUUAAUUCUUAUGUUACGCAUUCAAUUUAUAUGCAUGUUUAAAUUUAUAUUUUAUGUUAUGUUCAACAGACGACGAUGGUGGAGAGGAGCCAGUUGGUUCUUCAGGAGUCCGCCUCCCAGCUUCCUCCCGAGACUCCGAUCGAGUCUGUGGCUCCUCCACAGGAUGCUGGAUUUCAGAUCUUGACGGAGACGUUGGAUCAGACUCUCGGGAGGAGGCCGGGGACAUAUUGUCGAGGGAUGGGGAAUGCCCGGCGGAGGGAACCUAGACCUCGUUCAUCGGCCCAGUCAAACAGUCAGGUGACUGCUUUGACAGCACAGGUGGCCGAGCUUCAGGGUCAGAUGUCGGUGAUUCUACAGUCCCUCGCACAGAGCGGCUUUCCAAUCCCGCAGUUUCGUGCGUCAACCUCCCAGCCCGUCCACCCCGAGUAUGCCCACCAGACCACUGCCCCGGUGGACGCCCAGACCUCCGAGCCGCAUACUGGCGACGACCCGAUUGAUUUUGCUUCAUUAUUUGAUUAGUGUAUUUAUUUUCAUCAUAAACAUUUAUUUUAUUUGUAAUACAUUUAUUUUAUUUUAUAACAAAAUUUUGUUCUAAUUUAUUUUUAUUGCAAUUUCAUUGUUUAAUCAAUAAAAAAACCAAUUUUAUUUAAAAAAAAUAAAAAUAAAUAAAAAACAAAAACAAAAAAAACAAAAAAAAAUUGUAAUAUUAUUUUUGCGCGACGGAAGACAUUUCGUCGCGCAAAACCACAUGUAACAAAAAAAAUUAAAAAAAUCAAUUUUUUAUUACUUUAAUUCUUGCGCGACGAAUACAUACGUCUCGCAAACAUUUUUUGCGCGACGAAAUGUUUCGUCGCGCAACAGCUUUUGCGCGACGACUGAAAUUUUCGUCGCCAAAUAGAUGAGCGACGAAAACUUUCUCAUCGCGCGAAUAGUUCUGCGACGAAUAUAUACGUCUCCCGGACUAGUUUUGCGCGACGAAUUAUUUUCGUCGCGCUAUUCGUUUCGUCGCGCAAAUAUACGUGCGCCGAAUACUUUAUCGUCGCGCAAAUAUUUAUGCGACGAACAGUUGUUUCGUCUCCACACCGUUGGUGCAACGAUGGUUUACCCGUCGCACAAUUAUGCGCGACGAAGUGUUGUACCUCGUCGCGCAAAGGCUUUCUUCACGAUCUUCGCGCGACGGAAGGUGCGCGACGAAUUUUUUGUCGCGCUGAAAUUAGGGCGACUAAAUAAGACUUUGCGCGACGUUUUGUUAUUCGUCGCGCAAAGAGUAAAAUGUAGUAGUGAGACUUGUUGGAGACAAAACAGGUAAACAAAUUACUUGUAUUAGACUCACAAAAUAUUACAACAAGACAACUCUCAAAGAAAAGACAAACUCUCACACUUCUCACAAGGACUACUUAACUUUAUAGCUUAUUGCAUAUAGCAUAUGCAAACACAAUUAGAACAUACCUACGUACACUAUGGGAACACUCGUGUAUAUUUCAACACAAGAAAACAUGUGCACCGUGCACGGUUCACAUGAAGUAAGAAAUGAAGAGGAAAUAAAGAAGAAGAAUACAAAAGAAAAUGGAGAUGAGAAAAAAAAAAAAACCGAAUAAUGAAAAAUGAAUUGACAAUUAUAUAUGGUUGACAUUAGAUCUAAUAUUAUAUGUAACAACUAUUGAUCUAAAAUAAACAUUAAAUCAAACAAUAAUUAAAAGAUUUGACAAUAUAAAAAUUUAUUGAGGACAAAAAAAGGCAAAAACUUAUGAAAAAUGGAAACAAUAAAUAUGAACUGAGUCAUCAACUCACCAUGGUAAGUUUGCUGACGUAUAAAAAUAGUCAAUGGACAUCGAAAAGUAAUUGGCUUACAUCAAAAAUUAAAAUCACGUGGGUUAUUCCUAAGAAACCUUAAUAUUUGCCUUCCAUUUGUUCCAGCAAAAUAAAAGUCAUUGCUACUUAUUGUAACCCCUUUUCCAAGCUUAUUAAUCAAAGUAGACACCUCACUGCUGUCACCUAGCCAAUUUUCAACAAUGUCAUACUUAACAAGCAACUCCACAUCCUUUGAGGUGUUCACAAAACGAUCCAUGAGACUAACAUAAUCACUUAUGUACGUCUCCUCGUAGUGGCAUUGUUCAAAUGCGAUGAGAUUUCUAAUUAAUACCUCUGUAUGAUCGCUUAUUUUCAAUCUUGGAAUUUCAAGAGUCCGGCCAGCAAAUCUAAUAAGGUAUUCAUUGAUCCCUCAUUCAACUUGAACCCUGCCCUGUGUAGCUCUGUGAUGCUGGGUGUGUUUAUAGUUAUGAGUUUCCCGUCAUUAGUUUUUAGGGUUAUUCGUUAUAUGAGUCCCUGAACUUAGACCCGAUUUGCAUUUUAGUCCCUCAAUUUCCAAAAUCGUUCCAGUGGUCCUUCAACUUUAGUUUCGUUAGGACAAAUGGUCCUGCCGUCAAAUGAUUAUAAAGUGGAAAAAACAAGAACAAAAAAGGAAGUGAGUUAAAUUUGCACCUGCUAUGUUCAAACGACAAAGUUCGUUUCCGUUUGGUCGAUUACAAGAGAAGCUCAAUGCAGCUUACUUGGUUCCUCUUGGUAGAUGGAAAUAUAAUUUUUCUCCUAAUAACAAAGGUUUAGUGCAAUCAAUGAUGGGCUGUAUAGAACAACUUUUUUGUUUUAUAUGUUUAUGUGAGACAAGUUUUGCCAGAUUGAAUUAAUGUCUUCUAGCUAUGUACCUUAUCUUUUUGCCGGGCCAUGAGUUGAAUGUAGAGGCAGAGCAUGGCCUUGGGUUUGUAAAAGACAAAAGACUGAACCAGACGUAAUUAUUUAGAUUUUGGAUCCAGUUCCACAUCCCAAAGAGAAAACCACAAGUUUGCAAGCAAGUUUGUCCAUAUUAACACUACGUAGAGUAUAGGCAGUGUGCUACUCAUCUCACUUUCUCAACCUACCCUAUAUUUGUCUAAAAGAGUUUCUAAUUUCGUGUACUGAUUCACUACUACAUUUUACACUUUGUGCGACGAAGAGAAUUUCGUCACGCAAAAUACAUUGGUCGCGCAAAGUUUAAAAAAAAUUUUAAAAAAAUAAAAAAUUCCCGCGUCCAAUUUUUGGUACUUGUCCAAAUUUUUUGAGUUUUGCGCGACGAAUACUAACAUCGCGCAAAUAUUUGCGCGACGAAAUAUUUUUUGUUUUAAAUUUUUUUAAUUUAAAAUAAACUAAUUUAAUAGUUUGCGCUACGAAAUAUUUUGUCGCGCAAGGUUUUUGACUUUUUGUUUUAUUAUUUCUUUAAUAUGAAUUUAUUUAUAUGAAUUUUUUGAAAUUUUUACUUUUUAAAUUUAAUUUAAUUGUAUGAUUUCUUUUUAAAAUUACUUUAAUUUAAAUUGAUAUUAAUUUUUACUUUUUAAAUUUAAUUUAAUUGUAUGAUUUUUUUUAAUUACUUUAAUUUAAAUUGACAUAUUCAAAAUAAAAUUACAUAUGAAAAAUAGUGAUUAAAUUAUCCAAUAAAUAUAUAUAUAUAUAUAAUAUUCAAAAUGUACACAUAAAUUAACAAAGCACAAUAAUAAAAUCCUAAUACAAGCGUAUUGUGGUGGUAGUGUCGGAGGAUAUGUUUUGAUAGCUUCCUAAUCCUCAACUUUAGCCGUCAAAGUCUCGAUGAUUCCCUACAAAAAAAAUAAAUAUGGUCAAAUAACCACAAACAAAAAAAAAAAAAAAAAAAAAGGCAUAAUCUCCCCUAAAAUUGUUAUACCACAAAUCCAACCCAAACUCCAAUCCCUCCCCUUUACUCAACCCCAAAACCCACACAAACUCAAAAUUAACUCCAAAAACACAUAUUAAUGAAAAAAAUUUAAAAUUUGGAGAGAAUAUACCUUUUGGCAAGAUUGAGAGUGAAUGAGAGGGAGAAGUGAGUGUGAGAGAAUUAGAGAAGAUAGUGAUAGAGAGAUGAGAGAGAUGAGAGAGUGAGUGAGAGAGAGUGAGAGAUAGUGAAGAGAGAGAUGAGAGAUUAAGUGAGAGGAGUGAGUGAGAGAAAUGGUGGGAUUUGGGGAGAGGGAAAGAGAAAGGAGAGGUAAGAGUAGAGAAAGGCAUUGAGAAAAUGGUGGAUGAGUUAUUUCGGUUUUAAAAACCGUAUCACUUUGCGUGACGAAAAAUAUUGUUGGUCGCGCAAAGGUUUGCGCGACGAAAAAUAUUGGAAUAUUGAUCGCGCAAACUUUUGAGCGACGAAACAUAUUGGUCGCGCAAAGUCUAAAAAAAUUAUUUAAAAAAAAUAAAAAUCCCCGCGUCCCAUUUUUGGUACCCGCCAAAAUUUUUAAAUUUUUGCGCGACGAAUAUAGGAAUAUUGAUCGCGCAAAGUCUAAAAAAAUUAUUUAAAAAAAUAAAAAUCCCCGCGUCCCAUUUUUGGUACCCGCCAAAAUUUUUAAAUUUUUGCGCGACGAAUAUAGGAAUAUUGGUCGCGCAAAGUCUAAAAAAAUUAUUUAAAAAAAUAAAAAUCCCCGCGUCCCAUUUUUGGUACCCGCCAAAAUUUUUCAAUUUUUGCGCGACGAAAAAUACAUAUUGGUCGCGCAAAGUCUAAAAAAAUUAUUUAAAAAAAUAAAAAUCCCCGCGUCCCAUUUUUGGUACCCGCCAAAAUUUUUAAAUUUUUGCGCGACGAAAAAUACAUACUGGUCGCGCAAAGUCUAAAAAAAUUCCCGCGUCCGAUUUUUGGUACCCGCCCAAAUUUUUGCGAGACGAAAAAUAUAUAUUGGUCGCGCAAAGUUUUGAGCGACAAAAAAUAUUGGUCGCGCAAAGUCUAAAAUUUUUUUAUUUUUUUUUUAAAAUCCAGCGUCCCAUUUUUGGUACCCGUCCAAAUUUUUAGAGUUUUGCGCGACAAACUGUUGGUUGCGCAAACUUUUGAGAGACGAAAAAUUGGUUCGUAACACAAUAUUUAUAAAAAUAAUUGUUAUGAAUAAUAAAAAUAAAAUUAUUUUAUUUUACAAUUUAAAAUAUAAAUAAGGUUAAAGCUGCUUAAGAAAUAUAUAUACUAUUCAAUUUCUUAAGUGUUAUACGUACAAAAUAAAUAAAUUUAAAGGUACUUAAUAAAUAAAUAUAUAUACACACACCAUUCAACGAUCCAACCGUCAGACUUAUUUGUAUAUACUUCAAGAUCGUAUACCCCAAAAAUCACAAAAAACAAACAUUUAGAGAUCUAGUAACGAGACAAAACUUUUCGAUGGUUAUAAAUGAAAAAUUACGAUUUAACGGUUAUUUUAACUCCGAUUUUGAUGAUUUUUUUUUACAGCUACACUCCUUGACCAUAUAUGAAUACAAUGACUGAAUUUGAUCUUCAAUUUAAAAUAUUUACACUAGUGGAUACCACAAAAUCUUAUGUUAUAUCUAACGAACGUAUAAAUAACCUCUUAAUUGUUAGUGAAUAUAUUGUUUUGAUGGCAUAUGCAUUCACCAAAACUAGUUUCAACGAUCCAACCAUCAAACUUGUUUGUUUAUACUUCGAGAUCAUAUACGCCAAAAAUCAGAAAAAAUAAACAUUCAGAGAUCAAGUAAUGGGACAAAAAUUUUCGACGGUUAUAAUGAAAAAUCACGAUUUAACGGUUAUUUUAACUCCGAUUUUGAUGAUUUUUUACAGCUACACUCCUUGACCCUAUAUGAAUACAAUGACUGAAUUUGAUCUUCAAUUUAAAAUAUUUACACUAGUGUAUACCACAAAAUCUUAUGUUAUAUUUAACGAACGUAUAAAUAAACUCUUAAUUGUUAGUGAAUAUAUUGUUUUGAUGGCAUAUGCAUUCACCAAAACUAGUUUCAACGAUCCAACCGUCAAACUUGUUUGUUUAUACUUCGAGAUCAUAUACGCCAAAAAUCGGAAAAAAUAAACAUUCAGAGAUCAAGUAAUGGGACAAAACUUUUCGACGGUUAUAAUGAAAAAUCACGAUUUAACGGUUAUUUUAACUCCGAUUUUGAUGAUUUUUUACAGCUACACUCCUUGAACCUAUAUGAAUACAAUGACUGAAUUUGAUCUUCAAUUUAAAAUAUUUACACUAGUGGAUACCACAAAAUCUUAUGUUAUAUUUAACGAACGUAUAAAUAAACUCUUAAUUGUUAGUGAAUAUAUUGUUUUGAUGGCAUAUGCAUUUACCAAAACUAGUUUCAACGAUCCAACCGUCAACCUUGUUUGUUUAUACUUCGAGAUCAUAUACGCCAAAAAUCGGAAAAAAUAAACAUUCAGAGAUCAAGUAAUGAGACAAAACUUUUCGACGGUUAUAAUGAAAAAUCACGAUUUAACGGUUAUUUUAACUCCGAUUUUGAUGAUUUUUUACAGCUACACUCCUUGACCCUAUAUGAAUACAAUGAACUAAUUCGAUCGUCAAUUUAAAAUAUAUAUUUUCUAACAAAAACCCAAUCUGAACAACAAUAAUAUAUUUUUCUAACAAAAAUCCGAUCCGAUCUAAAAUAAUAAAUUUAAAGCUACUUAAUAAAUAUAUAUACUGUUUAAUUUCUUAAGUGUUAUGCAUACAAAAUAAAAAACAAAAAUAAAUUAGUAUAGGCGACAAAAUGUUUGGAUUACGUCAUGCAAAGAUUUUAAAAUAUAUAUAUAUAUUAUUUUUAUAAGGACUUUGCGCGACGAAGUUCAUUGUUUCGUCGCGCAAAGUCACUUUGAGCGACGAUGUAUUGUUGUCGCGCAAAAGUUUGUCGCGCAAAGUUACUUUGCGCGACGAAUUUUUUUUCAUCGCUCAAAAUUUGGUCGCGCAAGACUUUGAGUGACGAUGUAUUGUCGUCGCGCAAAAGUUUGUCGCGCGAAGUGACUUUGCGCUACGAAUUGUUUUUCGUCACGCAAAAUUUGGUCGCGCAAGACUUUGAGCGACGAAGUUUUGAGUUUCGUCGCGCAAAGUGACUUUGAGCGACGAAUAGUUUUUCGUCGCGCAAAAUUUGGUCGCGCAAGGGGUUUUUUUUUACUAGUAUGAGUUUUAUAUACAAUUUAUAACAAUAUUUUCAGGCAAAAAAAUGUCUUGGCAAGAAAAUGUACAAUUUGUUACGUACUUAACUGGAACGAUUACCUUCAAAUUCCUAUGGCCAAUUACCUUCUUUUUUCUUCCUUUUUUUUUUUUUUUUUUUUUUGGUUGUUGUUGUUCUUUUGAUCAAGUUGCAUAUUCCAAAGAACGAAAACCAGUACAGGCUCUUUUCCAAUGCAAGCUCUUUUCCCAUGUUUCCCUCUGUUUUUCUCCUAUUUUUCUUAUAUGGAAGUGAUUAAAAUACACCUCUAAGCUUGUUUUGCGUUUGGUAACCGACUGUAAAAGCUCAAUGCAGAUAGUUUGAGGUAGAAUUUUCUCCAAUUUUACUAGCACAGUGAUAAGCUAUACUAUAUGUAACAACAAAUUGCUUUAAUAAUGAUAAUGAAAAAAGUGUGAUCCAUCGAAUAUUUGCGGGGUUUUGUUCCAAGUCAACACAUCAAAUUCUUUUACACCAUGAAAUUAAAAAAAAUUUAUUCAACCAUCUCGACCUUAUGCUCGAUCAUUUUGCACAAGCAACCGUCCACGUACCCCAAUAAUUUAAAAGGGCUGAUGAUCUUUAAUUUGGCGAAAGCUUCUAUCUACUUCUACCGCGCUAUAUAUGAGCUAUGCAAUUGUGACGGUGUUACAUGACGUCACAAUGUCGUAGGGAUAAAAAAAUAAUAGUCAUGGUUUCUUAUUAAUGUUAAUACAGGCAUAGCAAAAAGCUUGUAUUUCUAGUGGUUAAGAACAAUUACCCAUGCACUUGAGAUAUUAUGUGCUUAAAUCCCCUCUUCCCCAAUAUUUCUUGUAUAAAAAUAAAAAUAAAAAUAAAAAUAAUAAAGAUAUUGAUAUUGUAUUCUAUAAAGUGUUGGACAUGUUUUAUACCCCUUUACUGCAAAUUACAGUUUGACACAUGUACAAAAAUAAUAGGUAAGUGUUGGACAUCAAGAGUACUUACAUAUAGGUUUAAUAGGUAAGUUUUGAAUAUUUCUGUCUUUAGCUUUAAUUAUUGAAAAUCAACCUAUUAUCAUAUUAAAGACUUAUCCAUGUUCAACGUACAUUCUCUUAUUUUUCUCUCAUUGAAGUAAAUACAAAACUAAGCACAUAGUGGAAAAGUAGGUCACGAUUAGGGGUGGGUUUGGUCUGGGUUGGUUCAGUUUUGGGCUCAACCCGAACACCGAACCGUAGACCUCGAUUUGGCUAUUUUGGAAACCAAAACUAAACCAUAAUUAAUGAAAACCGACCACUUCAAUUACCUUCUGGUCUUCCAACCAGAAGAAAACUCAAAACUUUAACCAUACCAAGUGCAACAGAAUUACACCAGGCUGGAGUCAAGUUUAUGAUGGUUAAAGAUAAAAACUUAUUUGACAUACAAUUUGAGAAUGGAAUCCUCAAAAUUCCACACCUGCGAAUACAGGGUUAAACAGAAAUUUUCUUCCGCAAUUUUAUUGCCUAUGAGCAGUGUGAGCUCCAUGAUCAUUACAUCAACAACUAUGUCUUCGUCAUGGACCGCCUGGUCGACAGUGCCAGGGAUGUGGAAUUGCUUGUGAAGAGUGGAAUUCUUGAAUCCAUGCUACCGGACAGCGAGGCAGCAGGGGAAUUUAUUAAUUCUCUUGACUUGGGGCCUAUUUUAGGCAAGCUUGAAACAAGACUAUUUCAGUUCACCAUGGGCUGGCCUGUCUAUUAUUGUAGCCGCUAUACUAGUUGUGCUCACAUUUAUUCAAACAGUGUGCUCCGUAAUGGCGCUGUAGGUUCUUCAUUUCCUCAAUUUCAUGUUUAGUGGUUGCAGAUUUGUUGCUCAUGUACGUGUUUAUCUAAAGUUAAAUAAGAGUGAUUGACUGAUAGUCUGUUAGUUUGUUUUUCUGGGGUUUUUCCCCUGUUCGUCAAAAAAGAAAAAGAGAAAGAGUGAUUGCUUGUGCCUGUUUGGGCCUAAUUUGACACACCCAAUCCAAAAUCAAAAAGUCCAUGUCAAUUUUGGACAGCCACCAGCAUUCCCUUUGUAAUUAGGCCAAAAACUGCACACCCAACCUAGCACUGGAGCCUAGAACAAACAAGGUAAACUCAGGACCCAAGCAGUUUGAUUUUUUCAUUUAAAUUGGAAUCAAGGGCCCCAAGUCAAAAAAGCCCAAGCCCAAGGCAGAUUUUUUACCAAAAAGACCCAAGGAAGCCCAGUGCAUGCGAAUUGCUUAGCCCACAAUCCCAAAACUCAAAACUAAGUUUGGCAUGAUUAAAUAAAGAUAGAGAGAAGCCCAAAAUUGAAGAAACCCAAAACAGUUUUAUCAAAAUUGUCAGCUCUCUACCCAAGACCUAAAAAGGGUCAAAAAUACCACUAUUGGCAAAAUUGACGCACUCAGCCUUGGAUCACAAAGAAAUCCACGUGACUAUUUGACUUUGAGAAGUCAACAAUUUCAACUAGUCACAAGAGAAGUUGAUUGGAAUUAAUGUAGGCAGGUCAUUACAGAAAAGACUUCUUUGAAACUCUGUAGCCAAAAGAUCAAAAUCCCUUUCUAUAUAAUUCUGCAUCAGAGUAGGUGGUCUUUCCAAGAGAUAAGCAGACUACGUUUUCAAGAGAUAAGUAGAGAAUGAGGGAGUUGUUCAACAAGAAAAGCAAACUAACCAUCAUGAUAGGUUGUGUUCUUUCUCUCUACAAAAAACAAUAGGGAACAAAGAAGAGUUGGUUUUUCUUUCAGAAAAAGGAAGGAAAAGACCUACAUGAAAACUAAUUAUUGAUGGUUCUUCUCUGCCAGAACAGAUAACUUCUCAUUUUCUUUGACAUUUAAAAAUGAAAGGUCUCGCUUUUACAAAAUCUGCCGCCCAUUAUUUAAAGAUUAGAAAACCCACUCCAGCAUUUCCUAUAAAUAUGAGAGGAGGUGAUGUCACAUCACGGGAUUGGCUCUGCCGUAGCACGAUAUUGUCCACUUUGCGCCCCCCUCUCUACCCUCACGGUUUUAUUUUUGGGAACUCACGAGCAACUUCCCAGUGGGUCACUCAUCUUGGGAUUGCUCUAGCCCCCAGCUCGCUUAACUUCGGAGUUCCCAUGACUCCGAAGCCAAUGAGCUCCCAAAAGGCCUCGUGUUAGAUGGAGGCGGGCAUGUACAUAUAAGGCACAUCACCUCCUCUCCGUUGGUCGAUGUGGGAUGUUACAGGUGAACAUAUCAAAGGACAGCCAAAAAAUCAAUCAAAGACAAAAACUCAAAAUGAUCACUUGAUCUCAAAAGCCUUCAAAACACUGAAGCAAGCAAAGCUCAUUGAGCCACAACGAACAAGUCAGCUAGAAUUCAGAAUCUUUAGAGUCAGUUCAGUUUCAGAGAAAUAAUCAAAGAAAGCGAGAUCUCUCUCGUUACAAAUUUGGUUCAGCUUAAAGCCAAAACAAGCAGAGUUCAGGUUCUUACAAAUAUGAAAACCUCAAUAAAUUUAUGGAGAGCCCUGAUCAAGCAAAACAGGUACUACAGUGCAGUUCUAGCUUAGUAAUAAUCAAAUCCACCCACUUCUGCCCCUUCCAGAUUGAGAAGGUCCCAAUUCUGCCCAUUCAAAAAGCCUUCCAAGACUUGAAAUAGAUUAAAGCUCUGCCAAACUCAAAUGUUGGAAUCAAUUCGCAGCUGAAACAUGACAGUUGAAGGUGUUGAUAGUCCAGUCCAGCACAGACAUACCCAGUCUAGCCCAGAUCAGAAGCAUUCACCGAGGCAGAAAUUGAAGUCCAAAGCUCUUUUUGUCUUUUUAGAGUUGGUCUUCCUUUUCUGAGCUUUGUAAAAGGCAAUUCUGCCUAAAACAGUUCACUUUCUUAUCAUUUAUUCUGGCCAGAACUACCAGUUUUGUACUGUGAAAAAUUAUGAAGUCCUCACCAGUCUAAGGCAAGAAAAGAACUUACUUGGGAGAUAUUCCUCACCAAAUUCACAACCGUUUGUUUAGAAAUCAGUAACUUGGUGUAACGACCCGGUCCUAAAUAAAUUGGUAAUUAUUAAUUUAUUCAGAUAAAAGACCAUUUUGCCCAUAGAAUAUUUUAAUAGGUUUACAUGUUGACCCGGGAGGCUUCGGUGAAAUUGUUACAUCUCGGUCCGAAAAAGUGUUAAAAUAAUUAAAGUAGAGUGCUGCUAAAAGAACCCUAAAAUUAACUGAGUACACCCUAUGAUCUAAGUACACCCUAAUAUUUUAAUUAAAAUAUAAAAUUAACUAAGUACACCCUAUAAAACUAUCAAAAAUAACACUGAUACACCCUAAUACUUGUAGCAUUAUUUUAUAGUUGAUUAUUUUAAUAGUGUUUAUAAAUCUUUGACUUUUCAUAUGGAUUUAUGCUUCUACUAAAAUUGUUGCCACUUUUUUUCCAAUUCCAAGUUCUUGCAAUCACCACAUCUUUCGUUAAAAACACAAUAGGACAAGCAAUCUCUUGAUUAGGGUUGAAUAUGGUUAGUAGGGUGUACUUAUUAAUAUUAUAUUUGUUUCACAAUUCCAUAUAUCCUUUUUGGUCAUUUUAUAUUAGGGUAAACCAGUAAUUCAAUAUAUACUUUUAUAGUAGGGUGUACUCAGUUAAUUUUAGGGUUCGUUUAGCAGCACUCUUAAAGUAAGAGAGAAUAAAAUGAAAUAAACAUUAAAAUAAAAUGAUUUGAAUUAAUUAAGGUUUUUGAGAAAUUAAAAUAUUAUUUAAUAUUAUAAGGGGAAAAAGAUCAUUUUAAGUUUGGGAAGGAAUUUGGAAAUUCCAAUUGUACCGUUGUGUAGAGCAUGUCGAAACGAGUCCGUAGACACGUAGUGGACUCGAAUCGUAGUUAUAACGGAGAAAUGGCGAUCAAAAGAAGUUCAGUGGCAUAGCCAUAAAUAUUUCGAAGUUCAGUUUUUUUAAAACCCAAAUUUCUUCUCUCUGGGGAGUGGGAGAGCCAACUUCAAAUGGUGAUUUCUCCCAACUCCGACCACCACACUUCCCUCUUCCUUCAGUUUUGGCAUCAUGAUGGGUUCCAUCCCGGAAUGACACAUUUUCGACGCUAAGGACGUCACAAAUGGUAUUUGAGAUGCUUUGUAAAUUUGUAACCAUGGAAAACACAAUGAACUUUAUGUUCGGAGUUGCAAGAGAACAUUAAGGGGAAUAUGGAGAGUGGGAAAAUAGUAAUAAGUGGAGAUCUGUAUGCUUACUUACUACUGAACUUCCGUCGUGGUGGUUAGUAUGAAAAAGUGUUAGAGAUUAUAGAUUUUAUGGAGGAACAUGGUUGUACACUGAUAAGUAGUCGGUAGGAGUUGAUUUAAGUUCCAAGAGAAAUUCAUUAUGAACUGGGAUGAAUUACUGCAAGAUUCUUGCUGUUUUGAAGUUAUUGAUUUUAGGGGCAUCACCUCUGAAUGAUCAUAAUAACCAUGCGUGGGCUCUGCAUGAGGUUUCUUUGACAUUGUUUGAUUUUGUGUAUUGAUAAUUACACUUAGGGGUGUCACGUUUCUAGAAACGUGUCUAUCCAAAUUGUUGUAUCUCAAUAUCCUAUGGAAGGAAAGCUGAGAAGCUGAAAAUACUGGAUUUAUGGUGGUGAGAUAAAAAUUGUCAGGAACUUUCAAAAGUCAAAUUAUUUCACAAAGGGAAAUACUGGAGAGAAGUAUUAGAGAAUUUUCUUUGGAUAAGUUAUAUAGGAGUGGAGGAGUUGCGAGUUUAACCAAGGAGGGUUGUGACAAUUUAAAUUGAGAAGUAGUGGUGUUGGGUGAAGUAUUAUUUCAUUCGCGUGGGCUUGAAUGCCGCGAUUGACAGGAAUGGAACAUUAGGGUUCUUCUUCCUUGCUCUCUCACGCGAGCUCGCCAUAGAGAGUAUUUCUUGGCGUGGUACUGGCUUCGUCCGACCUCCGAUUACUGUGAUUUUUGAAAGGACCCGGCCCAAAUUUCUCAAAAUCCGAGGCGAAUCCUGUGAAAUUCCCGACAUCACUCCGAUGCCAGGCCCACUUACUAAAGACCGAGACUUUCUGCCGAACUUUCGGCAGAGUCUCCCCUAUAAAUUGGACAUUUUCCAAAACUACCACCUGCAUAAAACACAAUUUAUAUCCCCAACUGGCAGCAUGCACAAGAUAAUUUCAUGCAAAUCACAUAAUCGGCCUGCGGCCUUCAAAUAAUUCAAAACGAAACCACCAAGCACACUAUCAAAUUAAUUCCUACCUUAAACAAGGCAAACAAUAAAUUUAAAUAUGAAUUAUGACUACUAAAUUUCAACAUACGAGGUUUUAACCUCCUAACACAAUCACAUCUAUGUCCGCGGCUGCACCUAAUAACCUUAGGCUGCCUACGUACCUUCACUGAGGGAUCAAGCCACACGUAGUUCUUCCGUAAAACCCAAUUCCACACAUAGGCAAUACCUUUAUUCAUUUCUCUGUAUUUCACAUAAUCUCCCCAUACGCCAGUACUACCAUUGCCACGUAUGGGACUUGUCAACAAGCCGGAUAACCUACACCACGUGCGAUCUCAACAUAAUAUCACAUAAUCUCCUCAUACGCCGGUACAACCAGCGCCACGUAUGGGGCCUGUCAACACGCCGGAUAACCUACGCCACGUGCGACCUCAUCAUACUAUCACAUGAUCUCCCCAUACGCAGGUACAACCAACACCACGUAUGGGGCCUGUCUCAACGCCGGAUAACCUACGCCACGUGAGACCUGAACAUAAUAUCACAUAUCUCCUCAUACGCCGGUACAACCAAUGCCACGUAUGGGGCCUGUCAACACGCCGGAUAACCUACGCCACAUGCGACCUCAAUAUACUAUCACAAUAUCUCCCCAUACGCCGGUGCAACCAACGCCACAUAUAGGGUCUGUCUCAAAUUGGAUAACCUACGCCACGCUAGACCUCAACAUCAUAUCACAAUAUCUCCUCAUACGCCGGUACAACCAACGUCACGUAUGGGGUCUGUCCGCAUGCCGGAUAACCUACGCCAUGUGGGACCUAACUUUCACAGAGUGGUACUUGUAGUGUAACCAAAAUCUGGGGAGGUGCCUAAGGUAGUGCAUAUAGCACUUCAAACUGACAUUCUCUCACUUAUCUAAACUAAUACUAGAGGUCUUCCCAUUUUAAUGGUACCAGUCUAUAGUAGAUUGUAACGUAAUUUAAUCAUAAAAAUAAUAUUAUUUCUAGACCAACGAUUAUUCACAUAAACAUGAAUUUCAUAAUUUCACUAUUUAAAAUAAUAUCUAAAAGUUUCCUAUAAUACAAAUAAACACUCUAAAGAUCCCAACUUAGUCAACACAGCUCAACAAUGCUCAAGACCUGUCAUUAGGGUCAUUAUGAUCCUUCUAGGAAGGUAAAACUACCUCGAAAGACUCAAGGUCAACCAAGGGUCAAACCACCCACAAUUGGUCAAACGGGCCCACGGGGCCCACGACCUCCAAAUUCCAAUCCGAAGGUUCCUAUGGGAUCUACAAGGUAUAGGACACUCGUCUUGCAAGUUAAGCCUAGAUCGGAUGGUCAGAUCGCUCACGAUCGCACAAUCUGAUGGUUAAUAUAAAACAUAAACUUUAAAUUAUUUAAUCGGAACAUCCGGGGCUCCCGAUUCACGAUCUGUUCCUACACGAUCCUAGAAAUACAUAGAUUAACAUAUAUUAAAUUUGAGACCAUCCAACGGUCCUAACCUAUCGAACCCGGAUAACGCGCAAUAGGCGAUAUUCGUUCGAUAGUCAAACGACGUCCGAAUUGAGAUUUACGAAAUCCUACGCACUCGUGACAACCUAAGGAUCUCAUUGAGACAUAUUGCUAUCCCAAAACCGACCGAAAUCCAAUUCGAAAAUCGAGUUACUUACGUUAAGAAUCGACCGAAUCCUACCCAACAGGCAGCUAGAGCAUGAAAAGUAUGUGAGAAACCAUACCUCACUCGUCGAAAUCAGUGGCCAAAGGAGGGAGAUCGACGAUAGAGAAGUUCGGACGAACUGACCGCUUCUUCUCCAUUUUUCAGCGAAACCACGGUAGCUGGUGGCGGGACCUAGCUGGGGUUGGAAGAGGAUGACGCCCCGGUCAUUUUGGUAUCGGCCUCGUGGUCAUCGGUGGCCGGAUGAGAAAACAGCCGGCGAAAAUGUGACCGGCUGCCGUUGCGCACGCGAGAGAGACCACGAGAGAGAGAGAGAGAGAGAGAGAGAGAGAAAUCUGAUUGUGCCACUGAGAUUCUUUUGACCAUAUCUCUCUCGUUACAACUCCGAUUCAAGCCCACCACGUGUCUACGGACUCAUCUCGGUACGACCUAUCCAAAAAUACCAAUCACUACCCCAAAUACUUUUUGGAUCAGAAAGUGACCAAAUUACCCCUACCUCAAUGGUAACUUUGUAAUUUCACUUAAAUAAUUUAAAUAAGGGAUUAAAUUUGGAGUCGGGGUGUUACAAUUUUUGUUGCUAAAUGUUGUCAUCAUUUCUCCUCUACAUCACUCAGUGAUCAUUCACUCCCAUUUCUCUAGUUUACACGGUGAAUUUUAUUUCUAAAAUUUCUUAAAAUUCCGGCCACUGUGAGUUUGACCAGCGACUUGGGUUACUUUUGCCCAUCUUUUUGGAAAUGGAACCGAUUUGAGGAAGAUUAGGAGGAAAGAUACAUAGGCCGCUGAGGCAGAAGUAAAGCCGGAGCUUUACCAUAGACAGAAGUUGUUUUAGAAGUCCUGGAAGAUUGUGAACAGGAAUUGGAAGUUUGCAUGGGGUGAUAGGAUUUUUAGUACUUGUGCAAACAGUGUUAAAAAUCACAUAAAAUACUUGCAAGAAUACAAGGCUAUUGUAGUCUAGAUGCUCAUGCAAGGUCGUUUUCCUCAAGGACUAAUUAGCAAUUUAUGUAAAAAUAAAUUCCAAUUACUACUUAAAAUAAAAAGUCAAGAAAGAUGAUUAUAAAUUUGGUUGAUUCUAAAAAACAAAUAUUAAACAAAAACAAAUACGAUUGAAAGAAAGAGUUUUGAAUAUCAAUUUAUAAAAACACUAGGGUUUCACCAUCACCUAGCAAUCCUAUGAACUUUUACCAAUUACUUAUGAUUUGCACAUGCCACUUUGAAGGUUAGGUUUUCCUAAUGUAUAUUCUACUUAGAACCUCCAACACAGAAUGUAUAUCCAACAUGCAACCCGUCCGGACGUUCGGAUCAAAUCUGAACAUGAAAGACUCAUUAAGUUUUGUGAAAACCCUUUGAAAAACCAUGCAACCCUUAAGACGUGGUGUUCAUCUUAAGUGAAAUUACAAUUAUUAAUCAGAAGAAGCUAGCAUCAAUUUCAGGGAACCUUCCGACCAAAAUUGCAUCCAAUUACUUUUCUAAAGAUCCUAAUGGUGAUCAGGCAUUAAGACAAUUAGAUAGUUUAAAACAGUGAUUAACAAUUCAAAAUACGCAUGCACUCAUCAUAAGCAAUUAAAUAAAAAUCACAUAUUCAUGCUAAGGUUCAAGGCUUCACCCUAGCAAAAGAAAUUUAGUUACGCAUACUCAUAAUUGAAAUCCAAGAAAAUAUCAUUAAGAAGAAAAGAACGAAAACACCUGAAAGUUGUGAAAACCCAAAACCCUAGCAAUUGCUCUCCACAAUGCAAAGUUCAAAAGUGAAAAGGGAGUCCUCCAUUCCUUGUGAGAAAGAGCUUAAAUACCCCUUAAAACCUAGCUGCCAAUGUACAGCUUUUCUAUCCCCACAAGGAAACUAAUUAAAAUAAAAUAAUACUAGGAAAUAAAGUCCAAAUUGGAAUAGGAGAAUCUGCUCAAAAUCUGCCCAGCCACGUUUUGGCCCCAAAUCUCCUCCAAAUCUGGCCCAAGAUAGCUUGUUUUAAAGAUAAAAAAUGUUCUGAACACUUCUUUAGAAGGCCACGAACCCAUCCGAGGUCAUCUUGGGCUCCAAAAACGCAAUAAAAGCCCAACACGUCACUAUUCCAGCACCGCGCACUGCUCCUUUAUUUUGUUGCCAGAAAAUAACCGCUUGGAAGAAAAAUCUGAAAUUUUGAUACGAUCAAGCUAAGUGACUCAAGAACGUCCUCCAACUGGAAUUACUCCAAAAUUCCUCAAUUUGAUUAUGUUUUGCUCCAGAGAGAUUCGAAAGUCCUAUAUUGGAAAUAUAAUUCAAAGUAUCAAAAGUCUUCCAAAAUAAUAACCAAAAUAUACUAAGAAUGAGGUUAAAUAUAUAAUAUAAAAUAUGUCCAUCAAAAUACCCCCAAACUUAGCUUUUGCUUGUCCUCAAGUGAAACAAGACUCAAACAAAAAUAAAAACUUAACAGAUUAGACAUCUGGCUAACACUUAACUAGGACAAAAUUUCCACCUUCAAGUUGCAAUCCAUAGAAAAUUUUAAAAACUAGAACAUCCUUUCAAUAGAUCUAAGUAAUCCCACCACAAAGUCUAAGCUAUUUAGACUCAAUUAGAAAAGAAUUCACAAACUUCUUUCGGUGCAAAGUGAACCAUUAUGGUUAUGGAGACUUGACUAAAACCCUUAACUCUCAUCCCUUUUAUUCAUACUUCACACACUCCACACUUUUUGUUUUUUUUGUUUUUUGUUUUUUGUUUUUUUGUUUUUUUUUCUUUUUGUUUUUAUAGUAACAGUAGUGGUUGUGCAAUGUUGGUUCCCUUAAGCUUUCAAUCCAACCGUGUAGCCAGCUUUAGGUCAAUGUCUCCCAAACCACUCGGGUUUUAGGGCACUAGGUGUAGAACACCCCUAAGGACUUAUUAACUCAAGCUGAAAAGGCUACGAAACCAACUAACCACCCUGCCUCAUGCCAAAACUCUACCUUUUGUCUCGAGAAUCACUGCUGAUUAGGCAGGAUUGACCCGGUUACUAGCAAAGCUUCGGGUGAGGUAAUUAUUACUUUAUAACACAAACUAACUUUAUUUAUAUUGAACAUAAAUUAAAACACAUUUGGACAAAAAGUAAGUAUUCCAAUCUCACUCCCCAAAAACCAUGUUGGUGUGAUGUGCAAAUUUCAAAGUAUAAUUCAUGAAUUAAUGUCUAAGCAACAAUAAAUAGAAAAUACUCUACCGUGGGAUUGAUUUUCACCAUGUCCAUUUGUUCUAACGUUUAAAAUAAUCUAUGGAUAUUGACUGAAAAACGAAAAUUUGUAAACAAGACUCAAAAAAUGAAAAAUAAAAAAAAUUACGUUCCCACCCCCUAACUUAAAUCACACAUUGUCCUCAAGGUGGGGUAAAUAAUCAAAAGAAACAAGAGCAGAAACAAAACGACUAAAACUUAGAAAAUGGAAAUCAAAAAUAAAGAAAAUACUCUAAGAAAAGAAAUUAGGAAGGCAAAGGAUGAGAUCCAGAUGGAUCUGGUAAUCCUAUCCGUAGAGAUGGAAAGAUUCUAUACACGCCAUUGAGACUGGAUUUGGAGAUGAGGAUUUGACCCUACCUUGUUCGACGAAUUCCCUCAAGGGGAAUUAUAGCAAUAAAAUACAUAUGCUUCUACAAACAUUUAAUUGCACUGCUACGACGUGGAAAGAGUGCUUUGGGGUCUCAUCUCAUGUGAACCCGUUCGAGUAGAAAUCUUUCAUUAGAAUCAGAAAUGGGUCAUGGUAAAGAGAGGUAGAUGAUGAUUACAGUUCGGUAAAAAUGAUCAUUUCUGACAUUCCUCUCAAAGAACCGUGUUGGCAAUGUCGUUUAUCGAUUCUAAAGAAAGAAGAAAAAUAUCAACAAGUCAAAGAACGUGGAUUUCUUUUAAGGGGAGAGCUAGAACAAAAUCAAAUCACGAAUGGAAGAGUUUAGCUUUCAGAGGAAGAUUGAGCAUUACAGCAGCUAUUAAAGGAUAUUUUUAGUUGAAGAAUGAGAUUUUUCUUCCUCUGAUUGUUUAGCUAGAGCUUUUGGCUUGACUGCCAACGUGGUUGUGGAGGAAGAAACUUGGGAACCCGAGUAGUAGAUGCGAGCCCACUACCCAUACCCCUUUUGAGUGACAGGUAUGAAAUUUCAAGGAUGAAAUUUUUAUAAGAGGGGUAGAUUGUAACGACCCGGUCCUAAAUAAAUUGGUAAUUAUUAAUUUAUUCAUAUAAAAGACCAUUUUGCCCCCAUAAUAUUUUAAUAGGUUUACAUGUUGACUUGUUGACCGGGGAGGCUUUGGUGAAAUUGUUACAUCCCGGUCUGAAAAAGUGUUAAAAUAAUUAAAGUAAGAGAGAAUAAAUUGAAAUAAACAUUAAAAUAAAAUGAUUUGAAUUAAUUAAGGUGUUUGAGAAAUUAAAAUAUUAUUUAAAAUUAUAAGGGGCAAAAAGAUCAUUUUAAGUUUGGGAAGGAAUUUGAAAAUUUUGAUUGUACCGUUGUGUGGAGCACGUCGAAACGAGUCCGUAGACACAUAGUGGACUCGAAUCGGAGUUGUAACGAAAAAAUGGCGAUCAAAAGAAUUUCAGUGGCAUAACCGUAAAUAUUUUGAAGUUCAGUUUUUUUAAAACCCACAUUUAUUCUCUCUGGGGAGUGGGACGUGCCAACUUCAAAUGGUGAUUUCUCCCAACUCCGGCCACCAAUUCAAGUAAGACCGGCCCCGUUAGAACCACCACACUUCCCUCUUCCAGUCCCAGCCCAUCUCAGUCUCGAUCCGCCGUCGUAGUCGCCGAAAAUCGCCACGAAACAAGGUGGUUUGGAUAGUUUUUGUCGAAAUUUCGUGGAGCUCGUUCUCCCUCCUCCGGCCACCGUUUCAGGCGAGUGAGGUAUCAUUUCUCACCUAUUUUCUAUGAUAUAGCUGAUGGUUGGAUAUGAUUUGAUAAAUUUUGAGCGUUGAUAGUUCGAUUUUCGAAUCAAAGUUUGGCCGAAUUUCGGGAUGAAAUUCCGGCCACUUUCGAUCACUUUUUGGGGUAGGCCCAAGAACAAAAGUGUCUUCAAUUGAUGUCCUGAUCCCAGGGUAAGAGCAUUGGUCGAAAAUUUUGAGAUUUUCCUGCUGGUGGUAUCGCUUUGGGCACCCAUGCGCUGAUGGCGCGUGUGGCAGCGUGUGGGCACUGUAGCAGAGGGCCAUUGUGUCCCAAUGCGACCCCCUUGUUGUCACGAGUGCGUAAGGGUGCUCGGAUUCCAAUUUGGUUGAGGUUUGAACCCCGAAUGGAUUUCGUAUAUUGUACAUUAUCCGGGUUUGAUAGGUUUGAACCGUUGGAUAGUCUUGAAUUUAAUAUAUGUUAGUCUAGACAUCCCUAGGAUCAUAUAGGAUUUCGCGGAUCAUGGAUCGGAGCCCCGGAUGUUCUGAUUUAAUAAAUUAAAGUUUGUGUUUUACAAUAACCGUCCGAUCGUGCGAUCGCGAGCAAUCCGACAGUCCGAUCCGAACCAAACUUGCAGGACGGGUAUCCUAAAUCUUGUAGAACCCAUAGGAGCUUUCGGAUAAGAAUUUGGAGGUCGUGGGCCCGGUUGACCAAGAUUAGGUAGUUUGACCCCUCGGUUGACCAUGAGUCUUCCGAGGUAGUUUCACCCUUCGAGGAGUACUAGAAUGACCUUAUUACAUAGUCUCGACCUUUAAUUGAGCUAUGUUGACUAUGUUGAGAUUUUUAGAGUGUUUAUUAUUAUCGUAUGAAAACUCUUGGAUAUUACUUUUAAUAAUUGAAAUUAUGGAUUUGAUGAGCGUGGGUAAAUUGAUUUGAUGAGUGGUGAAAAGAAGUCGUGGGCUUGGCUAUGACUAUUAGGAAGUGAGGGGACAUUUAUGUUGAAUAUGCAUUAAUUUCAACAAUUGAAAGAACAUGCAUGGAAUGGGUAUAUAUAUAUAUAUAGAUAAAUUGGAUUAAAGAUUGAGAAAUUAAUAAGUUGAGAUAUUAGUAAUAUUUAAUUGAGAAAUGGAUUUUGAGGUGGAAAUUGGAAGGUUGAAUUUGGGGAAUUUUGGAAUUGAGAAUUAUGGGUUAAUACUGAAAGAUGUAGGAUUAUACUAUGUAAGUACCAUCCCCUAGUUACUAGGCUUCCCAUACGUGGAGUUGGAAUUUCUGGCGUGUGGGAAGGAUAUAUGAUUAUUAGAUCUCACAUGCCGUUGGAUUUUCCAGCGUGAGACAGACCCCAUACGUGGGGUUGGAUUUUUCGGCGUAUGGGGAGAUUAUGUGAUGGUUAGGUCACACGUAGGGUGGGAUUUUCCAACGUGUUGACAGACCCCAUAAGUGGCGUUGGAUUUUCCGGUGUAUAGGGAGAUUAUGUGAUGGUUAGGUCACACGUGGCAUAGGAUUUUCCAGCGUGUUGACAGACCCCGUACGUGGCGUUGGAUUUUCAGCGUAUGAGGAGAUUAUGUGAUGGUUAGGUCCCAUGUGGCGUAGGAUUUUCCGGCGUGUUGACAGACUCCAUACGUGACGUUGGAUUUUCCGACGUAUGGGGAGAUUAUCUGAUGGUUAGGUCACACGUGGAGUAGGAUUUUUCAGCGUGUUGACAGACCCCAUACGUGACGUUGGAUUUUCCGGCGUAUGGAGAGAUUAUGUGAUGGUUAGGUCACACGUGGCGUAGAAUUUUCUGGCGUGUUGACAGACCCCAUAUGUGGCGUUGGAUUUUCCGGCAUAUGGGGAGAUAAUGAGAUGGUUAGGUCACACGUGGCAUAGGAUUUUCUGGCUUGUUGACAGACCCCAUAUGUGGCGUUGGAUUUUCGCGCGUAUGGGAAGGAUAUGUGAUUAUUAGGUCUCACAGGUGGCGUUGGAAUUUCCGGCGUAUGAGACACUAACAGUGAGAAGAGAAUGAGAUUAUUUUUCUAUAUCAGAGAAAGGUUAGAGUAUAAAAAGAAAUAUGUUUGGUGUGUGGUAAUUUAAAUUAAAACAGGGAAAGAUAACUUACCUGUACUACUGAAACAGUUGUGUAACAUUUGGAGCAUGAUUAUGGAGUGAAAGAACUACGUGUGGCUUGAUCUCUCAGUAAGGGUACGUAGGCAACCUAGGUGCAGUCGUAGACUAAACGUUAUUUAUGUUGUUUUAUUGAGAUUGGUUCUGACCCUGUCGUUGGUCCUGAAAUUCGGUUGAAAACUAGAUGCGAGUAAAUAAUUGUUCAUACUCCCGUUUCGUUGAGGGAGGAUUGUGUAAAUGUGUUCUGGUCAAGACAGGUAUAAGAACUCGUUUAGGAUUGAUGUACGAUUUGGGCUAAGGCCUUAAACUACUUGUUGUUGUAUUAGGAGAUUAAAACCUCGCAUGUGGGAUAAUUGGGAAAGUUAGAUGAUGUAAAGUGCACUUAGGCAUUCAUAUAUAUGUUUAAAUUUAUUAUUUGUCUUGCUUAACGUAAUUGUUUGACUUAUGGGCUUUAUUGGUGAUUUGCUUCAGAUUAUUUAAAGGCCGAAGGCCGUUUAUGUGAAUUGCAUUUUGAUACAUUGUGCAUGCUACUAGUUGUGGAUAUUAAAUGUGUUUUAUGCAGGUUGAAAUUUUUGGGAUUGUUCAAAUUACAGGGGAGACUGCCAAAAUUUUGAUAGAAAGUCUCGGUCAUUAGUAAGUGGGCCCGGCAUCGAGGUGAUGUCGGAAUUUACACAAGAUUCCUCUCGGGUUUUCAGGAAUUCGGGGCGGAUCCUGUUACUUGGGGUGCAAAUUAUCCAUUUGUUCACCCGUUUUCGUGUUUUACUUCUGAGGUGGAAGGGCGAAGUUUCCCACUGGCUUGGAGACCACUUGUUGGUCGACAAGUCAGCUUUCUUUGGUGUGUGUGAGCGUGCCACUGCUAGCAAUGUAAAUUCUAGCAGACUUAUUUUUUAGAGUGGAUAACUUGCGCCUCAAGUUACUGACUUCUAAAACAAAUGAUUGUGAAUUUGGGUGAGGAAUAUCUCCCAAGUAAGUUCUUUUCUUGCCUCAAACUGGUGAGGACUUUCACAAUUUAUCUCAGUAUCAAAUGGUUGUUCUGGCCAGAAUAGAUAAUAAUAAAGUAGACUGUUUCAGGCAGAACUGCCUUUUACAAAAUUAAGAAGGGAGAAAUCAACUCUAGAAAGGAAAAAAGAUGGCUGGAAUCCCAUUUCUGCCUGGGUAGAAACUUCUGAUCCGGGCUGGACUGGGUAUGUCUAUGCUGGACGGUGCUGUCAACAACUUUAGCUUGCUCGGCUUUAGUUGUAAAUCGAUACCAAAGUUCAAUUUUGGCAGAGCUUCAAUCUACUUCAAGCCUUGGGAGACUUUUGAGUGGGCAGAACUGCAGCUUCUUCAGUUUGAAGGGACAGAAGUGGCUAUUCUCGAGGAUUUAGCAAGCUGGAACUAUGCUAUAAAAUUUGUUGAGGUUUUCAUAUUUGUGAAAACUCAAACUAUGUUUGUCUUGGCUUUUGCUGAACCAAAUUUGUAACGAGAGGGAUCUUGUUUUCAGAAGACUUAUUUUCUAAGUCUGAACUUUGGAAUUCUGAUCUAAAGCUGUUUUCUUGUUUGUUUUUUUUUGAUUGACUGAUGAAUUGAGUGUCCUUUGUUUCUUUGCCUUCUUUCGCUUUUAUAAGAGAUCCUCCUAAGGAGGUCAUUUUUAAUCCUAAACAAUGGGCGGCAAAAAGAUCUCUUAUAAUGUAAAGUAAGAAGGGUUUCUUAUCAAUCAAGGCAGAUAGGUUCUGAGCAGUCACCUCCUAAAAACAGUCCAUUCCCUGGUUUCCUGGGUGGCAGCUUUCUAAUUCAACCAACGCCACCGUCUGUGUGGGCUUUUUAUGGCAGUUUUGGCUCUUUUCUUUUGUAUUUUCUGAGUGGUUCCCUGUUUCCCGUUCUAAUUUAGAAAGCGUGAUUCGUGAAUUCCUUGGGAGAUGGUGUAUUGAUUUGGAGCAAAAUCUUGAACACAGAUGGGUUUUUGAUCUUCAAUUGGCAGUGUUUCAGAGACGUCCCUCUCACAUUUUUAAACUUUAGUUGGAAUUGCUGACUUUUCCAAAGUUGAGGCAAUCACGUGGGUGUGUCUUUGAUCCCUUGGUUUUGAAUCUAUCGAAAAUUACGGGCUGAUCUUUGAAGCCCAUUUCGAAAGUUUCCACAUCUGGGCUUUCUUUGGGCUGAGGCUUUAUUUCCAACAUUCUUGGUGUGAAGCCCAAACUGUCUGGGUCUUAUUUUCGUUUUUCUCAAGUCUCUGGGCUGGGCAGGCAAUUUUAUCAUGGGCCUGUCUUCUGGUCUUGGGCGUGCCGAAUUUGGGCCCAAACAAUGCCCCCUAAGUCUGAAUCGUUUUGGAAUGGUUUCAGACUUAAUGUUUUGCCAUUUAAUUCACGUGCCAGUUUCUUCCGUGUUUUCGCCCACGUCUGCCACGUUUGCCUGCUACGAACUAGAGUUCGUGGGAAAACGGCUAGUUAUUAUCUAGUUACUAGCUAAUAAUCAUCAGGUGCCGUCCCAUCUUCUUCUUCCCACGUUUUCGAGCCCCUCUUUAAAAGAAAUUCAAAUUCAUAGCUUCUGAAAAAAGAAACCCUAAACCUUCCAGCUCUUGUUCCUGCGAGUUCUUUCUUCGAGAUUUCCAAAGCCUUCUUUAGACCUUCCUUUCUUCUGCUUCUUCCCUUGAAUCAGAAAUGUCUUCCCCAAGGUCCCGCGCUCAGUCUUCUUCCGCUUCAGUUCCUCCCGAUUAUAUCACUGGGAGCGGGAUUGAUGCUCACGCGAUAGAAAUCAGGAGCAAGCUUCAUCCCUUUGCCCAGAAGAAUCUGGACGAGAAUGUCCUCCAUUUGUUUGAGAACACCCUGGUGUUAGGGCCUCACUGGUUUGGUCCUGUUCCAGCUGAGAUGGCAGAAUUGCUAAAAAAGGAUGCCGAGGCUCCUUUGUGUUUUGAGAGCUCUUCUGCCCUGGCUUCUUAUUCUUGGGUUAGCAAGAAUUUGAGCCGGUCCUUCCCGUCCAGCGAGGUGAGGAAUAGUCUGGUCAAAUGGGCAGACUGGAUUGAUAGACUUCUCCCGAGAUAUGGGGGUCACUGGAGGAGAGCUGGGAUUUAUGACGCCAUUUUUCUGUCCAAACAAUCGAUUAACAGAGAUGAGAAUCUGCUUGCUGCUGCUUUAUGCUUCUGGAAUUCUGCCAGCAAUACAUUUGACUUCCGCGUGGGUCCUAUGGCGCCAACCUUGCUGGAUAUGGCUCAGAUUUUUGGGUUCAGGCCCCAUGGUAGGCCUGUUGAUGCCAUUGGAGAUUAUCACAGGCGAAGGAAUCAAGAGAAAGUGGCCACCCCUUUUACUAUCCCUCCAGCCGUGAUCAACCAGAACUGCUCUUUCUCCAACUAUCUGAAGAAGUUCAGUGCUGAUAAGGACAAGGAUCAGCAACAUAUGUUGUUCCUUCUGUAUUGGCUGAAUUGGUUCGUUCUCCCCAAUCGGUCUUCUGCAGUUCUGCUAGAGUACAGACACUUGGCAGAAGCACUCCACAAUCACACUGAUGUGGGGCUCGGGCCUACAGUUCUGGCUCACCUUUUCAAGAAUCUGCAUACUUCCACCCUGGAGAACCCAUUGAACCUGUCAGCCCCUGGCGCAUUCUGGAUGAUCCAGAUCUGGCUGCAGGUUUAUUUUCCAGAACUAAGGUUCCCAGACAUAGUUCUGCCUGAAGAUCAAGUCCUGGCUCUUCCUCUGAUGUCGGCAGAAGUGCCCAAGCAUUCUAUUGAGGAGUAUUUGAUGCUCUUCAGGCAUUGUACAAAGAGGUCGGCAGCUCAGUGGCAAGUGGUGAUCAGGAGGACCUAUCCUUGGUUCCAGACCGGAUUUCGGUUGUUUGAGAAGGAGCCAGAAGAUGAAGCUGCCAGAACAGAUUUCAGGAGGAAAUUUCUGAGCAUUACUCUGCCCAGAGAUCUACCCCAUGGUGGGGGCAAACCUCCAAACUAUCAUCUGGGGGCAGAAGUCUACCAUCCCAACUUCUGCGCGAGGCAGCUUGGUUGUCCCCAACUCAUUCCGCUGAAAUCAUAUCGGAGUUGUAACCGGGCCUCUUCUUGGAGGGAUGCAGAUGAUCUGGAGGUGCACAAGGAUGCCCGGUGUGCAGUGAACAAAAUCAACAACAGCACGGAUGCCCUCUAUCCCUCGUGGGAGCUGAAUUCCUGCAGUUCUGCCGACUUUGACGCAUGGUGGAAAGCCAGAUUCCAAAGUCUGCCUGCUUCUGUCACUGCCCUCAAGGUGCUGUUUGAUGGUUGGGAAAACUGGGUCGUUUUUGCGAAUGGGGAUGCCAAGACGCAUAUGAUCCAGACCAUCAAGGAUAUUAACGCGCAAAUUAUAGAAGGUAGAUUUCUGAUUCUGUAUGGGGUUCGUUCUGUCCUGAUGAUUGAUUUCUAAUGUCUAUUCUGCCUGUAUCAGAUCCUUCUUUGACCAGCGUAGGUGGGCAGUCUGUUCAUGCUGGGGAAGUGAUUGGUAAGUCUUUUCUUUUAAUUCUAUUCUGUCUUUUCCUGCUGGAUUGGUCUCUAAUGUCUAAUGCCUUGGUGCAGUCUCUUCCGUUAUUGCUGCCGGGGACUUGGAGCUCCCUUCUGCGGAUGAAGGAGAUGAGGUCCAGACAGAACAAACACCUACCGAGGCCGCUCUUUCUGGCAGAAGAAAAAGGAAAGGACCUGCCCCUCCUUCGGAUAAUCCCACGCGGCCUGGUAUUUCAGGUAAGCUCGUGAUGUUCCAACCAUUCUCUUUAAAUUUAUUAUGUCUUGCCUUCUUUUCCCUAAUACUGCUUUUUGUUCUGUGCAGCUGGAAGUCCUUCCCCUCCUCCUACCAAGUUGAAAAAACUUAAAAAGAGGAGUGAGGAGGAGUAUGUCGCCGCGGAAGAGACGGCAGCAAUUCCCACCACUACCUCCGGGACGGAUGAAGAGCUGCGAGAGGCUUUUGAGGAGGUGGAGCAGGAAAAAGAAUUGGAAGAGCUGGAAGAAACGCCUCAGGAAAAAACGGCAGUGGCGGAAGGAGAGGUAAGUUUUAUUUCUGUGAUUCGCAUCAGUUCCCUUCUCGCCCUGUUUCUUCCGUUCUGACCCUUAUUUUGUAGGAGAAGAUCCCUGCUGAGGUGAUUGCAGAGAGCAUUGCCUUGGCGCAGAAGCAACAAGGGGGUCCAAGGGCUGAGCGGACUAGCUCAGAACUAGCCCUAUUUGAGGAUGCUGAGGCAGAGCAUUCUACUGCCGUUCCAGCGGCUGAGGAUCAGGCGGAACGGUCUGCAUCAGAGCCUGUGGAUCAGGCAGAGCUGUCUGUUGUGGUUCCGGAGGCUGAAGUGGAAACAACCGCCGCUGCCCCUGUGGUUGUGGUAACUUUCUUUCUUUAUCUGUCCACACUCUCCUGCAUUUCUGCCUUGUUCUUUAUUUUUAACUGUUGUAGCCUUUUCAGGUAGAAGUGCCUAAAGCUGUUGGCGUCCUGGCAGCGGUUACCAGUCCCCAGAAGCCUCCCAUUGUUGCUGUAAGUUUUCAUAACUUUUGGGCCUUUAUUUUCCACUUUCUGCCUGGUCUUACCUUAUGCUUUCUUCUUGCAGAUGCCAAUUCAUUCCCUUCCAGGAUCAUCUGCCACGGCUUCUUUUGCUGAUCCAGAACUCGAAGAGUUUGAAGCCAUGGAUCUGGAUGCCCAAUUGGACAGAUUGGAGAAACUCAGCUCUCCUCCAGGCAAGGCAAAAUCUAGGGCAGUGGAGGAGGCCAUGGAGAGGUUGAAAAUCUGGCAGUCUAAUGAGCUGGAGUUUGAUCAAGACAAUGAAGCCUUAAAUCAGCUGAUGAAGGACCUGGACCUGCUUCACAGACAGAACAUGGCUCCAAAACCUAUCCUUGAGAUGGGCCUAAGCUUGGCCAGAGAUGUGCUCAAUCUGCAUGAUCGCUAUGAGGAUCUCAGGCCUACUUUCAAGACUUCUGAAUUCUGCAAGGCCACUCAUGAAGCCAACCUGGCUGAUUUUGCAAAGCAGAAAGCAGAACUGGAUCAGAUGGUGGCCGGAUAUAAGGAAGCCAGGGCCACUGCGGACAAGCUGGAGAAGCCGAUGGAAGAGCUCCAAAAACAACUGGCAGAAUGCAGGGAGGUGCAGAGCAGGCUUGGGGCUGGACUGAGUUCUAAAACUAAGGCCACUUUCCUUGUGCAAAGUAUGGUUGCAGCUUCCAGGACAGCCUUGGAGAUUGCAGAGGCUUCAAUUCACCAGGGGGUGCUGCUCCAGAAAGAGCUUUCUGUCAAGAAAGCGAACCUGCAGGAGACUCUUAGAAAACUAGGAUUUUAGCUUCUUCUUUCCUUUUAUUGUUCGAAUAAUUUGCCGCAAAGGUGGCUAUUUUUAUAUAAGCUUUCAAAGCAUUUUACUGCUUUUCAUUUAUUCUUGAUGCAAUAACUGGAUACGGCUUUGAAAGUAAAAAACAGAACAACUUUAAAGCAAAAAUAAAUCUAAACAAAAUUCUUUUCAAGAAACAAAAAGGUCAAACUUGUUCCUCUUCUAUCCCGGGAUCUGUUUAUACAGCCUGCGAAUCCCACGUGGUUGGAUAGAACUUCUUUAACCAUUUACCAUUGAUUGGGGCAAAAUGAACAACUCCAUCUCGGUCCUGCAACCUGUAUGCCCCCAUUCCGAGGAUUUGGUUAAUUAUAAAAGGGCCUUCCCAUGUAGGUGACCAUUUCCCAUAUCCAGCUAUGUGUGCUCCAAGGGGCAGAAUUGCCUUCCAGACUAUCUCUCCCUCUUCAAAACUCUUGUUUUUGACUCUUUUGUUGUAGGCCCUUGAUACAGCCUGUUUUCCUGCUAAGAGUUUGUUGAGGGUGUCAAUUCUGCUUGCAUCCAAUUCUUCCAAUUCCAGCAACAUGGCUUGAGAGUAAUCCUCCCCAGUGAGACCAUGCUGGUGAGCAAUUCUAAGAGACUGGACCGCUAUCUCCAUGGGAAGAAUUGCAUCGUGGCCGUAGGUUAGAGCAUAGGGGGUCAUGCCAGUUGCUUCUCUCUUUGAAGUUCUGUAUGCCCACAAAGUUUCUGAUAACUUCUCAUGCCAUUACUUUGGAUUCUUCUCUAGCAUCUUUUUGAUGAUAUUGAUAAUCACCUUGUUACUUGAUUCCACCUGUCCAUUAGCUUGAGCAUAGUAAGGAGUAGAUUGAAGCAGUUUGAACUUGAACGUUUCUGCCAUAUCUAGCAUGUCCCUAGAUAUGAAAGAAGAACCCCUAUCGGUUGUGAUUGAUUCUGGAAUGCCAAACCUUUGUAUGAUCUGUUCUUCUAUAAAGGUGAUGAUCUCUUGAGAUGUUGUGGUUUUUACUGGCUUGGCCUCUACCCACUUGGUGAAGUAAUCUGUGGCAACGAUAAUGAAACAGUGCUGCUGGUUGCUGGCUGGAUAGAUUUUGCCAAUGAGAUCCAUUGCCCAUCCCCUGAAAGGCCAUGGUUUUACUACUGGAUUCAUGGGAACCGAAGGAGCCUGCUGGAUUGGGCCGUGCCUUUGACAGGCUUCACAUCCUUUGGAGUAGUUGAUGCAAUCCUUCAUCAUGGUUGGCCAGAAGUAGCCAUACCUUCUGAUUAACCAGCACAUCUUUCUUCCCCCUUGGUGAGCUCCACAGAUCCCCUCAUGGGUUUCUCCCAUGGCUUUCAUAUAUUCUGUCUUCCCGAGGCACCUUAAUAGUACCUCAUCCUUACUUUUUCGGACCAAAUCUUCAUUCCACAUGAGGUAGUUUGUAGCCAUGAUUCUGACUCUUUUCUUAGAGGGCAGAGUGGGAUAUCGUAAGUAAGUCAUGAUAGGCUCCCUCCAAUCAUCUUCAGUGAUCAAGGCAGAAUUGACUUCUAUCUCCAUUCCUCUCGUCAAAACAGAUGGUAGACUUUUCCUUCCUAUCUUGAUGAUCCUUUGGACGCAGUCUUCGGGCAUUUGUAUGCCUGAUGCCACCUGAGCCAGUUCAUUGGCUGCAAAGUUUUCCUCCCUUGGGAUGUUCUCCCAAGUAGCUUCUCUAAAUUCUGUUAGCAGAUUUCUAGCUGCUACUAGAUAUACAGCCAGAGAAGGAUUCAGACACUUAUAUUCUCCAGCAAUCUGUUUUAGGACAAGCAUGGAAUCUCCCAAGAUCUCCACGGACUGGACUCAUAAUUCUACCAACAUCUCGAGCCCUAUAAUCAAAGCCUCAUACUCGGCCAUGUUGUUGGUGCAUUGGAAAUCUAGCUGGAAGGAAUAGCAAUGUCUGACCCCUAAUGGUUCUUCCAGAACAAUCCCUGCUCCUGAAGCCUUGUCUGUCUUUGAUCCAUCAAAAUAUAACUUCCAAGGUGUGAGAUGAAUCGAGUAGAUUGGAUUGUUAAGGCAAACAUGAGCUCUAGUUAGCAGAUCUGCAUUUGCUAUGUCCAAAGAAUCCAUGUUUUCAAUUUCCUCUCCCGAGUGAUCUACCAAGAAGUCUGCCACAGCUUGCCCUUUGACAGCUUUCUGGGGGACAUACCUGAAGGUGAAUUCUGUCAAAGCCAAAGUCCAUUUCCCAAUUCUGCCCCUCAGCAUUGGUCUUGUUAGCAUGUAUUUGAUUAAGUCUGUUUUGGCAAUGAUGUAGAUAGUAUGUGGCAGCAUGUAGUGCCUGAGCUUUACAGCAGUGAAAUAUAAGGCCAGGCAAAGCCUUUCUAUUGCGGAAUACCUUCUUUCCACUUCUGUCAAUGUUCUGCUUAGAUAGUAGGCUGCCUGUUCUUUUCCUUCUUUGUUAUCUUGAACUAUUAGACUUCCAAUGGAUACUUCUGAUGCAGAUACAUAAAGCUUGAGGGGUCUGCCCCUUUUUGGUGGGGACAGAACUGGUGGAUUUGAGAGGUAAUGCUUUAUUUCCUGGAAAGCCUGUUGGUGCUGUUCUUCCCAUUUGAAUGUCUGUUCCUGCUUCAGUCUUAACAGGGAAGAAAAAGGUUGGAUUUUUCCUGCAGAAUUGGAUAUGAAUCUCCUUAGAAAAUUGAUUUUUCCUAAGAGACUUUGAAGUUCCUUCUUGUUCUGAGGUGGUAGAGCUUCUAUGAUGGAUGUUGCUUUAUUUCUGUCAACCUCUAUACCUCUCUGGUGGACCAAGAAUCCUAAGAAAUUCCCUGCUUGGACUCCAAAAACACAUUUUUUGGGGUUCAUUUUCAGUUUGUGCUGCCUCAUUCUUAGGAAUGCCCUUCUCAGGCUUGCUACGUGAUUUCCUUCCUCAGGGGAUUUAAUCACCACGUCAUCUAUGUAUACUUCCAAGGAAUGUCCUAUCAUAUCAUGAAAAAUAGAAUUCAUUGCCUUUGGUAGGUGGCUCCCGCAUUUCUCAAACCGAAAGGCAUUACAGUAUACUCGAAAGCACCUAUAUGUCCUGGACACAUAAAGGCUGUCUUGUGGAUGUCCUGUUCUGCCAUCAUGAUCUGGUUAUAACCUGCAUUGCCGUCCAUGAAAGAUAGCAUCUGGUUAUGAGUGGCUCCAUCCACUAGCAUGUCUGCCAUUGGCAUAGGAUAUUCGUCUUUAGGAGAUGCCUCAUUCAGAUUUCUGUACAAUAUUUGCUAACCAAUCGGAAUAGACGGCUGGCCUGAUGAAUCCUGCCUUGAGCAGCCUUUCUAUCUCUUCUUUGACCUUUAGUUCUGUGUCCAUAGACAUUCUUCUUCUGGCCUGUUUGACUGGAAGGUAGCCAUCUUUAAUUGGCAGCUUGUGCUCCACUCACUGCCUGUCCAAUCCUGGCAUUUCGUGGUAAUGCCAGGCAAAACAAUCUCUGAACUCCUGUAAAAGUGCCAUGAGUUCAGUCUUGAGUGGUUCCUUCAAAAGUGUGCUGAUGAAAGUAGGCCUUGGAUCUUCUUCUGUUCCUAAGUUUAUCUCCUGUAGAGGAUCCUCUACUUCUGGCAGGGAGUCAUCCAGUGCUGCUGGUGCAAAAUCUAAUACUUCCUCCUGUAAAAUUUCCUCCUCUUGCUCUUUUGUGCUUUCAUGGGUGAAUUCUGCCAUAUUGAUGGCUGGAUUCUGUAUGAAAAGCCUCCUUUCUCCCCAGUAUAUCAACAAUCUUUUUGUGAUGGAUCGGAUUGUUGCAGCUCGAUCCUUGUCUAGUUGAUUCGGACUAAACAUCAGAGUUCUGGAAGUUCAGCACAAAAAGGUCUAUUCCAGUCCUCUAGAGAACUGGCUAAACCUUCUUCAAUGAGUCUUUGGGCCGUGACACCAUGUGGACGGCCGUUCUGAUUGACUCCAAGGAAAGUGAAAGGACCGAGGUCAUCAUGAUAAUACCUUGUUUCAAAGCACAUGGCAGAGGGCAGGAAUGGCCGUGGAUCAGCCUCUAUAAUCUCCAUGCAGCCUUCUUCAUUCCAUAGUGCUAACUGCGGGUGGAGGGUGGAAGGAAUACAAAGGCUCUGGUGAAUCCAAUCCCUGCCAAGUAGUGCAUUGUAGGUGGUGGAAGUAGUGUCUAUAACAAAGAAUGCUAUUUUCAACUCUUUGCUUCCGAUUAUGACAUCCACAUCUAAGAUGCCAUGUAUUUUGGUGAUGCAACCAGAAGUUGGUGACGGUCAAUCGUGUUGGAAUCAGAUCUUUCUCUGUCCUGCCCAGCUUGGUCAGCAUUCUGUGGGGUAAUAGAUUAAUGGCUGCACCUCCAUUUACCAUGAUCUUGGAAAUAGGAAUACCCCCAAGAUUUGCCGUUAUAAACAAAGGUCUGAGGUGAAACAAGGUUGCUCUGUAGCUGGUUUAUUGGCUGUUCUGCCUGUCUUGGGGUUUUCUGCUUGUGGUUCUGGUGGCUCCUCUGCUUCUGCCAAUCUACAUUCAAAGCUUUCCUGAGAGAAAACAUCCCCUUCCAGAGUGCUUUCUUGUCCUUCGGCUGCCCUGAAUUUACUUGGUAGGAUGAAUACCAUGUUAAUUCCCAGAUCACCCUGUAGGAGGUCUUCUAAUUCUGCGCCAAAAGCUUCUGUUUCUGGGUCCAAUUCUACACCAAAUUCCAUUAAUUCUUCCCCGUAUUCUUCCGUCCAGUCAUCCUGUUCUGCUACUUCGAGGGGCUCUUUCUGAUCAUCUGCGGAAGGUUCAUAGUCCAAUUGCUCUUCUUCAUAUUCCUCAGUGUAGUCGUCUUCUCCUUGUAACGGGGUAGACCCAGAUUUCUCUGGUGUCUGCGUGGUGUCAGGACGGCUGCUGGACGACGAGGCCACAUGGAUAGGAGACCUGGCUGGGGGUUCUGUUUUCAGCAAUUCCCUUGACUGGCAAGCUUUCUGUUCUGUCUGGGGAAGUGUUUCAGGAUUUUUUCCUUUCCUAGCAGAACUGGGUUGUGAACGUACCUGCGUAUUAUCUUGGCUCUUAAGAUAUGUGCAGUAUUGCCUCUGGAUUCUCCUUUUCUGGGUUCUGGUUAGCUCCAGAGUCGGUCUACCGCUUCUUCCUACGGAAUACCAUCUCCCUUCUAUGAUCGUUGCCAAGGAUCUUUCGUUUCUGGGCAUCUUGACUGGUAUUUCCUUUCUGGGUUGCUCCAUCCUCCUCUCGCUGUAUUGUGUAGGCCUAAGACAGCUCUUCUGCCUUGUUUUGUCUCGGGAUGAGGUUCCAAUUCUGUCAAAGACACUAGGUGUGGGCUGAUUUUGUCUGUCUAGAACCACCUCUAGCUCUGUUUCACAUUUGCACCUACUGCAGAGCACUACCCCAGCCGAGAUGGUCGCUCUUGGUAUUUGACUGGUCUCCCUUAUGAUUCUUCUGCCUCUGCUGCAACCAGCAUCUGUGAUUGGCUCGGUUUUCCUCUGUUCUGGCCAAUUUAAGUUGACCAUAUUGACUUGUGGUUGAGGAAAAGGAUCCGUUGUGACGGAUGGUGGUUUUUCUGCCAGUUUCAACCUUCCUGCCGUUAUCCCUUCUUGUAUUACGUCCCUGAAAACAACACAACUAUUGGUAGAAUGGUUCCAAGAGUUGUGCCACCUGCAGUACUGUCUGCCCUUGAGUUCUUCCGGCUUCGGUAUUCUGUGAGGCGUCUCUAUUGCCUUCUACAGUAGCAUUUCGUGGAACAAGGCAUCAACCUUGGUUAAGUCAAAAGAGUAAACCUUGUUUUACGUUGGUUUGUUUGGAACGAAUCCUCCUGUGAAUGGUGGUGGCUUUUGGUCUUUAGGUGGCUUUGUGAGGGCUUUGCAACUAAUGGGAUGUUUUAGUUUUGCCAUUUCUGCCACUGAAACCUCUUUCUCUUCUGAUUCUUCUGCAUCUUCUUGUGAUUCCACCUCGAUCAGGUGGACUGAAGAAGAAGGGGUUUUAUAGUAUGUACCUUUGGAGGAGUUCCUCCUUUGCUGUUCCUCCCUGAGUAACUCCUCAUAUUUGGAUGCCUUAUCAGCCAGUUCUGCCAGAUCUCCGAACAAUAUCCCGUCGAACCUUUUCCUGAGAGAGAUUUUAAGGGCAACUUGGGCCAUCUGGAUGAAGUGUCUUUCUUCCAUCGGGAUUCGGCACUUCAUUUUGAGCUUUCUGAACCUGGUUAUGAAAUCUUGGGCCGGUUCAUCUUCACUUUGCUUGAGGGCAGCUAGAUCACUGAUGGUGACUUCUGGCUGAAUCCUGUAAUAGUAGUCAUGGAAGACAUUUUCCAUCUGUUCCCAGGUUUGAACAGAGUUAGCUGGCAGGCUGGUGUACCAGGUAAAAGCUUGCCCAAAAAGAGAGUUGCCGAAAAGCCUUAAUUUCAGCAGAGGGUUGCUUUCUAUAGCUAUGCAUUGGACGGAGAACCUGCCUAUAUGUUCAACUGAGGAAGAAUGGGGGUCUUCCCCAUUGAACAAAGUGAAGUUUGGCACUUUGAAACCUGGAGACAACAGUAUUUGAUCGAUAUAGGCUGGGUAUGGCUUUCUGUAAGUAGGCCUUUCCCCUAUUCUAGCCUCGGGUUCCAUGAUUUCUCUGAUCAUUCUUUGCAACGCUCCUAUGUCAUUCAAAGCAUUGACUGGGGGAAGAUUUUGUCCCUGUUCUGGCUGAACGUAAUCAAACCUGGGCUCUGCUCUGUGUGGUCUGGGUGGAACUUCCUCCCUGUGUUCUUCCUGCUCUUCGACUUCUGGAUGAUUCCUCCAGUUUGCCCCCGGUCUAUUCCUGUCAUGAUUAGCAAAAAGGUUGUUCCCUCCUCGGCCUCUCCUCCUUCUUGCAAGUGGAGGGAAUGGAUUAGGGUCCAUCCUUCUGGGUCUAUAUGGCAAUACUGCCGGUGGUUCAGGCAGAAGCGCCAAAGGUUGAUCAUGUGGGAGCACAUGAAGUGGAAUGGGCUGAGGUUCUGGCUGGUUCUGAGCCAGUGCCAGGUUAUCUGGUUGAGCUGGGGCUUCAUGUUUUUGAUUAGGAAGGGCUCCUUCCCUCGGACCAGCCUGAAUUUCUCCGUGGUCUGGCACUCCAGCCAUCUGUGCAACUAGGAAAUUUUCCUGGUAUGGCCAUAUUAGUCCUGGCGGAGGGCCAUAAGGGAGAUCCAACUGCUGGAUUACAGGAUCUGGGUUUGGGUUUCUGGCCAUGGCGGAUUCUCGGUCCUUCCGGAACUGUCUGUUUACCUGCCAUUACAUCAUGGCUGUCAUGUUAUUGAGAGUGUCCUGGCUCCUUCGUACUGUGAUCUCUUGUCGGAGUACUGACUCCUGUAUUUGAUUCAUCCUUUUGGAGCCAGUCCUGGAACGUCUACUUCCUGUACUGCCGUGGGCAGAUUGCCUAGCAUCGCUUUUUUCUGAUUCGAGGCCUUCCCUGAGAACCAUCUUGUUUUUCUCCAUAUCUGGUGUGGGUUCUGACUAGAUCUUCCGGUAUUUGUGAAUCUGUGAAUGAUUCUGUCAGAGUAUAUAUACUGAGAAGUCCCACUGGGUGUGCCAAAUUAUUCACCCGUUUUCGUGUUUUACUCCUGAGGUGGAAGGGCGAAGUUCCCCACUAGCUUGGAGACCACUUGUUGGUCGACAAGUCAGCUUUCUUUGGUGUGUGUGAGCGUGCCACUGCUAGCAAUGUAAAUUCUAGCAGACUUAUUUUUUAGAGUGGAUAACUUGCGCCUCAAGUUACUGACUUCUAAAACAAAUGAUUGUGAAUUUGGGUGAGGAAUAUCUCCCAAGUAAGUUCUUUUCUUGCCUCAGACUGGUGAGGACUUUCACAAUUUAUCUCAGUAUCAAAUGGUUGUUCUGGCCAGAAUAGAUAAUAAUAAAGUAGACUGUUUCAGGCAGAACUGCCUUUUACAAAAUUAAGAAGGGAGAAAUCAACUCUAGAAAGGCAAAAAGAUGGCUGGAAUCCCAUUUCUGCCUGGGUAGAAACUUCUGAUCCGGGCUGGACUGGGUAUGUCUAUGCUGGACGGUGCUGUCAACAACUUUAGCUUGCUCGGCUUUAGUUGUAAAUCGAUACCAAAGUUCAAUUUUGGCAGAGCUUCAAUCUACUUCAAGCCUUGGGAGACUUUUGAGUGGGCAGAACUGCAGCUUCUUCAGUUUGAAGGGACAGAAGUGGCUAUUCUCGAGGAUUUAGCAAGCUGGAACUAUGCUAUAAAAUUUGUUGAGGUUUUCAUAUUUGUGAAAACUCAAACUAUGUUUGUCUUGGCUUUUGCUGAACCAAAUUUGUAACGAGAGGGAUCUUGUUUUCAGAAGACUUAUUUUCUAAGUCUGAACUUUGGAAUUCUGAUCUAAAGCUGUUUUCUUGUUUGUUUUUUUUUUAUUGACUGAUGAAUUGAGUGUCCUUUGUUUCUUUGCCUUCUUUCGCUUUUAUAAGAGAUCCUCCUAAGGAGGUCAUUUUUAAUCCUAAACAAUGGGCGGCAAAAAGAUCUCUUAUAAUGUAAAGUAAGAAGGGUUUCUUAUCAAUCAAGGCAGAUAGGUUCUGAGCAGUCACCUCCUAAAAACAGUCCCUUCCCUGGUUUCCUGGGUGGCAGCUUUCUAAUUCAACCAACGCCACCGUCUGUGUGGGCUUUUUAUGGCGGUUUUGGCUCUUUUCUUUUGUAUUUUCUGAGUGGUUCCCUGUUUCCCGUUCUAAUUUAGAAAGCGUGAUCCGUGAAUUCCUUGGGAGAUGGUGUAUUGAUUUGGAGCAAAAUCUUGAACACAGAUGGGUUUUUGAUCUUCAAUUGGCAGUGUUUCAGAGACGUCCCUCUCACAUUUUUAAACUUUAGUUGGAAUUGCUGACUUUUCCAAAGUUGAGGCAAUCACGUGGGUGUGUCUUUGAUCCCUUGGUUUUGAAUCUUUCAAAAAUUACGGGCUGAUCUUUGAAGCCCAUUUCGAAAGUUUCCACAUCUGGGCUUUCUUUGGGCUGAGGCUUUAUUUCCAACAUUCUUGGUGUGAACUGGACUAAACAGUUAGUCGGACCAGACCGUCUACACAUAUGAACUGGACUCACAAGCCUAUGUUUUUUGAGCUCCCAUAUUGGUCGAAACUCAAAUUGAGGCACAAUCUAGAUGUGAUGCAUGUUGAGAAAAAUGUAUUUAACACAUUGGUGGGCACGAUUCUAGAUAUCGAGGGCAAGACAAAGGACACAAUCAAAGCCCGUCUUGAUUUGGAAAGAAUGGGCAUACAAAGGGGUUUAUGGAUGAACAGGGACAGUGAUAAAGCUAGAAGGGAUCUUGCAUUCUUUUCUAUGAAACCGAAUGAUAAAAAAGAGUUUCUAAAGUUUGUAUCGUCUGUAAAGUUUCCUGAUGGGUAUGCUUCUAAUAUCGCACAUUGCGUGAAUGUUGACGAGGGUAAAUUUACUGGACUGAAGAGCCAUGACUGCCAUGUGUUUAUGCAACGCCUACUUCCUGUGGGUAUUCGACAUCUAUUGCCGGAAGAUGUUGUGAAGCCAAUCAUGUUGUUGUCCAGAUUUUUUUCCCAACUGACGGCAAAAACAUUGCGAAAGACAGACAUAUUUCAGUUGCGCCAUGACAUUGUCCAAGUCCUAUGCAAGUUUGAGAUGAUAUUUCCUCCAGCUUUCUUCACAAGUAUGAUGCACGUGAUGGUUCACUUGCCAGAAGAGGCAUUGCUUGCUAGUCCUGUCAACUAUCGCUGGAUGUAUCCAAUAGAAAGGUAUAUAAUCUUUAUCGUUUGUGUAUGCAUCAUUAUCACAGACUUGCUAAUUUGUAUCAUAUCGUUUUAUUUUGACAGGCUUCUCGGAGAGCUGAAAAAAAGUGUACGCAACAGGGCGAAGCCCGAAGGAUCAAUUAUAGAGGCUUGGGUUCAAUAUGAGUCGCUUACUUUCUGUGGAAUGUAUUUAAAAGAUGUGGAGACGGCUUUCAAUCGUCCUCAACGCAAUAACGACGAAGGUAUGAGAAAGGAAAAACUUUCUGUUUUUGCCCAAAGUGCACGACCCUUUGGAGAUCCUGGACGAGGAGAGUCGUUUUCUAGAAAUGACAUGGAGGUAGCGCAUUGGUUCGUACUGAACAAUUGUGAUGAGAUAAUGGCAUACUUAGAUAAGCAUGAAGAGAUGAUGAAGCGAGAACAUCCAUCACAUUUAGUUGCCCAGAAACACCGUGAAUUGUUUCCACAAUGGUUUUUGGAUUCUGUAAGUUAUAAGUGUUUUGUAUUUGACAAAUAUAAAUUGUAGUAUUUAAUUUUGUCAGACUAACAUGUGAAUGGUUUUGUAUUAUAUUAGGUGAAUAAGUUGAAAUCAUCGAAUUCCCCCACUUACAGUGAUGAGUUAUAUAACUUGGCGUUCGGCCCAAUUCGCGCUGAAUUGUUUCGGGUUGUUAUAUUAAUGGCGUCAAAUUUUUGGGAGCCGCACGAGAUGACAAGUUGUGUAUGCAAAACAGCGGUGUCCAUGUCCCAGGUGGAGGCGAAAGUACGAACAUUGAUUUCUAUGGCAAACUCACAACUGUCAUUCAAUUGCUUUACAAAGAUCGAUACUAAGUGAUCAUGUUUAAGUGUCGAUGGUUUGAUAGCAACCCAAAUAGGCCGGGAAGUGUUAAAAUCAACCAUGGCUUACUAUCUGUGAACAUUAACAGAACUUGGUAUGAUGACGACCCUUACAUUUUGGCAAACAUGGCAACACAAAUUGUGUAUCUAGAUGACCCUAAAGCCGGGAGCAGUUGGAAAGUUGUUCAGAAGAUGGAUCAUAGGAACUUGUAUGCUAUACCAGAACUAGACCCAACUGACAAUGACGUCAACAAUGUGGCUGACCAACGUUUAGAAUCUUCAAUGGAAAAUGAUGCGGAAACACUUCGAGAUACACAUGUUAUACAAGAACCGUUUCAAAUACAAGGAGUGUCUUCAAUCGAAAUACCGAUUCAGUCAAUUACAAUUGACCUCGGGGAUCUUCCAAGAUUCGAUGUUGCAGUGAGCCCGAGCAACGAAGAUGAUGUAGUUAUAGAGGAGGAGGAGGAGGAUUGGGAGACUGAAAGUGAUGAUAGCGAAGAUAACGAAAGUUAUUAUAGUUCAGAUGAUGAAUAAUUAAAUUUUUUAUAUUUUUAUUAUGCUAGUGUACAGACUUUGUGUAAAACAAAAGUUUGAAUAUAUGUAGUUGUGAUAUCCAAACCUUAUAUAUGUGGACAACUGAAACAUUAUUAAAAUAAAUUUAGUUAUAAAACAUCGGUAAAUCAAUAUAUCCAAACCCUUUUAAUAUUCAUUUAAAAUUUUUUUUUUUGACAAAAACGUUUACAAAAUGAAAAUGAUAAAAUAUUUGUUAUAAAACAUUGAUAAAUAAAUAUAUCCAAACCAUUUUCAUACAAAGUUUGAAAAUUAUUGACAACAAACAUUUUUCAAAAAUGAAAAUCCUUGCGCGACGAAGUACACCUCGUCACGCAAAGUUUGCGCGACCCAGUAAACAGUCGUUGUGUAAAGUUAAAACAUUGCGAGACAAAUUAUCAUCCGUCACGCGAUAGAAUUUUGCGCGACGAAUAUUUACUCUCGUCGCGCAAAUGUAUAUUCUUUUAUAAUAUAUUUUAUAUACACAUAUAUAUUCGAAAUUGACGAUCGAGUUAGUUCAUUGUAUUCAUAUAGGGUCAUGGAGUGUAGCUGUAAAAAAUCAUCAAAAUCGGAGUUAAAAUAACUGUUAAAUCAUGACUUUUCAUUUAUAACCGUUCAAAAAUUUUGUCCCGAUACUUGAUCUCUGAAUGUUUUUUUUUUCCGAUUUUUGGGGCCUAAGAUCUCGAAGUAUAAACAAACACGUUUGACGGCUGGAUUAUUGAAACUACUUUCGUAGAAUGCGUAUGCCAUCAAAACUAUAUAUUCACCAACAAUGAAUAGUUUACUUAUACUUUCAUUAAAUAUAACAUAAGAUUAUGUGGUAUCACCCUAGUGUAAACAUCUUAAAUUGAAGAUCAAAUUCAGUAAUUGUAUUCAUAUAGGGUCAAGAAAAGUAGCUAUAAAAAAUCAUCAAAAUCGGAGUUAAAAUAACCGUUAAAUCAUGACUUUUCAUUUAGAUUCGUCGAAAAGUUUUGUACUGUUACUUGAUCUCUUAACGUUUUUUUUGUCAGAUUUUCGGCGUAUACGAUCUCGAAAUAUAAAAAAACAAGUUUGCCGGUUAGAUCAUUAAAACUAGUUUCGGGUUUAGGAUUUCUGCAGUUUAGGGUUUAGGGUUUGCGCGACGAAGCCAUUUCGUUGGUCGCACAAAGCCUGCAAAGAACAGUCUUGCGCUACGAAACUAGGAUUCUUUGUCACGCAAUCUCAACCAGCCCUUUCACCCUCUUCCUCCUUGGACACUUAGCCAAAAAAAGUUGCGAGUUUACAGAAAGCGGCUUUGCGCGACGCUGCCGGUAUUCGUCGCGCAAUAUGUAUGCCAAUAAAACCUAAAUCCCAAAUUUUGGCGAAUUACAACUUUGCGCGACGAAUAUGGGAAGCUUCGCGCAAAGUUUUCAAUCUUUCCCGCUAAACCCUAAGUCCCAAAAUUUUGGCGGAUUGACAACAUUGCGCCACGAAAGAAGGUACUGUGCGUCGCACAAAGUUUUCAAUCUCUCCCGCUAAACCCUAAGUCCCAAAAUUUUGGCGGAUUGACAAUAUUGCGCGACGAAAGAAGGUACUGUGCAUCGCGCAAAGUUUUCAAUCUCUCCCACUAAACCCUAAGUCCCAAAAUUUUGGCGGAUUGACAACAUUGCUCGACGAAAUAUGGUACUGUGCGUCGCGCAAAGUUUUCAAUCUCUACCCAAUAUUUUGCCGGAUUGACAACAUUGUGCGACGAAAGACGAUACUGUGUGUCGCGCAAAAACUACCCUGAUACCAAAUUUUGGGAUUAACAAUAUUGCACGACAGAAGUUAUACUUAUGUCGUCGCGCAAGUGUCAAUUAAAAUAUUUUGCGUGACGCUUUUGUUUGUUCGUUGCGCAAAAUCGAAUAAAAUUGCAGAAACGACGCGAUAGCCUCCUUCUUCCCCAGAUUUGUUUUUCUACCCUAACUCUCUCUCUCUCUCUCCGCCUUCAGCUCAGCCCCCUACCCCAGUGGAUUUUGGACGACGGCGCCACAACAGUGGUACCCCGGAGGUUUCCCGCCGUCACCGUCGAGCCAGCCGCCCUAAUUCCUCGAUUUUCACCGAAUCUGCGCCGCCGUCGUUCUCUCUCCUUCGGCGACCAAAUCCGACACCUGAGGUAUGGUUUCUGUCCUAUUUUUGAUGCUUUAACUGAUGGUUGGGUAGGAUUUGUGUAAUUGUUGCAAUAGGGCAGUGGAUUUGAAACCCUAAAUUUCGACCGAUUUUUGAAUUCCAAUUCCGGCCACUUCUGGCCAUUUUUCAGGGUAGGUCCGAGAACAAAAGUGGCUCCAAUUGAUGUUUUGAACCUAGGGUAGGAACCUUGGCCCUUAGUUUUAAGAAAUUUUCGACGAUUGGUAUCGCUUUGGACACCCACGCUCUGCCAGCGCUUGUGGUGGCGCGUGGGGUACUGUAGCAGUCUUGCAUUGGGUCCCAGUGCAAUCCCAUAUUUGUCACGAGCGCGUAGGUGUUUUCGGAUUGGAAUUUGGUUACCGUUUGAGUCUCGAACGGAUUUUGCCUAUUGUGCGAUUUCCGGGUUUGUUAUGUUCGGACCGUUGGAUCGAACUCAAACUCACGUAUGGUGUACCUUGUAUUUCUUGGAUCGUCUAGGAUUCGACGGAUCGUGGAUCGGAGUCCCGAAUACUCCGAACUCGCAAACCCUAGGUCAAGAAUCUUAAUAAAAUUGUAUGUGCUUUCAAAUAUUCGUAUGUUUUAUUAAUUUGUAUGUGUAUUAAUGAAAUUGUGUAGAUGUCAGACCUGAUUAGACGUCGUAGGGCGGUGACGACUACGCAGAGUUCUGAGCCCCCGGCUCAACUGACAUCUGCUGCCACUGCGCCAGCACUGAUGGACCACUUGGCAGUUGGUCCCGCGGGGUCCCAGGCUCCUGCUUCAUCAGCUUCAUUAGUGGCACAACCUGUUAGCGCCAGGAAGCGUCAUCGGCCUGCCAGCACCACCGACACCACAUCCACUGAUGCGUCGGGGUCACAGCCAGGUAUAGAUUUCCUUAAACUCCAGUUAUUUAUAUUUUUGUUUUUGUUUUUAUUUUUGUUUUUGUUUUUGUUUUUGUUUUUAUUUGUGUGUGUAUUUUAUAGUUAAAUUUGUUAUUUAUUUAACAUUAAUGUCAUCUUUCUUUGCAGCCAAGAAGAACACCCGAGGGCCGUGUCGGUAGUUGAAGACGGCGAAGGUCACUCGGGUGACCAACAGUCGUAUCAACAUCGGAUACGACAAGCGACAUCGGGCUGCACCGACGGCGGAGUUGCAUAGCUCCUUGGCCCACGACAUUGGUGAUGUCAUUCCGAGCCAUUGCCCGAUGAAAUGGAAGUCUUGGAAGGUGAUGCCUGACGAGACCAAGAUGGAGGUUCGCGGCCAGUUGUCAGUAUGUAGGCCUUUUAAUUCUUUUUCUUUCAAAUUUUAUAUUUCUAUUAUUUAAAUGUAUUUAAUUAAUUUAUUGCAGACGAACUACAACUUGGAGGACCUGGACGACGAGUCGUUGGCGUACAUCAACAGACUCUUCUCUGAGAGGUACAAAUAGUGGAAGAGCGACUUGCACCACUAUUUUGAGGCGUUUGAUGAUCCAGAAGUCUCUCUUCAGGAGGGUUGCCCGAAGGAGCUUGAGGGGCGGGAGGAUAGUUGGGCGUGGCUCUGCUCUCAUUUUCAGGCGCCCGCUUUUGUGGUAAUUUGUAAUAUGAAUUUCAAAUUUAUUAUAUUUUUCUUACUAAUGUUUUUUUAAUGUUUUAUAUUUAAUUUCAAUUUCAACUAAUACGUUUUAUUUUUUGUAUAACAGAAUAAAGCCAAAGUCAAUAAGGGCAAUAGGAAGAAGAAGACUCUUCUCCAUCAUUCGGGUUCCAGGCCCUUCUCCUAUAGGAUGGAUGCAUGGCGGCAGGUAAUCAUAAAAAAAAUUUUAUUUAAUUUUUAAUAUUUAAUUAUUCUUAAUUUAUUUUUUUGUACUAAUAUUUUUCUUCUCUUGUUCAAUUUAGGGGGGUCCAAAUUCCCAGAGAUCGACGUCUUUGGCGACGUUUAUGUUCGACCUGGGAAUGAGUUGGGCGAGUCCCUUCAUGUAAGUAUUAUUUAAUUUUAAUUAUUAUGUUACGCAUUCAAGUUUAAAGGUUAUUAUAUGAAUGUUUUAAUUUAUAUUUUAUGUUAUGCUAAACAGAUGACGAUGGUGGAGAGGAGCCAGUUGGUUCUUCAAGAGUCCGCCUCCCAACUUCCUUCCGAUACUCCGAUCGAGUCUGUGGAUCCUCCACAGGAUGCUGGGUUUCAGAUCUUGACGGAGACAUUGGAUCAGACUCUAGGGAGGAGACCGGGGAUAUAUUGUCGAGGGAUGGAGAAUGCCAGGCGGAGGGAAGCCAGACCCCGUUCAUUAGCGCAGUCAAGCAGUCAGGUCACUGCUUUGACAGCACAGGUGGCCACUCUUCAGAGUCAGAUGUCGGACAUUCUGCAGUCCCUCGCACAGUUCGGCAUUCCAGUCCCGCAUUUUGAUGCGCCGACCUCUGAGCCCGUCCAUCCUGAGCAUCCCCACCAGACGACGGCCCUUGUAGACCCCCAGACCUCUGAACCGCAUGUGCCAGACGACAAUGUAGAUUUUGGAACAUUAUGAUUAGUUUUUUUAUUUUCAUAAUUAUUUUUUAAAUAUUUCUCUUGCAGCAUACAUUUAUUUUAUAUAAUAAAUAUGUUCUUUACAAUUCUUUUUUUUAUUGGAAUUUCAUUUUAUUACCCAAAAAAAAAAAACCAAAUUUAUUUUUUUAUAAAAUAAAAUAAAAAGUAAUAUUAAAAUUAAAUAAUAAUUAUAUAUAUUAAUUUUGCGCGACGAAAUCUUUCUCGUCGCGCAAAUUUAUAUAUUACGAAAUAAAAAUGUUUCAUUUUUUUAAAUACAUAUAAUUUAUUCUUGCGCGACGAAUAUUUUCGUCUCUCAAAAAGGAUUUGCGCGACAACAGUUUUUCGUCGCGCAAAAUGUGUUGACACGAAUUGCACGACGAAGAUAUCUUUGUGCCGCAAAUAUCUACGACACGUAUUGCGCGAUGAAAAUGUUCGUCGCGCAAAAAACGUAUGCGCGACAACAAUGUUUCGUCGCGCAAUACGUGUAGACAUGAAUUGCGCGACGAAGAACUCUUGGUGCCGCAAAUGUGUACGAGACGUAUUGUGCGACGAAUAUUAUUCGCCGCGCAUCGUUGUGGCGACGAACCCGCUUUCGUCGCGCAUAAGUUUGUGCGACGAACUAUUGCAUCGUCUCUGAACCUUUUGUGCAACGAAGGGUAACCGUCGCACAAAUUUGCGCGACGAGUGAUACAAUCAGUCGCGCAAAGUCUUUCUUCACCAUCUUUGCACCACAGAUUACGCGCGACGAAUUUUCUGUCGUGCUUGAGUUUGUGCGACCAAAUUUAACUCUGCGCGACGAAAUUGGCUUCGUCGCGCAAAUCGUAAAAUGUAGUAGUGGAAGUUAUCAACAUCUAUAGGAACCCCAAUGAAAAGGCUGUUAACUAAUAAUGAAGUAAACCCCUCAAUGUUUCCGCGUAUCAGAUAUCUCUCAGAAUAUGCGAUUCCAUACUCAAUAAGCAACUCCACAUCCCCUGAGGUUUUCACCAAACCACCCAUUAAGGAAACAUACUGACUCAUGUGUAAUUAUCAUUACUCAUCGGGUAAUGCAAUUGUUCAAAGGCAAGGACAUUUCUCAUUAUUUCUGUAGUGAACCCCAAUGGAAAUGGUGGGAUCUUCAGAACCCCAUUGGUGCUACUGAAUUGUAUGUCAAAUAUGUUUUCACCUUGUCGCGCCUCAAACUUGACUCCAGCGUGCUGUAAUUCUGUCAAGCUGGGUAUGGAUGAUGGGAGUUCCCCUCCAGCUUUUGAUUCCAACGGUUGAUAGAGUUUAAAUAUUUUCCUGUAAAGAUCAACAAUAUGUGCCACUGAUCUAAAAGUCUCCAAAUUGUCUUCCAUUUUGUCAACAGGCAAUAGAUGUUCGAAGAAACUGAAAGAAAGACUAAUUAUUGAAAGCCCCUCAGUAAUGCAGUUAUUGUCAGCAUCAGCAGGGAGUGUAAUUUUCUGUGGGUCGAAAAGAUCCUCGAGAAUGAAGAAUGGCAACUGAUUUUCAAGCAACCACAUAUCUGUCCAUACAUCUUGCAACAUACCUGGUUUGUCAAAUAUGCGGUCAUUUUCAUCCCAAAAUUUGAAGUAGUCCUUCAAUAAGAGCUCAAUAACGAAGGCGGCAUCCACUAGAAUGAUUGUUACAAAUUCAUCACUGCUAAACUUGAUGGGUUCUCCAUAACAACGUCUCAAUCUUGCUUCGUGGUCCUUUAUUUUCUUAAUAUAAUCCUCCAAACUCACAUUGGUCCGACCUAUAAAAUCUUGCAGGUAUCUCUGUUUGUGCUCUUCCUAUACGACAUUCAAGCCUUCCUUUCCAUGGUGAAGUGGGCCUAUAGAGACCACCUGAGGUGUGCAGAGCUUUUCAUUCACACUUCGUAGUCGUUGAGGAACUCUGUAGAUACAGCACUUGGAGGAUGGGGGAGACAAGCUAUUGAACCCUUUUCUCAUCGAAUUUGCUAAUGAAAUGUAUGGGUUUUCUAUGUCAUUUUGAGCAGAUUGAUGGCUUCCUGCCAUUUUCCAGCUCCUGACUAUAUGUGGUGUUCCGAUUGUAACAGAUUACAAUAAUGAUGAGUAUGGAUAACUGAAUUACUGAUAAAACAAUCAAGAAACAUUUCGUUAUUUUCCAUUCCCAAUAACGAAAUCAAAAUGUUCAAGGAAAUAUAAUCAGGAUAUUGCAAUUAUAUAGCCAUUCAUAAGCUGCCUGGCAUGGAAUAAGAGGUGGAAACCAAAUCUACUUAUUGGCCAAAGUUCGAAUUCACUAUAUAUAGAUAUAUAUUUUGCCAAAAUCUAAAACUGACCAACCUUAGAUACAAAAACACGGUACAGCCCGGUUAAAGUAAUUCCAAGUGCGAAGAAAGAAAGGAAUUGAGCGUUUGUACCUCUACAGCUAGCCAAAUUUUCUAUUGAUUCUUUAAAUUUUAGAGAGCAAUUACUCUUAAUUUGGUAGGUGUAGGACUGUGCAACUUCAAGCUUUAAUGAAAGAAGCCAAGUUUAUUCUAAGGGGACAAGUCAGAGACAACGAAAUUUUGCUCAGCUUCAUUUUCAAAUUUGCUGCUUAAGAAGGAAAUUUAAUAUGUUUGUUUCACAAAUUGUAUUGUCAUCAAUGAAACUCGUGCACACCCAACGAAAUUUGCAUGGCUUAUUUUCAAAGGAGUACUGCUAUUUCCAUCCUCUGUCCUAUUUUUCCACUCACCUUAUCUUCAAAAUUUUAAAGACAAAAAUAAACCCCUUUGUAAAAUGCUUAAAAAGAAAUUUAAUAUGUUUGUUUCAAAAAUUGAUAUUGUCAUCAAUGGUUAAAGAAUUGCUGGUGACAACAUAUACUUCUUUUCUACUGUAUUAAUUUCUUUCUUUAUUUUUUCUUCAGUAUAGUUCUGCCUUUCUUUUACAUGUUUAUGCGCAUAUUUGACACGUUCAAGUAUACUUAUAUAACAAAUGCAAUGAGUUUGUAGUCACAAAAAUCAAGGAUUGAAAACAAAAAGUAAUAUUAUGUGCAAGAGAAACUUACCUGCAGAAACUGAAGAACUCCUCUAGUUUCUUCUCUGUCGCUAUGUACUCCCGCGUUCAAGUUAUUAUUCUUACAAUGUACAUACACUAUUAUAUAAUGGCGAGAAGGCUCUGAUUAACCUCCUUUUUGCUUCAUUGGAUGGGGCAAGAAUGGAAUUGUCACCGUGGGUGUGGAGGUGAUCUACCAUUUGAGCAAGAAAUUCCCACAUAUUCUUUAACUAUUUUUCAAGCAUGCAUAUUCCUCCCUAUCAAUCUUUGGUCUCUUCUUUUACUAUUUUUCAAGCAUGCAUACUUUGAUUUUAAAUCAUCUUUUCCGCACUAAUUUGCUUCAAUCAAGAAACAGUUAAUAUAUUUUGUAUCAUCAUUAGAGAACACUUGAAACUGCAUAAGUUAAUUUUGAAGAUGAUGGCAGAACCAAAAUGUGUAUAGCUUAUAACUAUAAUUUCUUGAUUACAACAAGAGGUUUCAAGUUUUCAACAACACAAAUAUGAAUCUCCCAAGCAAAGAUAAACAAUAAAGCAAGCAUACGGAUUGUCAAAUUGCCUUCAAUCACUCUAAAAUACUUCAUACCGUCCGACACUGGCUUCAAUUACUCUACAAUACUUCAAUUCAUAUAUUGUCCUAUUUUCACAUGUACAUCCUGCUUUUACUUAAGGGUUAAUUGUUGAUUUACCCCUUGAACUUGUACUCUACUUUCAAUUUGCACCCUCAACUUUUUUUUUUGAAAAUUAGGUGCAUGAACUAAUUUUUAUUGCCAAUUCCCCCUACCAACAUGUCAUCUAAUAGUCUGUCAAAUCAUUAAAAAAUAUAAUAUUUUUGGAAAAAAUUAAAGAAAAAAAAAUUCCUAAGGACCCACAGACCCAGAACCCACCCUCCGUUGCCCCCGCUUGCUGUUUUCUUCUCCUCCCAGUCCCCCAUGACCACCACCCUCCACUGCCACACCAAUCCCCUACCCAACAGACCCCUCACCCCUUCUUUUUUUUCACCCCCGAACCCAGCAUGAGUUAUUGGUUAAUACCAUUUUCUUAAUUGCCAAAUAAAAAAAAAAAACAGAGUUAACCCUCUGUUAAGCUAGCUGACUAGUGGGGCGAAAUGGAGGAAAAUCAAUAUGGAGACAGCGGAUCCGGUCCCGUGUAAGUGUAUCUGAUGGAAUAAAAGAAUGAUAUUAUUGGUGGUGGGUACGGUUAUGUGGAAGUAAUAAUGGGUAAGAGAAGAAACUUGUUCUCUUGUGAUAAUCAAAAGACAGAAAGUAGUGGGAAAAGACAGAAAGUAGUGGGACACUAUUUUAGAUAUGAUAAUGUUCCUUCCUUGAUUGAUGCAAAUGAAGAGAAAAGGGUGGCUUUAUAUAAUAGCCACUACCGACCUAACACAUUAAAAACACAACUAACACCAAACAUAGUUAAUUCAACUAACUUCUACCACACCAUUAAUUUAACACACAACUACUAACAAACUGCCAACUAUUUCAAAGUUACCAGCCGACUAUUAAUGAAGUCUAGAUUACUUUAACAUCCUCCCUUAAGCUAGACUUCAUUUACGCCAAUUAAUUUUCUCAUCUUGAUGAGCGGCUCUUUCUUCAACGGUUUGGUGAACAAAUCUGCCAGCUGAUCUUGGGACUUGCAAUACAGAACCUCAACUUCUUUAUCUUUGAUUAGCUCUCUGAUGAAAUGGAACUUGAUCUUGAUGUAACACCCCGACCCCAAAUUUUCCCAAAUUUUACCCUUAUUUAAUUAUUUAAUUAUUUAAGGGUAUUUUAGUCAUAUUUUUAACCGGAGAGAGUUUGGGACCGUGACUAGUAUUUUUGGAUAGGUCGAGCUGAGACGAGUUCAUAGACACGUAGUGGGCUCGAAUCGGAGUUGUAACGAGAGAGAUAUGGUCAAAAGAAGCCCAGUGGCACAAUCGUAAAUAUUUCGAAAUGGGAUUUUUUAUAAAAACUCAAAUUUUUCUCUCUCUCUCUCUCUCUCUCUCUCUCUCUCUCUCUCUCUCUCGCGACUCCUCUCUCUCUCUCCCGUCGGCCUCUCCUCUCUCUCUCUUCGUAACUCCGGCCACCGGCCGCGGCUGCGGACGGGGCCGGUGUCAAAAGAACCGGCUCGACCUCGGCAUCACGACCCAGCCCAUCCCCGCCAUCGGCCGCCGCUCCAGCCGCCGGAAAAUGGCGAUUUUCGCCCAGAUGUCGCCGGAACUUCAACGCCGUCGAUCUCCCUCCUCCGGCCACCAAUUCCGUCGACCCAGGUAUGGAUUUUGAACCUCUCGAGCUGCUCUAGCUGAUGGUUGGGUAGGAUUAGAUCGAUUCUUAGCGUAGAUCACUCGAUUUUCGAAUUGAAAAUCGGCCGAAACUUCGGCCGCCGUGAUCGGCCAUUUCCGGCCACUUUUUGGGGUAGGUCCAAGAACAAAAGUGGCUCCAAAUAGGGUGUUAUACCUAGGGUAGGAGUUUGGAGCCGUGGUUUUGAGAUUUUCCGGCGGAGCGUUAUCGCUUUGGGCACCCACGCGCUGCUGGCGCGUGCGGCGGAGCGUGGGCACUGUAUAAAAAGUAGCGAUGUAUUCCGAUGAGAUCCUUAGGUUGUCACGAGUGCGUAGGAUUUUGCGGAUCUCAAUUCGGACGUCGUUUGACUAUCGAACGAAUAAUCGCAUAGUGUGCGUUAUCCGGGUUCGAUAGGUUGGGACCGUUGGAUGGUCCCAAAUUUAAUAUAUGUUAAUCUAGGUAUUUCUAGGAUCGUGUAGGAAUUCACGGAUCGUGAAUCGGAACUCCGGAUGUUCCGAAUAAUAAUUUUAAGUUUAUAUUUUAUAUUAACCAUCAGAUCGUGCGAUCGUGAGCAAUCCGACCGUCCGAUCUGAACCAAACUUGCAGGACAAGUGUCCUACACCUGGUAGAACCCAUAGGGACUUCCGGAUCGGAAAUUGGAGGUCGUGGGUUCUGCAGGUCCGUUUGACCAGGGUUAGAGUAGUUUGACUCUUGGUUGACCGUGAGUCUCCCGGAGUAAUCUCACCCUUCCAGGGGGAAUUAUCGGGAGCUAGACUAUUGUGGAGGGUUACACAAUAUUAGAAUUAUUUAUAUAAAUUAUGUGGUUGUACAAGGGUACAACAGAGUCUAGAAUGUCAGUUUGGAGUGCUAUACGCACUACUCUAGGUACCUCCUCGGACUUUGGAAUUUCUACAAGUACCACCAAGUGAAAGUUAGGUCCCACGUGGCGUAGGUUAUCCGGCGUGUCGACAGACCCCAUACGUGGCGUUGGUUGUACCGGCGUAUGGGGAGAUUUGUGAUAUGAUAUUGAGGUCCCGCGUGGCGUAGGUUAUCCGGCGUUGGGACAGGCCCCAUACGUGGCGUUGGUUGUACCGGCGUAUGGGGAGAUAUUAUGAUAGUAUGGCAUGGUCGCACGUGGCGUAGGUUAUCCGGCGUGUCGACAGACCCCAUACGUGGCGUUGGUUGUACCGGCGUAUGGGGAGAUUUGUGAUAUGAUAUUGAGGUCCUGCGUGGCGUAGGUUAUCCUGCGUUGGGAUAGGCCCCAUACGUGGCGUUAGUUGUACCGGCGUAUGGGGAGAUAUUAUGAUAGUAUGGCAUGGUCGCACGUGGCGUAGGUUAUCCGGCGUGUUGACAGGCCCCAUACGUGGCGUUGGUUGUACCAGCGUAUGGGGAGAAUAUGUGAAAUACAGAGAAAUGAAAUAAGGUAUUGCCCAAGUGUGGAAUUGGGUUUUAGGGAAGAACUACUUAUGGCUUGAUCCCUCAAGGAGGGUACGUAGGCAGCCUAAGGUUAUUAGGUGCAGCCGCAGACUAAAUAUUAGUCAUAAAUUGUAAUUGAACUGUUUGGUAGUCGUUUGAGGAAGUAUUGAAAGGCCGAAGGCCAUUUGUGUGAAUUGCAUGAAAUUAUAUUGUGCAUGCUGCCAGUUGGGAAUAUUAAAUGCGUUUUUAUGCAGGUAUAAAUUUUGGGAAUGUCCAAUUUACAGGGGAGACUCUGCCAAAAUUUCGGCAGGAAGUCUCGGUUUUUAGUAAGUGGGCCUGGCAUCGGGGUGAUGUCAGGAAUUCCAAAGGGUUCGUCUCGGGUUUUGAGAAAAUUCGGGGCGGGUCCUUUCACUUGAUAUGCUUACUCUUGCUGUGAAACAUUGGAUUUUUGGAAAGACAAAUAGCUGAUUUGUUGUUGCAGAACAGCUUUGUAGGUCCUUCUUGAACUUGACCCAUCUCUUCUAAAAUACUUUUCAGCCACCUAGCUUGACAACCUGCUGAUGCAAGAGCAACAUACUCAGAUUCUGUAGUUGAAAGUGCCACUAUAGAUUGCUUUUUGGAGGACCAUGAAAUCGCACUUGAGCCAAUGCUAAAGACAUAACCAGAUGUGCUUUUGCAAGUAUCAACAUCUCCACCCAAGUCACUGUCACUGUAGCCAGUCAAAUUUAGAUUCUGAAUAGGAUAAUAAUGCAAACCAUAAUUGAUAGUUCCAACCACAUAUCUUAGGAUUCUCUUUCCAAGCUCCCAAUGAACAUCUUUUGGUGACUCCACUAAACGGCUGAGGAAGCUUACUGCAUAUGUAAGAUCUGGCCUUGUUGUAGUUAAAUACAAGAGGCCACCCACUAGACUUCGAAACAAAGUUUGAUUUACCAUUGUGCUUCCAUCAUUCUUACCUAUCUUAACACCAACCUCCAUUGGAGUAGCAAUUGACUUUGCAUUUUCCAACCUGAACCUUUUCAACAAUUCCUUUGCGUAUUUCUUUUGAGAAAUAUAGAUACCAUUCUCAUUUUGUUUGACUUCAAUUCCAAGAAAGAAAUGAAGCAAACCAAGGUCUGUCAUUUCAAAUCUUUGUGACAUAAUCAUCUUGAAAUUAUCACACAUUUGAGCAUUACUUCCAGUAAAUAUUAAGUCAUCCACAUAUAAGCAGACAAUCAAAAUCUCACCUUGAGAGUUCUUCUUGGUGUAAAGAGUAUGCUCAUAUGGGCAUUUGUGAAACCCAUACUCUUGGAAGAAUGCAUCAAUCCGACUGUACCAAGCUCUUGGAGCUUGUUUCAAACCAUAUAAAGCCUUCUUCAAUCUACACACUUUUGUUUCUUCAUUUCCCUGCACAUAACCUGGAGGUUGAGCAACAUACACUUCUUCUUCCAAAAAACCUUGCAAGAAUGCUGGUUUAACUUCCAUUUGAAAGACUUUCCAACAAUUUUGGGCAGCAAGAGCUAACACCAUUCGGAUGGUGUCAAAGCGUGCAACUGGAGCAAAAACUUCAUUGUAAUCAAUUCCAUAAUUUUGCUUGUAGCCUUUAGCUACCAAGCGAGCUUUGUAUUUCUCAACUUCUCCUUGAGCAUUCAGCUUGGUCUUAUACACCCAUUUUACUCCUAUAGGCUUCUUUCCUUGAGGAAGAUCAACCAGCUCCCAUGUGUCAUUUUUCUUAAUGGAAUCAAUUUCUUGAUCCAUAGCCUUCACCCAAUUUUCAUCCUUUGAAGCCUCUUCAAACAUAAUUGGGUCUGCAUCUACAAAUAGAGCAAAAUUUGUGCCACCAUUAGUGAUCAAAACAUAAUCACUAGAUGGGUACCUUGUGGAUGGUUGAUGAGCUCUUGUUGAUCUCCUUUGUCCUCUGCAAAUUUCUUCUUCCUCACUGCUAUCACUAGAAGAAGUUGAUGAUGACCCUUGUGAUGAAGAUUCCUAUGAUGAUAGAGUUGUUGGUGGAGUUAAAUCUGGAUUUUCAAGGCCAAUGUCCAACAGUAUUGGACUUUGAUUUUCAGCUUCACUCCAAUUCCAUGCUUCUUCUUCAUUGAACUUGACAUCACGACUAACAAUAAUCUUGUUAGUCAAUGGAUUAAACAACUUAUAUGCCUUGGCCUUUUCACUAUACCCAACAAGAAUGCACUUUUCUGAUUUGUCAUCCAAUUUUCUCCUUGUUUUAUCAGGAAUAUGAGAAUAAGCAAUGCUGCCAAAUAUCCUUAAGUGACUAAUACAUGGCUUGAGGCCACUCUAAGCUUCUUGAGGAGUCUUGCCUUCCACACUAUUGGACGAUGCACGGUUCAAGAGAUAUACAGCACAUGCCACUGCUUCUGCCCAAAAACGAUUAGGCAUUGCUUUUGCCUUCAACAUGCUUCUUGCCAAUUCCAUAACGGUCCUAUUUUUUCUCUCGGCCACACCAUUUUGCUGUGGGGUGUACCGAGCUGUGAACUGAUGCUUAAUCCCAUUUUCUUUUAGAAAAUUUUCGAACACAUUGGAUGAGAAUUCUCCACCUUGAUCAGACCGCAAGGUUUUCAAUGCAAAUCCACUUUGCUUCUCAGCCAAAGCUUUGAAAACUUUAAAGUAAUCAAACACCUCUGAUUUAUAUUUGAGAAAAUAGACCCAUGUCUUUCUGCUAUAAUCAUCAAUGAAUGUAAGAAAGUAGCGGUUACCUCCUGUUGAUGUUGUGUUCAUGGGCCCGCAUACAUCUGAGUGCACCAGCUCAAGAGGAUGGGAUGCUCUCCAAGAAUUUCCUGUAAGAAACGAAUUUCUCUGAUGUUUUCCCAGCACACAUGCUUCACAAACUUGUGUUUGAUGCUGUAUCGUUGGUAGGCCUCGUACCAUAUGUUGUUUCCCCAUCAAUGAUAGUGUAUUGAAACUCAAAUGCCCAUAGCGUAGAAGCCACAACCAUGAGGAAUCCUUGAUAAGUGCACUUAAGCAAGCAAAAGAUUCAUACUUUAUGUUCAGAGAAAACAUAUUGUCUCCUGACAUCUGCACCUUUGUAAUUAGAGAGUUGUACUUGUCUCUAAUUACACACUGGUCUUCCCUGAACUGAAUAUUAUGGCCUUUAUGAAGAAGUUGCCCCACACUAAGGAGAUUGUAAUUUAAAUCUGGAACAUAUAACACAUCAGAGAUUCUUUUUUGUUCUCCAGACUUGGAUAGAAAAAGAAUAUCUCCACAUCCUUUGGCCACUAGCUUUCCACCAUCACCAAUCCUUACUUCUGAGUUGUUGGUAUGCUUGAAAUUGACAAAGGCACUUUUGUUGCCUGUCAUGUGAUUACUACAUCCGCUAUCAAGAUACCAUUUUUCUGCACACACGUUUCCUUCCCUGGCAGCUGCAUAUGCAAGUAGAACCACAUUAUCAUUUUCCCUUUCAGAAGCUUUUUCAUGCACAAAGCUUGAUUCGGCUCCUCCAUUUGUUUUGUUUUUGCAUGUUGACUUGAUGUGCCCAUAUUGCUUGCAAUUGUAGCACUGAAUAUUAGAAAGAGAGGAACCUUGUUCUCUUCCUCUUCCUCUUGAAUAACCACCAUAAUCUCCUCUUCCUCUUGGAUAACCAUAAUCUCCUCUUCUUCUUGAAUAACCAUAAUCUCGUGCAGAGCCUUCAUCAUUAGUUUUUUUUAGGUCAUUUGCAUAGCCACGUCCUUGAUUAUUUCUUCCUCGUCCACGAGUAAAGCCGCCUCUUCCUCUUCUAGAACUUCCUCUGAAUGAGACUUGAGAUUGAAAAGCUUGCUCAACAGGGCCAGAGUCAAACUGCUUCAGUCGUAACUCAUGGGAUUGAAGAGAACCCAUUAAACUGUCAAGAGACAAAGUAGACAGAUCUUUGGAUUCUUCAAUUGCCACCACAAUAUAUUCAAACUUUCGGGGACAUACUUCGAAGAAUUUUUUCAGCAACUCUCUGAUCUUCAAUUUUUUCUCCAUUAAUUCUCAGUUGGUUGACUAGAGAAAUGACACGAUUGAAAUAGUCUUCAACAGAUUCUGACUCCUUCAUACGUAACAUAUCAAACUCACCUCUUAGAGUUUGCAGUCUUGCCAUCUUCACUUUAUCUUCUCCUUUAUAUGAUGCAAAGAGAGUGUCCCACGCCUGUUUUGAUGUAAUGCAUGAUGAGAUUCUUUCAAAGAUAGCUUCAUCCACUGCUUGAAAGAUAAAGAAUAAAGCUUUUUUGUCCUUCUUACGUGUCUCCUUCAGCUCUGUGAGUUGUUGUUGAGUGAGGACUGCUUGAUCAUUUGGCUCCACAAAGCCAUUUUCAACCACCUCCCACAAAUCUUGAGCAGCAUACAACACCUUCAUUUGGAUGCUCCAUUGACUAUAAUUCUUCCCUGUAAACUUUGGAAGCUGGGGCUGUAACAAGUUGUUGUUUGAAGCCAUAUGAUUCUGAGUUUCCAGCUCUGAUACCACUUUGAUGGAAUAAAAGAAUGAUAUUAUUGGUGGUGGGUACGGUUAUGUGGAAGUAAUAAUGGGUAAGAGAAGAAACUUGUUCUCUUGUGAUAAUCAAAAGACAGAAAGUAGUGGGACACUAUUUUAGAUAUGAUAAUGUUCCUUCCUUGAUUGAUGCAAAUGAAGAGAAAAGGGUGGCUUUAUAUAAUAGCCACUACCGACCUAACACAUUAAAAACACAACUAACACCAAACAUAGUUAAUUCAACUAACUUCUACCACACCAUUAAUUUAACACACAACUACUAACAAACUGCCAACUAUUUCAAAGUUACCAGCUGACUAUUAAUGAAGUCUAGAUUACUUUAACAGUAUCGAAUCUAGCUUUAAUAUGUAUUGGGUCCUCUGGACAAGAAUUCUAUCCUUUUCGUCCUAACUAAUAUGUAGGGGAAAAACAAUACAUCAAUUAUCCUUUUCGUCCUAACUAAUAUGUAGGGGAAAAACAAUACAUCAAUUAUGAAUUUUUUUUAUCUGGGUUCGAAAUUAAAUAUGAAUGGAGUUUUGGAGGCUUAAAAGUUAUAAGCUCAAGAAAGGAAGGAAACUAUAUGUACAUUUGGGUCGGAGGCAAAGGUCCAGUCAUCUACCGUCCAGGAUAUACAGUAUCAAAAAAGGCUUAAGAAUUGUAAUAAGGUGACAUACGCCCACAUACGGCCAACGCUAGCAUAUUUCGUAAGUGUAUUAUAUGUCUUCUAAGUAUAUCAUAGUUAUGUGUCAAUUUUAGAUCCAAUUGCACACCCAAAAUACAGAAACAAAAUCAUUGAGAAUACACUUUUUUUCACUUAUAUUUUGAAUAUGCAUUGCCUGUAUUUCAUGUGUAUGAUAUAGGGGCUUCACUUAUAGUUUUUGCACAAAACCUCCCUUGAUGAAGGAUGUCUUAGAUUAAUGACAUCAAUGAUUUGUUACAUUUGGAGUACCCAACAUAACAGCUCUCUGAUUAACAAUAAAGUUAUAAAAUUUCAACAGUUUCAUACCUAACAAGCAUAGAGAAACAAAUAAAACAACCACAUUGCUUCGAUCACUGUACAUGCACACAGCUCACUUUCACUAACUACAGAGGCUAUAUUUUCUACAUAUACACUAACUUUUUCUUUCUCCAGCUCUCUUACACCACCAGGCUGGUGACAAACCCAGCUCGCGUCAUGUGGAGGACCAAAAGGAAAUGACAAGGAGAAAACGGCUAAGGAGAGACUUACUCUCAACACUUAGAAGGCAGAGCAGAGAUAACAGAGCACACUGCUUGUAUAAAAGUGAGUAUGAGGAGAAAAAUAGCGGUAGCAAUUGAAAUAGUUGCCCAAGGUGUGUUGCAAUAGUUUUGUCUCAAGUUUGCCUGCCAUUUGUGCCAAGACGUUCUGCAGUACUUGUUGAGGUCUGCACAAAGAAUAGCAAAAUAGAAGUCAUUAGAGUCCACAAUGACCCCAUCUGCAAGGUUGUUGAUCAGAGUAGACCCUCCACUACUGUCACCGAGCAUAUUUUCGACGAUUCCUUGCUUAACAACCAACUCCACAUCCGUUGCGGUGUUCACAAAGCGAUCCACGAUGACAACAUAAUUGUUUAUGUAAUUCUCCAUGCAAUGGCAUUGUUCAAAGGCAAGGAGGUUUCUGAUUGUAAGCUCUGUCUCAUCACUUAUUGCUAAUUUUGGAAUUUCUAGAAUCCCAUUAGCGAAUUGUAUGUCGAAUAAGUUUUUGGGUGAUCCCACCUUAAACUUGACUCCUGCUCUGUGUAACUCUGUGAUGCUGGAUGUGUUUAAGAGUUUCAAGUCGCCCCUUAGCAGGUGGUUUCAAUGGUAGAGGUAGAUACAAAUUUCUACAAAAAUCUACAAAGUGUUCUACUUUAGAAGUACAUAAUUUCUCCAUAUUGCCAUCCGUUCCCUCUAUGUGCAUUAGAGUUUUGAAGAAAUUGUGGCAAAGGUUAAGCAUCGAAAGCCUCUCAAUAUUGUUAUUGUUAGAAGAGACUUUGAUUUUUUCGGGGUCAAAAAGUUCCUCAAGAAUGAAGAAUGGCAGCUGAUUUUCAAACAACCGCAUGUCAGGCCAUACGUCUGGCAACAGCCAUGGUUUGUUAAAUAUGCGGUCAAUUUCAUCCUGCAAUUCAUCGAAACGAUACCUCAACAAGACCUCAAUGAUGAAGGCGGCAUCCACUAGAAUGAUUCUCACAAAUUCAUCACUGCUAACCUGAAUGGUUUCUGCAUAACAACUGCGCAGUUUUGCUUCUUGGUCUUUUACUUUCUGUACAUAAUCGGCUAGGCUUACCCUGGUCCGACGUAUAUAAUCUUGUAAGUACCUCUUUUUGUGAUCUUCCAUGGCUUUUAGGCCUUCCUCGCCAUGAUGAAGUGGGCCUAUAGAGACUACCUGAGGUGUGUAGGCCUUUUCACUCACACGCCGUAGUCGUUCAGGAACUCUAUAAAUGCAACACAAGGAGGAGAGGGAAGACAAGCCAUCCAACUCCUCACUCAUUGAAGUUACUAAUGGAAUGCAAGGGUUUUCAAUAUCAUGUGGAGCUUGAUCGCUUCCUUCCAUUUUCCGCUGAUGUGUUUGUUGUUGUCAAUCAUAAUGGAUGAUAAUGAAAUGAUAGUCACUGACACAACAAUAAACAAAUUUUUCAAGAUGGCUGAGAAAAUUAAUACAAACAUUGCAAUUAUAAGACCAAACACACAAAGACUUUUGAUCCUUGUAACUCUUACAUACCACACUAGUGCCUUAAGAAUUCGAUUUGAAUGCACCAAAUUCAUUCAAAACUCUUCUGGUCAACUCUGUUUCUUGUAAUUAUUCUUGGAAGAUUCUAAUACAUUUUUGAUUGAAAAAUUCCUACUAAUCAUGUGAAUCAGUACCAAAGUUUAUUUCAAAUUAACAUACAAACCCCACUUUUUUUUUCCUACAUAUAUACUUCUUUAUUUCCCCUCAACUUAUUGGAGCUUCUAAUAAAGCAAAUUCUUUCUGUGAUGAUAUCAGAUAGUAGAUUAUGCUUCCAGUCAAAACAUAGACAAACCAAAAUCCCAUUAGAAGAGAAGAAAAUAAUAUACGACAUUCACAUAACCUUCUGCUCAAUUCCAAUUUCCAACUACAAUGAAACAUAAGACACUUAAAAGCUUCAAGAAAUUGGAUGUGCAAGCAAACAUAGCGAAAUUAUGAAAGACAGAGAAAGGUGUUGGGCAUUGAAAACAUACCUGAUACGUAUUGAAACACAAUUUUUUUUUGCCUUUGGUAGAUGGAGUAGCUAGAAAAGCUCAAUGCACUUGCUCUUCUGCUACAUUUCAAUAUAAGAACAUUGUUUGGAAGUCCGGUCAAUUCCUCAAAGCUUCCUUGCCUUUGUUUUGACAUGCCGAUGCCCGUCUUGGGGAAGUUUGAAUAAUCCAUUGCAGGCCCCAUGAUAGGAUUUUUAGUACUUGUGCAAACAGUGUUAAAAAUCACAUAAAAUACUUGCAAGAAUACAAGGCUAUUGUAGUAUAGAUGCUCAUGCAAGGUCGUUUUCCUCAAGGACUAAUUAGCAAUUUAUGUAAAAACAAAUUCCAAUUACUACUUAAAAUAAAAAGUCAAGAAAGAUGAUUAUAAAUUUGGUGGAUUCUAAAAAACAAAUAUUAAACAAAAACAAAUACGAUUGAAAGAAAGAGUUUUGAAUAUCAAUUUAUAAAAACACUAGGGUUUCACCAUCACCUAGCAAUCCUAUGAACUUUUACCAAUUACUUAUGAUUUGCACAUGCCACUUUGAAGGUUAGGUUUUCCUAAUGUAUAUUCUACUUGGAACCUCCAACACAGAACGUAUAUCCAACAUGCAACCCGUCCGGACGUUCGGAUCAAAUCUGAACAUGAAAGACUCAUUAAGUUUUGUGAAAACCCUUUGAAAAACCAUGCAACCCUUAAGACGUGGUGUUCAUCUUAAGUGAAAUUACAAUUAUUAAUCACAAGAAGCUAGCAUAAAUUUCAGGGAACCUUCCGACCAAAAUUGCAUCCAAUUACUUUUCUAAAGAUCCUAAUGGUGAUCAGGCAUUAAGACAAUUAGAUAGUUUAAAAUAGUGAUUAACAAUUCAAAAUACGCAUGCACUCAUCAUAAGCAAUUAAAUAAAAAUCACAUAUUCAUGCUAAGGUUCAAGGCUUCACCCUAGCAAAAGAAAUUUAGUUACGCAUACUCAUAAUUGAAAUCCAAGAAAAUAUCAUUAAGAAGAAAAGAACGAAAACACCUGAAAGUUGUGAAAACCCAAAACCCUAGCAAUUGCUCUCUACAAUGCAAAGUUCAAAAAUAAUUAAGAAGUCCUAAAUUCCUUGUGAGAAAGAGCUUAAAUAUCCCUUAAAACCUAGCUGCCAAUGUACAGCUUUUCUAUCCCUACAAGGAAACUAAUUAAAGUAAAAUAAUACUAGGAAAUAAAGUCCAAAUUGGAAUAGGAGAAUUUGCCCAAAAUCAGCCCAGCCACGUUUUGGCCCCAAAUCUCCUCCAAAUCUGGCCCAAGAUAGCUUUUUUUAAAGACACUACUACAAAAAGUGAAAAAGACGACCAGAAAACAACGACGGUCUAAGUGAAAACCGUCGUGGUUUUUAAAAAGACGACGGUUCUAAAAACACCGUCGUGUAAUACCACCUUAGACAACUAAAAAAUGGAGAUUCAAAUGGCUGUUCAAAAACAACGACGUACCUAAUUAAACAACCGACGUCUAUUUGAAACAGAUUUCCGCAGUGUAAAAUCAAAGCAAACAAAGAACGGCAGAAGUUAUGAAUAGACCGACGUAGAAAGUAAAGACGACGAUUUCAAUAAAAGCCGCCGUUUUUACUCAUAAAAUAACACGACGAGGUUUUCGUAUAAGACGCCGUAUAAUUACAAACAAAUCCACGGCUUUAAAAUACAAAAUAAUCUUAACAGAUGACACAGAUUUGCAAUCAGAGAGACAAUUUUUUGGAAGUUGAUCAACGUCGUUGAAAAUUUGCAAUCAGAGAGACAAUUUUCAACGACGGUUAUAUUAUACCUAACGACGUUUAAAAACAAAUCAACGUCGCUCAACAAAUAUAUUACGUCGUCUUAGUCUUACUUAAGACGACGAAAAACGACGACAGUAGUAAAAAAACAGUCGUUGUUUUUAUAUUCUUAUUUUAUUUAAAUCUGUCGUGUUAGUUAAAAACGACGGCAUAACAAAAAACCGUCGUUUUGUUUCAAACUGAAUUAAUUUAAAAUUUCUUCAGGAAAGCAAAAUCUAUUUAUAAUUUCCUCGGGUUAGUAAUAUUGUGUCGUGUUAGUUUACAAAUUCUAGAACAUUAAUUUCCCUCAUUUUAAAUUUUCUCGGGAAAGAAAAAUCUAUUUAUCACGCUUUGUAAUUGAAAACUAAAACUGAAAGAAUUCUGGAAAAAAAACUCUAUUUAUAAUUUAAAAAUAAAAUGCACGUCGGUUGUAGUACACUUAACGACGUUUAACAAAAUAAUCUACGUCGGUAAUUAUAAAUCUACCGCCAUCUUACCCUAAUAUAGACGACGAGAAAAGACGACGGUAGAACAGAAAACCGCCGUUGUUUCAGUUUCUUUAACAGUUUGGUCCUUUAUCUUUCUGCAGGACUUGUAUAGUUCAAAGCAUUGACAAUGUCUUCAUCAUAUCUCCCAGCAACUACUGAUUCGAUUGCUCAUGCUUUAGAGGCCAUCUGAAGCCAUUUCUAUUCUUUAUCGCAUUCUUGAAACCCAUCUUCUUCUUCUGAAGCUCUACGGAUAAAGGAANNNNNNNNNNNNNNNNNNNNNNNNNNNNNNNNNNNNNNNNNNNNNNNNNNNNNNNNNNNNNNNNNNNNNNNNNNNNNNNNNNNNNNNNNNNNNNNNNNNNNNNNNNNNNNNNNNNNNNNNNNNNNNNNNNNNNNNNNNNNNNNNNNNNNNNNNNNNNNNUUUUUUUUGGGGUUGGUUUUUUAUAGUAACCAGUUAUAACAGUAGUGGUUGUGCAAUGUUUGGUUCCCUUAAGCUUCGAUCCAACCGUGUAGCCAGCUUUAGGUCAAUGUCUCCCAAACCACUCGGGUUUUAGGGCACUAGGUGUAGAACACCCCUAAGGACUUAUUAACUCAAGCUGAAAAGGCUACGAAACCAACUAACCACCCUGCCUCAUGCCAAAACUCUACCUUUUGUCUCGAAAAUCACUGCUGAUUAGGCAGGACUGGCCCGGUUACUAGCAAAGCUUCGGGUGAGGCAAUUAUUACUUUAUAACACAUACUAACUUUAUUUAAAUUGAACAGAAAUUAAAACACACUUGGACAAAAAGUAAGUAUUCCAAUCUCACUCCCCAAAAACCAUAUUGGUGUGAUGUGCAAAUUUCAAAGUAUAAUUCAUGAAUUAGUGUCUAAGCAACAAUAAAUAGAAAAGACUCUACUGUGGGAUUGAUUUUCACUAUGUCCAUUUAUUCUAACGUUUAAAAUAAUCUAUGGAUAUUGACUGAAAAACGAAAAUUUUAAACAAGACUUAAAAAAAACUAAAAAUCUAAAAUUUACUUUCCCACCCCCUAACUUAAAUCACACAUUGUCCUCAAGGUGUGGUAAAUAAUCAAAAGAAACAAGAGCAGAAACAAAACGACUAAAUCCUAGAAAAUGAAAAUCAAAAAUAAAGAAAAUACUCUAAGAAAAGAAACUAGGAAGGAAAAAUAGAAGAAUAAUAAAAUAAAAUAAAAUAAGAAAGAAAAGGAGAAAAACAACAAUAGAAAAGAAAUAGGAAAGAAAAUACCCAAAAAUGAGACACCUUGGGGAUUCAAAGGCAGGACCAGGCGGAGUGUUGCGAAAAAGCGCUGACCAACUCAACCACGUCCACACUGGCAUCAAAUAGGAGCGACAGCUACAAUAUAACCUGCUGUAGCUGCUGCAUCUGUCAUUUGAAAAAUAUUGGAUUCCCUUCUCCUACCCCGAGCUCAGAGCCGAAAGGCUCUCUUCUGUCCAUUCCCAUUUUGCAGAAGAAAAAAGAAUAUUGCUGGAUAAACCAAAGCCUCCGCUGUGUCCAGAGAAUCAGAAAAGGUCUCUGAUUUCUCUCUUCUCAAGGCCAUCCAUCUCCGCCUUCACUCUUCUUCAUUCUCUCCAACACUCACGAUCCUUUCCUCUCUUUCAACCCAAUUACACCAGCGUUUUCAUCUGCGUGAGGAGGCCACAUUUGCAGCAAACACAACCAGUGAGGUUGAAUUAUCUGAUGCACCUGAAUUUUUGGAUGGUUUUGGAGUCCCUAGAUUCCUCAAAUUCAGAUCUGUCUCCAUCCAUGUCACCAGAUGCUAACUUGUUCCAAGAUGAAAACAAGCUGAAGCCGAACAAGAGUCUAUUCUCCACCAGUAAGGACCCCAGAUCUGUGCAUCCCGUAGGUAAACUUUCGAACCCCAGAACUGGUUUUUUUUUUUUUUUUUUUCCGUUUUUUUUUUGUUUUGAAAAUAAAAGAAGUAAAGAGUUUAGAAAAAUUGGGUUGCCUCCCAAUAAGCGCGCUAUUUUAAGUCUGUAGCUAGACUUUGCAGAAGCCUGGUGGUCAAAUCACUGGUUCCUUCAGAGUCAAAGACUCGGCUGCAAUGUCAAAGGGUGUCUCCACGUAGGGUUUUAGCCUAUGACCAUUCACCUUGAACGUGUUGCCUUUAUCUUCAUUAGUGAUUUGAACUGCUCCAUGAGGAAAAACUUGAGUCACUAGGUAGGGUCCAGUCCAGCGAGAUUUUAAUUUCCCUGGAAACAACUUGAGCCUUGAACUAAAUAACAGAACCUUUUGCCCUGGCUGAAAUUCCUUCCGUAAAAUUUGACUGUCAUGAAAUGCCUUAGUUCUUUCCUUGUAGAUGCGAGAACUAUCAUAAGCACCUUGACGAAUUUCCUCUAGCUCAUUUAACUGCAAUUUCCGCUUUUCCCCAGCUGAGUCAUAUGCAAAAUUUAACUCUUUAAUGGCCCAGUAAGCUUUAUGCUCCAGCUCCAUAGGUAGAUGACAGGCUUUCCCAUAAACAAGUCGGAAUGGUGACAUCCCAAUAGGAGUUUUAUAAGCUGUCCUGUAUGCCCACAAAGCAUCAUUUAGUUUGAAACUCCAAUCCUUGCGUGUAGAGCUCACUGUUUUCUCCAAAAUACGCUUUAUUUCUCUGUUUGAAACUUCAACUUGACCAGAUGUCUGUGGGUGGUAUGGUGUAGCCACGCGAUGAUUAAUCCCGUAUUUUGCCAGUAGGUUAGCAAAUGGUUUAUUAAUAAAAUGCUUCCCCCCAUCACUAAGAAUAACACGCGGUAUUCCAAAACGUGGAAAUAUAACCCCCUGGAGGAACUUCAGGACCACUGAUCCUUGAUUAGUUGGUGCUGCAAUGGCCUCGACCCAUUUUGAAACAUAUUCCACAGCCACUAAAAUAUAUUGGUGCCCAUUAGAAGAUGGGAAUGGCCCCAUGAAAUCAAUACCCCAAACAUCAAAUAGUUCAACAAUUAGGAUACUUUGUUGGGGCAUUUCAUUCCUUCUGGAUUGAUUGCCGACCCUUUGACACCGAUCACAUGCCUUGCACCAAUUCUGUGAAUCUCUAAAAAGUGUUGGCCAAAAUAACCCACUCUGUAGGAUUUUCUCUGCUGUCCUUUUCUGCGCAAAAUGUCCUCCUCAAGCAUAGUGAUGAGCAAACUUUAAAACACUUUCUUGUUCAGCCUCCGGAAUACACCUGCGAAUAAUCUGGUCUGCACAAUACUUGUAUAAGUACGGUUCAUCCCAGAAAUAGUGCUUUACAUCAGAUAAAAACUUCUUUUUCUGCUGGUAGGAAAAAUCUGGAUGCACCACACCCUUAGCCAAAUAAUUGACAAUAUCUGCAAACCAAGGUGUGUCAAUUUUGACAGCAAAUAGCUGUUCAUCUGGGAAACUUUCACUCAAUGGUAGAGAAUCUGCCUCUGUAGCUGCUGGAAUAAUUAAUCUAGAUAAAUGAUCAGCCACAACAUUCUCACUGCCCUUCUUGUCUUUAAUCUCUAAGUCAAAUUCUUGAAGUAAGAGAACCCAACGAAUCAAUCUAGGCUUUGCAUCCUUCUUAGACAACAAGUAUUUUAGUGCAGCAUGAUCUGUAUAGACAAUUAUUUUAGCCCCAACCAAAUAAGACCGAAAUUUCUCUAGUGCGAACACAACUGCCAACAAUUCCUUCUCUGUAGUUGCAUAGUUAAGCUGUGCAUCAUUUAGAGUACGACUUGCAUAAUAGAUGACAUGGGGAAGCUUAUCUUUUCGCUGCCCUAAAACUGCCCCGACAGCAUAAUCUGACGCAUCACACAUUAGUUCAAAUGGUAAAUCCCAAUUUGGUGCAGCAAUGAUGGGUGCCGAAGUUAGGAGUGCUUUCAACUUGUUGAAUGCUUCUAAACAGGCCUUAUCAAAAUUAAAUGGUGCAUCCUUAGCCAAUAAAGUGCACAAAGGUCGACUAAUCUUGGAGAAAUCCUUGAUGAACCGACGAUAAAAACCUGCGUGUCCUAAGAAGGACCUCACACCUUUUACUGAUGUAGGAGGUGGCAGCUUUGCAAUAACUUCAAUCUUUGCCUUGUCAACCUCGAUGCCUUUGCUAGAAAUUGAAUGACCCAAGACAAUUCCCUGUUCAACCAUGAAAUGCCACUUUUCCCAGUUUAGCACUAAAUUUGUCGCUUGACAUCUCUGAAGAACUAAUGAUAAAUUCUGUAAGCAUUGAUCAUAUGAAUCCCCAAAAACAGAAAAAUCAUCCAUAAAAACUUCCACAAUAUUUUCGACCAAGCCAGAAAAAAUACUCAUCAUACAACGUUGAAACGUAGCAGGUGCAUCGCAUAAUCCGAAUGGCAUCCUCCGAUAAGCGUAAGUACCAAAUGGACAAGUGAAAGUAGUCUUCUCUUGAUCCUCUGGUGCUAUUGGAAUCUGAUUAUACCCAGAAUACCCAUCAAGAAAACAGUAAAAAGCCCGCCCAACCAACCUUUCUAACAUCUGGUCAAUAAAAGGCAAUGGAAAAUGGUCUUUUCUCGUCCCUGUGUUAAGCUUCCGAUAAUCUACACACAUUCUCCAACCCGUAGUCAAUCGUGUAGGAACUAACUCAUUAUUAUCAUUUUUCACCACUGUAAUACCGGUCCGUUUAGGCACAACUUGAGUCGGGCUAACCCAUUUACUGUCAGAAAUAGGAUAAAUCAUACCUGCAUCAAGUAAUUUCAUAACCUCUGUUCUAACCACCUCUUUCAUAAUUGGGUUAAGGCGGCGUUGAGCAUCAACUGUUAGCUUUACGUCGUCUUCCAUUAAUAUUCUGUGCAUACAUAGUGCUGGGCUGAUUCCCUUGAUAUCCGCAAUUGUCCAUCCCAAUGCAUCUUGAUAUUUUCUCAAUACACGAAGCAAUUUAUCCUCCUCUGUCGGUGUUAAAUCUGCUGCAAUUAUAACUGGCAACGUCUCUGCAGCUCCUAAAUAUGCAUAUUUAAGAUGUUGUGGUAAAGGCUUCAGCUCCAAUUUUGGCGGCUGCUGUCUGGAUGGUUUAAGGGGCUGUUUGGGCUCCCCUAAACUCUCAUACACAUUCCUAAAUUUUGGCAACACUGUGGGCAGACUGUUCAAUGCGUGUAUGUACUCAUGAACACCUUCAUCUUCAAAAUCUGUCUCAAAUGCCCCCUGUAAAACAUGCAACAACUGAUCUGUUUUUGAAUUAGCAUAAAAUCUGUCCUGCACCAUACUGUCUACCAUGUCAAUACGCAUACAAUCUAGCUGUUCAGCAGGACGUUUUGUUGCCGCAAACAAAUUAAACACCACAGAUUGGUCCUGAACCCGUAAAGUCAAUGUUCCAGCUUCCACAUCAAUUAAGGUCCUAGCUGUUGCCAUAAACGGCCUCCCCAAAAUAAUAGGUGUUUGAAGGUCUUCAUCCAUGUCUAAAACCACAAAAUCUGCCGGUAGAUAAAGAUUAUCAACCUUAAUAAUUAGAUCUUCAAUAACACCUCUUGGAUAAGUGAUUGAACGGUCAGCUAGUUGAAGUAUAAUUGAUAUAGGCUUUAAAUCUCCUUGCCCCAAUCGCUGAAAAACAGAAAAAGGCAUCAAAUUAAUACUUGCACCCAAAUCAAUUAAAGCACUCUUAAAAUUAGAAUUUCCAAUAGUGCAAGAAAUAUUAAAACUCCCUGGAUCUUUUUUCUUAGGUGGUAGUUUGUGUAGCAAAACUGCAUUGCACUGUUCUGUCAAAAUAACUUUUUCCAAAUCUGAAAGCUUCUUUUUGCUGCUGCAAACUUCCUUCAAAAAUUUGGCAUAUGAUGGAAUUUUCUUGAUUGCAUCCAGUAAGGGAAUGUUGAUUUGAACCUUGGAUAAUGUCUGCAUAAAGUCCUUGAGUUGCUGAUCUUUUACUUUUGGCUUCAAACGUUCUGGAUAUGGAAUUGGGGCCUCAUAAACACGCUCAGGUACUUGUUUUGGAACAGUUUCUAGAUCUGCCAUAUUAUGUUUUUCUACAGGUUUGGCAGGUUCUGCUGCUGCAAAAUUUUCUGUAUGAUCCUCCACUGCAUGCUGCUCCUUUUCAAUGUUAUUUUCACGAUUGUCAUAGCUUUUUCCACAUCGUAAAGUCCGAACAACUUUGCAAUCUUCACGUCCAUUUGGAUUAGGAAUUGUUUGACUAGGAAAUUUGCCCUUUUAUCUGUCUGAAAUCUGUGUAGCUAGUUGUCCAAAUUGUUGCUCCAAACUUUUAAUAGAUGCUUCAACAUUUUGAAAUCUUUGAUUGUUGCCCUCGAUGAAUGAUUGAGUUGUUGCUGCCAGUUUAGCAAGUUGAUCUUCCAUAGAUGGUUUGGAGGGAACAAAAGGUUUUUGUGCAUGCUGGAAUGGUUUGGCAUUAGUCUGAUUGUCACCCCAUUUGAAAUUAGGGUGAUCCCUCCAUCCAGGAUUGUAAUGAGUUGCAUAUGCAUCAUUCCUAGGCCUUUGAUAGCUGUUCAUCAUAUUGACAUGUUGUUCAACAAGCUCUGGGUAAGAGUCUCUAUGUGGGCAGCCCAUUAUGUCAUGUGUAGCCAUACUGCAUAUAGUGCAAACUGUUGAUGUAGGUGGCUGCUGUGUAGAACUUGCUAUAUGUUGUAGAAGCAUAUCAAACUUUGCAUCAAUUUUCUUAUCCAUUUUUUCCAUUUGUGCAGACAUGUUGGGAGAACCUACUGAUAACUCAAAAAUGCCCCUUUUCUGUGAAUGUUCUGCUGCCCAUUGCUGAGAUUCUGUAGCCAUCAUAUCAAACAGUUCAAAUGCCUCUCUUGCAGAUUUAUUUGAUAAUGAUCCUCCAGCUGAUGCAUUCACAUGGCUCUUAGAUGUAGGAUUAAGCCCAUCAAAGAAAAUAUUCAUUUGUGUAUCUGAAUCAAUUUUAACAUGUGGACACUUUAUGUACAUCUUUGUAUAUCUCUCCCACGCUUCAUGAAACUCUUCAUUAGGCUUCUGUGUGAAUGUCAAAAUCUCCCUCUUGUAAUUCAAUGUCUUGGAUGCUGGAUAAUAUUUGUUCAGGAAUUUUGUGUGUAACUGCUGCCAAGUAGUAAUGCUAUUAGCUGGUAGAGUGAAUAACCAAGUUUCUGCCUUGUCCUUCAAAGUGAAAGGGAAAAGACGUAACUUAAUAGCCUCAGCAGAAAAACCCCUAAUCAAAAUAUUCUUGCAACCCACAAUAAAUUUUGCAAUAUGUAUGUUUGCAUCUUCAUUAGGCAAUCCCCGAAAAGUAGGUAGAAUUUCAAGCAUAUGGUGCCUGAUCUCGAACGAAUCACCCUCUUCUUGUUCAGGAUACACAAUGCAAUUGGGAACAUCAGUGGCACGGGCUUCCAAUGACUCCCUGAGUGGUCUACCUGCCGCAGGUAAUUCUAACGCCAUGUUACUCUCGUUUGCAAACAGAUCCUGCAGAAAAGUGCCCUGCAGUGAACAGUCCCAAGCCCAAGUAACUUCUCUCCGCUGUCUAUGCAGUGUGCGCUCUGGUUCUGGAUCAAAUUGUACAAUCUGUGUAGUUCCUGAUCUGGUCUGGACCAUGCAGUCUGCAAAAUCUGCAACAGAAACAAAAUUGUUCAAUUUCAAUUUUUUUUUUUGGACGAAAAUUAAAAAUAAAAUAAAAUGAAAUAAAUCAGAAAAAGGUUAAACAAAAAUUGUCUAAAAUAGUCCCCAGCAACGGCGCCAAUUUCUUGAUAGGAUUUUUAGUACUUGUGCAAACAGUGUUAAAAAUCACAUAAAAUACUUGCAAGAAUACAAGGCUAUUGUAGUAUAGAUGCUCAUGCAAGGUCGUUUUCCUCAAGGACUAAUUAGCAAUUUAUGUAAAAACAAAUUUCAAUUACUACUUAAAAUAAAAAGUCAAGAAAGAUGAUUAUAAAUUUGGUGGAUUCUAAAAAACAAAUAUUAAACAAAAACAAAUACGAUUGAAAGAAAGAGUUUUGAAUAUCAAUUUAUAAAACCACUAGGGUUUCACCAUCACCUAGCAAUCCUAUGAACUUUUACCAAUUACUUAUGAUUUGCACAUGCCACUUUGAAGGUUAGGUUUUCCUAUUGUAUAUUCUACUUGGAACCUCCAACACAGAACGUAUAUCCAACAUGCAACCCGUCCGGACGUUCGGAUCAAAUCUGAACAUGAAAGACUCAUUAAGUUUUGUGAAAACCCUUUGAAAAACCAUGCAACCCUUAAGACGUGGUGUUCAUCUUAAGUGAAAUUACAAUUAUUAAUCACAAGAAGCUAGCAUAAAUUUCAGGGAACCUUCCGACCAAAAUUGCAUCCAAUUACUUUUCUAAAGAUCCUAAUGGUGAUCAGGCAUUAAGACAAUUAGAUAGUUUAAAAUAGUGAUUAACAAUUCAAAAUACGCAUGCACUCAUCAUAAGCAAUUAAAUAAAAAUCACAUAUUCAUGCUAAGGUUCAAGGCUUCACCCUAGCAAAAGAAAUUUAGUUACGCAUACUCAUAAUUGAAAUCCAAGAAAAUAUCAUUAAGAAGAAAAGAACGAAAACACCUGAAAGUUGUGAAAACCCAAAACCCUAGCAAUUGCUCUCUACAAUGCAAAGUUCAAAAAUAAUUAAGAAGUCCUAAAUUCCUUGUGAGAAAGAGCUUAAAUAUCCCUUAAAACCUAGCUGCCAAUGUACAGCUUUUCUAUCCCUACAAGGAAACUAAUUAAAGUAAAAUAAUACUAGGAAAUAAAGUCCAAAUUGGAAUAGGAGAAUUUGCCCAAAAUCAGCCCAGCCACGUUUUGGCCCCAAAUCUCCUCCAAAUCUGGCCCAAGAUAGCUUUUUUUAAAGACACUACUACAAAAAGUGAAAAAGACGACCAGAAAACAACGACGGUCUAAGUGAAAACCGUCGUGGUUUUUAAAAAGACGACGGUUCUAAAAACACCGUCGUGUAAUACCACCUUAGACAACUAAAAAAUGGAGAUUCAAAUGGCUGUUCAAAAACAACGACGUACCUAAUUAAACAACCGACGUCUAUUUGAAACAGAUUUCCGCAGUGUAAAAUCAAAGCAAACAAAGAACGGCAGAAGUUAUGAAUAGACCGACGUAGAAAGUAAAGACGACGAUUUCAAUAAAAGCCGCCGUUUUUACUCAUAAAAUAACACGACGAGGUUUUCGUAUAAGACGCCGUAUAAUUACAAACAAAUCCACGGCUUUAAAAUACAAAAAUAAUCUUAACAGAUGACACAGAUUUGCAAUCAGAAGAGACAAUUUUUGAAGUUGAUCAACGUCGUUGAAAAUUGCAAUCAGAAGAGACAUUUUCAACGACGGNNNNNNNNNNNNNNNNNNNNNNNNNNNNNNNNNNNNNNNNNNNNNNNNNNNNNNNNNNNNNNNNNNNNNNNNNNNNNNNNNNNNNNNNNNNNNNNNNNNNGGAAGUUGAUCAACGUCGUUGAAAAUUUGCAAUCAGAGAGACAAUUUUCAACGACGGUUAUAUUAUACCUAACGACGUUUAAAAACAAAUCAACGUCGCUCAACAAAUAUAUUACGUCGUCUUAGUCUUACUUAAGACGACGAAAAACGACGACAGUAGUAAAAAAACAGUCGUUGUUUUUAUAUUCUUAUUUUAUUUAAAUCUGUCGUGUUAGUUAAAAACGACGGCAUAACAAAAAACCGUCGUUUUGUUUCAAACUGAAUUAAUUUAAAAUUUCUUCAGGAAAGCAAAAUCUAUUUAUAAUUUCCUCGGGUUAGUAAUAUUGUGUCGUGUUAGUUUACAAAUUCUAGAACAUUAAUUUCCCUCAUUUUAAAUUUUCUCGGGAAAGAAAAAUCUAUUUAUCACGCUUUGUAAUUGAAAACUAAAACUGAAAGAAUUCUGGAAAAAAAACUCUAUUUAUAAUUUAAAAAUAAAAUGCACGUCGGUUGUAGUACACUUAACGACGUUUAACAAAAUAAUCUACGUCGGUAAUUAUAAAUCUACCGCCAUCUUACCCUAAUAUAGACGACGAGAAAAGACGACGGUAGAACAGAAAACCGCCGUUGUUUCAGUUUCUUUAACAGUUUGGUCCUUUAUCUUUCUGCAGGACUUGUAUAGUUCAAAGCAUUGACAAUGUCUUCAUCAUAUCUCCCAGCAACUACUGAUUCGAUUGCUCAUGCUUUAGAGGCCAUCUGAAGCCAUUUCUAUUCUUUAUCGCAUUCUUGAAACCCAUCUUCUUCUUCUGAAGCUCUACGGAUAAAGGAAGAGGCUAUCACAAAUCUGACGGAUCUUCUUAGUCAAAAAAAUCAAGCAGAGGAUCAGGCACAUCUGAUCUUCAGAUUUCCCUGAGAAGCGAACUUUCCUUCGACAGCGAGUGGAGGCCAGGCUUGCAUCUCUUUUGAUGGAAAGCAAGGAGUAUUCAGAAGCACUAAGUGUCCUAUCAGGCUUGAUCAAGGAAGUGAGAAGGCUAGUUGACAAGCUUCUUCUUGUCAACUAGCCUAAAUGUAAGCUCAAUUUCUCUUUGAGAAAGACCUCCAAAUUAUUGUCUUUGAGAUGUGAGAGACAGUGUCUCUGAGAGAGGAAGAACUUGGAACCCUAAAUGUAAACCGCGAAAAUGAAUGAAAGCGACAAAUUUAUAGAAUAAAUUUUUAAAACCAACGGCGGUACUUACCAAGAAACCGCCGUUUCAAUUGUAAAAUCAACGUCGGUAUUACUGACGUAUAUUACAGAACUCCACGUCGGUACAUUAAUAAUCACGACGUCUUAAAUAAUCUACCAUGACGCGAGUUAUUACUUAUGUACUUUAAUUUUUGAGUUUACUACGACGGUACCUACAACACUACUGUCGUAUUUAUUUACCACGUCCGAAGUUAAAUUUACCGACGUAUUUUGUACUUUAUACGUCGUAGUUAUAUGUAACCGCCGUAUUAUUUUUUUGAAAUGGUUUUAUAUGUAAGCAACUUUUCGUCUACUUGACUUACACAUUAGUUGUUUUUAUAUUCUUAUUUUAUUUAAAUCUGUCAUCCAAAAAAGAAACUUUACAUAUUGCAGAAUAUUAAUUUCCUUCGUUUUAAAUUUCCUCCGGAAAAAAAACUCUAUUUAUAACGCACUGUAAUUGAAAAAUAAACUGAAAGGUCACGGGAAAAAAAAUUCUAUUCAUAAUUUAAAAAUUAAAAUCCACGUCGGUUAUAUUAAACCUAACGACGUUAAAUGAAAUGAUUCCACGUCGAACGAAAAAUAUUUCGUCGUGUUAGUUAAAAACGACGUAGUUAAAUGUAACCGCCGUAUUAUUUUUUUGAAAUGGUUUUAUAUGUAAGCAACUUUUGGACUUACACAUGCACUGUUUCCAAACCCGAUUAAAAAUUUCAAUCUCCAGAGAAACCUUUUCGUCUUUUUUCCUUGUCAGAGCAUUAUCAGAGUUUCUCAUCGUCUUCCUCUCGUCUUCUUCGUCGUCCUUGAACUUAAACAUCGAUCAUCUUCCUCUUGCUUUCAUUGCACGCAAAAGGUAAGCUUUCAUUUUCACUAUUUUGGUUACUGUUUUGCAUGCUCAUACGUUUUUUGUUUGAAAAAUCUUUUUACCUUUUUUCUGGCCAAAAUCAUUUUACUUCUUUCCAAGUUUGAUAAAAUAUACAGACAAAAAGGGAAAGUUUCCAACUUUGAAGACAACUACCUCAACUAAAUGAGACGACGGUAGACCACGACGGUUCGUCAGUUGUUCUAGCGUCGUCUGAAAAUUGACAAAGUUGUUUUUAAAAUAAUAGUCUUUUUUUAUAUGCUUGUUUAAUUGCAGGUUUGAUUUCUCUGAACAAUGGUUUUUGUUUUUCCCUUAUUUGAUAAAAUAUAAAGAAAAAGAAACUAGGGUUGGUAUCUAAUAUAGACGACAAAAUAUCUUAUUGUUUUACGUCGUGUGAAUGUUAAUACCACGACGGUGUAUUACUAUUAACGUCGUAUGAACAUAAAUACCACGACGUUAUAUAAAUAAUAGUUUACCACGACGGUGUAUUACUAUUGACGUCGUGUGAACAUAUAUACCACGACGUUAUAUAAAUAAUGGUUUUAAACAUUUAUUACGUCUGAGAUUAUUUCAUUGCGUCGUCUAAAAUCAUAUCAUACGUCGUAUUUUUUUAAUACCGUCGUUUGUGUUCUUAAUGUUUUCCUGAAAUAUUUUCACUUGCAGUUUUGUCUGUUAAAAUGGUUUCUCAACAACAAACUAAGGAUUCUGGCUCCAAGAAGCUUGGAAUGGUAGCUCCUCAAGACAAGUCUUCGAAGGAGAUGAAGUCUUCGAAGAAGAUGAAGUUUGCUUCAUCAUCUGCUGAGACAGAACCAACCAGCCAGACAACAAUCUCUGAUGAUUCAAAGACUGGUCGAGGCAUGAGCACAAUGCCUCGUGUUGUGAAGAGAAAGCUUCAGAAACUGAGGCCAAUUGUUGAGUACAAUAAAAGGGGGAAAGGUGUUGGCCAAGCACAUAUUGAGAUGCAGUCGUAUAUUGGUGUGUUGGCACGCUCCAGGAUCCCACUUGUGGACAAGAAAUGGUCCCAAAUCCCCAAGGAUAUAAAGGAGCAGAUUUGGGAAGCAGUUGACAUGGCUUUUGUCGUAGGCCAAGGGGGCAAGACCUCUGUUUUAGCUUCUGCUUCCAAGAAAUGGAAGGAUUUCAAGUCUACACUAACGAGGCAUUAUAUCCUUCCAUACACCAAUGACAGGGAGAAAUUAAGCCAACCCCCUGAAACAUAUAAAUUCAUAGAGAAAGCACAAUGGGAUGCCUUUGUAGCUUCAAGGCUAUCCAAAGAUUUUGAGUCUGUGCAUUCUCAACAUGCACAGAUUAGGGAGAAACUCGAGUACAAUCAUCGAUUGUCUCGAAAAGGAUAUGCUGGAUUGGAGGAUCAAUUGGAGGAAACCAUGCCUGGGGUAGAAAUUGAUCGAUCUACCUUAUGGAAGAGAGCUAGACAGGACAAACAUGGUAACAUCCCUGAUCCAAAGGUGGCAGAGAAAGCAAAAUUAAUUGUAAGCCUACUAUCACUCUGUUUUAAAUUUUUAUUAAACUGUGAAUUAUUCUUAUUACGUCGUAUGUUAUAUUUUUCGUCGUGUGAAUGAUAUUACCACGUCGAAAAGUUUUUAAAAACGUCGUUAAAGGUCUAAAUAGGAAUCACUACUAAUUUUCUGUAAUUAUAGCAUAAGACGUCGGUGGUUCAUUUUCGCGUCGUUUGAAUGAUAUUACCACGUCGAAACUUUUUUAAAAACGUCAUUAACGGUCUAAAUAGGAAUCACUACUCUGUUUUCUUUAAUUAUAGCAUAAGACGUCGGUUGUUUAUUCAUUUCGUCGUUUUAAAUAAAUAACCACGUCGGUAUAACUACCGUCGUGAUAAGUUAUAAUAACGUCGGUUUAUACGUUAUUGCGUCGUGUGAAAUUAUAUAAUACGUCGUUUGUACAUAAAUAACCGUCGUGUGUUUUUUUGUUUAUCUUUGUUUUAGGAUGAAUUGCAGAAACAAGUCUCGGAAGGCAAAGUCAGAGUAGAUGGCAGCAAUGAUGUGCUGACCAUGGCUUUGGGCCCCGAGCAUCCAGGCAGAGUGAGGGGAGUUGGUGCUGGUGUUUCCCCAAGGCAAUAUUUCAAUUUGCCCAAACCACAGAGGGUGAGCUUUGACGACCAUUUGAAGGACAGUUUAAGAGUUCUCCUUCAAGAAGAGACUAAAAAGAUGGAGGCUAAGGCAAGGGAAGAGGCCUUAAGAAUGGAGGCUAGGACAAAACAAUUGGUAGAGGCUGAGAGGGAGCAUUUCCUGAGUCAGCUUUCCCAAUUAAUUCCCAAUUUUGAUCCAAGCAUGCUUAAACCAAGAAUUAGCCAAAGCCCCAAAAAUCCAAUGUCUGACAAAGCUAGCUGCUCUGGAGGUGAUGUGAGAUCCCUACAUUUGGAGGAUGAUACUGCCAAAAUGGGGAAACAUCAGCCAGAUGAAGAGAAGGAAGAAGAAAAAAGAGAUGAAGAGAAGGAAGAAGAAAAGGAGAAAGAAGAUGAAGAAAAGCAUGACGACAAGGUAUGUUCACAUAACUUUGCCUUUUUUAUUUGUUUUUCAAAAUUUCAGACGUCGAUAUUUUUAUUUAAUCCGUCGUUUGUUUAAAACUUAGACGGCGGACUUUUUUUAAGACGUAAUAAAAUAUUUAAACGACGGUUUUUGCACCGUCGUUUAAAUGGUUUCAGACGACGCUUUAUUCAUAAAAUCGUCGUCUUUAUUGAAUUACCACGACAGUUUUUUCACCGUCGUUUAAAUACUUUUAAGACGACGUUUUAUUCCUUAAACCGUCGUCUUUGUUGAAUUACCACGUCAUUUUUUUUAUUUCUUUAAACAGGUUAUUGAAGUUGGUGCUUAUUCAAAUAUGGAGGCGCCAUCUUCUUUAAAAACCCUUUGUCGUUUUGUGGAAACGACACUCCUGCCUGAGGAUAAGACACUCCAAUUUACAAUUGAUAAGGAGGUGUUUGGUGGUGAGCGCGAUACCUUCCUCCUGCCUGAAGAUAUUACACAAUUUGCAGGCAUGGAAGAAAUUGGAGCUACUGUAUUGGCUGUAUAUAUGAGGUUUGUACUUCUAAAAUAAUACCUCGUUGGUUUAUAUAUUGCGUCGUCUUAACUAACUAACCACGUCGUCUUAACUAACUACCGUCGUGAUAAAUAUAUUAUAACGUCCUCAUCUAUUUCAGUACGUCGUGUGAAAUAUUAUAAUACGUCGUUUUUUUAUACAUAACCGUCGUGUUUGUUUGUGCUGACUUGUUUAUAUUAUUUUAUGUAUUUAGGUACUUACACGAUGUUUUGAAACAAGCCAAUAUGUGCAGCAUGGUUGGCUUUAUCGACCCUGCUACAGUUAGUGCCAACUCUGGCACAAUAACUGAAAGAUCACGACUGGUAGCAGCUCGACUUCAGAAGACAGACGGUGAACAGAUUUUCAUGAUGCCUUACAAUCCAGGGUUAGUCUCCUUAGGAUUUUGUUUUUAUGAUUUUCAAUAAAUGACAGCUUAUAAACUAACCACGUCGGUGUUUUAUUUUAUUUAGUCGUUUGAAACUACUAACCACGUCGGUAUUUAUUUAUCGUCGUGAUAAAUAUAUAAUGUCGUCGUUAUCUACUUUAUUUCGUCGUGUGAAAUACUAUAAUACGUCGUUUUUGUAAAUAACCGUCGUUUUUAUAUUCAUUUUGUGCAGCCGUCAUUGGAUCUUGCUGAUUGUAAGAGCAAAGAAGGAGACCGUCUAUUUUCUGGAUCCUCUGCCAGGUCAUCGUGUGGUCGACGAAGAGGCGAAAAACAUCGUGAACAGUGCUUUAAAAAUAUAUAAUACCCACAUAGCCCGAGCACGACGUAAAAAUGUAAUUUGGAAAACUCUCUCAGGCACACCAAAGCAACCCAGCAAUGUCGAAUGCGGGUACUAUGUGAUGCGCUUCAUGAGGGACAUCAUCAUGGAUCCUUCCUUGGGGUUUGAGAAUAAGGUAAGAAGAAAUUACCUUCAUACAUUUCACGUCGUUUUUUGUAUUAUCAACGACGGUCAUGUAAAAUUAACGUCGUUGAAUGGAUAUACUACGUCGGUUAUGAAAAAUAUCGUCGUCUGUGAUUGAAUUUCUUUUUAUUUAUAAACCCUAAUAGUCAUUGUUUAUGCAGUAUGCCAAGGGAAACCAGGAAGCUUCAUACCCCCAAGAAGCCAUUGAUGAAGUCCGGAAUGAAUGGGCAGAGUUUGUUUUCCAAAUUAUUAAACAGGGCAAUUAUUGAACACUUGAUAUUUAUGUAUAAUGUACAAAUUUUCUCUAUAAUAUGUAAUGUAAAAAUUUGUUGAGGUUUUCUUAAAUUAAAAAAAAAACAAACAUACAAAUUGCUUAACCGACGUGUAAUACUUUUCCAACGACCUAAUAAAGUCAAAAACCGUCGUAUUUUGUUGUUUCGUGUUUUAAACAAAUACGACGUAAAAAUAUAGUUAGACGACGUUCUUUGAACAAUUGAGUCGUUUAUGGUUUACAACAUCUUCAAUUUCUUAAGGGUUCAGGGUAUCAUCGACGACGUUUAUGUAACGACAGCGGUUAAGUCGUGGAAUAUAUAUUUUACGUCGUAUAGUUAAAUAGCCGCCAUGGUUUCUCAUUUUAACGACGUCAUUUUAACGACUUAGUAGUCUAUUACAAUUUACAACGUCUACAAUUUAUUAACACCGACGUGGUUUGUUGUUGUGGUAAGAAUAUUUUAUUAUUUUUAUAUCAAAAUAUUCAAAAUAAAUUUAAAAUAAAUCAGAAAAUUGAAAAGUCAUCUCCUAUGAAGUCAUUGAUAUAUUUUCUUCCACAUAAACCUUGAAAAAAUUCAUUUUGAAUAACAAAAAUUUAAAAUGACCAUCCAAAACAAAAUUGUUUUGAUGAGUCAUAAAAUCACUUCUAGUUUUAUGGUUUAGGGUUUAGAGUCUAGGGUUUAGAGAUUAGGGUUGUUAUUUGUUGGGGUUUAUUUUUAAAGUAUAAUUUUUGGGUAGUCUAGGGUAUAUGUUAGGCUUUAAAACCAUAAAACCUUUUAUAAACUUAAUUUUUUAAAUUGUAUAAUUUAGUUUUAUGGGUUUAGGGUAUUAAUUUUUAACGACGGUGGUUGCGUCGUGGAAUACAUAUUUUACGUCGUACAGAAAAACAUACGACAUGGUUUACGCUUUAAACGACGUCAUUUUAAUAUGUAAGUCGGUUUAUAUAAUUUACAACGUCUUUAAUUUCUUAACACCGACGUGGUUUUUCAGUCGUCGUUAUAUAAAAAAUUCAAAAUAAAUUUAAAAUUAAUCCGAAAAAUGAAGCUUCAAAAUGAACGGCCUUACGUUCUUAAUCCGAAAAAUGAAGUUUCCGUCGUGGAAUAUUAAAUUUACGUCGGUACUUGUAGAACUUUCGCCUUGGUUUUUCUUUCGACGUUUUAAAACGCGCGAGCUCUAAAAAUUUUCGCGUGACCUAAAUUUUUUUAGAUUUGGCUCUUAUUCUUAUACUUCGAACCCUGAAACCUAAAAUUUUCAGAUUUCGCUCUCUCACUUCUGCUCUAAUUAAAAGUUGCACUCUCCAGGCUUCGUCGAAUCUGUGAGCUCGUCCAACCUGUAAGUACAAACCCUAUCUUCCCCUUGUAAAUUCAUUGAAUGAUAUUAGGUUGUUUUGUUAAAGGGUUUUAUGUGUAUGCUUUGCGAUCUGUUAAUAAUGUGCUUAUAGGUAUGGGUUCAUAGAUUUUCUGUUUAAUGGGUUCAUGGAUUACAUUAUCUGUUAUGUUGAAUUGGGAAUGGAUUUAAUUUUGUCGUAUCUUUUAAUCACCCUAUGUUAUGUUGAAUUGGGAAUGGAUUUAUUGUUUUCAUGCUUGGUUUCAUGUAUAUGUUGGUUUCUUGCUUGGUUUCAUAUAUAUGUUGUGUUCUUAAUGGGUUUUGUGUUCUUGAAAAUAAACUGAGACACGACAAAUUUUAAGGCAUACGACGACGAUUACACGACGGUUUUUUUAAACUACCGUCGUUGUAUUACUUAUACAAGACGGUUUUUUCAUAAACCGUCGUUUGUAUUACUUAUAAUAGACGACGUCUGUUGAAAAUCCGUCGUCUAUAUAUGCCAAAUACGUCUGUUUUUGUUUAAAACCCGUCAUCUCUGUUGUGUAUUACUUGCGAUUAGAUCAUUGUAUAAUCUGCUAUAGUGAUGGUCAUUGCCUGUAUUUUCACUUUAUUAUAGAUAAUAGGUUAUAGUGUCGGAGAUGGAUAAGUCAUGGAUGCACUCGGAUAGAAGAUCGAAGGCAUAUGAAUUUGGGGUGGAAGCAUUUUUGAACUUUGCUUGAGAAGUACUUUCCCCCUUCAUUCUUUGAUAUCAUGGUUCAUCUAGUAGUACAUCUUGUCAGAGAAGUUCGUCUAUGUGGGCCAGUAUAUUUUAGGUGGAUGUAUCCGUUUGAAAGAUAUAUGAAAGUGCUGAAGGGGUAUGUUCAGAAUCGUACUCGUCCCGAAGGUUGCAUUGCUGAGCGGUAUAUAGCUUAAGAAGCGGUAGAGUUUUGUACUCAGCAUUUAUCUGAUGUUAGUACAGUUGGAGUGCCUUCAAGCCAAAAGAUGGGACUUUCAAAGCCAUUAUCAGGUUGCACAGUGAGCGUAGUUGAUCAGGACCUGUUGAAUCAAGCACAUCUAUAUGUCUUGGAGAAUACGGAGGAAGUCCUACCUUAUAUCGAGUACGUAUGAGCUUUAUUCUUUAAGUUUCCAUUUUAAAUUAUUUCUUAUGUUUAUCUUCUAUAUUUGGGACCGUAAUGCUUGAAUUUUUCGUGUCAUGUAGGCAACAUAUGAUCCACAUCAAGAUUGCUUAUCCAAAAUUUAGAAAGAGAACAAAGUGGCUGCAGGAUAAGCACAAUAGCACUUUCAUUCAAUGGCUACGCUUCAAGGUAUAUGUUGUUGAAUAACAUAUUUCUCUUUUAAUUUUCUUCUUAUUUAUAUGUUAGAUUGAAUUAAGAUAUGAUUAAUUUGCAGGUUCAAAGUGAACUUGAGGAAGACAAUCAUGGCGUAUCAGAAAAUUUAAGGUGGCUAGCAGCUGGUCCAAACAUGUCAGUGCCAUUAUAUAGGAGCUAUCUUAUUAAAGGUAUUAAAUUCAAUAUCAAGGCACAAGAUGAUGUGCGGACAACUCAAAAUAGUGGAGUUUAUUUACUUGCACAUACCAUGCAAGUUGCUAGUGCCAAGGAUAAAAACCCAAUUCUCUCAAACAUGGGUUUCUAUGGUGUCAUUCAAGAAAUUUGGGACCUUGACUACCAAAAGUUUACAAUCCCAGUCUUUAGGUGUGAUUGGAUAGAUAGUUCUGGUCUUGUAGUCGACGAACUUGGAUUUACCCUUGUAGAUUUGAGUAAAAUUGGACAUAGGAAUGACCAAUUUGUUUUGGCUUCUCAAGUCAAACAAAUAUUUUUUGUUGACGACCCGAUGCAUCGUGGUUGGUCGGUAGUGUUAUCAAUGCCUAAUAGAGAAUAUAAUGAUGUUAUUGGUGAUGAAGUCUUAGGUGAUGUGAUAAUUGAGUGUGAGCCAUUUACUAGAGGGAUGCCAAAUGUUGACACAUUUGAUGAACUGGUGGGUGAGUUAGGCGGUCAAAAUAUUCGAGAUGGGUGUGAAGAUAUAUGGAUUGAAUGAUGCUUAUGUAAUUGGCAGUGUAUGACAUUAAUUUUGUAAUAUAUUGUAAUGUGAUUUCUUCACUUUCUACGUUCAAAUAAAACACGACGUUAUUGUGAACCAGUUAUUCAGCAUAUUUACCGACGUCUUAAAGCAACGUAACAAUGAAGAACCACGACGCUAUUGUGAAGCAAUUAUUCAGGAUAUCACGUCGGGGAAGGAUUAAGAACCGCCAUGUAAUUCAAAAUAACACGACUCCAAUCCCAUAAUACCGACGUCUAAAAAACGAGAUAUAUAAUCUGAACGUUAAAAAAUACGACGUCAUCAUACAUUUUCCACAUCGCAAGUUCUUUUAUAAACGAAGAGGAACGAAAUGAAUUCCGACGGAAAUUCAUUAUAACCGCCGUCUAAUAACAAUUAAACGACGUUAUUUGUAAUACGGCUCUCAUCAUAAUCAACGCCGUCUAUAUGUUCUGUAAUACGGCUCUCAUUUAUUUGGAACCGACGUUGUUUAGAAGUUCAACGUCGUCUAUAUUAUUAAGUGCGUCGUGAGUAAUGAUGAUAGAUAUAAAUACAACGUCGACUAUAUAAAUGCCACUGACGUUGUUUCGCAUUUCAACGUCAACUGUAUAAAUACAUACGUCGUAAAUAAUGACACUGACAACUAUUUCCACGUCAUCUUUUUUAGAAAAAUCGAAGUGGAAAAUUUAUUUCACGACGGUUGUUUGUAAAUAAGAGACGUAGUAUAUUUCAAUAACGUCGUCUUCUCAUGUAUUUAAAGACGUCAUAUUUUUUCUUGUCGUGUAAAUUAUAUUUAACGGCGUAGUAUUUUAGUUGUCGUCGUUGUAUGUAUAUCUUGCGGCCUUGUUCUUUUAACAUGUGUCAUAUUUUUCCUUUUUAACGACGGUGAUUUGUUUGAGUUGGUCGUCUAUUCUCAUCCUCGACUAUUUUCUAGAACUUUAGCAGACUAAACACGUCUGUUUUUAUUGUUUUCCGACGUUGUUUUAUUUAACAACGUCUAAUAUUUAUCGUCGUUGUUUGUUUCUGAAAAUAUGACGUAUAAAUUUUGUAAUACGACUCUCAUAUAUUUGUAACCGACGUUGUUUCGUUUUUCAACGUCUACUCUAUAAAUACAUACGUCGUAAAUAAUGACACUGACAACUAUUUUCACGUCAUCUUUUAUCGAAAAAUCGAAGUGGAAAAUUAAUUUUACGACGGCUGUUUUUAUAUAUGCGACGUAGUAGGUAUCAAUAACGUCGUCUUCUAAUGUAUUUAAAGACGUCAAAUUUUUUAUUGUCGUGAAAAUGAUAUUUAACGGCGUCGUAUUUUUAUUUUCGUCGUUGUAUGUCUAUCUUGCGGCCUUGUUCUCUUAAUAUGUGUCAUAUUUUUCCUUUUUAACGACGGUUUUUUUAGAGAGUUGGUCGUCUAUUCUCAUCCUCGACUGCUUUUUUAGAUCUUUUUGCAGUACAAAGACGUCGUUUUGUAUUUGUUGAUGACGUUGUAUAUUUUAACAACGACGGUGAUUUUGCGUCGUGGUUUAUGAGGGAAAAGAUGACGGUGGAUUCCACGACCAUUGAAAAACCGAAUACACGACGGUGAUUUACCGUCGUCUUUUUGCUUUUUUGUAGUAGUGAGAUAAAAAUGUUCUGAACACUUCUCUAGAAGGCCACGAACCCAUCCGAGGUCAUCUUGGGCUCCAAAAACACAAUAAAAGCCCAACACGUCACUAUUCCAGCACCGCGCACUGCUCAUUUAUUUUAUUGCCAGAAAAUAACCGCUUGGAAGAAAAAUCUGAAAUUUUGAUACGAUCAAGCUAAGUGACUCAAGAACGUCCUCCAACUGGAAUUACUCCAAAAUUCCUCAAUUUGAUUAUGUUUUGCUCCAGAGAGAGUCGAAAGUCCUAUAUUGGAAAUAUAAUUCAAAGUAUCAAAAUUCUUCCAAAAUAUUAACCAAAAUAUACUAAGAAUGAGGUUAAAUAUAUAAUAUAAAAUAUGUCCAUCACCCCACAACAACUAAAGAACCAACAUUUUGUAGAAGGUUUUGUCUAUACCUUUGACUGUAAGUAAAUCUCUUGUAUCUGCUCCUGUGGUUCGGUGAAGUUUCUUUGUGUCCUUUCUGCGGAGUCUCCCAUGCUUGUUCCAUGAAAAUGUUCUAGGAGAAAAUACGGUUGUUUCUUACUAGAUUCAAAUGAUUAAGAAAAAUAAAAACGCAAGAAAAAAGGUAUUUUCUUGAUGGACUUGGUGAUGAAAAAUAUCACUCUCUUUAUAUGUCGUCUUCCUUGGACUUUGAGACCUUGGGUUUCGAUUCUUCUUGAGGAUUGCAUAGGGUUUCUAGGCCCAAGAAUACUUUGAGUUAGUUUUUGCGUUUUGGGCUUUGAGACUUUGAGACUAUAAUGAGUGGAAAGUUAUAAGGGGUAAGUUAUAAGGGGGUCACUUUAUAGCCAUCAGAUUAAUCCAAGGGCUGGGGAGAAUUGAGAUAAAGUUUCACAAUUGGGUAGGUGAGGAACCCAAACCCGAAUUGAAUAUCCAGCACGUCCAAAAAGAAGAAGAAGAGGGAAACACGUCCGAAAAAGAAGAAGAAGAGGCAAGUUCGAAGUUUGAACAGAAAGAACUCAUCUCUCUAAAACACAGAGGUCUGAGAUACCCAAUGAAGGCAACGGCUAACGACAGUUGAAGGCAACAAUUCGCCACUCCGUUCUCCAGACCCCGAAAAAGUAUUUAUUUGGAGUAGAAGGGGCAAAGGUGUGGAUUCCAAAUCAGUGAAGGGGCGAAGCAGUGGAAGGGGAAGGGGAGAAGCUGUAUUCGUUGGAAGUGUAGGUUCCAUUUGUGGAGCAAAGAAAUAGAAAGACCCCACACAGACACCUUGCAAUAACCAGCAUUUGGUGAGUAAUUUAUGGAAUUUGAGUUUAGGGUUAGAGUAAUGGUUUUCCCCAAUUUGUACCAUAAAUUUUGUUGGAUUUGGCAUCUCUUCGUUGUGCUUCAGUUGCAUGUUAAUUUUUGCUUAGGUAUAUGUUAAAAAAGGAAUGAAAAUUAAGUCAAUAACAAGUGAAUAACAUGUCAAUAAUGAUAUGAAUAAGAUAAUGGUGUUGAAUUGGAGGAGGCCCUCAAAACCUUCCACAUUUGAAGCAGUGCAUAGUGCAGAUUAAGAAGAGGCGCUAGAAUAUAUAUAUAUAUUUUAUGAAGUAAAUAUGAUUUCCUUUGUUACUAAAUUUGCCUGAGAAACAUUUGAACAGAUAAUAAUAAACUCAUGAAUAGAACUGCAAAGCAUUUGAUGAGCAAUGUAAGGAAUUUAAGUUUAGGGUUAGAGUAAUGGCAUCUCUUAUUUGUGCUUCAAUUGCAUGUUAAUUUUUGCUUGGGUAUAUGUUAAAAAAUGAAUGAAAAUAAAGUCAAUCACAUGUCAAUAACAUCUCAAUAACAUGUCAAUAACAUGUCAGUAAUGAUAUGAAUAAGAUAAUUGUGUUAAAUUGGAGGAGGCGCUCAAAACCUUCACAUUUGAAGCAGUGCAGAGUGAAGAGUACCUCUCUGGCACUAGAAUUUAUAUAUUUUGUGAAAUAAAUAUUAUUUCAUUUGUUACUAAAUUUGCCUAUGAGAAAUGAGAACAGAUAAUAAUAAACUCAUGAAUAAAAGUGCAAAGCAUUUGAAAUGAAGGUUGAUCUAUGACGAUUGUGGGUGACUGAAGAAAAAGGUAGAAAGAAAGAAGGAUGUGGCAAUUGCUUAGCAAGCAGAUAGCAGAGUACAUGCUUUGCUUUGCUUCCUUCCACUAUAUUUCUUAUUUAUUUAUUUUGGGUUGUGUAUGAGAUGACAAUAAUUGUCAUGUGUGUGAAGUGCAGAACUUGCCUACAUUGCACUCACACGAGUAUGGAUGCAUAAAUAAAACACGUGAAAUUGUUUGUAAUUCACAUAAUCAUUGCAUUAACAGGUAUUUGCACAAAAAUUGUCAUAUUGCUUUGAUGAUGUUAAAGGCUGUGAUGAGUAAUCCCUAUGCUCAUGUACUUUGUAAAAGUUGUAAUGUGCCUGGUUGACUAGUUGUGAUUGUGCAAAUACGUGGUAGUAUAUAUGUUCACGUUAUUUCACAUUGUAUUUGAGGAAAUGGGAUCCAACGUGGAGCUGGUAUGGCCAGAGGCAGAGGUAUAUUCGUCACGGGUGAACAACUGCUCACAUGCAAAUUCAUCUCUAGCUGCAAUUCGAGCGAAGUUGAGUGCGGAACAAUUAGAACAAUUCAAGACAUCAUGCUUUGGCCAUCUUCUGAAUAUAGAUAAGAUUCAGUUUAGCGGGCAGAUUGUGCAUGGGGUUGUGUUGCGUAGAGUAGCGGGGCAGGGUGUGAAAGACUUGGAUGGACUGAGUUUCUUAUUAGGGUGUGACGUUGCUCAGUUCACUCGUCAGGAUUUCUGUUUGAUCACAGGGCUUCGUUUUGGGGAAGUGCCUGAAGUUUCCAGUGGAGAGAGUGAUGAAAUCAGACUUCAGAAAAGAUAUUUUAUAGACGAAGGAAUUACAUGCAAUGCUUUAGAAGAAGCAUUUGUGAGGUGCACAGAGGAAGAUGACAUCUACAAGCAAGCUCUUGUUUACUUUGCUGAGUUAGUGGUUUUGGGAAGGGACAAACAUUUGAACAUCAAUCUAAAUUACCUGACCCUUGUAGAGGACUUGGAUGCGUUCAACAGGUAUCCGUGGGGUUCGGUGUCCUUUGACAAAACCCAAGACAGUCUAUUUUCUGCACCAACAAAGUAUGUGAAAAGCUUGGAAAAUGAAGAGGGAAGAGGGAAGGGGAAAAGUAAGGUAACGGGAACAAGCCGGAGAAAUGAGAAGGGCAAGAAGGAUAAGCAUGGUGAAGCGCAAAUGAGUGGCUGGAGUUUUAAAGGUUUCACGUAUGCUUUCCAGGUACAUGGUAAUAAUGUUCAUGUCAGUUAUGUUUUGUUUUUCUUUAAAACAUAAAUAAUGACUUUUGUCCUGUGAAUUGUGUAGAUUUGGGUAUAUGAAUUAAUUCCUAGAAUGGCGGACCUGAAUUACUGCAAGGUUGUUGAUCCGACCGUUGUCCCGCGUAUUUUGCGAUGGAGAACUACUACGUCUGUUCCAGAGAUGAGAAAGUUGAACAAUUAUUUUUUCCAGAGCAAAGAGGUUUGGUUUGCAGCCCUUGGAACUAUUGAUAAGAUUGAAUGAAAUUAUGAAGUAGAAUGAUUUGAUAUGACUCUUGUCUGUAUUCUGAAACAGUCAGUUCAGUUGCGGGCGCUAUGUCCGAGUGAAGAGGAAAUGAGACAGCCAUAUUGGAGUUGGCCACAGGAUCGCCCUGCUGUUGUCUCAGCAGAGUCAAUUCCUUCUUCAUGUGGUGAUCUUGAUGAGUUGAACAAGGUGGUAAGUUGGUUGAGGUCCGAGUUGUUUCAAGUAAAGCGGGAAAAAGACGUCCUUCACUUAAAGGUCAUACGGAUGGAAAAACUGUUGGACCAAUGUUUAGGUCCUCAGUUUGAGCAGGAAGUAAGGAGGGACCUAGCUUUACUGAAACAGAGGACGAAUCGUUGUGUCAUCUCACAUCUAUUUAAGGGAUAUGGGGAAAUGGAUGACAUUCAAUGGGAUGAAGGGCCAAGUAACAGAAAUGAGGGAGAGGAAAAGGAAGAUGAAGGGAUUGAAGGGGGUGAAGGGCCAAAUAAUAGAAAUGAGGGAGCACAUAAGGAAAAGGAGGGGAUUGACGGAGAGGAAAAGGAAGAGGAGGGGAUUGAAGGGGGUGAAGUGCAAGGAAAACCAAGUGAGGUAGAGGAAGGGCAAAGGAAAAGAAGUGAAGGAGAGCAAGUGCAAGUAAAAAGUAGCAAAGGAGAGGAAGCCCAGAGACAGAGCAGUGAGGGAGAGGAAGUGAAAAGAAAAAGCAGUAAGGGAGAGAAACUGCAAAGGAAAAAAAGGGAGGGCAAGGAAGUGAAAACACAAACAAGUGAGGAAAAGGAAGUGCAAAGAAACCAAUGUGAGAAAGAAGAUAAUGAAGUUAUGUUGCUUGGGGGUGACAUUGGCGAGAGCACGGAGGGGACACUGCUUGAGUUUACUGUCGGGGACAUUGAUUUGGAUGAACCUACAGCUGUGCUAUCUCAGUUGAACGUGUGGUUGAAUGAUAAAGGUAAAGCUCUGGCACAAGGGGUCCAAUUACGGAAAAGGAAGAGGAUCAUUCCUUUGUGGAAGAUCAUUGAAGGCAGUGAAUUGGUUCCAAAAAUUGGGGCACAGACAACCGGACUGAAGAUGUUAGACCCAAUGAAGGCGAUUUCGCAUGAUGAUCUGGUGAAAUUGCUGAAACUUUGUUGGGAAUGGCGCCAGGACCCAAAGUAAGUCCCUUGCAAUUAUAAGAUACAAGCAUGACUGUAUAUAAUUUUUUAUAUACAGUGUUCUAAAACUGUUUUAUAUUCAUAGUUUGGUGAUGCAAUUUGGCAACGUGGAAGCUGAGAUUGAAUUCUUCGCUUCCCUCGUGAAAGCUGAUGGUUGGCUGAAAGGAGAUGUAAGUGUAAUUGAUUAUGCAUUUGUUUUAAUGUACAUACAUUAUGAGAUUGACAAGAAAAACAUGUUGCAGCACAUUGAUUUGGGGUUGUAUCUCAUCCGGAAGCGACAACAACAGUUGGAGACAGAUUCGGUAGAAGUAGCGGACUGGACAACGACCGAUGUUUUUUUUAUGGUAUGUCAUCGGCCUUGACCAAGUGCCGUUAAUAAUUACACAUUUUCCAUACACACACUAGUGGAGGUGUUUAACCAUUGAUUGUUUUGUAUUUCACAGAAUCACAUUCGUACUUGCUUUGCGGAUAAUAAAAGAAAAAAACAGCAGCUUGGGUGGAAAAUCAGGAAAAGUUUACUAACCGUUGUAAAUGGGAAGGUUCCUCCGUGUGGGUUGGAUUGGCAGACCGUCUAUAAGGUGUAUACCCCAUUUAUGUUGACGAAGUACAAGCAUUGGGUGGCUGUAAUGAUUGAUCUGGUAUUGUGUGAAAUCAAAGUGUACGAUUCAAAGGUUUCACUAAUUCCAGAUGACAUCGUAAAGGAAGAACUCGGCCCGCUAUCAAUUACGCUUCCAAAUCUUCUCAACACCAUCGACUUUUAUGAAAAAGGUGUUUAUGCAAACAAUUGCAGCCAAGAUUAGUGGUGUCCGUGGCCAAUAGAGCGUGUGGAUGUUCCACAACAGUCUAAUGAGUAAGCACAACUUGCAAUUUAAUUUUAUUACUUUCAAUUGUCAAUUACGUUAGAAUGUCAUUAGUUGAAUUGAUCGAGUUCUUGUUUUGCUUCAGAGGCGAUUGUGGCAUGUUUGUGUUAAAGUACAUUGAGCUUUUCAGCGCUGAGCUUCCGUUAGCUACUUGCACCUCGCACAACAUGCCUUUUUUUCGGUUGAAAUUGGCUGCGGAGAUAACAAGGGGAGAUGCUUACUUCCCAUGAUAUUGGUUGAAGAUGACAAAUGGUACAUGAGAAGGUUUUGGGAAUGUCCAUUCUCAAACUAAUGUAAAUACACAAUAGAGAAGUACGGGUCCUUAUCGAAUUCUACCGCUAACUCCUUCAUGACAUUUACAUGUUUGUUAACCAAACUGCAUUGAAUUGGAAUUUUAAGACUGCAUAUGUGAAUUGGGAUUUGAAGAUGGCUUUUUAAGUGUAUUACAUCAUUGCAAAGUGAUAUGUCAUUGUUGAUGCAAGCCACCAUUAAUCGCAAUGUGUUGCAUCAUAAUAGGUGUCUAAACAUGCGAAAGGUUUUCCGCAGCUCAGUAGCAUAAAAGUAGAAACAAAGACAAUAUACACAAAAUGAACAACAAUUCACAAAUGCACCGACAAGCAAUACACACACAACAGACAAACAAUAUACACAAACUUGGCCUGCCAUAUACAGAGAAUAGACAUGCAAUAUACACACAGUAGACAUGCAAUAUACACACAAUAGACAUGCAAUAUACACACAAUACUCCCUUAACACACACAAUAGACAUGCCCUUGCCCACAAUAAUGAUGCAAUAUACUUCAGUCCCCAAGUACACCAACCAUAGGGAAGUCGUAUUGAAUAGGAUAUUAAACUUAACAGUUGUUCUUCCUACUAAAAGAAAGAAUAAGGUUCGUUUCCCCCCUUCAUUCUUACUUGAGUGAUACUUGUGGCCCCAAUAAACAUCCAAUUUUGGGGCAAUGAUAUUCCAUAUACAUGCAGCAAACUAUCAAUAAACCUUCAAUAAACCUUCAAUAAACAUUCAAUAUCGUUUCUAUAACAUGCGAAAUACAUGCAGUUACCAAAUAUUACAAAAUGGGUUUAGGGUCUCAUUGGUGGUGCGUGCAACAUGUCUUGUGCGGGAGAACUUUCACAAUCUUUUAAACCGUGCAGUUAAAUGAUCAUUAAAAGAACAAAUAAAAUGACAAUUGAUACAACUAAUAAAACUAAUACCAAGUCCUUAAUGGACUUCAGCAUGUUCAGCACUCUAGCAUCAUACGUGUCAUCUUGAUGUUCUGCUUCAGCGGAGGUUACAUCAACCCAUUCGAAUCCAUUGCAACUGGUGGCUCCCUAAUUGCAGGCAUCAUAUAUGGAAUAUAAUUCUGUCAGAGUUAGACAUAGGUUUUUUUUCACCCACAUACAUAUUCUUUAAAUUAAAACUUACAUAGGAGGUUAGACACUUCCAGAAUGGCUUCCCUCGAUUUUUGUCAGAUUUUGAAACCCGAAGCACCAUUGUAGCUCCACAAUACUGACACCUCUUUGUUUGAGCGGGAGAUGAAGAUGAAGACAUGUUUAAUCUUCUCAGUUGUACCUCUUCUCACUCAGAUCUUCUCACUGAAACCUCUUCGGACUCAUACCUUCUCACUCAUAGUUGUCAUUCAUACCACUUCACUCAUAACCCUAAACUUGUCACUCAGCUCUCUCUCAUCUCUGCCCAAAUCGAGUUAUAUUUCUUUUUUUUGGGAUCAUUUGGUGGGUUGGUCACGAUGUCGACACCUGUACCGUCAGCAUUGUGACAUCUUUUAGCCCGAAAAGCAAUAUAAACUACUUCACUACCAAAUAUAUUUUCUGAAUAAUGACGGGACACUGCUUCAAUUUUAUUAAUUUAUUUAUAUUUCAUUAAGGCAACUAGUUGGAUAAGAAUCCGUCAUUAUUGGUUCCAUUUUAAUAACAUUACUAGGGGUAAUUGGGUGUGGGAAAAUGAAAAAGUAUAUGAUGGGACCUUCUGUCACUAGUCAGUAAUCCAUCACAUUUGUAUCAAUGAAUUUGAUAGUGGGAUAAACCCAAAAAUGGCUAUGCAAAUAGCCAUUUAAUUAACUUUUUGACUGUCUGACUCUGUAUGCACCGUUAUGACGUUUUCCCUUCUUUUGUCUUAAGUUUUAAUUCACUGGGGUUCAGUUUCUUUCAAAAGGGUCAACUUGGAAAAACCCCAACUGGAAACACCUUUUCAAAACACUAUAAACAGAGGCUAAAACAAAACGUGUACCCCAAAUAUUAUCAUUUAUCCCCUCUGCCACUCCUCAAAUCGUUCCAUUCCAAAAACUUUUCAAUGAAUUCGAAACACUUCACUACAGUCGGAGGAAAGAGAAGGAAGCAUGUCCAUUUCGAUAUGCCCGAAGCCUUCAUCCCGGAGUCCGCUUGGUUUCAAGUCAUGUUAUACGUGGCAACCGAAUCAUCGGAAGAUCUCUUCCGUAUGGCAUCUGUGUGACGAUUGUUCCGAACUUUGGCAAACAGUUCACAAGUGUGGAACACCAUUUCAAUGGCAAAGUACCCAGACCAUCCUAUAUGGUACCGUGCCAGACCUGCGGUCCAGCAUUUCUUGCAACAAUGCAGGGCUUGCGAUAACCCUGAGUCCAUAUUUAGAGAAGCAUUCGAAGGUUUUUUCAGGCACGGUAAGGUGGAAGCGUUGUAUGGGAUGCGCAUUGCAGCCACGGCAGGCCAUAUGGAAGCGGCAUAUGUAGUUGGACUACUUGGUAUGUCCGGAAUUGGUCAGUCAAAAGAGGAUGCAUUACAAUUCUUGUGUUCUUUGAAUCAACGUAACAACAUUGAUAUGAAAGGAACCAGGGAUGCUUUGACAGGAAGAUUUCACGGAGCAUUUGUUGCAAGACAUAUCGUAGAUAUGUUUGACUAUGGGAAGAUUAAGUUCAAUCGGUGCAGCGCUUGUAACAACAAUGAAUGGUAUUUUGUUAUUCCAGGCUGGCCUAGUGAAGACAAGAUAAAUCCUGCGUUGUGGACUUGUUGCAAUCGAUGCAAAUGGCACCGUGAGAGUAUUUUUUGGUGCAAACUGAUGCGUGAGUAUGUUGUGCGAGGGAAUCACGUAUUUUUGCAUUAGUUUUAGUACGAAUUUACGGUUUUGAUGCAUUGUGGACUUGCUUCUCUUCACUUCUAGGUUGGCUGGCUACGUUAUACCUAUCUCAGUUUAAAUGUUGUUCAAAUGUUGGUAUUUUGUCAUAAACCGUUUUAUAUAUAAAUGUAUAAUAUUUAUUAUAUAGCGGAAUUAUUACUUACAUCAUAGACGGCUAGGAAUGACAUUUUACUGACACAGAUAUUUUGCUCACCGACCCCAAUCUUCAUAUUUGAUAAACGAAAAGUUAUGCAUGGAGUAAAUAGGUGUCUUUUCACCAGUGCUUGGGAAUGACAUUUUCCCACUUAGCAUAUCCGAAAGGAUUUGGUUACACGUUUCUUAACCUAGGGGGUUGAACAGUGAAUGACGUAGACUAUUUUUUGUGUGUGGAAGGAGUACAAUGGAUGACUUGUAUAUUUCCAUAUUAUGUUUCAAAACAUCCCUUCAACCUAAAAAAUAAAAAAAUUAACAAAUUGAAGAACAGAGAAACCGAUGAGCACUACAAAUGGCCUAUUCGCACGGAAAAUAAAAUUGUUUUCAACAAGUUGGACUAAAUAUAAUUAACAAAUGGACAGCCUAAAAAGUAAUAUCAUAAUAAUUAUAAUAAUUGUGGAUAAAUAAUAAUAAAAUACUAAUGUAACAUAACCAUUAAACAGGGAAUGCAGUAGGAAGAUGAAAUCGCAAUAAGUUCGUAGAAAUUUUGGGAUCGUUUUUCUAAUUUUUGUGUAUUUAGUUAUGAAUUUUCCAAGAAAAAAGGUAAUAAAAUAAUAAUUUAGGGUAAAAUGGGAGGAUGUGGCCAUGUUCGGUAACGUACACUUGUGCAAGUAGUCAAAAGUGACGGGCUGAGAUCGCGCCAGGUGUCAUAUUCUUGUUAAUUUUGGAUUCUUUUGUUAAAAAAUCUUUGAAACUAGGUAAUAAAUAGUAGGAAAAUCGUAAAAAUGGCCCAAAAAUUACUCCGGCCUCCUUUUGACGUCCUAAAACUAGGAGAACCUAUAAAUCAUUCGUCUCGCAAUGAAAUAAUCCAAAUUGUGUUACAUAACUCACUUUCCUCUUAACCCUAAGUAUUGAUGUUUGUUAACUUCAACUUGAAUAACCUACUUCAACAAGCAUCUCCCGUUAAUAUUGGGAAUUAAUUUUACAAAUGCGUAACAAUGAAUCGGAGAAUUCAGCAACGGAGAUGGAGUGUCAAUGAGUUCGUAGCAAUUUUCGGAUAAUUUUUUUAUUUUGUGUGUAAUUAGUUCUGAUUUUUGUAAGGAAAAGUAAUAAAAUAAUAAUUUAGGGUAAAAUGGGAGGGUGUGGCCAUGUUGACUGACGUACACUUGUGCAAGUAGUCAUCAGUGACGGGCUGAGAUCGCGCCAGGUGUCCUUUUGCUAUUAUUUUGGCUUUUUUAGUGCAACAAUCUGUGGACAUAGGUAAUAAAUUCUACGAAAAUCCAAAAAAUGCCCGGAAAAUGAGAAAAUGAAAAUUAUUUGUACAUAACUCACUUUCCUCUUAACCCAAAUUCACGUUAACACGUAUAUUUCGGAUAAUAUUCGAAAUAUAAUUUCUAAUAAUACAAUAUUUAGUUUCACUAUAUACAAUAAUAUGUUUUUUUUAUAAUAAUGUACAUAAAUAAUAAUUGCACAUGCUUUGAAGCCAUCAUUGCAACUACGCCUAGAGCUUUGAAGACGUCAGUUCGUAUUCAAUAAGUUGUCCACAUGCAACUGCACCUAGAGUUUUCAACACGUCAGAGGUAUUCAAUAAGUUGUCCACAUGCAACUGCACCUAGAGUUAUUAACACGUCACAGGUAUUCAAUAAGUUGUCCAUAUGACGCCGCAUUGGGAAUCAGUAAUAUAUUUUCAAUCAUGUCAAAUCACAUAAAUAAUGCCAUACUUUUUCUCAAUAACCUCACACAAGUGAAGCAAUUUUAAAACCCUUAGUGAAUAUUUAUCCUAGUCUAUAUGAGUGAUUAUAUAAUCAGUUGCAUAAUAUUUUUUUCACAGUAUAUGUUAACUUUGAGAGGGAUUCCACAAACAUAAAAUAUAAAGAAAGCAAGAAAUAGUAGGAAAUGAACCAGUACAAAAAACAAUAUAUAAAGUGUACAUAAUAAUUCCAUAACCUUGUCACAAACGCACUCACAAAAGCUUUUCCAUAAACCUUGUCCUAACAUAUAAUAAAUAAAGGCAACAUUGCAUAUGAUGCAACCAUGUCCAAAUCUGAUAAGUGAUCAAAAACAAAUGGACAUGGCAGCAACAUAUGAUUGAAGUAGAUGGGCUCUUUGCAUCUUCUGUUUUCGUAAUUAAAGACAUCAAAAUAUUAAGGUUUAAAUCUUCCAUAGUAGUUAGCAUCAAAAUAGCUUUGAAGCAGAGUGUAACGAAAAUUCCAAUUCCACUUAUUUGCCUCUGCUCAAACACGAGAACCAAAAUGGUUACUUCCCUUGCUGAGUAUAUUUGGUGACGUCGGAAACGGUAAUAGAUGACCAAUCAAACCCGGGUACGACGAGUUUUGCAUAGGAUCGGAAGUAGUCGAAUCCAGCUUGCAUCACACGCUUCUUUGACUCCACUACAUUAGAUGAGUUCUUGUAUUUUUGAACAGCUACACUCUGAAGUCGUUUGUGUCUACGCUUCAUGCGCUGCAACUUCGCCCUAUCCAGAUUGGCCUGCCUUUUGUCAUCUUCAAUUUGGCCUUCCACAAAUUCCAAACGUGCCCUUGCCCUUUGGAUUUCAUCACCAAGUUGAAGAUGCCUCUCCUUCCAAAAAGCAACAACUCUUUCAGACUCAAAACUUCCAACAAAAUGGUCAUUCUGUCUAGCAAUGUGACAUUGCUUGUCUGGUGACUCACUUGCGUGUCGAAGCCGGUCUUUGUUUGGAGGGGUGUUUAUUAUACUCACAUCAAACUUGGUUGUGCUUAUGCUCAUUCUUUGGGGGGAAUGAGUUUGUUUGCUUGAGAGAGUAUCGGUAGAUGGAGACAGAUUCGGUGGAGGAGUGAGUUUUGUGUGGAAGGAGAUUUUAUAUGAAAGGGGUGAUAGUAAUACCAAGAAAAGGGUUCCCGCCAAAAAAUAUUUGGUUGACAAAGUAGAAAUUAUUUUUUUAGUCUGAUACAAUCUAAGUUUAAUCCUAACUAGUUUGGUUGAGUUAACUAAGUAGAUGUCACUUCCAUUGACUUUCUUUCAACAACUAUCAGUGGUGUAAGGAGAGUGUGAGGUUGACAUGCUUGAAAAGCAAAAGCUGACACCUAUUUUUAAAAAAUUCCCGCCAAAAAGUACAUAUGUUGACUACACACAAGCUUUGGUAUGUUGGUCUAUAAACCUAUGUUCCCUUUCUCAAACGAAAUUGCAUAUGCAAUCCUCAUCCUCCCAAAACAAAGAGGAUUAUUCAAGCAUGUCAACCUCUUCAGGCGCCAACAACACAAUCGAACAUGACAAAUUGGAGUCACAGGUUCUAUUUCCACAUUGUACUCGCCGACCCCUUCCUUUUUCAACAUCAUUUGGGAGUGAGGGGGACUCCGAUGAUCCAUUAGAGGCAAUACAUGCAGUCAGUGGCAAGCUGGAUUAUAAUUCCAGACUGAUCAAUUCAUGGCACGAGAAAUGUGUUGAAGACGAGGCAAUUUUGGCUGAUCUUAACAUUAGGGUGAGCAAAGCGUUAUCCCAAAAGAACAAGUACUUGAAGCUGAGUCAUAGCAGGAAGCUGAAAGCUGAGGAGUUGGAUACAGUAAUGAAUGAUGAAAUGAAAGGUUGUUUGAUGAACCAUAUGCGAUGCGAACAGCACCAUACUGAACUGGAGUUGGCAUUCAACGAAGGAUUCGACAAAUUCCGAGCAUUUGCGGCAACUACUCAUACAAGUUAUGAUUGGAACUAUGUGUCCCCUGAUGCUGUGAGAGAGAUACUAGACGAUGGGGGUGACAUGAAUGAGCAUAAGCACGUCAAAGCUGCUCGGAAGAAGCCGACCGAUACGACUAAGUGAUUGCGGCUACCGCUGUUCAGUUAGUUGAGGGUGACCGUGGUAUUGCACAUAUACUCCCUUAAUGUCAUUAUCUAACUUAAAAUAACACAAAUAUCAGUUUCAUUUGCUUGAUAUAUAAUUAUUGGGACUAUGUAUUGCAAGUCAUCAUGUGUUAUAAUGUCUAACAUUAUAUUUUGCAAAUAUGGAAAUAUUAUUCAAGAAGCAGUCAAUAUCACAGAAAGCCGGGAAUCAGUAAAUGCUCCUUAUCAUGUCCAUUUACAUUAAAGAGCUGGAGUACUAAUGUGUUCAAAAAAAACUGACACGUGAGUCAUAAGUAACAUAACAUGUGCUAUACAUUGUUUACUGAAUGGUUUAUGGUUUAUUUGUAUAUAAUAAAAUUUCAAAUAUUGCUGAAGAUUUAUUUCGUGUAUAUCACUAGGGAUAUGAGUGGCCAUAAGCAUGUGAGACCUGCUAAGAAGAAGCUGACGAGUACGACCCAGUGAUUGGCUACCGUUGUUCAGUUGGUUGGGGAGAUCGUGGUAUUGCUAUGAGGAAGCACACAAUAUGUUUUGCAAUCAAAUGUUCUUUUGUGUGUGGAAUUAUGAGUAUUUAUGUAAGUUAGUGUACCCUUUAAUAUUUUUCACCUAAGUAUCGAAAUGCAGUUUUUGAAUGUUAUGUUUUUUUUUACCCGCUGCUUUCUAUUUGCUCUGUUCCAACAAAGUGCUUCAAGUAUCCUUCACUUACAAAAGUGUACAAAAUCGUGCCCCUAAUAACCAGUCGGAAAAAGUGGCUACUGCUGGAAAUGAUUACUGGUAAUGGAAACAACAGCUGGCUGCUGUAAUUGCUGCAUUACCGUGAGGAUUUGAAAAAUGAAUCUCUGUUAAAACAAAUUUCACCCUAAACUGCCCAUUUUACAUGGUAAAAGUCAUUGCUUCUUCAAAUCUUUUGCAGCUACACGAUGCGUGGUCAGAAUCUUUGACAUAUACGACUUCUGCCACUCUUGUUUCCCAAUUUUUUCUUUCGCUCACGUUGAACACAACUUUACAAGCAUCCUCUGUUUUGAGCUCUAGGAAACAUGCUGUACUUUGUAUUAGUUCUUGCUCAAACUUUUGAAACAUUGUCCUUGUGUACAAGGUAGCCAUUUGUUUGUUCAUUGGCAUCGGUAGAAGACAUUGAGCCACUUCAAAUGCAUCUGCGUGAUCAGCAACUAACUCUUUUUCACGUUGAUGAGAAAGUGCCCUCUCAAAUCGUAUUAUGAAAUCCAUCAACGAAUUUCUCCUUGAUAUGUAUUGCUUGAAAAAACCAUGAGAACCUUCCGCUCUUUGGCUGCUUGACAUUCCAGCGGCAAAAAAUUGUCGUGCGUAGGCUGGAACCCAAGAUUCCCUUAAAUCAAACAUUGAACUUAGCCAUGGAUGGUCAGUCAAACCAGCCUUUGUAACCACAAUAUUCCAUUUUGCAUCAAACUCAUCCUUAUUGUCAGUAUCCCAUAUGGCUUUCUGAAAUUCAGGCCAAUACUCCUUAUAAGCGUCACGUGGUAACUUAACAGAGAACUUUGAUGUGAUGUGCUAUAUGCAAAGUCGAUGAAAUGUACUCGGGAAGGCUAUUGAAAUCGCUAUGGCCAUUGCCGCAUCUUGAUCUGUAAUGAUCGUUUUAGGUUCCCCACCUGGCAUGGCUUUCUUAAACUCCUCAAACAUCCAAACAAACGACUCAGUCGUUUCCUUGCUCAAAAAUGUGCAUGCUAACACAAUUGUCUGACCAUGGUUAUUAACUCCCAACAUUGGUGCAAAUGUCAAGUCGUAUCGAUUCGUGUUGAAUGUGGUAUCAAAUACAACAACAUCUCCAUAAAACCCAUACGCCCGUCUAGAAGUUGCAUCUGCCCAAAAACAUCGACUAAACCUAUCAUGCCCAUCUCCCUCAAUCUUGAAAUAAAAAGCCUCAUUUUUUUUCUGUUCAGCCAUAAAAUACUCGGUCACUAGUUCAACAUCGUGGUUCCUCAGCUUCCCAAUCACACUACAUUCAAGAUUGUAGAUAUCUUUUUUGAUAAAACCGAUUUUAUCCAUUCCUCCGGAUUGCACCUCGAAAAUACUUACCUUCUGAUGAAUGGGAAUAUUAACUGAACCCAACUGUUUUGUGAGUACUUUUGUAGAAUCUGAAAUAUGACGGUGUGAUCUCAAUAAAUGCAUUCUUUCUAAGGGUGUCAUCUUAUGAUUGUGUCCCUCUGCAAAAAGAGAAAUGUUAUACUUGUUGCUCCCAUUUGUCUUCACAACCACAAUCUUUGCUUUGCAAUUGCAUCUACUUAUUCCCCGUUGUCUUUUUCUCUCCCGAGUUUCAUCCUUCCUGUAUGCACCUUGUUUGCAACAUACAAAUUCUUUCCUCAAAAUCUCUUUCUUAUUUUUCCCCCAAAAGCUAGAAUGAAGUCGAAUACCAAAGCCAGCCAAGAAUGCAUAUCUAUUAUAGAAAUUGUAAACGAGGUCAAGCGAGUCAAACUUCAUCCCAACUGCUGGUGUUUCCUCAUUUCUUACUUCAGGAAUAUAAACCCUCCCAUUAGCUGUUGCACAUUCAUCACUCUCUGAGCCCCCAGACAUUUUAUCUACGUAUAUUAUUGAUCCACUUCUAUAUUACUGCAUAGCAAUUAUUCAUUCAUUAAUCAGUCAUUACUGCAUCACAACAUAUCAAUGCAUUCCACUUACACAAAACAUUGCCCAAAUUGACACAAAAUACGCAUAGCCUAACUUCCGAUUACACAAAACACAAGCAAAAUUUCAUAAAAGUUACGUCAUCUCUUGUGAAAUAAUCUGGUCAAAAUAACAUUAGAACCAACAUGUUCAACUAAGAACACAAAUGUAAUUCAAACCACCAAUUACAGAACUUCACCCAAUAUCCUCUCCAACUGCUUACUCCUAAUGUCAUUAAGCCUAAGUUUAGGUUCUUUUACCUACAUUUCAUAAUUUUUCACCCCGACCAACAACAAUGAACUAAGUAUAUUGAAUAUUCACAAGGAAAUGACACAUUAUUGAUGCCACAAAUGACGAAUUUCCCACCCUCACAAAAAAUAAACCUAACCCAAUAAAAUCAAUCCAGCAAGUGAACUUACCUCUCAAAAUCAAUCGAGAGCUCUGAAGUCAGUCAGCUUGAAAGAAUGUGGUGGACAUUAGAGAAGACUCUUUGGUAUUUGAGACUCCAUCUCUAUCAAAAUCGAGGAACAACUGCUGCUGCGGCUUCUAGCUACAAAAACAGAUAUGCUACUUUGCUUUCAUCUAGAAUCUUGUCAGCUGAAUGAAAAAGAGAAGGGGUUUUCACUUGAGCCAUAGAAUCAAAACAGGGCAACAGCUAGGUAAGAGCCAUUCUUCGUAAUACCCAGGAUACCAUAGAUCGCAGGCCUCCCAACGAGCUAAUGACAGUGGAGUGACUAUAAGGUUUGGGAGAUUUGGAUCCUUCUAAUUGUGGGUUUGCUUUACAUUCAAAAAGAAAGGAUUGUGUUCUUCAGUUUUUCACAGAGAGGGAAAGAGGGGAACAACUGAAGUUGGGUUUCUAACGGGUUAGAUUUCAACCCGAUUCUACAUGCACCCUCUUUUAAAAACUCACCGUUGGAUGAAAUCCAACGGCUCUUACAUACCCCUCAAAAACACCCCUUAUAACUUCCCACUCACUAUAGAAGCUCCCCCAACUAAAUCCCAAAAGGGAAACAGAUUUGAACAACAUACAAAUUUGAAGGACACACAAAUAUGAAUCUCAGCACCGGUGAGAAAUUAAUUUUAGUUGAGGUUGGUAGGUAGGCAUUGGAAGUUUUUAUUGUUUUUGCUCCAAGUCCCUCCUCCACUCACUAAUACAGAUUACUCGCAAAUGAACUAAAGUCUGCAGGGAUAUAUGGACUCCCCUGUCCAUACGAAUGUUGGAAGAAAUGUGUGUUAAAUUUUAGAGAGACGGGUCUGUGACCCACCACUAGCAACGUUGAUAUUGUCUCCAACUUAACUACAUGUUUAGUAGAUGUGGGGUUUUAUACAAAAAGUAUUGAUGUUAUUGGGAAUGGAACCACUUAUUAUAAGUUAAAAUUUAUUUAGUCAAGUUUCCUAUGUGGGACUUUCUAUUCUUCAACAAGCCCCUUCAUGUGGGACCACCACAUAGUGGGCCACACGUAGAGCCAAGUCCACAUCGGAGUCAAUCAUUCAAGCCCAAUACCUAAACACCACGUAUUGUGUGAGGGGUAGGGGUAAACAUUCAAGCCCAACAUAUGAACACUGUAACAUCCCAACUCCAAAUUUAAUCCCUUAUUUAAAUUAUUUAAGUGAAAUUACAAAUUUACCCUUGGGGUAGGGAUAUUUUGGUCAUUUUCUUACCCGAAAAGAGUUUGGGGCAGUGACUAGUAUUUUUUGGUAGAUCGUACUGAGAUGAGUCUGUAGACAUGUAGUGGGCUCGAUUCGGAGUUGAAACGAAGAAGUUACGAGCAAAACAUCACCAAUGGCAAAACCGUAAAUAUUUCAAAAUGAAUUUUUAAUAAAAAAAACCUGAAAAACCCUCUCUCUCUCUCUCUCUCUCUCUCUCUCUCUCUCUCUCUCCUGCGCACAGCCCCUUUCCCCCCUUCGUUUUUUCUUUCCGUGGCUUCCAAGAGCCACCAUCGCCACCACGAAUCACCACCGGCCAUGAGGCCGGACUCGUUCGAACUGCCGCCGCAUCCUCUUCCUGUUCCGGUCGCUCCCAGUCGCUGCCAUCCGCUGUGCUGGCCGGAAAUCGAAGAAAACCAGCCGAUUUUUGUCAAACUUUCGGCCGCUCGUUCUCCCACUUCCGGCCACCAUUUUGGCCAUCCAGGUAUAGAUUUUGAACCUCUCGAGCUGUUCUUGCUGCCUGUUGUGUUAGAUUUGGGAGAUUUCCGCGUUUUGAAGGUCGAUUAAACGAUGGAAGUUUGGCUGGUUUUUGGCCUCCGAUUCCGGCCACUUUCGGUCACUUUUUGGGGUAGGUCCAAGAACAAAAGUGGUUCCAAAUAGGGUGUUAUACCUAGGGUAGGAGUCUUGAGCCGUGGUUUUGAGAUUUCUCGGUGAUGCGUAAUCGCUUUGGACACCCAUACGCUACCGGCGCGUGUGGUGGCGCGUGGGCACUGUAGAAAUGGGGUAUUGUGUCCCGAUGCGAUCCCCUUGUUGUCACGAGUGUGUAGUGUGCUCGGAUUCCAAUUUGGUUGACAUUCGAACCCCGAACGAAUUUCUCCUAUUGCACGUUAUCCGCGUUUGAUAGGUUUGAACCGUUGGAUAGUCUUGAAUUUAAUAUAUUUAAUCUAAGCAUUUCUAGGAUCGUGUAGGAAUUCACGGAUCAUGAAUCGGAACCCCGGAUGUUCCGAUUUAAUAAUUUAAAGUUUAUGUUUAUAUUAACUGUCAGAUCGUGCAAUCGUGAGCGAUCCGACCUUCCGAUCCGGACCAAACGUGCAGGACGUAUAUCCUAAACCUUGUGGAACCUAUAGGAACUUUCGAAUCAGAAUUUAGAGGUCGUGGGCCUAGUGGCCCCGUUUGACCAAGUGUGGAUAGUUUGACCCUUGGUUGACCUUGAGUCUUCCAAGGUAGUUUUCCUUCCUAGAAGGAUUAUAAUGACCCUAAUGACAGGUCUUGAGCGUUGUUGAGCCAUGUUGACUAGGUUAAGAUUUUUAGAGUGUUUAUUAUUGUCGUAGGAAACUCUUGGACAUUAUUUUAAUAAUUGGAAUUAUAAAAGUGAGUUUUGGGUUCGGCUAUGACUUUAGUGAAUGGACUUUAUUUUUAAAUGAAUAGCAUGGCUUUGUGAUGGAAUUUUUAGGCAUGUGAAUUUAAUGGUUUAUUGAAAUUCAUUUUUAUAAUUAAUAGUUAAUUUAGCAGUUUUGGUAAAGUAUUAGUGAUGUGUGGGGUACUUGGGAUUUUGUUGAGGUUUAUACAAUAUUAGAGAUUAACUUAUAUAUUUAAAUAUAGGUAUGAAUGUAUGAAAAGAGUUUAGAAUGUCAGUUUGAAGUACUAUACGCACUACCCUAGGUACCUCAUCGGAUUUUGAUUACACUAUAAGUACCACCCUGUGAUUGUCAGGUCACCCAUGGCGUAGGAUUUUCCGGCGGAAUGACAGACCCCAUACGUGACGUUGGAAUUUCCGGCGUAUGGGGAGAUGAUAUUAUGAUUGUUAAGUCACACGUGGCAUAGGUUAUCCGGAGUGCUGACAGACCCCAUAUGUGGCGUUGGAAUUUCCGGCAUAUGAGGAGAUUAUGUGAUUGUUAAGUCCCACGUGGCGUAGGUUAUCCGGCGGGAUGAUAGACCCCAUACGUGGGGUUGGAAUUUUCGGUGUAUGGGGAGAUGAUAUAAUGGUUAGGUCACAUGUGGCGUAGGAUUUUCCGGCUUGAUGACAGACCCCAUACGUGGCAUUGGAAUUUCUGGCAUAUGGGAGAUUAUGUGGUUAUUAGAGAGAUGAAUUAAGAUUAUUAUACUGAGUUGGGAACGAAUGAUGUUUGAAAAAGAUUUUGUUUGGGAUUUCUGCAAUUGAUUGCAUGUUGAUGGACUUGGAAAUUUUGUAUGAAAGAACUACGUGUGGCUUGAUCCCUUAGUAAGGGUACAUAUGCAGCUUAGGGUAGUGCCUAGGUGCAGCCGUGUGCUAAACUUUACUCAUGUUGUGUGAUGGAGAUUCGUUCGGACCUUGUUGUUAGUCCUGAAUUUUAGGUGAAAAUGAGAUGCAGUCUUGUUAGGAGGUUUAAAUUUUCUACGUUUAAUAUUUGGGAAUUUAGAUGAUGGAAAUCGCAUUUGGCGUUCAUAAAUGUGUUUGAGUUUAUAUUUGCAUUGUUUAGAGUUAGUUGGUGGUUUCGUUUCGAAUUAUUUGAAGGCCGAAGGCUGAUUAUGUGAUUUAUAUGAAAUUAUCUUGUGCAUACUGCCAGUUGUGAAUAUCAAAUGUGUUUUAUGCACGUUGAAAUUUUUAGGAUUGUUCAACUUACAGGGGAGACUGCCGAAAUUUCGGCAUAAAAUCUCGUGCCCUUAUUCCUUAUUGGGAAAAAUGAUUUAGUUUUAGAAGUGGGUUCGACAUCGGGGUGAUGUCGGGAAUUUUCACAGGAUUCAUCUCGGGUUUCGGGAAAUUCGGGUCGGGUCCUGUCAAACACCACGUAUUAGGUAAGGGUAAAGGCUCAAUUCAGGCCCAGUCAAUCAACCCAUUAUGAUAUCAUGUUAAAUUUCAGAUAGACGGGCCUGUGGCCCACCACUAGUAACAUUGAUAUUGUCCCCAACUUAACUACAUGUUUAGUAGGUGUGGAGUUCUAUACAAAAGAUCUCGAUGUUUUUAGGAGUGAAACCACUUAUUAUAAGUUGUAAUUUAUUUAGUCAAGUUUCCAGUCAACCUGACUUUGAUACCAUGUUAAGAUUUUAAAGGGACGAACUCUUGGCCCACCAUUAGCAAUAUCGACAUUGUCCCCAACUUAACCACCUGUUUAACAAGUGUGGGGUUUUAUCCUAAAGAACUCGAUCUUAUUAAGAGUGGAGCCAUUUAUUAUAUGAAACUUUCUAUUUUGUUAACUCUGUGUAUUCUUCAUCAAUGUGAACACCCCUAAACCAAUCAUACCUGAUACGGAUUGAAACACAAGUUUGUUUUUUGCCUUUGGUAGAUGAGUAGCUAGAAAAGCUCAAUGCACUUGCUCUUCUUCUGCUACAUUUCAAUAUAAGAACAAGGUUUGGAAGCCAGGUCAACUCCUCAUAGUUUCCUUGCCUUUGCUUUGACAUGUCUAUGCACUUCUUGGGGAAGUUUGAAUAAUCAAUUGCAGGCCCCACGACAACUAAGGAACCAACAUUUUGUAGAAGGUUUUGUCUACACCUUUUGACUAUAAGUAAAAUCUUUUGUAUCUGCUCUUAUGUUUCGGUGAAGUUUCUAUGUGUCCUUUGUUGAACGAAAAAAUGAGGUUGUUUCUUACUAGAUUCAAAUACUUAAAAGAAAAAAAGAAAUUAUUGUUUCUUAAUUGAUUUUAUGGUGAACAAUAUCAAACUCUCCUCUUAUACGUCUUCUUCGUUGGACUUGGGGUUGUUUUCCUUAUAUGUCCCUUAUAUAUAUAGGGCCUUUGGUUGAGCCCACAAAUACCUUCAGUUAGUUUUUGGGUUUAGGGGCCUACAGAACCUGCACUAAACAAUAAAAGAAAAUACCUAAUUAGUUUAGUACGAAUUCUAUAAUGAAGGCUUUAUUAGGUAAGAUUUUAUUUCUUAAUCGUUAGAUCAAAUUUGACAGGACCCGUUCCUGAAUUUCUCGGAAAUCAGAGCGAACCCCGUCCUUGUUUCGACAUCACCCCGAUGCAGGGUCCACUUACUAAAAACCGAGACUUUCUACCAAAAUUUUGAUAGAAUCUCCCUUGUAAAUUGAGCAAACCCAACAAAAAUUUCAGCCUGCAACAUACAUAAAAAUAAUCCCAACCAGCAGCAUGCUUACAACAUACAACAAAACGUACUAAAUGGCCUCCGGCCUCACAAGUAAAAUUUAACAUGGGUAAUCUACUGAUGUAAACGAUUCGGCCUUCGAACACUGCUUGCAACCUUCCUGAAGCGACUACUGGCUAAGGGGCGCAAAACAGAAAACAUGUGAGUGGACAAAAACAAGAUUCAAUUAAAACAACAUAGUAACCCCACCGUGUAAAAAUAAUGCUCAAGACAUGUAGGUUUACAAUUCAUAAUUAAAUAUUCAAAAACAAAUUUCAUUUAAAAUUCUUUAAAACCACAAAUCACUCCAUCCAUAAAACCUCAUGCCCACAAUUUUACUGCUCCUACCAACCCACUGUAUAGACUCUAAUUUCUUCACAAUCACAACUAUAUAUAAAUAUAUAAAUUGUAUCAUACAACAUACUCCUCACACUACUUAGGUACAGGGGAAACAAUCCAACCGGAGGAUCGUUUAACUAGCCCGCAGGAUUUUCAGGUGCUAUCCUGAGUCUAGGAAUGAGUGGUCCAACCAGGGGACGAAACUCUAUAGCUCACACACCGGAACAUCCAACGCCACGUGUAGCUCCAAUACUAAGUCCUACAGGCACAGACUGGAUCACCACACACCGGAACAUCCAAUGCCAUAUGUGAUAAUCCCAAGCAAUAUACAGAGUCUUCCCAUACGUCGGAACAUCCAACGCCGCGUAUGGAAAGUGUUCACACGCCGGAACAUCCAACGCCACGUGUGGGAAGCCUAUUAACUGGGGAAAGUACUUACAUAGUGUAAUCAUACAAUUUCUCUCAACAACUCCUCAUACUCAAGUUCUUCCACAAACUCACCUCAACAAUCCCAAGUACCCCACCUAUAGACAAUAUAUAUAUAACUUCCCCAAAAUCUAUACAAAACAUACUCUCGAUAUCCAAAUAUGCCAAACUCACAAUAUAUUGCCAAAGUGCAAUACAAACAUCAAAAUCAACACAUGAAUAUAAUAUAUAUUCAAUAUACCAUUUAAAACAUUAUGCGUAAAUCUUUCAUCAAUAAAACCAUGCGUAUGAUUGAAAACAAAGUCCACUCACAAGUAUUCCUACGCUGCUUGACCACGAGAGAGUCCUGCCUGCUGAGUACGUGCAGUAGGAGCACCUAUUUUGAGAUACAAACCUUUAAUUAAUAUAAAAUUACUUCAAAACGGAAAACACAAAUUAAAUACUUAAAUCCCCAAGUUCCCAGUACAUGUACGUUGAACGAGGUAUCCUAAGGUCUAGUUACAAGUUUGGGAAUCGCUCACGAUUGGACGGUUAUCGCUAACCCACAAAUUUUGAAUUAUUGAAUCGGAACAUUCGGGGCUCCGAUUCACGAUCCGUGAAGUCCUACGUGAUCCUAGGAAUACCUAAAACAACAUAUUUUAAUUGGAAAACGCACAAUAUGCGAAAAUCCGUUCGAUAGUCAAACGAUGUCCGAAUUGAGAUUCGCAAAAUGCUACGCACUCGUGACAACCUGAGGAUCUCAUCAGGACAAAGUGCAACUUCACCACCCUCACCCACGCGCCGGCAGCGCGUGGGUGUGUAGAGUAAAUUCCGGCGAUGGAAAAACUCCACACCUACUUGAGGUCAGGAUCUCAUCACUCAACUACAGGGAGGUUCAAUUAGGACGGCAACUGGCCGGAAUUUCACUUUGAAAUCCAGCCAAAACUUAGGUUUUCUAAUCGGUUCCUAGACAACAAAUCGAUCUAAACCUAUGCAACAGUCAGCUAGACUAAGGAAAAAGAGGAAGAAACCUCACAUUUUUCACUGGAAUCGGAAGGGAGAGGCGACGGGGCGACGUCGGGAAGACUCGGGUUUGAACCAGUCGAUGCCGUUGACGAUUCUCGCAUUUUUCGGGGGGACUUUGGGUGGUUCGGGUUAGUGGCUUCACGACGAGUCGAACGGGACCGGUCUCGGGGGCUGGGGUGGUCGGGUGUGGUGGCGGUGUGGUGGUUUUCGUCUCGGUGAACAGUAACAGGGGAGGGUUUCGCACGCGCAGAGAGGGACUCGGGAGAGAGAGAGAGAGAGAGAGAGAGAGAGAGAGAGAGAGGAGAGAAAAGAAAAAUUAGAUUUUUACUCUCCUCUUUUCAAAAUAUUUACAAGUUUGCCACUAAUGAUGUUUUGAUCGCCAUUUUCUUGUUACAACUCCGAUUCAAGCCUACCGCAUGUCUAGGAAUUCAUCUCAGUACCACCUACCCAAAAUUACCAGUCAUGGUCCCAAACUCUUCCCGUAACAGAAAAUGACUAAAAUACCCCUACCCCAAGGGUAAAUUCAUAAUUUCACUUAAAUAAAUUAAAAAUAGGAAUCAAAUUUGGAGUCGGGGUGUUACAAAAUUGGUUAGUACGAUCCAACGGUUAAUAGAUAAAACUUUACAUAAAAGUCAUAUAUAAGGCCCUCACUAUAGAAUGACUCGUUAGUUUAGUCUCUUGUUACAUAUCAACUGUUAGAGAUAUUUUUUUAAUAAGGAUCUACCAUACCACAUAGUUGGAUAAGACAUUAUACACAACUUUUGUAAGAGCAUCUCCAGCGAGCCAGGCCAGCCCAAGCAGCAAGGGGCCUUAAGCCCGGUAAGCAGCUCCAGCGCUCAAGAUUCAGCCCAGGCAAGGUGUGGAACCCACAAGGAGAUCUGGCCCGUCACCUUGCCUUUGGGUUUCAGUCAGGCUGAUGUCAACGAAAGAAUUUCAAAAAAAUUUUGCCGUUGCAAUGCACGCGCCAACGAUAAAUUUUCUUUGGAUUUCUUGCGUUGAUCCACAGCUACCAAAAACCAACGGCUACAAGCCACGUGGCUUCUCCAAGAGCCUCUGAUCCAAAAAUCUUGUCAAAUCUAACGGCUGUCCAUUUUUUGGCUAAAAAAAUAUCAAAAAAUUAUGGAAACAUUUUCUAUAAAUACCUACAAAUAUUAUUCACUUCCCACACCAAACCUUCAUACAAAUUCAUAUCCUUUCAAUAUUUUUCACUUUCCACACAAGAUUUUCUACUACUAAAUUUCAUUUGUGUAAAAAUACAAGUGGCCUCUUCUAUCAAAGCCGGAGGCGCGUGGACAACCGUGGAAGAUAUUUUGUUGUGUGAGUGUUGGGUCAAAGUUGGUCAUUGCCCGAUCACCGGCAAUGAGAUGAAGUCCUCUCGUAGGAGUUUCUGACAUCGCAGCGAAAGUAAGAUGUGAUAUGAGAAUGUAAGGAAUUUGAUGAGAGGAAUGGGAUUUGAGGAGUUUGAUGUAGGAAUUGAUGUUGAAUUGGAUUUGGGAGGUAUGUAUAUAUGAUUUGAGAGUAUGUGUUUAGGGAUUUUGAUAGGAGGAUUUGAGGAAUUUAGAUUUGAGGGAUUUGGAUUUGGGGAAUUUAAAUAUGAGGAAUUGAUUUAGGGUUUGGGUUUGAAUAUGAGAAAUUUGAUAUGAGAGUUUAGAGACAACUGAUGAUUGAUUGCUCUAAUACCAUGCUAAAAUAUAAAUAUGGUUUGAAUACUUUAGGUUGAGUUUUAUUCUUUUCCAUAAGGAGGUAUAUAUAGCAGUUUACAUGAGUGUUUUACAAGGAAAUAGAUACAGUAAUCAAUUAGGAUAAUAUCUCCUAAUUAUACAAUAAUUUGUCAACUAUAUAGAAUAGGAAAGUAAAUUCCUUAAUUAAUCAAGAAAAUAAAUCUCAUUGAUUAAUUAAGAGACUAACGUCAACAUUUAUAAGCCAUGGAAGAGCAGAAAAAGAGGUACUUAGGAGAUUUUAUACGUCGGACUAAGGUAAGCUUAAAGGACUAUAUCAAAAAAAUAAGGGACCAAGAAGCAAGACUGAGAAGUUGUUAUGCAAACCCAUUAAGUUUAGCAGUGAUGAAUUUGUAAAAAUCAUUCUAGUGGAUGCUGCCUUCACUAUUGAGUUCUUAUUGAGGUUCUAUCUGAAAGGAUGUAGACAUGAAGGAGACCGCUUAUUAAACAAAUCAGCUCCCAUUCUUUAUUCUUGAGGAUCUUUAUCACACAUACAUAAUAACCGACUCUUUUAGGAAUUAUUACAGUACUCAUGAUCAUGAGAGGCUUUCAAUAAUUAAUAUUUCUAAGAAUUUCGUCACAGCUGGAAUAUUGAAUUUGGAGGGGAAGGGAGACAAAUGGAACAGAAUAUCAUCUUCUUCUAGUGUUGGAAAUUUUAUAUUAUUUAAUAAUAUUUAAUUUCUAUUGUGAAUGAAAAAUAAGUUUCUUUAAGAAACGUGUGUCUUAGGCCAGUUUUUCUAACUGGUCGGCUUCCUUAGAUUUGUGCCUAUUGCUUUUCAAAGUAUAAUGAUGCAAUGGUUGUAUCUCGUUCAGGCAAAUGGAAGGUAUAUAGCAAUUUAUAGAACAAUACAGUAAUCCAGAAGAAAUAUUAUGAAAUGAAAAGAAUAAAAAGUAAAAAAAGAGAAGGAAAGGAAUUCCCACCUGCAAUGUAUAUGUAUGAAAGGAAGGACCAAGUUUGUUUUAAAAUGGUAAGAACAAGUUGAUUUAUAAUUGGGUUCAGAUCAACUCAUGGAUUUCUUGCCUUUUCUAUUCUCCUUCCUUGGACAUGAACUGUUUAAUCUUGGCUCUUCCCCAUCAUGUUGGGCCUAUCUUCUUCUUGAGGAUUGUAUAGGCCCAGGAAAUGCUUCAAGAUAGUUUUUGUGUUUUGGGCAUUGGGACCUAACUUCACAAAAAGAAAACAGAUUUGGCCAAAAAACAAAUUUGAAGGACAUUGAAAUUGUACCUGUAGGAUAGGUUAAAACACUGUAAGGGAGGUAAAUAGUACGUUUACAUAGUUUAAGUGUAAUAAAGGAAUAAAAACAUGCCCAGAGGAUUGAUAAGUGAUAUCAAUUCUUGAAUAUAGAGAACGUAAAAUAAAGGAACACGUAUAAAAUUAUUUUAUGUGGUAAAACCCCAUCUCUAGGGAAAAUCCACGGGACUUCUUAGUCCAAAACAAAUCUAUUAUAGAACGAUGAUUACAAGAAGUACUCACACACUUAUCCUAGACACAUUCUAGAUAAUGUUUACUGACCUCUUCGUAACUCAACUUCUGUCACAGGAUGAUCUUUCGACACUUCUUAUGUUGAACGCAAUACUAGUCACGAUUUCUUUCAAGCUCAUUGGAGAAAAACCGCCACAACAGUCUCGGUGCCCUCAAUCUUAUGAGUCACUGAACAUGCAAAUGAAUACAAUAUGAAUGAUAAAAGUGUUUGAUAAAUCACCAAGUUAUGGAACACUUGAUGAUUUAUUUCAAGUAAAAAUUCAGCUUUCCAAAGUUUAUGAAUUGAAAAUAUGAUCGUUAAAGCUCUCUAAACAAAAAAAACGAAGGUCUUAUUUUAUAGACUUUUUCUUUACAAGAAAGAAAACACGUUGAAAACCAAAUCUCCAAUUUCAAGGCUUGACAGAAAAUCACAAAAGUAUCUUUCCUAUUCUAGAGAUUGGUCACAUGAAGUCCAACCAAUAGGAAAUGAGAUAUUUAAGAAAGGAAGAUUUUGAUCAAUAUCAAUAUCAAAUGAAUUCUUAUAUGCCUAGUCAACUAUUAAGGGUAUCUUAACUACUUGAUAUUAUGAUAUGAUUGAAACAUGAUUUCCACGUUAGAAAAUUAAGGGGAUUUUAAAACAUGAAAGUAAUAGGAGAAUCAAAUUGAUUUGGACCAAAAUUGCCUAAAAAGAAAACACUCCUAAAUAAACUUCAAUUCACUUUUAAAAACAGUAAAACUUGAUUGAAUCGUUCUUUAAAACAAUUCCCUAAUAUACAUGCAUGAUAGUGACAUCACUUACCUCUGAAUCAGAUGCCUUUUACGAGUCAAGCCACAAGUUUGUGUUUUGGGGAUUGCUGAGCUGCAUCAAUCCUGCCAAUGUCAAUUCUGCCCCUAGGCUCUCUCAAAGCACGUUUACAAUCUAUGCUAAUAUAUACUAGAGUUUAUGCUAGUAUCUAGAAAAUGCCAACACUAAUUUCGUAACACGUAGAAAUUGUUAGAGAUUGGAAGUUUUUUUCAUUUUUUUCUUCCAGACUCUCCACCACUCACUAAUACAGUUUACUCAUGUGAUGAAUUUACAAAACCUAUUUCUCUACUCUCACAAAGACUAUACUUAGGGGGGGUGUAUUCAAUUAGGAGUCUAGAGCGUUUAAAAAGAUUUUGUUUAAGUGCCAGCUUUCAUAGAACUUGAUGGAACUUUAUAAUUCGUAUAGAACUUGAUAGACUUUCAGAAGACUUCUGUAUAAUUUGUUAAUAAAACUUUCUUAAGCUUUCAUAGAACUUGAUAGGCUUUUAUUCCAGAAUUAUGUAGACAGUAUAUUUCAUUUUAUCCCCAUCCUUGUCAUUUAAAGAAAGAAACUUGAAUGUUUUCAAUCAAAUUUGUUUUUGUUACCAAAGCAAAAACAAAAAGUACUUGUUUGCGAAGGAAGAACAUAUGCACAGUUCAAAAUGAAAAGAAUAAGAAGCAAAGUACCUAUUGGACCAAUGAAUGCUGUGUCAACUAGAGAAGCAAUUGGAUCGGCUGUCAAAGCCAAUGCUACAGGCAAUGCAUCGAUGGUCCAAAUUGCAAUAAAAAAUAUUUUGUAUAAUGGUUCUUGCAGACAAAGACCACAUAAAUUCUGGACUGGUCCAGCUUGAAUAAUAAGGUUAGAUUAGCCGAUGGAUGAGAGUAAAAGCAAAGAAAGUUGAUGAAUUCAUCACCAAUUAUUUAAUAACUGUAACAUCCCACAUUGACCAACGGAGAGGGGGUGAUGUGCCUUAUAUGUACAUGCCCACUUCCAUCUAGCAUGAGUCCUUUUGAGAGCUCACUGGCUUCGGAGUCAUGGGAACUCUGAAGUUAAGCGAGUUGGGGCUAAAGCAAUCCCAGGAUGGGUGACCCACUGGGAAGUUGCUCAUGAGCUUUAGAAACAAAAAUCAUGAGGGCAUAAAGGGAGGCCCAAAUUGGAUAAUAUCGUGCUACGGCGGAGCCGAUCCCAGGAUGUGACAAUAACCAAUAGAGUAUUUAAACAUAAACAACAAUGUUUGAUAAACAAAACAAAUAGUCCAAAUAUUAUCCAAAAAACAAUUCUAAAACCAAUCAUUCCAAACAAACUAGUCAUUCCCAAAAACUCUCAAAAAACCCACUCAUUCCAAAUUAUAGGAUAUCCAAUUUGAGCGCUCCUCAGGAGACAUUUUCAAAAAUGCAUCCUUUUUUGUGUUACUAUGCAACAAAGAGAGCGCUUUAUAAUGAGCACGUUCAUCCAAAUUUGAGGUCUCCUUAAUGGCAUCCCACAUAUAACUCUGCUGCUCUCGCUCUUUUCCCCUUUUUGCCAAUAGGUUAUGGACCUCCCGGAAGUCGGUGACAAUUGAAUCAAUGCUAAGGCUAAUUCUUCCCAUAGCUUGUUGGGUGGUCACAUUUGAGAUGGCAUUCCCUUCCAAAUCUAUUCUAGUUCGUUUCCUCUAGUAACAAGCAUAAAUCCUAGUAACAAGCAUAAACCCUAAUCCCAACCUAUAACCUAAUAACAAGAAAAACACGAUGAAAAAAAAAUCAUGGAAAAAGAAAACCCAACGAGGUAUUGAUCAAAAAAAAAAAUAGGGAGCAUACCUUCACAGAUGGAGGAAGGAAGCUGUUUGUCUUCACAGAGAGAAAAGCUAGGGAAAGAGAAAAACGUCUGAUGAAAUACUUUGGGGGGAGGUUGGAUUUCUUUUGGUCUUUGAUAUUUAUAACUCUCCCCUUAAAACCUACAAAAAUUUAUCACUUAAUGAAAUCCUUCCAAAUAUAUGACCUUUCGAAUACACCUAGAUUUGAUUCAACUUUUUUAUAAUCCUAAUUGAAUACACCCAUAUUUGAGUGGACUUUUUAAAAGUUCAUAUAAGUCCGAAUUGAAUACACCCAGACUUGUAAAACCUCUUUUAAAGUUUGUAUAAAUCCAAAUUGAAUACACCCGGAUUUUUAAAAUAUUUUUUAAACGCUUUAUAAUCCUAAUUGGUACAUCCCCCUUAUUCUCAAAAGACUAUAUCACUUUACCUCUAUCUCUGUGAAAUGUAAAAAGUUGAAACUUUAAUGUCAAACCUCGACAAAAGAUGAACUUCCAUCAGUUGCGUUGAAUUUGGAUUUGUUGAACUAAAGUGGUUUUACUUUCUCUGUCAGUGUUUGAUGACUUAAUUUGGUAUUUACUUCUUUUUUUCCUUGGAAAUGUGUUCCACCAACGUGAGGAAGAAAAAUGUGCACAAAUUAAUAUAUUUAAUAAAAGCCCAAGAUUUCGGAAGCACAUAAUUUCUACAAAAAUCUAGAAAGUGUUCUACUUUACAAACUUCUUAUGUCUAUCAAUUUCUACUAAAAUUAAUUUCUCUGUGGUGCUCAGAUUCAUCAUAUGUGUGUCCUUAAUUUUAUUGGAAAUUAGAAGUUUCCAUAAUUUUUAUUUUUUGGGAAUUUUCUGAACCAAGAAAAAUCAAGUAAAAUUAAUAAAGCUUAAAUUGGAAAGGGAAAAUAUCUAGAGGACGCAUUGUAGGAUUUCUCAUGCCGAUAAUUGUACCCUCUAAAUAUAUAGGGACAUAUUUUUUUUGUUUUCAUGACAUGUGGUCCUAAAAUUAUUGUUCCUAGCGGGCUCUCCACCCCCUCUCAAAUUUACGUGGUCCAUUAUGAUUAACCAUAUAUUUUAUUGACCAUCCAGCUGUGAGGUUUUAUCCCAAAAACCUUAGGUACAUUUCUCAAUUAUGUCUGAUACAUCACAUCAUGCCACAAUUGUAUAUUCACAAUUAUGUCUGAUACAUCACAUCAUGCCACUUGCCUCAAAUGAAUUUAAGUGAGUGUGGCAGUGGGAAGUAAUUACUUCUAGGUGCCCCUCAUCAUUCGUCUAUAAAAUGGUGAAGCCAGUGGCUAUAAGAGCCAGCUCCAACUUUCUUUUAUUCGUCUAUAAAAUGGUGAAGCCAGUUGCCAAGUUAAUUUCAGUCCUAAUGGGGUUUCAUCUCCCACUCAUCUUUGCUAUUCUCAGUGUAAGCUCUGCAAUUUGAUUAACUUUUCCAUUCUCUCUCAUUGUACUCUAUAUAAACGAAAGUUUUGUGUUCCUAUAAUUCUCUUUGAUUUUAUUUAGUACGUACUUAAGUGUCGUCCACUAAUUAAUUACAGUUUGUGAGAUUUGAUUUUAAUUAGAGUUCGAAUUAAUGUUGCAGCUAGCAGUGGUUGCACUGGCAAACCAUGCUGCUCAACCAGCACCUCAACUUUACUGGAACUCCGUCCUGCCAAACACACAAAUGCCAAGAUCUAUCAGUGAACUUCUGCAUCCUGGUUUGUGUUGAGCUCUUUAGAAUCUUAGAUAUCUCUUCUACCUGCCAUUUUACUAAAAUAUGUUCGACCACAUAUUUAUCAGUUAACUACUGUCAUUACAUGAGUGACACUUAUUCACAAAUCGGCUGAUCACUUAUUUUCCAUUUUACAUGAGUGAUAUAUAAUUUGCAGACUCCACAAAUGAAGAAAAUAUCGUGAAUGCUGUUGGGAAUGGAAAGCGCAAACCUGAAAUUUUCCCAUUGAGAAAUAUAAAUUACGUUCAAAGCCAUUAUGGAGUGUUAAAUAGAAAUUACGUUCAAAGCCAUUAUAAAAAACGUCCUCCUCCACCUGAAAAUAUCCCAUUUGCAAAUCGAAAAAAGUACGCACUAGGUUCUCCUCCAUCUGACAAUCAACUACUCCAUUAUAAAGAGUUAGCUAUUUUCUUCUUCGAGAAGGACAUGCGCCCUGGCGCAACAAUGAAGUUCCAAUUCCCUAGAAAUUCAAACACGGCUACUUUCCUGCCACGCGAAAGUGCUCAAUCGAUCCCCUUCUCCUCUAACAAACUACCAGAAAUUUUCAACCAUUUUUCAGUGAAGCCAACAUCUGUGGAAGCCAAAACAAUUAAGCAAACAAUCGAAGAGUGUGAAGCUCCAGGCACUAAGGGAGAGGAAAAAUAUUGCGCCACAUCUUUAGAAUCAAUGGUUGAUUUUAGCACUUCGAAGCUUGGAACAAGAAACGUUGAAGCAGUCUCGACGGAGGUAUUGGAAAAAGGAGCCACCAUGUCCAUGCACAACUAUACAACAAUGCCGGGACUGAAGAAGUUGGCAGGUGACAAAGUCGUUGUGUGUCAUAAGGAGAACUAUCCCUAUGCUGUGUUUUUCUGCCAUGCAAUAAAACAAACAGCAGCUUAUGUUCUCUCCCUGAAAGGCGAUGAUGGGGAGAAGGUUAAAGCAGUAACCAUCUGCCAUCUAGACACAUCAGAAUGGAACCCAGAGCAUUUGUCCUUCCAAAUCCUCAACGUUAAGCCCGGAACCGUUCCCAUCUGCCAUUUCAUUUCCACUGAUGCUAUUGCCUGGGUUCCAAAACACAAAUUUGCAUGAUCAUCACUUAGCACUGUGGUGUAAGAUAUAUGAUGAGAUAAAGUUUUUGGUAUUAGUGGUCGGGUUGCCUGAAAAACACAGAUUACAGAAACUGCUUGAAAUUAACCCGAUCAUGUUUUCUCUUGUAAGACUUCAACUUGUACUCCUAAAGCAAGUUAUAUUUAUGAAGAGAUAUUAAUCUAUAUAUAUUUUAUGUAUAUAUAUAUAUAUAUAUAUAUGCUUUGGCUUUGUGGUUCUACCCAGUGUUUGAGUGUUGAAUUGUUACGUUGGAAUAGGCUGAUAAUGCGUGUAGUUAGAGAAGCCUUCAUUUAUAUCAAAGUCCUCAAACUAUCAAGAACUAAUGUAUCCAGAAACAUAUACCAAGACGCAAAACAACAUAUUUUCCAUGCUCUGUCUGUAACGCCAAAGCAAACUUCCUUUAUCACAUCAUUUAAAGGAUCAAAUUCCAGUACUAAUCUAAUCCAUCAUGUAAAGCAUACAAGUGCCUCCCUAAAUUUGUCCAUUGGAUAUAAAUGUUGAGAAAAUUAGAGUACACAACUCUAAUAUGAUAGUUGUACACAACUCUAAUAUCAUAAAGCAAACAAAAUUUCUAAGUUAGUUUGCUUUAUGAUAGUUGUUUUUUGAAGGGGUCCUUAGAUCCUAUCUCAAAAAGUUUGGCUUUUAUUAGGUUUAACUCUGGUUUUUAUCUCUACCCACUAACUUUUAUCUCUCAUUUUUAUUACCCAUUUUACCCUUUAAAAUAAAUAGGGCAAUAAACUAAAAAUUCUGAUUUAAUGCAUGUUUUACUCAUAAGAGAACUAAAAACUAAAAAUUCUAUACUCUAACACAAAAAAUGAAAACUAAAAACUAAAAUUGAAAUGGUUUCAAGCAAUUGCAUGUCAGGCGCUAUAUAUAAUGUAUUAGCCAUGGUUUGUUUAAUACGCGGUCAUUCGUCAUUUUCCCAUUCAAAAUAUUGAAAUUACGAACUACAUACCAUGAAAGAUAAGAAACUAAAAGCUUCAAGCAAAUAGAAAUGUGCUACAAACAUAGUAAUGAAGAUGUGGAAGCAUUAUCUCAGACGAAUGAUUCUGAAGUGGAAAAAACAAGAACAAAAAAGGAAGUGAGUUAAAUUUGCACCUGCUAUGUUCAAACGACAAAGUUGGUUUCCCUUUGGUCGAUUACAAGAGAAGCUCAAUGCAGCUUACUUGGUUCCUCUGGUAGAUGAAAAUAUAAUUUUUCUCCUAAUAAUAAGGGUAUAGUGCAAUCAAUGAUGGGCUGUAUAGAACAACUUUUUUGUUUUAUGUGUUUAUGUGAGACAUGUUUUGCCAGAUUGAAUUAAUGUCUUCUAGCCAUGUACCUUAUCUUUUUGCCGGGCCAUGAGUUGAAUGUAGAGGCAAAGUAUGGACUUGGGGUCAAGUUUGACUUGUAAAAUAAUUAGGAAUUGAAUGGCUCCUACGUUCAAUUAUUUUAAUUUUUUUUCCCGAGCCAUUCAAUUCCUAAUUAUUUAGAUUUUCGAUUUAGUGAGCAUCCACAAUCAUGCUCUCUAUUUUUAAGUUAAAUUUUAGUUAAAAACAUAUAAAAGUUAUUUAGGAGCUCUCUAUAAAAUUUAAACUUCAAUCGUUUUCUAUAGUUUAGGGAGUCAUAAAUGUCAUAACUCUUUUUUGAUUGGUCCAUCUCUAUUAAAAAAUAAAAUAAAAAAUAGUUAGCAUGAAAUAAAGGUUUGAAAUACUCAUUAAAUAAAGCAGCAUUAAAUUAUAGGGAGCCACUAAGAGUCCUUUCUCUCUCCUCAAGUUUAGGAGCUCCUAGAGGUCUCCCUAUUUUAAGAGGUGGAUAGGGAGUAUGGUUGGAAUUGUAUUUUUACAAUUCCUCCCUAAAAAUUUUCUAUGGAUAGGUGGUUUUAAGGAACCCAUUGUGGAUGCUCUGAUCUCAAAGAAAGAAAACCUCGAGUUUGCAAGCAAGUUUUCUACGUAUGUAUAUAUGAAAAACUGACAUUUAUGAAAAUAAUAAAUCCAUAUUUUUAUGUAAGCCAACUUUCUAAAUCCAUGUACUAUAUUUAUUAGGGAAAUAUUGGAGAAACUGAUUAUUUUGAAAAAUUAAAUGUGAAAAACUGAACAAAAAUUUGACAGGUUACAUAUUUCAACUCAUUCAGCAGCUUAGGUUGUGAAGACCUCAGAAGAGGCUAUGCAAUGAGCCUAGCUAGUGCACUGUUGAUCACUUCAGUGUUUACCGAUCUGUAAUUUUUCCAGAUUGGUUAUAUUUUCCUUUACAUAUUCUUAUAUUUUUCCCAGUUGGGGAGACUUAUAAAUAAACCCAAAAUGGGUACAAUAUCUAUACAGAAGGACAAAAUUAAAGUGUUUGGACAAUAAUCCCCUAUUCAUUUUGGGAUUGCCUAAGGAAUUCUUUUUCUGAUUUUCAAUGAUGCAAAGGACUGUUGUUUGAUGCUUGCCGUAUGGAGCUAAGAAAACUUGCUUUGAUAGUUUUGGACAGAUGCAAGCUACUGUUGUUGGUAGGGGUGGGCACGGUCCGGAUUGGUUCGGUUUUACUCUCAAACCACAGCUGAACCAAUAAGAAAAUAACGGUUCGGUUUGGUUCGGAUUAGCCUAAAAUCAUAAUGGAAACCGAACCAAUCCAAACCACUUGUAAUCGGUUUGGUUCGGAUUGGUUCGGCCGGUUUGUGCCUAACACAAAACCAUGCAUUUUUCAACCUGCUCUUACAUUAUAAUGCUAACAUUUUGCCAUUAUAUCAUUCCAUUCCAUUCCAUCAAAGGCUAAUACAACAUCAUUCCAUUUAUUCAAAGGUUGUCCAAUGUCUAGCAUGCAUCUAAGUUCACAAUUUCCAUCAAAACAAACAUAUACAUAAUUUGCAUUAACCAAGUAGCAUUACAUUUACUCAUUGCAUUCAUCACAAUUCAUAAGAGAUGAGAACGAAUCAAUUUUACUUUAACAUAUUAAACAAAUGCAUUCUUUGUAAUAGUUAAACAUUCUCACAUCAUGAAUAUCGGCAAGCUUAUAAAGCUGCUGCACCAACUUGCUAAUUGAUUCGUCUGUACCAGGAACAACAGUAGUAAUGCGAGAGAACCCCUCAACUUCUGCAUGGCCAACAGCUAAACUCUGGAAACGAGAAACCAGCUCAAUUAUAACAAAUGCCUAAAACUUCUACCUUAACAGAAGACAAAGGAGGAAAUAACAGCAGAAGGAAACCAAAUUUCUCAAUUUAAUAACUGAUAUUUCCAAAGGAUUCUUAAGUCUAAAAUUCGACCAAGACUUGAUUAACUAUUCCAAUGUCUAGCAUGCAUCUAAGUUUAUAACUUUGUUCCUUCUUUAACAAAAAGAACAAGGAGAAAAAGCUAAUAAUAAGGUAUCCUUCUUUAACAGGCAUCAAGCAUAUCACAUAAGCAACAUUUUAUAUACAUUAUUCUAUGAACAAAACUAAAUCAAAGCAAGGUAUGCUACAGUCUUUUUGUACAAUAAAAUAGAUUAACAUAUUUUAUAACCAUAAAAAUGAAAAAUUAGGCCUCAUAGAAAAUACCAUUUUAUUUUUCAACUCUCUAACUUUUUAUAUAACCAGUUAUUGGAGACAAUACAAAAAAUAAAGUAGUAGACAGAACUAGCAUAUUUUACAAACCCAGCUGAUGAUGACGAUCCACCACCAACAAUAUUCCCAUAAUCAAUCCUUGCAUAACCUGAUGGUCGAUGAUGGAACUUGGGUUUUGUAGAGAUGGAUUUCGCUGAGGACAAAUGGGUGGGUUUCGCCGAGUUCGAAUCAUGUUGGCUUGAGUUAGCGUCGAGGGAGAGGGAGAGGGAGAUGUAGCAGAGAGACAAAGAGAGAGGGAGAGGUAGCAGAGAGAGAUGGAGAAAUAAUGAGAGGGAGUUGCGGCUAGGGUUAAGAGACGAAGGAAGGGAGAUAGGAGAGAGGCUCUUCUGAGGGAGAGAGAAUGGUUAGAUAACUUAGAUGUGUCCGUGAGUUGUAGUUUUGGAGUCCAAUCAAGUGUUGCAGGGUACAUGGUACACUCUUAAAUAACCACUCAAACCUUGCCACAUGUAAACUAAAUUAAAUAAAUAAUAAAUUGAUUUAUAAUCGGUCCGGUUCGGUUUAGGACAGUUUUUAAAACUCUCAAACCACAGCUGAACCAAACCAAACCGGUUCGGUUCGAUUUUUCAAAAUGUUGACUUUUUCUUUGGUCAAAACCAAACCAAACCAAUCCAAUAUAAUCGGUUCGGCUGGAUUGACCUGAUCGGCCAGAUUGAUGCCCACCCCUAGUUGUUGGGAUGAUCUUUUCACGUGAAAUGAGGAUGACGAUACUUCUACACUACACAAUCCAACGAAUUCACAUUUCUAUUUCAGAUACAUGUAUAAACAGACAAGGCUUUAAAAUAUGGGAUGCUGCACUGUUGUUGCUGCUGCUGACACUGUUACUGUGUUGCUGCUACUGUUACUGCGCUGCUACUGGAAGAAGGACAAGGACUUCACAUGUUGCUUUCGUCCUUUGUGGAGGAGAGAGACCUAGGACUUGCAUGUCUUAGAUAUUUAAGAUAAGGGGCUUUCGUGCCAUUUUGAAAAUACUUUGGGUGUUUUUGAAAGCUGCUUGUUUCUUUUGGGUUUCUCACUAAAUUUCGCUAUUAGAAGGGAAAAUAAUAAUAAUAAAAAUACAGCUCUUAUUAGCAACAGGGUUACAAAUUCUUCUACAACACACCAACUGUUGUAAAAGUUUGAAGGUGGAGCCCACAGAGGAAGUUUCCUUGCAUCUUCCAGGAACUUUCCCUUCCCUGUAUUUAUCAAUUCAGGAAGUUUCCUUGCAUCUUCCAGGAACUUUCCCUUCCCUGUAUUUAUCAAUUGAGGAAGUUUCCUUGCAUCUUCCAGGAACUUUCCUUCCAUGUAUUUAUCAAUUCAGGAAGUUUCCUUGCAUCUUCCAGGAACCUUCCCUUCCCUGUAUUUUACCAAAACCUUAGCCUAUAAAUAGGCUUGCUCAUUCACUUGUAAUACACACCAAAAUGAAGAGAAGAAUGAGUGAGGAAAGAAAGAAAGGAAGAGAAGGAAGAAAGAGGGUGAGUAAGUAGAGAGAAAAAUAGAGUGGAGAGAAAUUAGUGAGCCACAUAUAUUGUAAACACUAAAGUUGUAGCCCUAUUAUUUUACAUAGUGGAAAAGUUACUACUGCUGCUCUCCGGGGACGUAGGCAUAGCCGAACCUCGUUAAAUACUGUGUCUCAUUUACUUUACGUGCAGCUCAAUAUUCAUACAUAUUCCAGGUUAUUUUUAUAACACGUUAUCAGCACGAGAAGCUCUCAGGUAUAAUUUUUGUGCUGCACUAUUAUCUAUACUACUAACCACUAACAAAAAUGGACCCUUGGUAAUACUAAACAUAUUAUCAGUGGGAGACCGUUACUAAUACUAACUUUUUCUUAUUUUAUUCGGUGGUGGUUUUAACCCCACAUUUAUUUACUGUAUGGUGUAGGUUUAUUACCCAUACAUGCACCUUUACUUUAUCGCAAAUUUAUUUUACCGCAUAUUUAUUUUAUUUACUGUAUGGUGUAGGUUUAUUACCCAUACAACAGUAUUUAUUUAAAAGGGUGGUGCGAGUUUAUCGUCCACGCCUUUGCUUUUAUUUAAAUGUAUGGAGCAGAAUUAGUGCCCAUACAAGCACAAUUUACUUUACCGCACAUUUAAUUUUAUUUAAAGUAUGGUGCGGGAUUAACGUCCAUACAGCAAGCAAUUUAAUUUAUGAAUUUAAUUUACCGCACAUUUACAUUUAUUUAAAAGGGUGGUGCGGGUUUAUCGUCCACGCCUUUACUUUUAUUUAAAUGUAUGGAGCAGAAUUAAUGCCCAUACAAGCACCUUAACUUUAUGAAUUUAAUUUACUGCACAUUUACAUUUAUUUAAAGUGUGGUGCGGGUUUAUCGUCCAUACCAGUAAUUUAUUUAUCAGCAAUUUAUUUUAUGGAUUAAUUGUUUAUUUAUCAGCAAUUUAUUUUAUGGAUUAAUUGUGCUGUAUGAUGAGUUUUUCCAGUAUGCAGAUCAGGACCAGAAGUUCCUUGAUCCUCAUCAUACAAUUACAUCAGGACUUGAAGAUCCUUGAUGAUGAUAUUAAAAUGAGAGCUGGCAGUCUCACCGGUACUGUAUUUGUAAACAUGUGAUUGGACUUAAAGGUCCUUGAUCCCUGACAUGUAAAUAAGGACCUAGAGUUCCUUAAUGAUGUAACAGUACCGUAUUGGUUCAUAGUGCCGUACACAUUGAUGAUAACUGUACUGGCAGAUGAAUAGAUACGUAUUCAUGACUUGAUGAAUAGUACUAUUCACAUGAAUAGUGACGUAUGCAUAAAUAUUAACCAUUUUGGGUAAACCGUCACUAUAUACAAAAGGGAACCUGCAGUUCCUUAAACUCAUGGAUGAGCAAUUAAAUGAGAUGCCAGAAGUUCCUCAAAAUAUGGACAAUUAUGUAAGGGCUUGAAGUCCCGAAAUAUGUACAGAAAAUUGUAAAAAUGUCCAUACCAUGAGAAUAUGUGGCUUUGGCCUGAAGUUCCAAAUUUAACAGUGUUGAGAACCUGAAGUUCCAACAAUUAAAUGGACAACCCUUGAGGUAUUAUUGCAAAUUGUGGUAUGCCACAUAUUUCUUUGGCAUAAGAAGAUGAUGAAUUUAAUAAAGUUCGAUUUUGUUAUAAUCGACACCUCAAGGAAGAAAUAUAUUUUGUGAAUUCCGGUUGUUAAGAAUACACCGCGAAAUGGAUAAUAUUAAUAUAAACCUCAAAUAAUGAAUUGAGACUCCCCACAUAUUUUGUUAUAUCUGGGCCGGAAGCCCAUGGAUCCAAAUAUAUGAGAGAUCCUAAACUUGAAGUUGUGGGUAUAUAGUAGUUAAUGCUCUUCACUACUAUAUUGCGAUAUUAUCAUGGCUUUUACUCAAUUCAUAUUUCAUGUCCAUUUGAAAAGGGCAAAUAAAUUCUGAGUUUGUGCCCAGGCCAUAAGUUCCGGGCUACCAUACGUUGAAAUAUGAAAUUUGGGAGAGUCGAUGUGGUUAUUUGAACCUAUAAGGCACAAGGUUCCAAAUCGUCAUUUUGAAAAGACGUAAAAACCAAAGGUGCAAGUUUAAGAAUGUGCGCAAUUAUUAUUACAGGAACAUACAACAGAUAGAUUUUUUCCACUUGCAAUGAAGGUGCAGGCCCUGUAAAAUCUAUAAAAUUACAUUAUGUUCUGGAAGCCUCUGAAGGAAGAGGACGGCGCCUCUUAAGCUUAGCCAUGAGCUUCUCAUGGUCUCCCAAAAUUCUUUCAUUGGAGACCUGCAGCAUGUCUAGCCUUCUCAGUGUAUCAACAGAGUACGAACUCACCAGUUUCAACAAGGAAUUAUUCUCUCCUUUAAGUUUCUCAACCUCCUGUUGAGACUCAUGAAGCAUUCUUUGGAGAGACGAAUUUUCAGUUGUUAAAUUCUCAACCUCGUUUGCUCUGGCACGCAAACGAUCAGCCAUGUUAGAAACAGAAACAGCACUCUGAAUGCUAAAAGCCAUUGAGUCAUCAAUAGCCUCUUCCUCUGAUCUCCCCGUCAACAACAUUUCAUCCAUUGGAGUAAUGAAAUUCCUAGCUACUAUGACAGCAGUAGCAUCAUUCAUCAUCACAGAAUCAUUAACUGUGAGAUGACGAUUUUUGGAUACAAAGGAUGGACGCCAAACUUGGGCGUCACUGGUAGUUGUGGGAGUAUCAUUUAAAUUGAAAUAAUUUGGGCAGGAAGAAGAGGAAGCCAUUUUUAAGAAGGUUUCGAAGAAAGCCUUAGGAAAACUAAAGUUUCAUAAAAUGAAGGAAGUUAAGUUGAAACGCAAUUGCUCCAAUCAAGUUUUGCAAAGGCAAUAUCUAUAGACGAAAAUAUGGCAAUAUCUUCAGGAUUCCAAUAUCUUCUCGAAUCCCCAUAUUAUCUUUUUCUUUCCCAGAGUCCAAAACUUCACGUGGCCUCUAAUAAUGCCUGUCGGCACUUUCGGCGUUUUUCAAAGUAUUAUUUUCAAAGCCGAUCUUGCUUUACGGAUUUCACGGAACUACUUUUUCAAAAGUAUCCCGAGAAUCUCGCAAUUUUCCUAUGGUUAAUUUGAAAUUCACCGGUUCUACCUAUUUAUUGUAUUUAUGUAUAAAUGUGUUACUAACGAAAUUUUCUUUGCAAAAGACAUCCAGUUUUCUCCAUACCUAGUGAUGCGAUAUCUACUUAUUUUUCUUAUCAGUGAGCACUUAAUAUGCCUGAGAAGCAAGACUAUCUCUGAUCAUACAUUCAGGAAGCAAGACUAUCCCUGAUCAUGUUUCCGCUACAUUAGGGAACUGUGAAGGUGACCUUAUGCUCCAAUCUCCUGAGGUCUUUCUAGACUAGGAGAAAUGAGAGCUUGUUGUUUGCUCCCACCAGCUUCCUUCCUUGAUUGCUUACCUUACCUUGCAAUCAAUAUCACAAUCUUUUUGCAUUUUUUCUCUUUUUAUAACUCUCUGUUCAUAAGAGAUUUUAUUUCUUUAGAAUGAACAUCUGAAGAAUGAAUCCAUGAAGUAAUCCUAACUAUGAGGGUUAUUUGUUUUGACAGAGGCAAAAGAGUUGUGAUUUUUGCUCUUGCAGGAUAUAACUAGAUCAUCAAGCGCUACAUUAUAUUUACUGGGCUGAUAUGAGCUUGAAUGAUACUUGAGAAAAGUUUCUCCCACCUAAGGAUGUAAGCAAUACUUGUGUUAUUUUAUGCUUAUAUACCUAUUUGAUAUUUUAUCUUGAAAGGUAACUAAAUGGGGAGAUAAGUCCGUUCCAAAAGAAUGACUUGUAUGUAUCCAUGAAUUAUUAAUGCAAAUUUUACAGAUUGCAAGUUGGAUACAUUGAUAAUACACUGCACAGAUUAAAGUCCCAUAAGAACAGAAUAUGGGUAUAGCAGUGAUCAAUAUGAUGCACGCCUAUUGCGUAGCAAAUGAUAUGGAUUGAAGUCCCGAAAGGACAAUCCUUUGACAUUUCAAUAUUGAUAUUAUGCACGCCUAAUGCGUAGCAAAUUAUAUGGGUUAAAGUCCCAUAAUAUGGGUUAAAGUCCCAUAAAUUAAUUGACAUGUAUGUAUUAAUCUGUGGCAUGCCUGCAGCAUGACAGAUAUAUGGGUUCUAAAUGUUCCAACUCCCUAAAUGGAGAUUAUCCACGCCCUACUAUAAAAUAACGCUCCAUUGGAGGUUAUAAUCCACAUUCUCACAUAAUAAAAGCCCCCUGCAGUGGCUUGGGUACCCAAAAGCAAAGAAAUGCUUAUAAUUGAUGCAUGCGCAUGCACAUGAGAAUGGUGGGAUCAUGAAUUGAUGAAUGACAAUUUUUGAUCAUGAAUUGAUGAAUGACAAUUUUUGGUUUUAGAGUAGCUACUCAAAUCAUCAAUGGGCUGUGUUGAUUGGAACCACGUUCAAUUAUUAAAUGUCGACAAUAUCAUUGGCCAAAAUGGAACGAGGUAAUUCCAUUAUAAAUGAGAAUGAACGUGAAAGAACAAACCCACAAUACGAACCCCAAAAUUUGUUAAUACUAAAAGUUAUACUUGGGUGUUCGGAAUAAAAGGAAAUAUAUCUACUUUGUAUGACACACUGUUUCUGGCAGAAACAAGGAAUGUUGGGUUUUCUCCAUAUUUACAGAUUCAAUUGUGCCCCCCUUAUUACACAAUUACGGAGACCAACAUAUUAUCUUUAAGGGUUAUUAAUGCACAGAGCAUAUCGCCAGAAGCGAUUUCCUAAAGAUGUAUAAAUAGCUGGGUAAAAGCUAUAUAAUGUGUCAUAAAGUUUAAUCCCUUUUAACCAAAAUCUGUUGAGAGGAUUGAUAUUGCAUAGAGCAAGUCCCUAAAGAACAUGUGCUUGAAGCACAAAAUUUGUACUCAAUAUUAAUAUGCAUAAAUUACCUCAGUGAGUACAUUGAUUAUAAUGUGAUUGCAACACAUUAAAGCUUCUGCAGAAUUCAUGAAAUAUUUGUCUCGAUCGAGCAUUAUGCCAACGAGAUUCUUGCUUAUACUAAGAAAGUAUUAAAGUAUUUUUAUGAGGAUUAUCCGUUGGACACUUUAAUGAUUUUCCGGAAGUAUAUUGGACCGGACAUCAUAUUUUCCAGAUAGGGCUCAACUCCAUCACCAUCAUUUUGGGAUGAUGUGAGGUAUAUUUGAUGCUAUCUAAGCAUAACACCAUAUAGGGGCAUAUUUUUUUAGUGAACUUAUAAAUAGCCCAAGUGUUCUAAGAUAUGCGGACUCAGGAAAUCUCUAUGGUCGCUUACUGGAAAAAGCUAGUCAUGAAGUUUUCAGGGGGAGAUAUUCAUCAGGGAGAGCAUGGUAUUAAUAAAGACCUUCAUACACUAUUGACUCACAGCAGCAGUGUCAACUAUGAUAUUCAGACAGAUGAUCAACAGUAUGGCUUAAAGAUAUUUUGCCAAGCAUCAGGGGGAGCGUGCUGUCAAUACAGACCCUUACCCACUGUACUCUUUUUCCUUCGUCCAGGUUUUUAUCCCACUGGGUUUUUCCUGGCAAGGUUUUAACGAGGCAGUGUCGCACGCGCGUCAAUAUACACAGAAUUUUAUGUUACACGUGAUUAUGUACUCUUUUUCCCUUCGACCAGUUUUUGUCCCACUGGGUUUUUACUGGCAAGGUUUUUAACGAGGCAUAUUCCAUAUCAUUUGUGGUCUCCAAGGGGGAGUGUUGUAAAAGUUUUAAGGUGGAGCCCACAGAGGAAGUUUCCUUGCAUCUUCCAGGAACUUUCCCUUCCCUGUAUUUAUCAAUUGAGGAAGUUUCCUUGCAUCUUCCAGGAACUUUCCUUCCGUGUAUUUAUCAAUUCAGGAAGUUUCCUUGCAUCUUCCAGGAACCUUCCCUUCCCUGUAUUUUACCAAAACCUUAGCCUAUAAAUAGGCUUGCUCAUUCACUUGUAAUACACACCAAAAUGAAGAGAAGAAUGAGUGAGGAAAGAAAGAAAGGAAGAGAAGGAAGAAAGAGGGUGAGUAAGUAGAGAGAAAAAUAGAGUGGAGAGAAAUUUCUCCAAGAGAGAAAAAUUAGUGAGCCACAUAUAUUGUAAACACUAAAGUUGUAGCCCUAUUAUUUUACAUAGUGGAAAAGUUACUACUGCUGCUCUCCGGGGACGUAGGCAUAGCCGAACCUCGUUAAAUACUGUGUCUCAUUUACUUUACGUGCAGCUCAAUAUUCAUACAUAUUCCAGGUUAUUUUUAUAACACCAACAUCAAUCUAGCCCUGAUCCACUCUUUUACAUACUUGAAAACAAAACAAAACACGAAAAACAAAAAACAACAGGGAGAAAAUGGCUCCGGAGAGACUUACUGCUAAUACUUGAUCAAUAACAGAGAUAAUAGAGCACACUGUUUGUAUGGCAGUGAGUAUCAGAAGAAUAAUAGCUGCCCAAGGUGUGUUGAAAUACUUUUGUCUCAAAUUUGCCUUCCAUAUGUUCGUGGUCUUCUCGCAAUACUCGUUUAGUUUGCCAGCAAGAUCACCAAAAUAGUAGUUUCCCUGGUUAAUCAUAAUGGAAACCUUACUGUUGUCACCUAGCGUGUUUACAACAAUUCCAUUGUCAACAAGCAACUCUACAUCCUUUGGGGUGUUUACAAAUUUAUCCAGGAUGAAAACAUAAUCGCUUAAUUAUUUAUUAACGCAAUGGCAUUGUUCAAAGGCAAUGAGAUUUCUAAGUGUAAGCUCUGUGUAAUCAUGUAUUUCAAUUUUUGGAAUUUCCAAGGUGUUUUUCAAGAACUGUAUAUCGAAUAAGUUCUUGCUUGAUUCAACGUUAAACUUAACUCCGGCCUGGUGUAGUUUUGUCAUGCCGGGUGUACUUUGGAGCCCUACAUUUUCUUUUAGGGUUGGAUCUGGCAGAUGUAAAGUUCUAAUAAAAUCAACAAAUUGUACAGGUUUUUUAGGAUCAGGAGGCAUAAAAGACUUACGGAAGGCUGGUGAGUUCUCCAAGUUUUCUAAACGCAGUGCCUGUUGGAAGAACCUGUAAGAGAGUUCAAUUAUUGAAGGCUCCCCAGUCUGGGCACCUGUAAGAUUGUAAAGAUCCUCGAGAAUGAAAAAUGGCAGCUGAUUUUCUAGCAUAAGCAUGUCAGGCAAUAUAUUUUGUAGCACCCAUGGUUUUUUAAAUAUCCAAGCAUUAUCAUCCGGCAAUUUUUCUUCCUGAAAUUUUUCUUCGGAUUUAUUCCUCAACAAUAGCUCAAUGACAAAGGCGGCAUCAACUAGAAUGAUAUUCACAAAAGCGGCAAUGUUAAACUUCUUAGUGUCUUCAUAAUAAUGACGGAGUUCAACUUCUCUCUCCUUUAGGUACCUGAGUUUGUGAUCUUCCAUGGCUUCUAAGUUUUUGCUGCCAUGGUGAAGUGGGCCUAUUGAGACUACUUGUGGUGUGUAGGCCUUUUGUUUUACGUUCCGUAGUCGCUCAGGCACCCUGUAGAUACUGCAGGCAGGGGACAGGGCACGGAAGUUUGUCAACUGAUUUUCCAUGGAAGUUGCUUGGUUUUCUAUGUCAAAAGAAGCUUCAUUGCUGCUUUCUUCCACUUUCUUCCUCCGCAUUAUGUGUUGUUCUGAUUGUAAGUGACGAGGAUGGUGAUGAUUCUAGACACCAUAAUCAACAAAUGUUUCAAUCAUAAUUGACAUUUCAAGAUGCUCCGACAAAAAAUUAGAAAACAUUCAUCACAAAAUGCGAACUCAUACAACAGAUGGGUUGAGAAGAUCCACACAUUGCAAUCAUACAAUCCAAUUGAACAGGGAUUACUCCCUAUUCUCCUCUCUCUCUAAAAAAGAUUUUCAUAUCGAUAACAUCUUAUUGCAAGGGACUUGUACAUCAAGUGGUGAAGAACAGAAAUUCAUAUUCUUUCAAUCAACAAAUUUCGAAGAAGUUUGUUUGUUUUAUUUUUGGGGGAAAAAAAUCUGAGCAUAUAUAGAUGCAUAUUAUACGUAGACCUAAGGUGAAAACAUACCAGAUUUUUACUCCAUUUUUCAUGAGGUUUAAGUUCUUGAUGUAUAUAUUUAUCUCAAGUGUAACAUCCCACAUUGAUCAACGGAGAGGGGGUGAUGUGCCUUAUAUGUACAUGCCAGCCUUCAUCUAGCACGAGGCUUUUUGGGAGCUUAUUGGCUUUGGAGUCAUAGGAACUCUGAAGUUAAGCGAGUUGGAGCUAGAGCAAUCCCAGGAUGGGUGACUCACUGGGAAGUUGCUUGUGAGUUCCCAGAAACAAAACCGUGAGGGCAGAGAGGAGGGCCCAAAGCGACCAAUAUCAUGCUACGGCGGAGCCGAUUCUGGGAUGUGAUAAUUUGGCAUCAGAGCUACUCUGCCGUGUGGUGUGAGUGUGCCGACGAGGACGCCGAACCCUUGAGGGGGGUGGAUUGUAACAUCCCACAUUGACCAACGAAGAAUGGGUGAUGUGCUUUAUAUGUAUAUGCUUGCCUAUAUCUAGCACGAGGCCUUUUGGCAGCUUACUGGCUUCCGAGUCAUAGGAACUCCGAAGUUAAGUGAGUUGGUGCUAGAGCAAUCCUAGAAUGGAUGACCUACUGGGAAGUUGCUCAUGAAUUCCCAGAAAAAAAAAGCUGUGAGGGCAGAUAGGGGGGCCCAAAACGGGCAAUAUCGUGCUACGGCAGAGCCGAUCUUGGGAUGUGACAUCAAGAAUUUAUAUCCUCCCUUUUCAGAUCUCAUGUUCCAGUCAAUACAUAACGAAACAUAAGAAACUAAAGUCUUGUUUAUACCCAUCCUCCCACCCACCCACGGCCAUCCACCCCUACCCCCUAUCUCCAUUAAAUCUACAAGUAGCUCAUCAAUUUCUCCACCAUCCCAAGUUCAAUAUACCACCCAACAACCAUCUUACCCAUCUUCUCAUUGAUCUUCCACCCAACAUCCAACACUAUCUUCAUAAACUCUUUAGCUUAAUCUCUCUGUUGCUUUUGUUUUUUGUUUUUUAGAAAUUAAAUUUUUUAGUUUAUUUUUUUGUUGGUACAAAUUCAAUGAUAAAGAACAUCGAACUCGUCGCAACAUCCUGUUCUAGAUCCAAGCUCUACCACCAUCACAACCCUCUCUUGACCUCCGACCAACCUUAACACCCAACUUCAAAUCUAGGUUGUUUGAAACCCAGCCCCCAACAACCCCCCCAAGUCAUCCCAUUGCAACUGACUUGUAGAUGAAGUAGUAAAGAACAAAAAGUCAUAUUCUUCCAAUCAAAACGUAUCAAGUCAAACAAAAUUUCUAGUUAGUUUGCUUUAUGAUAGUUGUUUUUUGAAGGGGUCCUUAGAUCCAAUCUCAAAAAGUUUGACUUUUAUUAUGUUUAACUCUAGUUUUUUGCAAUUUUUUUUUAUCUCUACCCACUAACUUUUAUCUCUCAUUUUUAUUACCCAUUUUACCCUUUAAAAUAAAUAUAGUAAUAAACUAAAAAUUCUGAUUUAAUGCAUGUUUUGCUCAUAAGAGAACUAAAACCUAAAAAUUCUAUACUCUUACACAAAAAAUAAAAAAUAAAAACUAAAAUUAAAAUGGUUAUCAAACAGACCCUUAUAUUACAAAAAACCUUAACUGACCACCUUAUAUGGCAACUGAUNNNNNNNNNNNNNNNNNNNNNNNNNNNNNNNNNNNNNNNNNNNNNNNNNNNNNNNNNNNNNNNNNNNNNNNNNNNNNNNNNNNNNNNNNNNNNNNNNNNNUAGCAUUCUAAAAAAAGUGGCCUCAUGGCAGCAUUCAUUAAUUGACAUGGCAUGACACAUCAGUUGCCACAUAAGGUGGUCAGUUAAGGUGGUCAAUGUUGUGUGUCCAAAUAGCAUUACUAAAAAAAAAUCAAAUAUUGAACUCAUCAUAAGAGAACACAGAAAAACCUCACUGCUUGCAACUCUUACACCACCACUACACGAACAGAACAACUGCUAAUUAAAAUGAGUCACAUGUCACAUGUCACAUGUGGUACUUAACUCUAAAAACUUAUUUAGAUUAUAUAUCCAUAUUUAUAUAUCCUACUCCUCGAUCAAAACAACCAUGAAACAUAAGUGACUUAAACCUCUAGGCAAAUGGACGGUAUAUAGCAAUUUAUAGAACAAUACAGUAAUCCAGAAGAAAUAUUAUGAAAUAAAAAAAAUAAAAAGUAAAAAAAGAGAAGGAAAGGAAUUCCCACCUGAUAUGUAUAUCUAUGAAAGGAAGGACCAAGUUUGUUUUGCCUUUGGUUAAUGACUAGAAAAGCUCACUUGUAUAUUGCUUUCUCCGGCCGUAGAUGCAAGAGAAAUUUUCUCUUAAUAAUAGCACAAUGAUCGGGUAAUCGUAAGAACAAGUUGAUUUAAAAUUCAGGUCAACUCAUAGAUUUCUUGCCUUUUCUAUUCUCCUUCCUUGGACACGAGCUGUUUAAUCUUGGAAUCUUCCCCCAUCAUGUUGGGCCAGUCUUCUUCUUGAGGAUUGUAUAGGCCCAGGAAAUGCUUGGAGGUAGUUUUUGUGUAUUGGGCCUUGAGACCCAACUUCACAAAAAGAAAACAGAUUUGACCAAAAAAACAAAUUUGAAGGACAUUGAAAUUGUACCUGUAUGAUAGGUUAAAACACUGUAAGGGAGGUAAAUAGUACGUUUACAGAGUUUAAGUGUAAUAAAGGAAUAAAAACAUGCCCAGAGCACUACUACAAUUUUUCCCUGUCCUGGCAACCCUUUGUGAUCGGUAAAAACACCAUUAUUGACGGAACUUCGUCAGUAAUUGCUUCUUGACGACUGCAGCGACGAAAAUGAGUAUAGUCAGUAAAAGUCCCGUCAGUGUUACUAUUACUGACCAACUUUUGCAACUUAUUCGUCAGUAGAGGUGUGUCUCUGACACAAGUCAUGAAGUGACUCUAAAUUAUUACUGACAAAACAAAUAGCCACUAUUAAACAAGCUUUUGUCAGGAUUAUUAUUUUAGGAUGGAGUACUAGUGGCAAAGAUUUGUCAAUAUUGUUUUCAACAAAAAAAAAAAUUCAGUCAAUUUGCUUCUGAGCUGAUGCGCCUUUAGAUAUCCUUUUCUGAAAUGUCUUUUGUUUUCUAAUAUAAUGGAUGUUUUUCUUUAAUAAAAAUUUAAUGGAUUCUGAAAAUGUAAUAACAAUUAUAAAUACUCAUAGAUUGAACCAUUCAACCCCCAUCCUUAUAAAUAUAAACUACCAAUGUCGAUUACAAUAGCCAAAUAUUACAAAGUCUGCCUACAUCAGUAGAGUUCAAAAACUUUAGGUGCCCUUACUAUACAAAAGUAUGCAAUUCCAAAUAUUCAACAAAUACACUACAAAAGCAUGCAUACCCCAAUAGGGUCCAAAAUACAACGUCAGCAACUAUAUAUACCAAAAAUGCAUAACACUAAGUAACUGCAUCUAUUCAAGUCCAUGAGUACCUUGAUCUGAUUCUAAAAAGUCUGUCUCACUUGGGUAUGCAUCCCCCCUCAGCAAUCCAGUUAACCCACCAAUAGGAGUAACUGACCUGGCUUGAUAAGGCAUUUGAUGGAACAUCUGCGGCGAGUAAUAUGACAUAUGGAAUGGGUUUGGCAGCUGCUGGUACAAUGGGUGAUGCGAAGCUGACGAGCACGAUAACAUCUGCCUCAUUUCCUCAAUCUCUUGCUGGUUAUGCUUCAGCAACUCUUGCGUCGCCUUCAAUUCAGAACGCCAAUGAUCCUGGUCAUGUUUGUACCUUUCUUGUAACUCUACAUACUGUGACUCAAGGUGAACAUAGUCGUGCCCUCGCAAUCUCUUGGAUGACCCUGCUUUCGUUUGAAUCCAAGGCACCUGAUGGGGUUUCACCCCAAGUCCUUCACCACGAACACUAUUAUUUGUCUCAGGACCCAUUGCCUCAACAUAAGCCCUUCUUCGUGUCUCUAAAUUAUCAGGACAUUCAUCUUCAACCAAUUCCUUCAACUUUUCCUGCAUUUCAGCCUAACAAAAACAAAAUAUAUAUCCUUCUCCAUCAAAUUGUGGUCAUCAUAGAACUAGCCCAAUAAACUCUACAAUGAUGAAUUGCAUUAUGUAAUAAAAAUUUAGGCCAAUUAGUCUUCUGGACCUCUACUGUUUUGUUUUUCAUAUGCUUAAACAAAUAAAAGAACAUAAAGAAUAGUGAACAAGAAAAAAAAACUACCUCCAAACAACUUUCCAUAUGCUUAAAAAAAAAAAAAAAAAAAAGUCAACCAAAACAAAAUAAGAGAAACAUCCUGGACUAUGGCUAACAAUUCCUCAUGAAAAUGAACUUAUAUAUAAUUAUUCCAAUAUAUAGUCCAUAUGCUUACAUAUUUCUGCUCAGCCACCAAGUUAACCCAUGAUCGAUCUUCGUCACGCCGUGUAUGCUUAUCUUGGAAAAACCAAAUAGGAUCGGGGUCUUCACCAUGUUUCUUAUUCUUAGCAUGCAAUCAAUAAAAUAAAAUAAGAUAAUCAAUUAGCUAACACGACCUCAUAUGCUCAAUAUUUGAAUAUAGUAAAGAGUAAACAUUCAAGUGCAUCAUCAAAACUGACAUAUUGUGCUUUGCUGCGAGCAUAAGACUUUGUUCUAGAUGUGUGAUUCAAUGUUUGUUUACUCCGAUUUUCAACAUUUCUUUUAGCUUGCUCCUUUUAUUAGCAAAAACAAAACAUACUUAAUCAUUGCACAGAUUAUAUAUACUGAGUGUUGUGUAAUAAUACGUACUGCAAUCUCAUCUUUUUCCCAAUGUUCAACCAACACCCUCCAUUGAUCUGGGUCUACACGAGAAUCCCCACAUUGCCACCGUCUUUUACUUCCUGUGAAAGGCUUAUAAUAAGCUUUCUUCAAAUCACUCUUGAAACUUCUCCACAAUUUUUCAAUAUUCUUCAUUGUUACAUCCUUGAAGACAUGAAUCAUAGGUUGUUGUUCAGGACGAAAUUCAAUGGUGCCCUGCAUCCACAAUAAGGUAGUCUUACAUCAAGUUGAAAUAUACCUAUUAAACUCAAUUUCAUGCAAUAAGUAUUCAAUAAUUUUAGGAAAACCAAACCCGUAGAGUGUCCCAGACAUCAAGUUUGCAAGAGUCUGGUACUUUUUCCCAUUUUAAAUACUUGAUCGGAAUUAGAUUGGCAUCCCGCGCCAAAAUACCCAUGUAUCUAGAAAAAUGGGGACUAUUGUCACUAAUAACUCUGCCAAAUGGAGAUAAAUCAACUGACUCUUUUUUGUUAUUUAGAAACCAGUUGCAUUUCCCUUGACCUCGACCUUGCUUCGCCUCCUUGCCUACAUGAAAAGUUAAUUUUAACUGAUCAAUACAACAAGAAAAUAAUAAGAAACUGUAAGGUAAUAAGUUUCUCACACAUUAUUCAAAUGAAAAAUUAGCAUAGCUAUUUGGAGAUGAUGUGAUCGUGAAACAUCCCAUAUUCAAUACAUUUGUAUAUGAUUAAAACAUACCAAUUUAUUAAAAGAAAAAGGAAAAGAAAACCAACAUACCAGUAGCACUUAUAGAACCAUCUCCCUCUAGACUAUCCCUAAAGUCAGCGUUGGGCCCUUCUUGUGAACUAUCUUGAGAACUGCUCAUCUAAAAAAUUUGAUAUGCAUAACAGUGAAGGGGUAACAAAUUAAUCAGACAUCAUUGGUAAAAGAAACUAUUACUUCAACAUUCUAAUACAAAACAAUCUACUAAAGAAAUUCUUGUACAAUAUUCUUAAAAUUACGUAGUCCAUUUAAGCUGACAGCUCAUCAAAAUACAUGAAAAAUUCAAUACUCCAUGUCAUCAUAAAGCUCAUCCUCGUUUUCAGUAGAGAGAUCGUCUGAAGACUGUUCAUCUUCUUCAUCCUCAUUUCCGGGCUCAUGCUCAUCUACCAUCUCAUCCAUAUCAACCCUAAUAUGAAAUUCCUCAUUGUCUAGCAGCUGAUCAUCAAGAUUCGGAAUGGCAUAAUUAUCAGUAGCACUUAAAAGGGUUAUCUAUAGUUGGAGCUAGAUCACUAUCUUCUAGCACAUCAAAAAAAUCUCUUGGUUGAGUUUGGGUUGGCACAUGCCAAUGACUGUCUUCUGGAUCUACAACAUAAAACACUUGUGUAGCUUGAGAAGCCAAUAUGAAAGUGUGUCUUUCGUUUGUCGCAACCGAUUGAAACUAACCAAAGGGAAACCAUACCCAUCAAACCUCAUCCCCCUAUCACUAGCAGUAUCAACCCAAUCACAGUUAAAUAAUGUAAUUUUCCGACCAUUAUCAUUCUGUUCUAUUUGACCCCCGUAAUUAAGUUCAUAAAUCUCUUUAAGAACACCAUAAUAAUCAACAUUGCCAAUUACUGGAUUGCGAUCUCUUGCGCUUGAGUAACUAGAUGUCUCUGCACAUUGAAAUACACCACUAUUCUGAUUCUUCUUUUUAUCGUCUACUGAUUUAAUCCGGAACCUACACCCAUGAAUUAUGUGAUUCUUAUACUUGUUCACAAAUCUACUAGGACCAAUUGAUAGCCAACGCAAGUCCUCAGAUAUUGACAGAUCAUGGGCUGUGUACAAUUUAGUAACCUAUAAUUUAAAACAACAACUAAAGUAAAUAACUUUAAUUAAAAAUAUGGUGCAGCAACAUAAAAUGAAUCAUAUUACAACUAAACAUACUUACAUGAUCCUUGAACCAAGUUGGAAAUAUCUUAUUUCUCAUCCCCUCAAUUUCCUGUAUGGUCUUCCGUCGAUUACUUUGUCUCAAUUCUUGGAAGCAUUUUCUGUUUUACAAUAUAAUAUAAUGACUUGUUAGUUAUUAAUUCAUAAUUGAGGAUUGAAAAAAAAAAAUAUCAACAACUUGCUUGUUUUUAUUCAUAAAUAUCUUACUCUAAAAAAGGGGAAACUUCAUCGCAAUUGAACAAGACCACUCUGCGACAUUGGUCCCAAACAUCUUUGUCAAGAUAUAUUUGUUCAGCUGAACCCUUAGAAUGACAUGAAGAGUCAAAAACUUUUAGCUCCCCAAUGACACCACGACCAAUACCAUCAGCAUUUCGACCCUUUCGAUUCCUUCGAGUCUCAACGUUGCUAAGAUACAUGGUACACAUAGCUAAUCCCUCGUCGACAAGAUAUCCUUGUUCCAUACUUCCUUCAGGAUAACUCUUAUUCUGAACAUAUUUCUUUAAUGUUUGUAGGUAUCUAAAGAUAUGGCAAAAUUGAACAUGUUAAUUUACAAUUAAAAUGGAAAACUAGAAAUAAUAAAUAAGAUUUGAACUAAUUACCUUUCAAUGGGAUACAUCCACCGGUAUGGGGCAGGCCCUGCGAUUGCAGCCUCAUCUGCCAAAUGCAUGAUUAAGUGUACCAUCACAACAAAGAAGGAAGGAGGGAAUAUCUUUUCCAUCUGGCAUAAUGUCACUGCAAUCCGAGGUUUUAAAGCCAUGUAUGACGCUUCAUAUUCCUUCUUACUACAUAACCGUCUAAAAAUUGCACUUAGCUCAAGCAAAACAAUGGUAACAGCUUUUGGUAAUACUCGUCGUAUUGCAAGGGGCAGCAGCUGUUGCAUUAUAAUAUGAUAGUCAUGACUUUUCAAUCCGUGUAUUUUUCUCUCAUUCACAUUAACACAUCUAGACAGAUUUGCAGAAUACCCAUCAGGAACUCUCACAUUUGCCAAGACUUCGCAAAACAUUGUUUUUUCCCUUUUCCUCAUGUCAAAAAGUGCUGGAUCAAAAACUUCCUUACCUUUCCCAUUUAUAUAAGGGUGCUGUUUUCUCCUUAUAUUCAAAAUUUGAAGGUCCUUACGAGCUUUUAUUCCAUCCUUUGUCUUCCCAGGAAUAUUUAACAGUGUACCUAAAAUGUUUUCACAAACAUUCUUUUCAAUAUGCAUUAGAUCAAGGUUAUGCCGUAUCAAAAGAUAUUGCCAAUAUGGUAACUCAAAGAAUAUGCUUUUCUUCUUCCACUGAACUUUGUUACUAUUUAUAUUCGUUGUGGGAUAGGUAUUUGUAUUCCUAAUGGGACAAGAACAUUUUUUGGGUUUUCCUUGCCCAACAAAAACAGCUGACUUCUUUUUGGGUUUUCGAAAUGUGAAUGUCAAACUUGACAAUUUUUCUAAACACUGUGAACCUGUCAAGGGAAUAGGUGGAAGAGCAUGUUCUUCCUUACCGUUAAAGGCUGCUUUAUCUCUUCGAAACCUAUGUUGUAUAGGUAGAAAUCUCCGAUGACCCAUAUAACACAUCUUACUACUAUUUGCCAAAUGCAUUGAGACUGUAUCAUCCAUGCAAUGCGGACACGCUUUCUUCCCCUUCGUGCUCCAUCCUGAAAGAAUUGCAUAUGCGGGAAAGUCAUUAAUCGUCCAUAACAAUGCAGCCUUCAUUGUAAAAGUUUGGUUGGCAAACACAUCAAACGUCUUAAUACCAACCUCCCACAACUCUUUCAACUCAUCGAUUAAAGGCUUCAAAUACACGUCAAUAUUAUUGCCAGGCCCAUCAGGACCAGGAAUUAUUAACGAUAACAAUAAAUUUGGUUGCUUCAUACACAUCCAUGGAGGCAAAUUAUAAACUGACAGUACAACAGGCCAUGUACUAUGGGGUUUGUUCAUAUUUGAAAAGGGAUUAAACCCAUCACUUGCAAGCCCCAAUCGCACGUUGCGUAUCUCCGAAGAAAAUUCAGGGUAUAAGGAAUCUAAAUGCUUCCAUGCACGAGAAUCUGAUGGGUGCCUCAUGAAUCCAUCUUUAGGACAUUCGGUUGCAUGCCAUCUCAUAUCUUCAGCGGUAUGCUUCGACAUAAACAAUCUUUGCAACCUUGGUUUUAAUGGAAAAUACCGAAGAACCUUGGUUGGAACCUUAGCUGAUGUGUUCUUACUCAAAGAACCUCCCACAAUAUUGACUUUGUACCUUGAGGCACCACAAAGUGCACACUCAGUCAAGUCUGAUGUAUCUUUCCAAAACAGCAUACAAUCAUUGGGGCAAACAUCAAUCCUCUUGACUGUAAGUCCCAACUCCCUAAUGAUUUUUUUAGCAUCAUAAUUAUUUUUUGGUAAACAAUUCCCCUCUGGCAACAAUUGUUUAACCAAUUGUAACAGCAUUGUAAAGACAUUAUCGCUUCCCUAAACAUUUAAUCUGGAACAGUCUUACAACAGAAUACAAUUUCUUAUAUUUACACCUAGGGUACAACUCCAUAUCUGCUUCUUCAAGUAACUUAUAAAAUAUUUCAGCCUCAGGUGUUUGGCCAUCAAAGAUAGGUGGCUCUGUCGAAGUCCCAACAGUUUCUCCAAUUAUUGGUUGCACAAAGGCUUCAUUGAGAAAAUCAUGAAUGUCAUCUAUACAAACUUCUUCAUUAUGAACUGAUUCUAUAUCCUCUUGGAAUGGUAAAUUUGUCAUGGGCUCCCCAUGAUGCCUCCAAGGGCCAUUCAUAUAUGUGGGAUCCAUUCCUUUUUCUAUAAGAUGAAGCUGGAUGAUGUUUCUUUCAUAGUGAUAACGGUUACAACAUUUUUUGCAAGGACAUAUGACCCUCUCUCCAAAACCCACUUUGGCAAAGACGUCAUCUAAAAACAUUCUCAUUCCGUCUGCGUAUUCCUUACAAUUUCUCCUUAAAUGUACCCAACUUUUAUCCAUAGUUCACCUAUAUUGAGUGCAAGGCACCAAAUACAAUUAUUCAGCACAGAUCAUCCCUCAUACUUAUUGUCUAUAAAUUCCUAUCAGGUGGGUCAAUUUAUUAUCCAUUAGAUGACCCUCAUGACCAUCUACAUCAAUUCACAAGAAAAACCAAAUUAAAAUAACAAAAACCUGAGUCUAAAGAAUAUAUUAACUAAGAAAUUGCACAUUCAUUCAACUGAAGAAAAGAACUAUAACACCAAACAACUAGACCCACUUAAUAGCUAAAGAAACUCACGUCAUAACAACAAAGUAUACAUAUUAAACAACAUAUCAACUCAUAGAUAAAAGCCCGAUAAUCUCAAUACUAUGAACAAUCUUAUUCAAAAAUAAUAAGAUAACAGCAACAUAAUAGAAAAAAGUAAAGGGAAACACACCUGGAUUCUAAGUUUCCAACAACAAUUCAACACUCCUGCAGUAGAUUAAUACAUACAUACCCACAUAUCAAACUUCACCAACAAAUAAUAAAAAAUUAAAACAAGAGCUUUGAAAAAUCAAAGGAUUCGUGUCACAUCCCGGAAUCGGCUCCGCCGUAGCACGAUAUUGUCCGCUUUGGGCCCCCCUCUCUGCCCGCACGGUUUUGUUUCUAGGAGCUCACGAGCAACUUCCCAGUAGGUCACCCAUCCUGGGAUUGCUCUAGCCCCCAACUCGCUUAACUUCGGAGUUCCUACGACUCCGAAGCCAGUGAGCUCCCAAAAGGCCUCGUGCUAGAUGGAUGCGGGCAUGCACAUAUAAGGCACAUCACCCCCUCUCCGUUGGUUGAUGUGGAAUCUUACAAUCCACCCCCCUUAAGGACCCGACGUCCUCGUCGGCACACUCGCACCACACGGCAGAGUGGCUCUGAUACCAAAUUGUCACAUCCCGGAAUCGGCUCCGCCGUAGCACGAUAUUGUCCGUUUUGGGCCCCCCUCUCUGCCCGCACGGUUUUGUUUCUAGGAGCUCACGAGCAACUUCCCAGUAGGUCACCCAUCCUGGGAUUGCUCUAGCCCCCAACUCGCUUAACUUCGGAGUUCCUACGACUCCGAAGCCAGUGAGCUCACCCCCUCUCCAUUGGUUGAUGUGGGAUCUUACAAUUCGUUUAUAUCUUGGAAUAAAAUCAGUAUUCUAAUUUUUAUAUCUAAUUGGAAGGAUUCAUGGGUCAUUACCUACACUAAAAUACUUGAAAAAAUAAAAUAAACAAACAAAAUAAGAACAAAAAUUUCACCAGAACAGAGGCACAAAAAUCUCACCAAAACAGAGGGCCUCUUUAAUGAAGGACAACCAAGUCAGCCCCAAUUGAAAAGAGCAAAGAACCCCCAGAUUUAAUCUCUCUCUCAAUCUGAAUCAGCAACCCCAAUUGAGAAAAGCAAGGAAAACCCCCCAAAUUUAAUCUCUCUCUCUCAAUCUGAAUUAGCAACCCCAAUUGAGAAGAGCAAGGAAAACCCCCCAAAUUUAAUCUCUAUCUCUCUCAAUCUGAAUGAGCAGACACGAAAAUCACUACCACACAUGACUCCAACUCCAUUAGCUAUGAGGAAGAAUACAAUUCAUUCUUCAAUGAAAAGAAGAGGGAAGAGAUGGCCGGUUUGGAGGAAGUAGAAAAGCUCAAGUAAACAAUUGAAGUUUUUUAUAUAUCAAUAGGAAAAUUUUGAAGUUAAAAAUUAUAUUUAAGAAUAGUAUUGGCAAUCGAACUCGUCAGAAAAAAAGUUGGCUUCCUGGUGUCUGAAAAUUUAGGCGCUUAUGUUUUCACUUCCCGCGUUAAAAGAGACUGGCGCAGUGUCUCGUCAGUAAAGGUAGUAAUGACAAAAGACUUUGUCAGUAUUAUUUACUAGUGAAAAAUCACUUUAUUUUGCUAGUAUUUGGUCUCAGUACUGACUAAGCUGCUCUUUCAUCAGUAUUAGUCCGUCAGUAUAAGCUAAAAUUGUAGUAGUGAGAGGAUUGAUAAGUGAUAUUAAUUCUUGAAUAUACAGAAUGUAAAAUAAAGGAACACGUAAAAAAUUAUUUUAUGUGGUAAAACUCCAUCUCUGGGGAAAAUCCACGGGACUUCUUAGUCCAAAACAAAUCCAUUAUAGAAUGAUGAUUACAAGAAGUACUCACACACUUAUCCUAGACACAUUCUAGAUAAUGUUUACUGACCUCUUCGUAACUCAACUUCUGUCUCGAGAUGAUCUUUCAACACUCCUUAUGUUGAACGCAAUAUUGGUCACGAUUUCUUCAAGCUCGUCAGAGUUCUUCCAACUCUCCUAAUAUUGAAUCCGAUACUAGUCACGAUUGAUUCAAGCUCAUCGUAGAAAAACCGUCACAAUGGUCUUGGUGCCCUCAACCGUAUGAGUCAUUAAACAUGCAAAUGAAUACAUAUAUGAAUGAUAAAAGUGUUUGAUAAAUCACUGAGUUAUGGAACACUUGAUGAUUUAUCUCAAAUAAAAACUCAGCUUUAAUGCUUUCUAAACAAAGAAGACGAAGGUCUUACUUUAUAGACUUUUUCUUUACAAGAAAGAAAAUAAGUUGGAAACCAAAUCUCCAAUUUCCAAGGCAAAAUCACAAAAGUAUCUUUCCUAUUCUAGAGAUUGGUCACAUGUAGUCCAACCAAUAGGAAAUGAGAUAUUUAAGAAAGGAAGAUUUUGAUCAAUAUCAAUAUCAAAUGAAUUCUUAUACGCCUAGUCAACUAUUAAGGGUAUCUUGACUCCUUGAUAUUUUGAUAUGAUUGAAACAUGAUUUCCAAGUUAGAAAAUUAAGGGGUUGUUAAAACAUGAAAGUAAUAGGAGAAACAAAUUUAUUUGAACCAAAAUUGCCCAAAAAGAAAACACUCCUAAAUAAACUUCAAUUCACUUUAGUAAAACAUGAUUGAAUCGUUCGUUAAAACAAUUCCCUAAUAUACAUGCAUGAUAAUGACAUCACUUACCCCUGAAUCAAAUUUGUUAAUGUAUGCAUUUUGAGUUUUUUUUUCUUUUGGCUUCCCUUGACAAUUUUGUAAUAGGAAAAUCAUUGUAGUUUCUCAAGCUCUAAGUUUAGAUUAAGAAUUACUUCUCUAGGUGUUCUUAUCUGCCUACAUUCUGAUGGAAAACAAUGCGUUUGACAAAGGUAAAUUCUGCAUUACACUACAUUGCAUUCACUAAAUUUCUUAAGAUUAUGACUAGUCAUCUUUCUUUCGUAUGACUAGUCAUCUUGCAUUCGUAUGACUAGUCAUCUUUCCUUCGUAUGACUAGUCAUCCUUUGUUUCAAUUAGGAUUUCCAGCUCACUGUUUCCAGCUGGGGCUUAAGCAUUUUUUUGUCCUUUUCUACGAAUUUCUCAGCUUCCAUGUGUCUAUUCUGACCUAGGAAUUUUUGGUAAAAGCCAUAGAAUUCCUCAUUUGGCAGCCGUCACUUUUGGGGACAAGUUGUGGAAAGUUUCAUAGCAAACUUUCGCUUCUUCUUCCUCAAGAGUAACCUUCAUAUUUUUCAUCUUUGAGUUCUCUAAAUUGUUUCUUUUUGAAAACUGCAUUUGAAAUAUGAAAACUUCAUCUUGCUAGAUCAAACACUCUAUCAUAUACAUCUAGGUCAGAUUCAAGAUUGAUUUCUUCAAGAGUAUGGUUUCUUGAAGAAAUUGGUCAUUUUCUCCAUGAAUCCAAAUUUCAUUUCUGUCUGAGUUAGAGCUUGCAAGCUGGUGCCAUGGGAUGAAUGAGCUGAAGAAGGAGCUGCCAUUGCCAUGAAGAACUGAGCUUCAAGCUUUGCUAAGUUGGAGAAGAAGAUUGCACAAAGGAGAUAUAGCAUCUUCCUAAAUAGACCUAGGAAUUUCUUGAGCUUGCUAGUGUUCUUUGUAAGAAUCUUUUUGCUUAGUGGAUUGCCUGGUCGGUUGAUGACCCCCAGUUUUUCCCAAUGGUGGGUUUCUGGGUGAACAAUAUCUGGUUUCCAUCUCUGUAGAUUUUUUGGGUUUGUGUUCUUGAUAGUUGACUAGUCAUCUGAAUUUGUGUGGUUGACUAGUCAUCUUUUUCUGCUGUUUGGUGUUUUCUUGAUUAUGUUGUCUUCACACACUUUUACCAUAGUUGUUGCUAGCACAAGGGAUGCCUAGAUUGAUGGGUCCUUCUGAGUGCCUAGGUUGUCACUAGUAAUUCUCUAGGCCUGCAGGUACAUCUUGGUAUGCUUUGUGUAUGUUAUUGUUUGGUUUAAUUCAUAUCUAACAGUUGACUAGUCAUAAGAGUAUUUGGUCAAGGUCUAGAGUGUGUGAAGUUUGUUGCGUUCUUGAUUGAAUAUCUUUUAAAUUUACCCUUCGUCACCUAAUUACCAAUUUGCAGACUCCACAAAUGAAGAAAAGAGCACAAAUAUCGUGAAUGCUAUUGGGAAUGGAAAGGGCAAACCUGUUCAAAAAGGGUAUGGAGGGGGCGUUAGACUUUACGUUCAAAAAGGGUAUGGAAAACGUCCUCCUCCAUCUGACAGUCAACUACUCCAUUAUAAAGACAUAGCUAUUUUCUUCUUCGAGAAAGACAUGCGCCCUGGCUCAACAAUGAAGUUCCAAUUCCCUAGAAAUUCAAACACGGCUACUUUCCUGCCACGCGAAAGUGCUCAAUCGAUCCCCUUCUCCUUUAACAAACUACCAGAAAUUUUCAACCAUUUUUCAGUGAAGCCAACAUCUGUGGAAGCCAAAACAAUUAAGCAAACAAUCGAAGAGUGUGAAGCUCCAGGCAUUAAGGGAGAUGAAAAAUAUUGCGCCACAUCUUUAGAAUCAAUGGUUGAUUUUAGCACUUCGAAGCUUGGAACAAGAAACGUUGAAGCAGUCUCGACGGAGGUAUUGGAAAAAGGAGCCACCAUGUCCAUGCACAACUAUACAACAAUGCCGGGACUGAAGAAGUUGGCAGGUGACAAAGUCGUUGUGUGUCAUAAGGAGAACUAUCCCUAUGCUAUGCUAUGUUUUUCUGCCAUGCAAUAAAACAAACAGCAGCUUAUGUUCUCUCCCUGAAAGCCGAUGAUGGGGAGAAGGUUAAAGCUGUAACCAUCUGCCAUCUAGACACAUCAGAAUGGAACCCAGAGCAUUUGUCCUUCCAAAUCCUCAACGUUAAGCCCGGAACCGUUCCUAUCUGCCAUUUCAUUUCCACUGAUGCUAUUGCCUGGGUUCCAAAACACAAAUCUGCAUGAUCAUCACUUAGCACUGUACGUAUAAUAAGCUUGGUUGGGUUGCACCCCUGUAUAAUUAUCUCCCUACUUAUUUCUGCCUCUUCAUCAUGUGGUGUAAGAUAUAUGAUGAAAUGAAGUUUUUGGGAUUAGUGGUCGGGUUGCCUGAAAAACACAGAUUAUAGAAACUGCUUGAAAUUAACCCGAUCAUGUUUUCUCUUGUAACGAUAUAGACUUCAACUUGUACUCAUAAUAAAGCAUGCUAUAUUUAUGAAGAGAUAUUAAUCUAUAUAUGCUUUGGCUUUGUGGUUUUACCCAGUGUUUGAAUGUUGAAUUGUUACGUUGGAAUAGGCUGCUAAUGCAUGUAGUUAGAGAAGCCUUCAUUUAUAUCAAAGUCCUCAAACUAUCAAGAACUAAUGUAUCCAGAAACACAUACCAAGACGCAAAACAACAUAUUUUCC